This 206856-nucleotide long non-coding RNA is filed under the name Triticum aestivum (bread wheat). Its description in RNAcentral is "long non-coding RNA (TAES_LNC014465)". Lineage: Eukaryota; Viridiplantae; Streptophyta; Magnoliopsida; Poales; Poaceae. The record is from RNAcentral.
CAUCACAAUAAUACAAAAGUCGGAAACCUUUUUGAAAAUAAAUGUGGUUUUUUCACCUGAUCAUCAAUGAUGAGUAGCCAAAUUAAGCAAAACCAAAUUAAGCGACAAUAACUUCAACAGCAAAGAGUACAUGAAUUACUAGAGGACAAGCCCACAUUAGGUAAGCAGUACAUGAAUUACUAGAGGACCAGCCCACAUUAGAUAAGCAGUACACACACACAAACCAUGGCCGGAUCGACACGUCAAAUUAUUACACUACGCAGGAUGCAGAAGCUAACGCGCGCCGCCCACGCGGCUAGCCAGAUUGGACGGGCUUGUCCUGUGAUUCUUCUGCUGUUGGCUCUGGCUCUGGCUCCCCCUUGCCCUCCCCCGGCGCGGGCACGCCAUUGGACGAGCUCUCCUCGUCGCCAAUGCCGGCUCCUCCGUUGCUGCUACCUGCGCCGUACGCUCCUUCCCCGUACCCGUACCCGUAGUAUUGCUGGCCCAUGACACGCUCUCCGCCGAACACCUGGUACUACCCGCCGACGUUGGCCCGCACGGGUGCCAUUCCGACGGCGUACCCGUGCACUGGAGCCCGGGGCCCAUAGAUGCCCUGCUGCAUCUGAACCUGUAGCGGAGCCGGGGGAGCAUACACGGGCCGCUGCAUCUGAUUAUGAACCUGCACCGGAGCUGGGGUCGCGUACAUCGGGCGCUGAGCCUGCAGCGGCACGGCGUGGAUCACAGGCGAGGCCGCACGGGGAGGCGCACUCAUCACGGCGCGGCUGUAGCCUGCAGCGGCACCACCUGUCCCCGCCUCGGGGUCGCGCAUGCGCUCCAGGAAGACGCUGAGGGGCACGACGUAGUCGUCGAAGCCGAGGCGGUUUAGGGCCCACACGAUGUCUUCGGCGUUGACGGUCUUGCGGCGCUGCAUGCGGCACCGUUCGUUGGCCUCGCCGGUGUCGAAGCUGAUGAACUCCGACACGCAUUCCUGGAUCGCCUCCUUGGCUUCGUCGGAGAUCUUGGCGUGGGCAGGGAGCGCGCGGCGCAUGAUGCGGAUCACGUUUGCGAUCGGCAUCAGCCGGUCCUGCUCCCGCACCACCGGCGUCGCCUGGGUAGGCGCCGGCCCCGCUGGUCCGUUGGGGACGCCGUCGUUUUCCAUGGCUAGGGUUAGGCAAGGUGCAAUGCAGGUAGUCGCACUUGGCUUUAGGGCUGAUCGAGUUGCUUCAGUGUGUUAAAUAGGCUGAGAUAGGUAUUAGGUGCUGGCUUAGCUGUCCUUUGUGUUACAGAUCAAACGACAAGUGUCCAUUGAGUGGUUCUGGCAGAGACAUGUACUCAUGAAUGAGGCUAUUAAUCAGAGGAAAACGAUAAAUGUGGUUAUAACCGUUGGUGGUGAGGGCCGUAGUUUUUCUUUUCUUUUCUCAUGACCUGUAGACAGGUCAUUUUGAAACUGAAAUGGCACAUUAAGGGCAUGGGCUGCGGAGGCUAUAGCAAAUGCUGGUCUCAUCCCCUCCACAUAGGAUUGUACUGGUGAAGCAAUCGCUGCAUGUGAUUGUCCUUGUUCAUCCACUCAUGCAACAAGUAGGCUUCCCUUCCUUUUUCCUUUCGCUCAUGCUUUCCGCGGCCAAGCAGCGGCGACUUAUGCAGGCAACUAUGACAUGCUGCGAAUCCACCGUCCCUGACACCCGAGUCUACCUGGCCUGCGGGGAAGCUAGUUGGGGCGACGCGUUGUACAUGCCCUAAACACAAAGCAACAAAGCUGCAACGUAAUGACAACCAAAUCAAUGGCGGCACAGAAAUUUUGAAGAUGGAUAUCCAGAACAAGAAAACCUAUGAAACUACAAGCACGAAAGAGAUUGAAUCUGUAAUACAAUCUAUAAAUUUGCUAGGAAAAAGAGAGUGAAUCUAAAAUAAACGUAUAUAAUUUCAAAAUUUUAAUAAAAUUAUAAGCAAAUGAAUAUUAUGUAGAAUUGUGUGUAUUAAUGUCAAAAAUAUAUAAUAAAAGUGAAAGAGAGAAAAUAAAGAAACAAUACCAAGAGAAAAGUACAAGAAAAAAAGUUACAAAAUAAGCUGAAAUAAAAUGCUAUGAGGAGAUACUGAAUUAAACCAAGACCUCUUACUUCGAUGCAUAAGAAACAACUUACUAAGCUACUGUAAUCCCCCUAUUUUGAAAUUGUCUUCUUAAUUAUAUCUUGCCUACGAGACAAGGUGAUAUUAACAUAUUAACGUUUGCUUACCAAUAUAUUUUGAUAUUUAGCUGAAUACCUAUGAAUUAUGAUUGGAUUGCUCCCGAGUCAAAUGGAAACAAGUAGUAUCAGCGAUCUCACACACCGCGGAGCCUCAACAAAAUAUGGGUAGGUGCAUGCCCAAAUGAUAAGGCACCCAUUCUUUUGUGAAAAAUAUCUUCACGUACUUUAUUGUUGUCUCCAAGCUGUUGACACAACAAAUUUAUAUAGUGAAACAACUUCAUGACAAAUUUAAUGGCUUCUACUUCAUUUCCGUGGAAACAAAAAGAAGAAGAUAAAAAUCUACUUUACCACAGUUUGAUUACAUAGUUUUUAGGACCUCAAGUUGUUUUUUUAGAAAAACCCCAAUAUAUUACUUAAUGAUUUUUUUUGGACACAAUACAAACGCUUCAUACAUGCGCACAUACACUCUCCCUUAUGAACACAUGCACGCACGGACACCUUACCCCUAUAAGGACCUCCGAGAUACUGAGCCGACACAUUAUCUUGAGAUUGACAAAGUCUCGACAGAUGCCUACGUAGUUGACGGGAACAUCUCCUCUCACUUAAUGCACAUUGCCAAAACUUGUCAGUCCCAUGAGCCACUUUGGUAGCCUCUCUCUUGACUUUUGUUGGUUUGAAAUUCAGUAGUAGUUGAGAGAUUCCGAACACCUCUAUCUUCAAACCAACCAAAGUGGAUCCGCUCAAAGAUCCUAUGAGCAAACAUCUAAUCAAUCUUCGGGGUAAUAGGAUGGUCCAAAUUGAGAACGAUGUAAAGUCCCACCAGGCAUAGACGCAAUUCAACCUCUUUUGCACGGGAGCAAACAUGCAUAAAAUCCUAGGUUGAAACUAAGAUCUUGCCCUCAGAGCCUCUUGCCAUAACUCCUGGGCUAGUCAGCUAGAAAUUUUGAGCAACAAAGCUAGCAUCCACAUCUAACUUAGUGCAAUAAUCAAUCGGAAGUGGCUCCCACAACAGACUUCUAGAAGUUGGUUUGUCACCAAGUUGCUACGGGACACCAGUUAUUUGUCUUUAACUUCAAGUACUGAAGAAGACAUAGUAAAACUCAAAGAAAAAAAAAGGACCAAUAGUUGUCCAAAAUAUUAACGGAUGCCAUGAUAGACGCAUUUCCUCUCCAAAAAAUCACAUCAUUCCUUAACGGCCAAGCCCUCCAGAAUAGAAAUAAAAUCUUGGAACGAGUGGAAGUAUCAACUCUGUCGAGUAAGACCAACAACCAACAGAUAUGUCUUAAAUGUAUUUAUAAUUUUUUUAUUGUUCGGUGCUAUAUUUAUAUCAUUGUGGUAUAGUUUUGACACAAAUUUCUCAGUGCCAUUUGUUAUUUUUGGAGUUUCCAUGAAAAUUAUUUUUUUGGGACCAAAAAAAUCCAGAAAAAAUCAGCGGAAAUAUGAAGUCUAGACGCUUCAAGGGAGCUCCAACAUAGGCCAGGGUGGCACACAGGGGACCCACGCACCAGGAGGGUGCGCGUGUGGUGGGCUCAUGUAGGCCUGCUUAACCUCCGAUCCACCACCUCUCGGUCCCUGUGCCAUUAUAUACCUUCAAUACCCUUCGUGAUUUGUAAACCCGAAUUUUUCUGCCACUGCACACGUCUAUUUUUCAUGAUCCAGAGGGGAAAUUCUUCACGGUGGCCAUCUCCAUUAACUUGAAGGCCGUCAUGAUUACCCGUGAGUAGUUUUGUUUGGACUAUGGGUCCAUAACAGUAGCUAGAUGGUUCCCUCUCUCUUGCUUCUCAAUACAUCUCAUGAGCUUCCCUACAUGAUUGCGAUCCAUCUGAUGUAAUCUGUUGGUGUGUUUGUCGGGAUAUGAUGAAUUGUCGUUCUAUGAUCAAAUUUAUUCAUGAAUAUUUUUUAGAUAUAUUUGGUUUCUUUGCUAAAUAAUUCUUAUUCCUAUAUACUCUCUGAUCUAUUCUUCCUUGUUUGGCCAUGUUUGGGGUUUGAUCUUGAAGAGGGAGUUGUGUAUGAUAGUUGGGUUCAACUGUGCAAGUAAGCUACCAAUGUGAUAGAAAGUGGAAAAGUCUUGUAUCGUGUUGUUGCCACUAGGGAUAAAAAUAUGCUUGUGUAGUUGCCCUUUGAACACAUAGUGAAGACAAAAUAUCAUCUACUUCAUGUCAUCAUACUCAAUGCAAUAAUCUGGUUUUACUAAUACUUUAAGAUGCAUGCUGGAUAGCAGUAUUGCCUGGAUUAUUAGUUAUAGAUGCAGUUGGAUAAAAGUCUAUAGAGUUACGAACAUGAUGAUCAUAUCUUAAUUAUGCAAUGAAUAUUCAUACUCAUAAAAAUUUCAAUUUAAUUUAAAAUGGAGCCCCGUUGGCGACCCCGUUGGCAUCGGGGUUCACACAUAGUACAUUUCAUUGUUGCAUCUUCGCAUGGCUAGGUGAAUCGAGAGAGGUGGAAGGAAGAUGAAUCAUGGAACCACAUGCAAUAAUUAACAUAGCUGUGAAUCUGAUGAUUGAAUGGGAGCAGACACAUCCAACUCUCGUGAGAGUACCAACUCCAGCUCAAUGUGAGCGGUGGCUCCCGACCGAGAACAGCUAGAUCAAAGCUAAUGAGGAUGGUGCACUAUCAAGUUUUGGGAAGAAGGGGGAGUUGUGUGCUGCUGAGAGAUCACCGUGGAGCGUUUUGGGCAUGCGUGUGUCAUUUUUUCUGUCAGCAUAUGUGGAACCCCGAGCGGACAAAAGGUUUUGUCGUGUGAUAUGGAGAAUCUCUUAAUUUAGUGAGCUUUUGAGCACCAACGUGUUGUCACGCGAUGACACAUAUACCUCUGUGUUAUCGCUUCUAUCCUAUCACAACCAAGUUGCUUGCAUGCAUUUAUUGUGUGCUAGCCAUCUUUUGACGUCAACUGAUGGGCAAAUGCUUCCAAAAUUUUAUCUAGGCAUUAGUACACAAUUUAUGUAUUCAAAUAUUACAGGUCCAGGUCGGAUGUAUGACAAUCGUGAACAGUGAUUUAUUUUCAUAUUUCAAAUGGAAUUUUUUUGUUAGGUGUGACUAAUGAGAACCUUCUCUAUUCACAUAAAUAAUGGUAUUUUUCAAACAUAUAUAAUCCCAUAAAAGCAAAGUGAAUCUAGAAUUGACUUGAAUGCACUAAAUGAAUGUGGAUAUGAUGAGGCGUGUUUCUAUCAAAGUAUUUGUUAUUUAAUUGAAGACAAACUCUAAUGAUUAAUGAGGUGCAUGAUGUACACCCUAUAUGUUGUAUGGAGAAUCUUACGAGAACCGAUAUGCGAGAACAAGUCAUCGCUUCCAAUAUAUCACUUCAUCAACUGCAGUGGUCAGGCUUUGAGUCUGGCUUAACUUCACACCUUGUAACACAAGCAAGAACCCUUUCUUUGACUCAUCCAUUUUGAACUUCUUCAAAACUUUGUCAAGGUAUGUGCUUUGUGAAAGUCCUAUUAAGUGUCUUGAUCUAUCUCUAUAGAUCUUGAUGCCCAAUAUAUAAGCAGCUUCACCAAGGUAUUUCAUCGAAAAACUUUUAUUCAAGUAUCCUUUAUGCUAUCCAGAAAUUCUAUAUCAUUUCCAAUCAACAAUAUGUCAUCUACAUAUAAUAUCAUAAAUGCUACAGAGCUCCCACUCACUUUCUUGUAAAUAUAGGCUUCACCGAAAAUCUGUAUAAAACCAAUGCUUUGAUCACUUCAUCAAAGCGUAAAUUCCAACUCCGAGAUGCUUGCACAAGUCCAUAGAUGGAUCGUUGGAGCUUGCACACUUUGUUAGCACCUUUAGGAUCGACAAAACCUUCUGGUUGCAUCAUAUACAACUCUUCUUUAAGAAAUCCAUUAAGGAAUGCAAUUUUGACGUCCACUUGCCAAAUUUCAUAAUCAUAAAAUGCGGCAAUUGCUAACAUGAUUUGGACUGACUUAAGCAUCGCUACGGGUGAGAAGGUUUCAUCAUAGUAAACACCUUGAAGUUGCCGAAAACCUUUCACGACAAGUCGAGCUUUGUGGAUGGUGACAUUACCAUCAGCGUCCGUCUUCUUCUUGAAUAUCCAUUUAUUCUCAAUGGCUUGCCAAUCAUCGGGCAAGUCCACCAAAGUCCAUACUAUGUUCUAAUAUGUGGAUCCUAUCUCAAAUUUCAUGGCCUCAAGCCAUUUAUCGGAAUCUGGGCUCAUGAUGGCUUCUUCAUAGUUCGUAGGUUCACCAUGGUCUAGUAACAUGACUUUCAGAAUAGGAUUACCAUAUCACUCUGGUGCGGAAUGUGCUCUGUUCGACCUACGAGGCCCAGUAGUAACUUGAUCUGAAGUUUCAUGAUCAUCAUCGUUAGCCUCCUCUCUAGUUGGUGUAGGCAUCACAGGAGCGGAUUUAUCUGAUGUGCUACUCUCCAAAUUGAGAGAAGGUAUAAUUGCCUCAUCAAGUUCUACUUUCCUCCCACUCACUUCUUUCGAGAGAAACUCCUUCUCUAAAAUUGUUCCAUUCUUGGCAACAAAGGUCUUGCCUUGGGAUCUGUGGUAGAAUGUGUACCCAAUUGUUUCCUUAGGGUAUCCUAUGAAGACGCACUUCUCCGAUUUGGGUUCGAGCUUAUCAGGCUGAAGCCUUUUGACAUAAGUUUUACAACCCCAAACUUUAAGAAACGAUAGCUUAGGUUUCUUGCCAAACCACAGUUCAUACAGUGUCGUCUCAGCGGAUUUAGACGGUGCCCUAUUUAACGUGAAUGCAGCUGUCUCUAAUGCAUAACCCCAAAAUGGUAGUGGUAAAUUGGUAAGAGACAUCAUAGAUCACACCUUAUCUAAUAAAGUAUGGUUACGAUGUUCGUACACACCAUUACACUGUGGUGUUCCAGGUGGCGUAAGUUGUGAAACUAUUCCACAUUGUUUUAAAUUAAGGCCAAAAUCGUAACUCAAAUAUUCGCCUCAGCGAUCUGAUCGUAGAAACUUUAUUUUCUUAUUUCGAUGGUUCUUCACUUCAUUCUGAAAUUCUUUGAACUUUUCAAAUGUUUCAGACUUGUGUUUCAUUAACUAGAUGUACCCAUAUCUUCUCAAAUCAUCUAUGAUGGUCAGAAAAUAACGAUACUGACGUGUGCCUCAACACUCAUUGGACUGCAUACAUCGGUAUGUAUUAUUUACAAUAAGUCAUUAGCUCGCUCCAUUGUUCUGGAGAACGGAGUUUUAGUCAUCUUGCCCAUGAGGCAUGGUUGGCAAGUAUCAAAUGAUUCAUAAUCAAGUGAUUGCAAAAGCCCAUUUGCAUGGAGUUUCUUCAUGCGCUUUACACCAAUAUGACCUAAACGGCAAUGCCACAAAUAUGUUGCACUAUCAUUAUCAAAUUUGCAUCUUUUGGCAUCAAUAUUAUGAAUAUGUGUAUCACCAGAAUCAAGAUUCAACAAAAAUAGACCACUCUUCAAGGGUGCAUGACCAUAAAAGAUAUUACUCAUAUAAAUAGAACAACCAUUAUUCUCUGAUUUAAAUGAAUAACCGUCUCGCACUAAACAAGAUCCAGAUAUAAUGUUCAUACUCAACGCUGGCACCAAAUAACAAUUAUUCAGGUCUAAAACUAAUCCCGAAGGUAGAUGUAGAGGUAGCAUGCCGACGGCGAUCACAUCGACCUUGGAACCAUUCCCGACGCGCAUCGUCACCUCGUCCUUAGCCAAUCAUGAUUUAAUUCGUAGCUCCUAUUUCGAGUUACAAAUAUGAGCAACCGAACAAGUAUCAAAUACCCAGGCACUACUACGAGCAUUAGUAAGGUACACAUCAGUAACAUGUAUAUCAAAUAUACCUUUGUUCAUUUUGCCAUCCUUCUUAUCCGUGAAAUACUUGGGGCAGUUCCGAUUUCAGUGACCAGUCCCUUUCCGGUAGAAGCACUCAGUUUCAGGCUUGGGUCCAGCUUUGGGCUUCUUCUCAGGAGUGGCAAAUUGCUUGCCAUUCUUCUUGAAAUUCCCCAUCUUUCCCUUGCCCUUUUUUUAUUGAAACUGGUGGUCUUGUUAACCAUCAACUCUUGAUGCUCCUUCUUCAUUUCUACCUCCACAGCCUUGAGCAUUGCAAGAGCUCAGGAAUUGUCUUCUCCAUCCCUUGCAUAUUAUGGUUCAUUGUAACACUCCAAAAUUUUUGCCUUGGUUUUACCAAAUUCUCUAUUUGUUUUGAAAGGGGUUAUUUAAAUUUUUUCUAAAGGACUCUCCCUUUCAAAAACUUUUCUUUUAUGACAAGUAUUUUUGUUUGGAUUCAUCCCAAAUCUUGAUCUUUGGCUUUGAGGGUUUUUCAUCUUAUGUUGGCUCAACACAAAUAACAUUGGAAGGAUGUUGCAAUACUUUUCAUUUAAAAAGAAUUCCAUUAAAACUCUUGGAUUUAUUCUUCCUCUUUCAAAAAAAUAUCCUCUUGCCAUGGCCUAUGAAGAAAAUUUUCUUCCAACACUAUCUACUCACUUUGAGUCAAGCCAAGCAUCCUAUUCCAGCAAGUCUCAACCUCUUUAAAAUUUUAUUUCUAUUUAUUUUGCCCUCAAAAUCAAUUUCUGUCAUUUACUUUGACCUUGGUGGUUUACAAAGGAACUACCAAUUUUCCUUUGAAUCUUGAUCCGAAAUAAAUUUCUCUGGAUAGUCCUUAGCACCCUCAACCAAGAUCCAUCAAGAUCCACUGGUCCACAGUUCAAAAUUUUCAAAAUUUUCCCACUGCAAGUUUGGACCAGAUUUGCCAUUUUUGGUGAAAUUCAUACUUUUGCUUCUCCUAAAAAUCUGAGAUAAUUCAUGCAGUCUCCAGAUACAUCAAGAGACCACCUCACCAAAGAUCAGCUCCAGAAAAAUUUCCCACAUGCCAAAAUCAUUUCAUCAAACAGUUGGCAUGCACUGUUGCUGUUCAAAUUCACUAAAGUUUCAGAGUUUAGUGUCUAGUUUCUGUCGAUAGUGUCGUUUCUUCAGAGCGCGGCGUCAAUCUCGCUAGUGCCCGCGUUGGCACCUUGCGCACUGCUUCUCCUUCUUAUCCAGUGCGCCGCUCGAUCACUUGGACGGGUGCGAGCGUCGGCGGCGAGCUGGCAGGAGUGUAUCGCCCCCGUGAGCGGCGACAGCAGCGCCCGCUGCGGCCGUUAGAAGGGCUUGGUAUGGAACGGCACCGUCCAGCACCUCCCAAGCCACCCGAGGCAUCCGCGUGGCCGUCCCCUUCCCCGUGCACGCUGCAGCACGGUCGCCGUGGCCUGAGAGGCGCAGAGCGCGCUCUCUGCCGCCGGCGUGCCCGUGAGCCGUUUCGUCGAGAACGUGGAGUGACGCCCAAGAUUUUCCAAGUUCAACCUCUGGAUGGAACCAGUAGACCAUCACGUUGAUGCCCAAUCGCCUAAAACCGCCAUUCGGCCACUGCCUCGCCGUAAUCACCACCGGAGUUAUCCCGUUCACGGCAACCACCUCGGAUCGGCUAUAAAAGGAGCCCUCGAGCUCACCUUCUACGCUGCACCACACCUCCACCUCACCAGUGCCCCGCCUAGAUACUAGGAAGACCUCGGGGAGGCCUUCUUCCCCGACUCCGGCCGCCCCGAUCCGCUUCGGGCUCCGGCAAGAUUAGCUCGAGUACGUGCACCCCCGCCUCCCAAGUUGUACCAGUGGCAUCCUAGUGCACCCACUCCACUAACCCACGCCCCAAUUUGAAGCUUGCAGCCUUCCCCGGCGAGAUCCACCGACGCCCGAGCCGCCGUCCGCCGGAGUGAAGGCCGUCGUCGACGUGGGGCUCGCCGACGACCAACUCCACCACCCACAGACGCAGGGGAGCACCGUGAGUCCGUAGGUACCAGCCCCUCCCCCUACCUCGCCGGUGACCACCACAAGCUUCUGGCGUCGGCGUGCUCUGCUUUUCCUUUUCAAACAUUUAAACCUGACGGGUGGGACCCCCUCGUCAGCCUCUCUUUUCUAAUCAAACCGUUUCUCUGGAAAGCGCCUUCGGGCAGAGUACGUUUUCCCUGUUGGGUGACGUAUUUCUCAACGAAAAGUUUUCAGUUUUAUAAACUAAACCCUGGAUACUUUCUAUUUCAUUACAGAUAAGUCCCUGGGCAAAAACCUUUAUAACUUUUUAACAGAAGAUUCUUUUGAAUUGAUUCUUUUUCUGUCAUCUUUAUUUUUCCAUCUAGUUUUUUAUCAUAUUUAUUUGAACAAAAUUGGGACAAUUUUUAUACACACACUAUAUUUACGUUAGUGUGCGAUUUCUUUAUACCGUACAUACCGGAGGAGGUGACGGAACCACGAACUUCGCUGAGCUAGACUCCGACUACUCCGAACCAGGCAAGCAUGUUUGAACCUUUGAUAUGAUGAGUGUUUUGCAUGUUUGCUUGAGUAGUUUUCUCAUGGCAUGUUUAUAUAAGCAUAUGGUGAAUGUUAUAUUGCAUGCAAGGCAAGCUACAGGUGAGCUUCUAAGUUGAUAUGUUCAUAUGAUGAUAAGAUAACCUGAUCAUGUGGUGGCAUGAUAAGUUGUAAGCUGGUAUUGUUGAAGCAUGCCAGUCUUACGUCAACCGCGUAACUCCAGUGUUAACGUGGAACAAGUGUUGUUCCCGUUCGUCCCCGUCCGUGCCACCACAUGCUUUCUGGUUGUACACACCAAAUAGAGGGGCCGUGAUGAGGGUUCCAUGGCCCUAGAUUAAAGCCCGUCAUCCGGUCAGGGGGCAUGGGUGUUUCCGGUUGGGACCGAGAGGGGGUCACCCCUUAGAGCGUGCAAAUAUAAAUUUGAUCCCAUGCUAUUCGAGGUUCUAGCCUCCCCGUCUCAAAGUUUUUCUUGAACGUUGCCUAGGGUGACCCCUGGCAGCAGAAUGUGGAAUAGGUGUGUACUGGUCAGAUGUGUUUCUUCUAAAAUACCGUAAACGGAACUAGUCCUUCGUGACUACUGAAAUCUAUUGGCUGUGGAAUAGCAGUGCAAACUCUGUAGAGUCAUAACCAUUCGAGUAACCGUGUCCAUGGUCAAGGACUUUGAUCAACAUAUGAGUGUAAGUCUCCGUGUCUGUCUCAGUAUCCGUCUCAGUGACAGUCUCCGGAGAAUAAGUAUGGAACUGAGAGUGGUAAACUCGGCUGAACGUUAUUCCUGUGAACGGACUAACCAGUUUAUUAUUAUACGCUGAGUAUUUCCUUGUGAUGGUUUAAAUUCAUGAACUACUUGAAUUCGAAUGAUGAACUAUAAGCCCUUUGUGUGAUGUCGCUCAGAUGUCCGACUGUGGCAUUCUUGUUAUUUACUUUCGAUAUAAGCCCUUUACGUGAUGUCACUCAGACGUCCGACUGUGGCACUCUUGCUAUUUACUUUCGAUAUAGGCCCUUUAUGUGAUGUCGCUCAGACGUCCGACUGUGGCACUCUUGCUAUUUACUUUCAAUAUAAGCCCUUUAUGUGAUGUCGCUCAGGUGUCCGACUAUGGCACUCUUGCUAUUUACUUUCGAUAUAAGCCCCUUAGGUGAUGUCGCUCAGACGUCCGACUCUGGCAUCCUUGUUAUUUACUUUCAUUAUAAGCCCUUUUCGAGAUGUCGCUUAGACGUUCGACUUUGGCCCGCACUGUUAUUUACUUUUUCAUAUAAGCCCUUUUCUGUGGUGUCGCCCCGACGCCUGACUGUGGCAUGUUAAUUUAUUUUUGUAUUACCUUUUGAGGCAUCGCUCCAGACACCCGAUCGGUCUUCAGUUAUUAAGUUGGGAUUUCGGGAGGACUACCGCCUGACUUCCUUUUAUUUAUCAUGCAGUGCAAAUUUAUUAUCAGAAUAUGCAUUACCAAUCUGCUCAUGGGCAUCAUGUUUGCAUUUGUUAUAUCUUAUGUCCAAACUGUCUUGUGAGUACAUUCAAAGUACUCACUUGGCUUGUUGAUUUGGCCAGAUGUUGAUGAAGGCGAUCUUAUGGAUGAAGAGUUCGAUAGCGAGUCCGACGCCUAGAGGAGUCCCAGUCAGUCCCAUGCGAUCCUGGAGUUGAUCACUUGUAUUAUAUACGCUUCCGCUACCCAAAUAAAAUCAUCGAGCCUCACUCCGACUUUUGAUGAGCUAUAAGAUUUAGGAGUCAUGUCACCCAAUCACUGUGACAUACCCACCACCACUUUUAUUACGAGUCAGUAGUUAUGCCACCAUACCGUUGUGUCAUAUCCGCCUUUAUGUGUAAUAUCGGUGCACUUGUAAUAAAUUGUUGAGCAGCCUCAGCUCAAUCUUGUAUAAUAUUUAGUACUUCUGGAUUUCUGUAUCAAGGAUUUGUCUACCGGUAAGAAGGAUUCUUCUGUACUAGUCAAUGCAGGGAUCGGCUUUUCAAUAAAUGUUUUGUUGGAAAACUGGUCGUGACAAACUUGGUAUCAGAGCCAGGCUGACUGUAGGAGGCCACUAGGUGCGUUCGCUAAUCGGUUAUUAGCGUAUUAAGUGCUAUUUUAGCGUUUUGCAAAUGUAGCAAUUUUUUUGUUAGUCAUCAUAAAUUUAUGAUCUGACUAUUCGGAAUUUUUGCCUACCUUUGUAGAUGGCUGGCAACGACUGUGAGUCACAGGUGUUCGCCAAUGUUCCUGAGGGGUUCAUCAAGCUUCUCGUCUCCAUCACCAAGGUCACGAUCGGGCAAUCGGCUCGUCCGGAGUUCACACUCUACCAGCACAAGAUCAACGACAGCGUGUCUAUGUACCAGGCCGCGGUGCAAUUCAAGGGAGGACGUUCUGAGUCACGCCGCCUCCGAUUUUUGGGAAGGGCCUUUCCUACGGAGAGGUAUGUCAUGCAGAUGGCUGCCCGUGAGGCGAUAGCUCGUCUCCGGGAUGUGCUCCCUUCGAUGAAGACUCGUCGCUACCGCUACCUCCCAUGCCACGUGCCGUACACUUGUCACUAUGCAUUCGCUUGCGCUAGGGGAGAGAGAGAUGAGGCUAUUGAGAUGCUUGUUGAGUAUAUCAAGGCUCUUGAGGCAGCUUUUGAUAACCUCAUGGACGACCUUGUGGCUGCUCGUAUGGACUUCGUUCAAGGCUGUUCCGCCAACAGGAGGGAGCUCCUCCAUACAGCACCACCGCUGAAUUAUGUCUCGUCCUCAGCAUCCUAUACACCUGCCAUCUUAGCCACCGCUCGCCGCCUGCCUACUACUGAGGAGUUUGACCAGGUCAUUGCUCCUACUCCAGUCAGAGCUGCACCACCUACCGCGCCUGCACUAGUCCCUCAAACCAGUAUUUCACGCCUGGAGCCUAUUAGUGAGGAGGAGGUUGAGUCUCCAGCACCACUGGGUCUUACCCUCGGCGGGCCGAAGGAAGUUUUCACCAUCUACGACUGAGUACGCAUAGCAGCCAUGCGAUGUGUCAGCUUGUAUGAUAUGUUUAUAUGUACAUAGCUUUGGUGAGAAGUAGUUUGUGUGCGCAUCAUGUAGGAACUUGGAGAAGUGCACUAGCCUAAAUAACAUGUCAGGAAUGUGUAUGCACAUCCUGAGUGAUGUACUGUAUAAUUACGGCUUGCGUGUAAGAUAUGUACUGAGCGGUCCUUCUCCAUGCGCAAUCAAGUAUUUUCUUGAAAAAUGUUGGAAUGCUUAAAAUUUCCGCCUUUACAAAAUUAUUUAUUUUUGCCACUCAGUUUUUAUCAUGAGUUUUUGCAAAAAAUACCCCAGAGUGGAAUAUGCCUCAUCCCUGGACUCGUUCCAUGCCAAGUCCGCCGGAACAAAAUUAUGGUACCAAGACAAGUAACAAUUUCACACAGGGGCAGUCAAGUCAGCAAGGCAGUGAAACAGCAUUUUCUCAAGUAUGCCGCCUUUAUGAGCAAAGCCAGCAGCAGCAUCAAGAAAUGAUGAACCAUGUUAUCAAUAUGGGAAAUCACCGUGAACCAUAUCAGCAACAUUCCAAAUUAUCUGAGCUACAAAAGACACGUCCCCCAAUGUUCUCUCACACUAAUAUACCUCUUGAGGCCGAUGAUUGGCUUCGAGACAUUGAAAGGAAGUUAAUUAUCGCACAAUGUUCAGACCGUGAGAUGGUACUUUAUGCACCUCACUACCUCACAGGAGCAGCCGCAUCAUGGUGGGAGAAUUUCCUACACAUGCACCCCAAUGAAAAUAAUAUCACUUGGGAAGAAUUUAAAGAAGGUUUUCGUGGGGCGAACAUCCCCAGAAGCAUUAUGAAGAUCAAGAAAAGAUAAUUUGAUGACCUCAAACAGAGGAGCAUGACAAUAACUGAGUAUAAUAGUCAGUUUACUAUAUUAUCUCGUUAUGCCAACAAGGAGCAUAUGACUGAAUCAAAAAGAUGGAAAAAUUUCUGGACGGUCUGGCACCAGCACUUAAAUGCCAGCUGGUCGUACACACCUUUUCGGAUUUCAAAACUCUUGUGGAUAAGGCCAUUACAUCGGAAAAUGAGCGCCGCAGCUUGGAGGAUUUUCGCAAGCGGAAAAGGGACAAGACUACUCAUGCUCGCAACAACCGGAACAAUACUGACCUUCAGAAGAUUGGAGCGAACAAACCCACAACCAAUGUUCCACGCCCAAACAAAAAAUUUCAUGCAAGGGACAAGGAUUUUACAUAUCGCCCAGGUGUUACUUGCUACGCUUGUGGAGAAGGACAUUAUGCCAAACAGUGCCCAAAGCCAUGAAACUCGACCCCAAAACCGAACAACAAUGGAAACAAUUCAACACCCAAGCGCAACAACUUCAACCCCAAUAACAAUCACAAGAAGGGUCACUUGAACCAUGCGACCAAGGAGGAAGCACAAAAUGCCCCGGAUAUCAUACUCGGUACGUUCCCUAUCAACACAAUACCUGCCACGGUUUUGUUUGAUUCUGGUGCUUCUCGCUCGUUCAUUUCAAAGAGUUUUGCUUUGCAACAUGAUUUUUUGAUGCUUCCUUUGGAAAAAUCCAUGAUCAUCAAGUCCCCCGGGAAUAAGCAAAUCACUCAGAGUUACUGCCAAGGUGUGGUUACUAAGUUUGAAGGACUAAAGUUUUAGGCAAACCUCAUUGUGUUGGAAAAUAAGGACUGGAUGUUAUCCUAGGAAUGGAUUGGUUAACCACCAACAAAGGAUUUAUCGAUUGCUUCAACCGGACUAUAAUUCUCUGUCACACCCUAGCUAGUUCAUGCAUUAGAGUGUUGCAUCAUGUCUAUUUUUCAUCAGAAACCUGAAAUGGGGAUGACAGAACCCCCAGCCCCCUCUGAAACCAACUAGGGUUUACUAAAAACUUUUUCAAUGAACCUGAAAUGCCCUUCUAAAAUGCACAUCAUUUUUGUCCUGGUUCAAAACCUCUGCCAAAAGUGAUGCACAUUUUCCUAGGUCAUCUUAGGGUCUUUGAAUUAAAUCAUAAAUAUUUGAAUUUGGGCAUUUAAAAUUAUAUAAAAUAUUCAAAUGCUCAAAUAUCUCCAAACUAAAAUGUUUCAUGUUGGAAAUAAUCCAACUAUGGACCAGGAGUAGUUUGGUGAUUUUAGGAGUUGCCUAAGUAUUUUUAAUAAUUCAACAAAGUUGCAGAAGUAUUAAAAAACAGAAAAUAGGGAGUAACAGGGAAACUUACCUGGCGCCCAGCACCCGGCCCACUUGCCGGCCCAGCCCAGCACCGCUCCAGCGAGCUGCUUGCCGGCCAGGCAGGCAGGCAGGUGCCCGACGGCGGCCGCAGCGUGCGCCACGCAGCUGGCCGUCGCCCUGCUUCAACUCCUCGCCUCGUGGCUGGAUGGAUGAACCCCACGCCGCGCCGUGAACCUCCAGGACACCUCCAUUCUCCCCCAACCCCUCUCUCUCGCGCUCCCCCGCCAUGGCCGACGCCAUCGCCGCCACCCCCUCGCCGUAGCCACGCCCUCCGUCAACCCCACGCCGUGCCGCCGUGUCCAGGAGCUCCGCCAUCCUCCUAUCCUUCGAGCAAGCCGAGCCCCGAGCGCUCGCAAGGCCCGAGCCCACCGCAUCGACCUCGACGAAACCGCUGUCGCCGGAGAUCCCCUUCAACGCCGACGUCGCUACGGCCCGUCCCCGGCCGCACCAAGUGCUUCGUCGAACUCCUCGUGAGCUUAGCCAUCUUCCCCUCCCUUCUUUUCUUGCUCCCGAGCUGUGUAGUGACCUCCCGGAGCUCAACUGCACCCACCGCCGCGGAGCUCGUCGCCGACGUGCUCCCGGUCACCCUCCGGCCACAAACUGGUGUCCAUCAUGCUCACCACGUCACGUAGCACCUAACCAGCUACUCCCCACACCUCACCGACCCCUCUAGCGUCAAGUUUGCCUUCGGCCGAACUCCGGUGGCCGCCAAAGUCGUCGCUGGUGCCAACUCCGGCCACCCCGACCCCAACGGACUCCACCAAGAGCUGCGGCUCCACCCUAGCUCCACUCCGAUGGCCUCCGUGACUCGUUUGGUUGUCGGAACGACCAAAACCACUUCCGCCGCCGCGUCGGGCUCGCCGGCGGCUAAACGCCGGUGCAGCCGACCUGGGUUUGACCGUGGGUGGGCCCUGGUUGACUCCGAUGAGUCAAUGACAGGUGGGGCCCAGCCCUGUUAAUUAAAUAGGUUUAGUUUUAAUUAAACUUUAACUAAACUAAUCACACUGACACGCGGGACCCACUGUCAGGUUUGACCGGACCGUGUCCCGUUGAACCGCUGAUGUCACACUGACGUCAGGCUGACGCAGUAAUUGAUUUCUGGAUUUAUUCUAAUAUAGGAAAUUCCAGAAUAUAGUUUAAACUUCAAAAAUUCAUAACUUUUAAUCUGUAACUCCAAAUCAGACAAGUUAUAUAUGAAAAAUGAUCAGAAAAAUCCAAUCUAUCCAUCUGUACUAUUUUCAUGCAUGAUUAAACAAGUUAACUUGAUGAUUAUUGCAGAACAAGAUAAAACACUUUAAAGGGCCAUGUAUGAGCUUGAAAUUUGAAUCUUUGGUUCAAAUUGGUUCAAACCCUUCUGGUUUUAGUUGCAUUAGCCCAACACACUCAUAUUGCCAUGUUUCAUGCAUGCAUCAUAUUGUCGCACAUUGUUUGGUGAUUGUUGUGUAUCGGUGUUCUUUGCAGCAGGUUCUGCCUCCGAGGAGUACCGUGAUUACCCUAGCGAAGAGCCAUAUCAGUGCAUCGAACCAUCAGGCAAGCAACCAACUAUUUGAUCAUAUCAAUACAAUCCCAUGUUCUCGCUCCUGCUCUCUUUUACUGCAUUAAGACAAUGUGUUUCAAACUGCUGUGUGCUACGGUAGUUGAACCCACUUCCUCUGCAUGAACUGUCAUUGCCACAGUAACUAGAUGAAACCCACUAGCAUGUGUAGGAGUUGAUUGAGCCAUAUGUAUGUGUUGUUCCUACCUUGCUAUGCCUGCUAUGCUUAGAGUCGUGUCAGGUCUGGUUCAUCUGGGUGAUGGGCUAGAGUGAAAUGAUUAUGUCGGUAAUGAGAGUGGUGUGGUGAACACGAUUUGGUAAAGGUAUCGAUGAGAGGCCAUGUAGGAGUACAUGGUGGGUUGUUUCAUUGAAGCCGACCUUAAGCACUGAGAUCUGUAUGUGUGAUUUAAGAUACAGCUACUACCAUGCAUUGGGCCCUGAAAUAUGACCCCGCUCGACUUCUUAUCCACCCUAGUUCUCUGUCCAGGAGUUGCAAGUAGUUUCUGGUGUUUGUAGCCUACUGGAGGCCGUGGACAGCGCUGACCGUAGGGCUGGGCUGUGAUGCGGUAGGUACGUGGCACGGUGUACCGAAUACCCGUUAGGUAUCUCGGGAACCCUGUUCACAUCGUUUGGGGCUGUGAGCGAAACCUCGGCCGGAUCUCCUCAUGGAUGGAACCCGAAUAGGCGAUAAACCUGGACUAGAGACUUAGGUGUUUAGGUAGGUCGUGGUCUACACCCACGUCGGCUUUCGCUUGAAGUCUGCCGAGCACAUGUCAUGUGCAGACGCUAAGUGGUGGAAACAUGUAUGAAGAAGUACACCCCUGCAGGGUUAUCAUAAUCUAUUCGAAUAGCCGCGUCCGCGGUAAAGGACUACUUGGUUGCCUAUACAGUUCAUAGACAAGUAAAUGGAAACUACUAAAAGCCUCAAGAUAAGUGUGAGUGCCGAGGAUGGCUCUUCCGCAGGAAGACGGAGGUGAAUCCUCGGUGGUGUAUUGAAGUGGUGAGUAGUGGACUCGUGUGCGCAAAACCAUUUCAAGUUGGAGUCUCGUAGGAUAGCCUAGCCAAGAGUCAAAGCUGGCUUGCUGCAACAACUCCACCAACCCUUCUUGAUAAUGUGCAUGUAUGUAGGAUCUGAUGUAAGUCUUGCUGAGUACCUUUGUACUCAUGUUGCUAUAAUUUACAUUUUUACAGAAGACGCUGCAACCCCUUCUGAUGGGUUCUUCGUAGACGUUGACAUCAAUGAGUAGGCUAAGGCCCAGGUGGUGAUCCUGAGCUUGUGAAGGACCACGUAGUAUAGCUAGGCUUUCCAAGCCUCUUUUAUUUUACUAGUUGUCUGUACUCAGACAAGUUACUUCCGCUGCUGGUUUGUAUGACUGUAUGACUUGAAUGCUGGGUCGUGUGACCCGUACCUAUGUGUAUGUCAUGUAUGGCUCUCUGAGCCUUAAAUAAAGUACUUGUGUCGUAGAGUCAUGUUGUGAUGCCUUGUUGUAUUUGCACAUAUCGAGCAUAUUGUGUGUAUGAUUGAAAUGCUUGGUAUGUGUGGGAUCUGACUAUCUAGUUGUUUAUCUUUAGUAGCCUCUCUUACCGGGAAAUGUCUCCUAGUGUUACCACUGAGCCAUGGUAGCUUGCUACUGCUCUGGAACACUUAGGCUGGCCGGCAUGUGUCCUUCUUCGUUCCUGUGUCUGUCCCUUCGGGGAAAUGUCACGCAUUGAGUACCAGAGUCCUGUUAGCCCGCUACAGCCCGGUUUACCGGAGUCCUGCUAGCCCAGUGCUACAGCCCGGACCCACUUGCUGAUGACCGACACGUUCGAAGCUGGGUCAUGGAUGCCUGUCCCUGUAAGUGUGUGCCACUUUGGGUUUACGACUAGUCAUGUCAGCCCGGGCUCCUUAUCAUAUGGAUGCUAGCGACACUAUCAUAUACGUGAGCCAAAAGGCGCAAACGGUCCCGGCAAAGGUAAGGCGACACCCAUGGGGAUACCGUGCGUGAGGCCGCAAAGUGAUAUGAGGUGUUACAGGCUAGAUCGAUGUCACAUCGAGUCGGGGUCCUGACAGCGUUGGCAUCAGAGCCGGACUGCCUGUAGGUUCUCCAAGCCAAACUGGUCGAUGUUGAGUCUAGAAAUUCUUUAGUUAUAUGUAGGGGAAUUGUUUGUGGGUUGGAACGUAAGGCUCUUUUUACUCCUUUAUCUUAUGACAUUCUGAUCUGAGUCAGUCUAUUCUUCCACCGGGGGUUAAGGAAUUAGGAUCUUUUCUCUCUAUCAGGUUCACGUGUUACUAAUCAGUAGUACCUUAUAGGUUUGAUGGAUACAAGCCUAGUUCAGUUCUACUACCACAUUAUGUUGCUGGGAUGGACUCAGAACUUUGAUAUGAUGUUGUUGAGUGUGUAUGAAAUACUUUGUCAAAUGUCUCAAAUCCUUUUUGAGCAUUUACAGCUGUUAUGCUGUCGAAAUUUUGCUAGAAAUUCUAAUGCCUUUGCAUUAUGGUUGUGCUUUCAGAUGGCCACUCGCGACCUCAAUCAAGUGGUUCGCCUGACUCGAUGCCUAGAUGUACCCGGCCAUACUGCCAUGUUGGUCAGGGUAAUGACUGAGGCUGGAUACCGUUGGUAUCCUGAGUACACGGUGGAAGAGCAAUUUCGAGACUUUAACCAAAGCCAGUAUCUUUGCACUGUCAGGAUAUUUCCAUCUUAUCCUGGAUCCACCGAGCCCCUUCACUGCUCCUAUGGACUCGGGGUUACUAUUGAGAUGGCUGUGCAGGAUGCCGCCUACUCUAUGAUGACCAUCAUGCGAGUCAGGACUGGCCUAUUUCGGGACUCUGAUUUCCGGUAUAUGCCAGCAUCACUUCGGAGAGCACAAGGGUAUCUCCAGGCUAUCUAUGCUGACCCCACUCAGGAGGAUUCACGGACUCGCACCACUGCUGAGAUGCUCGAGGAUAAGGACCGUGAAAAUCGGGCCUUGAGGCUAGAGCUUUUCAAUACCCGUGCUGACCAUUGGGCCACACUGACUCGGUUUGCACCGGCGGUGCAAGCUGGAUAUUCGGAUAUGCGCGAUCUCUAUCCUGUGAGAUCUGCUCUGCCAGACGUGAUGGGUUGGCGUGAUGUAGGAGGCAUCACCCCACCUCGCGGUCCCCGCAGGCCACCGUCUGUUGGUCCAAGACCUCAUCCUAGCCCCUAUGGUCCACAAGCUCCGGGAGAUCGUCUGUUCCCGGAUGAUCAUGUUGACCUUCCAGGCUAUGGAGGUGACUUCUACGAGGACUACUACGGAUCGGUCUGAGUUAGUGGUAGUAUCACUAGUUCGUACUAGCUGUGUCGUCUAUCGUCCUGCGUGACUCGUGGGAUAUGACCUAGUUUGUACCGCUUCCGGAGAUGUAGAAAAAUAAUGUAUAGGAGCUUGGGAUGCCUCCGAUGUGAUGUAAUCUUCCUUUCACCAUAAUAGUACCUUGUUUGGUCUUGUACUAAACUUUGUAUGGUGUGUAUGACGAUGGAAUAAAAGAAGCAGUUUCUGUAUCUACCAUGUCAUACGGAUGAUCAUCUUGCAUUCCGAGUUAUUCCUUACAUUCUGUAUCCUAUGCCGGAAUCUUAUCAUUCUGACUAAAUCAUUGUCUUUUUUACCUAGGAUGGUCAACACGCGCAAUAACCCUGCUCCUCAAGAGCAGGCCGAAGGCAGUGAAGUCAGGAAUGCAAAUCUGCCUCAUCCUCCUUCCCUAGCCGAGGUUAUGCUGGAAGCCGAGAGAAACAAGCGGGAGACCAACCGUUUGUUGGAGCGUAUUGAACAGAACACAGCACACCAUCAGAGAAAUUACUUGGUGUCACUCAGUGAUUUCAUCAAGUUACAUCCACCCACGUUCCACCACUCCGUCGAGCCUCUCGACGCUGAUGACUGGCUUCGCAAUAUUUCUCACAAACUGCGUUCCGCGCUAGUAGCUGAGGCUGACAAGGUCACCUUUGCUGCAUAUCAUCUUGAAGGCCCCGCCAGUCUAUGGUGGGAUAAUUAUGGAGCUAUGCGCCCAGCGGGCCAUGUCACUACUUGGGCUGAAUUCAGUGAGGCUUUCCGUGAACAUCACAUUCUGAGGGUCUCAUGGACCGUAAACGUGAGGAAUUUUGCAGUUUCACUCAAGGCCGACUCUCUGUGGAUGCUUACAGCAGGGAGUUCGGUAACCUCGCACGAUAUGCAACUGAGGAAGUUUCUACUGAUGCCAAGAAGCAAGCAAGGUUCCGUAAGGGACUUAGUCCUGAGCUUCGCCGCGACCUCCGUCUGCAUGAGUGCACAUCUUUUCAGAAGCUCGUUAACAAGGCCAUCAGUGCUGAGACUGGUCAGACUGAUUAUGAUGCAACACGCAAGCAUGGCCGUGACGUGGGUUCCUCAUCCGGUGCUGGCCCUCAGAAGCGCCACGUGUGGGUGCCUAACACUGCCCUGCCACCCAGGUUCACACCGAGGCCAUCCUUCCAGGCGCCUCGCCCUGUUCAACAGUUUGCACCAGCCAAGCCCUAUGGUGGUCCAACCAACAAUGCUCCUCCACGCGCCAGUUCCGUGACUUGCUUUAAGUGUGGGGAAUCAGGCCACUAUAUGCGCGAGUGUCCCCAAACCAACCCCAACCAAUCUGCUAAAGUUGUUAGCCGUGGCAAGCCGACAGGGAAAGUGUUCCACGCCAAGCCGGCCACCGCUGCACGUGGCCAUGUCAACUGUAUCUCUGCCGAAGAAGCUCAAGAGGAUCCCAACGUCGUUCUCAGUACUCUCCUUGUUAAUUGCCACCCGGCAUCUGUUCUUUUCGAUACAGGAGCAUCUCAUUCAUUUAUAUCCGAGAGCUAUGCUCGUCUGCAUAACACCACAUUCUGUGAGAUGCCCACCUCUAUGGUAAUUCAAACUCCGGGAUCCAAAUGGAAAACCUCUAGGGUAAGUCAUGGAAAUGAAAUCCAAGUCGACAGACUUGUUUUCCUUGCAUCUUUGAUAGCUCUUAAAUCUUCAGAUAUUAAUAUCAUCUUGGGUAUGGACUGGAUGUCAGCCCAUCAUGCCAAAAUUGAUUGCUUCUCUAGGACUGUUCAACUCACCCAUCCUUCGGGGAAGAUAGUCAAUGUCUUGACCCGAAUAGCCAAGCGACAGUUAUGUUCUCUGAACGCCAGCCCUUUGCCAGAUCUUGAGGACGUUCCGGUAGUCCGUGACUUUCCGGAUGUCUUCCCAGAGGAAUUGCCAGGUGUUCCACCUGACAGGGAUGUUGAGUUCGUAAUAGACCUCAUUCCAGGAACCGUCCCGAUUGCUAGAAGACCCUAUAAGAUGGCACCACUAGAACUAGCCGAGCUUAAGAAACAACUCGAUGAGUCCUUGAAAAAGGGUUUCAUCCGACCUAGUUCAUCUCCGUGGGCUUGCCCCGUCCUCUUCGUCAAGAAGAAGGAUGGUACGGACCGGAUGGUUGUAGAUUAUCGACCUGUCAAUUUGGUCACAAUCAAGAACAAAUAUCCGCUUCCCAUGAUCAACGACCUUUAUGAUCAGCUCGCUGGAUCCUCAGUCUUCUCCAAAAUGGAUUUGAGGUUGGGCUACCAUCAAAUCAAAAUCAGGAACAGGGACAUUCCUAAAACGGCCUUUGUUACUCGUUAUGGCCAAUACGAGUACACCGUCAUGUCCUUCGGUUUAACCAACGCUCCACCCACUUUUUCUCGGUUGAUGAACUCAAUCUUCAUGGAGUAUUUGGAUAAAUUCGUCGUGGUUUACCUCGAUGAUAUACUCAUCUACUCCAAGAACGAGGAAGAACAUGCCGAACAUCUAAGGCUAGUGUUGAAGAAACUUCGAGAGCAUCGCCUUUAUGCCAAAUUUUCUAAAUGUGAAUUUUGGUUGUCAGAAGUGACCUAUCUGGGUCAUGUAAUAUUUGGUAAAGGUAUUGCUGUUAACCCUGAGCGAGUUCAAGCCGUCCUUGAUUGGACUCCACCUGAAUCGGUCAAGAAAGUUCGGAGUUUUCUGGGCUUAGCAAGCUAUUGCCGUUGCUUUGUCGAAAAAUUCUCCAAAGUUGCUAAACCUCUAACCGAACUCCUCAAGAAAGAUAAAAAGUUCGAGUGGACUCCACAAUGUGAGCACAGCUUUCAGGAACUGAAAAGACGCCUGACCUCUGCUCCCGUACUGGUACCGCCAGACUUCUCUAAGGACUUUGUUAUCUACUGCGACGCCUCGCGACAAGGACUAGGUUGCAUUCUCAUGCAAGAUCGACACGUAAUUGCUUACGCUUCACGGCAAUUGCACCCACAUGAGGAGAAUUAUCCUACUCAUGAUCUAGAGCUUGCAGCUGUAGUCUAUGCACUUAAAACCUGGCGACAUUACCUCCUCGGUAAUCGUUGCGAAAUAUUCACUGAUCACCAAAGUCUGAAGUACAUCUUCACCCAACCGGAUUUGAAUCUCAGGCAAAGACGUUGGGUCGAGUUGAUCACAGAUUUCGACUUAGGAAUAACUUACACCCCAGGGAAAGCCAACGUCAUGGCUGAUGCGCUAAGUCGUAAAUCUUAUUGUAACAACCUGAUGUUACAACAAAGUCAACCGCUUCUCCAUGAGGAAUUUCGGAAGCUUAACCUUCACAUUGUUCCUCAAGGAUUUCUUUCCACCUUGGUGGCGAAACCUACUCUUACGGAUCAAAUUAUCGCCGCCCAAAAGCGAGAUAAGGGAAUAUCUAAAAUCAAGGAGAACAUUGCUAGCGGAGGUGCUAGUUGUUUCUCCACAAAUGAUCAUGGUGCUGUGUACUUUGAGAACCGUUUAGUGGUUCCCAAGAACCAGCAUCUACGACAGUUGAUCCUUAAGGAGGCUCAUGAAUCUCCUCUCACCAUUCAUCCCGGUAGUACCAAGAUGUAUCAGGACCUACGCCAGAGGUUCUGGUGGACUAGGAUGAAGAGAGAAAUUGCUCAGUAUAUUGCUAAUUGCGACGUCUGCCGUCGUGUAAAAGCAGAGCAUCAACGGCCUGCUGGCACCCUUCAACCCCUAGCUAUUCCUGAAUGGAAAUGGGAUAAAAUUGGUAUGGAUUUCAUUACCGGUUUUCCCAGGACCAAGAGAGGGAAUAAUGCUAUCUUCGUCGUGGUCGAUCGUCUUUCCAAGGUAGCCCAUUUCUUACCUGUUCGUGAGAGUACAACUGCUAGUUAGUUAGCAGACCUGUACAUCUCCUGAAUAGUGUCUCUCCAUGGUGUUCCUUUGGAAAUUAACUCGGAUCGAGGAAGUCUUUUCACCUCUCGAUUUUGGGAAAGUUUCCAAAAUGCUAUGGGAACCCGCCUUUCCUUUAGCACCGCUUUUCACCCUCAAUCGAGUGGUCAGGUAGAACGUGUCAACCAGAUCCUAGAAGACAUGCUUCGAGCCUCUGUUAUCUCAUUCGGAAUGGAGUGGGAGAAAUGCCUUCCAUUUGCCGAAUUUGCUUAUAACAACAACUAUCAAUCUAGCUUGGGUAAAGCCCCUUUUGAAGUUCUCUAUGGACGACGGUGUCGAACACCCCUUAAUUGGUCAGAAACCGGGGAAAGACAAUUCUUUGGAACGGAUAUGAUCCAGGAAGCAGAAGAGCAAGUUCGCAUCGUUCGUGAAAAGUUGAAAACAACCCAAUCUCGUCAAAAGAGUCAAUAUGACCGAAAACAUAAGGCUAUGACUUUCGAGGUUGACGAGAAGGCUUACCUUCGGGUUACUCCUCUAAAGGGAACCCAUCGUUUCGGUAUCAAAGGCAAAUUGGCUCCUCGUUACAUUGGACCUUUUCGCAUUCUCGCUAAACGAGGAGAAGUUGCCUACCAGUUGGAGCUACCUCCGCAUCUCUCCAGAGUCCACGAUGUCUUCCACGUUUCUCAACUCAGGCGUUGCUUCUCGGAUCCUAUCCGUGGAGUGGACCACGAAACGCUUGAUCUCCAAGAUAAUCUCACGUAUUGAGAGUACCCCAUUCGUAUCCUCGAUCAGGCUGAGCGUACCACUCGACGUCAUAAUAUCAAGUUUCUCAAAGUUCAAUGGUCGCACCAUUCUGAGGAUGAAGCAACUUGGGAAAUGGAGGAUCGUCUUCGACUCGAGUACCCCGCCUUCUUCCCGGAGGAACCCAAAUCUCAGGACGAGAUUCUUUUGAGUGGGGGUGAGUUGUCACACCCUAGCUAGUUCAUGCAUUAGAGUGUUGCAUCAUGUCUAUUUUUUUCAUCAGAAACCUGAAAUGGGGAUGACAGAACCCCCAGCCCCCUCUGAAACCAACUAGGGUUUACUAAAAACUUUUUCAAUAAACCUGAAAUGCCCUUCUAAAAUGCCCAUCAUUUUUGUCCUAGUUCAGAACCUCUGCCAAAAGUGAUGCACAUUUUCCUAGGUCAUCUUAGGGUCUUUGAAUUAAAUCAUAAAUAUUUGAAUUUGGGCAUUUAAAAUUAUAUAAAAUAUUCAAAUGCUCAAAUAUCUCCAAACUAAAAUGUUUCAUGUUGGAAAUAAUCCAACUAUGGACCAGGAGUAGUUUGGUGAUUUUAGGAGUUGCCUAAGUAUUUUUAAUAAUUCAACAAAGUUGCAGAAGUAUUAAAAAACAGAAAACAGGGAGUAACAGGGAAACUUACCUGGCGCCCAGCACCCGGCCCACCUGCCGGCCCAGCCCAGCACCGCUCCAGCGAGCUGCUUGCCGGCCAGAUAGGCAGGCAGGUACCCGACGGCGGCCGCAGCAUGCGCCACGCAGCUGGCCGUCGCCCUGCUUCACCUACUCGCCUCGUGGCUGGAUGGAUGAACCCCACGCCGCGCCGUGAACCUCCAGGACACCUCCAUUCUCCCCCAACCCCUCUCUCUCUCGCGCUCCCCCGCCAUGGCCGACGCCAUCGCCGCCACCCCCUCACCGUAGCCACGCCCUCCGUCAACCCCACGCCGUGCCGCCGUGUCCAGGAGCUCCGCCAUCCUCCUCUCCUUCGAGCAAGCCGAGCCCCGAGCGCUCGCAAGGCCCGAGCCCACCGCAUCGACCUCGACCAAACCGCCGUCGCCGGAGAUCCCCUUCAACGCCGACGUCGCUCCGGCCCGUCCCCGGCCGCACCAAGUGCUUCGUCGAACUCCCCGUGAGCUUAGCCAUCUUCCCCUCCCUUCUUUUCUUGCUCCCGAGCUGUGUAGUGACCUCCCGGAGCUCAACCGCACCCACCGCCACGGAGCUCGUCGCCGACGUGCUCCCGGUCACCCUCCGGCCACAAACUGGUGUCCAUCAUGCUCACCACGUCACGUAGCACCUAACCAGCUACUCCCCGCACCUCACCGACCCCUCUAGCAUCAAGUUCGCCUUCGGCCGAACUCCGGUGGCCGCCAAAGUCGUCGCCGGCGCCAACUCCGGCCACCCCGACCCCAACGGACUCCACCAAGAGCUGCAGCUCCUCUCCAGCUCCACUUUGAUGGCCUCCGCGACUCGUUUGGUUGCCGGAACGGCCAAAACCACUUCCGCCGCCGCGUCGGGCUCGCCGGCGGCUAAACGCCGGUGCAGCCGACCUGGGUUUGACCACGGGUGGGCCCUGGUUGACUCCGAUGAGUCAAUGACAGGUGGGGCCCAGCCCUGUUAAUUAAAUAGGUUUAGUUUUAAUUAAACUUUAACUAAACUAAUCACACUGACACGCGGGACCCACUGUCAGGUUUGACCGGACCGUGUCCCGUUGAACCGCUGAUGUCACACUGACGUCAGGCUGACGCAGUAAUUGAUUUCUGGAUUUAUUCUAAUAUAGGAAAUUCCAGAAUAUAGUUUAAACUUCAAAAAUUCAUAAUUUUUAAUCUGUAACUCCAAAUCAAACAAGUUAUAUAUGAAAAAUGAUCAGAAAAAUCCAAUCUAUCCAUCUGUACUAUUUUCAUGCAUGAUUAAACAAGUUAACUUGAUGAUUAUUGCAGAACAAGAUAAAACACUUUAAAGGGCCAUGUAUGAGUUUGAAAUUUGAAUCUUUGGUUCAAAUUGGUUCAAACCCUUCUGGUUUUAGUUGCAUUAGCCCAACACACUCAUAUUGCCAUGUUUCAUGCAUGCAUCAUAUUGUCGCACAUUGUUUGGUGAUUGUUGUGUAUCGGUGUUCUUUGCGGCAGGUUCUGCCUCCGAGGAGUACCGUGAUUACCCUAGCGAAGAGCCAUAUCAGUGCAUCGAACCAUCAGGCAAGCAACCAACUAUUUGAUCAUAUCGAUACAAUCCCAUGUUCUCGCUCCUGCUCUCUUUUACUGCAUUAAGACAACGCGUUUCAAACUGCUGUGUGCUACGGUAGUUGAACCCACUUCCUCUGCAUGACCUGUCAUUGCCACAGUAACUAGAUGAAACCCACUAGCAUGUGUAGGAGUUGAUUGAGCCAUAUGUAUGUGUUGUUCCUACCUUGCUAUGCCUGCUAUGCUUAGAGUCGUGUCAGGUCUGGUUCAUCUGGGUGAUGGGCUAGAGUGAAAUGUUUAUGUCGGUAAUGAGAGUGGUGUGGUGAACACGUUUUGGUAAAGGUAUCGAUGAGAGGCCAUGUAGGAGUACAUGGUGGGUUGUUUCAUUGAAGCCGACCUUAAGCACUGAGAUCUGUAUGUGUGAUUUAAGAAUCAGCUACUACCAUGCAUUGGGCCCGAAACCAAUGGACCCUCUCGGCUUCUUAUUCACCCUAGUUCUCCGUCCAGGAGUUGCAAGUAGUUUCUGGUGUUUGUAGCCUACUGGAGGCCGUGGACAGCGCUGACCGUAGGGGUGGGCUGUGAUGCGGUAGGUACGUGGCACGGUGUACCGAAUACCCGUUAGGUAUCUCGGGAACCCUGUUCACAUCGUUCGGGGCCGUAUGGGAAACCUCGGCCGGACUCCCUGCGGAUGGAACCUGAAUAGGCGAUAAACCUGGACUGGAGGCUUAGGUGAUUAGGUAGGUCGUGGCCGACACCCACGUUGGGCUUCCGCUUGAAGGUUGCCGAGUACAUGUCGUGUAAGCGACGGUAAGUGGUGAGAGCGUGUAAGCGAUGGUGUGCUCGGUUGGGCGCUACGGCGACCGUGGCCACGACGGCGACAUCGCCGGCGGCGUGGAGCUCUCGGUCGAGGUGGAGCUAGGGCCUAGAGGUCGGGAGAGACCAGGGAAGAAGGGGGAAACGCUCCGGGGGCUCACCGCGGUUGCAGUGGGCGUCGAAGCGGGCUCGGGGACGCGCCGGAGACGACGAAUUUGACGGCGACGGUGGUCGGAGUCCGAAGAGGGGAACGGCGACGUGGCGGCGAUGCAGGGCUUCCGGAGACCCGUGGAGCGGUGGGGAGGAAGAGGGAGUUGUGGCGGAGCUUCUGAGCUAGUCGGGGGAGCGAGGGGUGGUCGGAGACGACCGCUACGGCGAACGGUGGCGACGGUGGUGUUCGGCCGUGUGAGAGAGAGAGCGAGGGAGAGGAAGGAGAGCUCCACGCCGCCGGCGAUGUCGCCGUCGUGGCCACGGUCGCCGUAGCGCCCAACCGAGCACACCAUCGUGCUCCACACAUCACCAGGAGCACGUAGAACGCACCAACACCUCCCCAAACCCCCUGCAACACUGAUCCCGACCGCACCCGAACUCCGGCCGCCGCAGCCGAGCUCGCCGCCGUCAACUCCGGCCACCCCGAGCCCAACCACCACCACCAAUAGACGCGGCUCAACCUCAGCAACACGUAGAUGCCUUCCGCCGUCCAUUUGGUCGCCGGAAUGGCAAAAAGCACUCUCGCCGCCGUCUCGGAUCUCGCCGGCGUCAUGUCGCCGGUGGGGUUUGACUUGACCGACCUGGGGUUUGACCCCCCAGGGUCACUGACGCGUGGGCCCUGUCGGCCAGAUGGUUAGGUUAGCGCUAACUACUGUUAGUCAACCCCCCUGACACUGACAGUGGGCCCCAGCGCCACUAAUUAGUAAUUAGAAUUAAUUUAAAUCUGUUUAACCCCCCCUGUCACUGACGUGUGGCCCCCACACGUCAGGUUUGACUUCAGCCAGCCGCAGUUGACCUACUGACGUCACACUGACGUCAGGCUGACGCAGUAAUUGAAUUUCUGGAUUUAAAUUAAAUCAGGAAAUUCCAGAAUAUUAAUUAAACUUCAAAAAUUCAUAACUUUUAUUCUGUAACUCCAAAUUGGACAAAUUAUAUAUGAAAAAUGAUCAGAAAAAUCCAAUCUAUCCAUCUGUACCAUUUCCAUGCAUGAUCAAACAAGUUAAGUUGAUGUUUUAAUCAGAACAAGAAAAGGCACUUUAAAAGGCCAUAUUUGAAUUUGAAAUUUGAAUCCUUGAUUCAAAUUUGUUCAAACCCUUCUGGUUUUAGUUGCAUUAGCCCAACACACUCAUAUUGCCAUGUUUCAUGCAUGCAUCAUAUUGUUGCAUAUUGUUUGGUGAUGUUUGUGUAUCGAUGUCCUUUGCGACAGGAUCUGUCCCCGAGGAGUACCGUGAUCACCCUAACGAAGAACCAUAUCAGUGCAUCGAACCAUCAGGCAAGCAACCAACCAUUUGAUCAUAUCGAUACAAUCCCAUGUUCCCGCUCCUGCUCUCUUCUACUGCAUUAAGACAACGCGAUUCAAACUGCUGUGUGUUACGGUAGUUGAACCCAUUUCCUCUGCAUGACCUGUCAUUGCCACAGUAACUAGAUGAAACCCACUAGCAUGUGUAGGAGUUGAUUGAGCCAUAUGUAUGUGUUGUUCCUACCUUGCUAUGCCUGCUAUGCUUAGAGUCGUGUCAGGUCUGGUUCAUCUGGGUGAUGGGCUAGAGUGAAAUGAUUAUGUCGGUAAUGAGAGUGGUGUGGUGAACACGAUUUGGUAAAGGUAUCGAUGAGAGGCCAUGUAGGAGUACAUGGUGGGUUGUUUCAUUGAAGCCGACCUUAAGCACUGAGAUCUGUAUGUGUGAUUUAAGAUACAGCUACUACCAUGCAUUGGGCCCUGAAAUAUGACCCCGCUCGACUUCUUAUCCACCCUAGUUCUCUGUCCAGGAGUUGCAAGUAGUUUCUGGUGUUUGUAGCCUACUGGAGGCCGUGGACAGCGCUGACCGUAGGGCUGGGCUGUGAUGCGGUAGGUACGUGGCACGGUGUACCGAAUACCCGUUAGGUAUCUCGGGAACCCUGUUCACAUCGUUUGGGGCUGUGAGCGAAACCUCGGCCGGAUCUCCUCAUGGAUGGAACCCGAAUAGGCGAUAAACCUGGACUAGAGACUUAGGUGUUUAGGUAGGUCGUGGUCUACACCCACGUCGGCUUUCGCUUGAAGUCUGCCGAGCACAUGUCGUGUGCAGACGCUAAGUGGUGGAAACAUGUAUGAAGAAGUACACCCCUGCAGGGUUAUCAUAAUCUAUUCGAAUAGCCGCGUCCGCGGUAAAGGACUACUUGGUUGCCUAUACAGUUCAUAGACAAGUAAAUGGAAACUACUAAAAGCCUCAAGAUAAGUGUGAGUGCCGAGGAUGGCUCUUCCGUAGGAAGACGGAGGUGAAUCCUCGGUGGUGUAUUGAAGUGGUGAGUAGUGGACUCGUGUGCGUAAAACCAUUUCAAGUUGGAGUCUCGUAGGAUAGCCUAGCCAAGAGUCAAAGCGGGCUUGCUGCAACAACUCCACCAACCCUUCUUGAUAAUGUGCAUGUAUGUAGGAUCUGAUGUAAGUCUUGCUGAGUACCUUUGUACUCAUGUUGCUAUAAUUUACAUUUUUACAGAAGACGCUGCAAACCCUUCUGAUGUGUUCUUCGUAGACGUUGACAUCAAUGAGUAGGCUAAGGCCCAGGUGGUGAUCCUGAGCUUGUGAAGGACCACAUAGUAUAGCUAGGCUUUCCAAGCCUCUUUUAUUUUACUAGUUGUCUGUACUCAGACAAGUUACUUCCGCUGCUGGUUUGUAUGACUGUAUGACUUGAAUGCUGGGUCGUGUGACCCGUACCUAUGUGUAUGUCAUGUAUGGCUCUCUGAGCCUUAAAUAAAGUACUUGUGUCGUAGAGUCAUGUUGUGAUGCCUUGUUGUAUUUGCACAUAUCGAGCAUAUUGUGUGUAUGAUUGAAAUGCUUGGUAUGUGUGGGAUCUGACUAUCUAGUUGUUUAUCUUUAGUAGCCUCUCUUACCGGGAAAUGUCUCCUAGUGUUACCACUGAGCCAUGGUAGCUUGCUACUGCUCUGGAACACUUAGGCUGGCCGGCAUGUGUCCUUCUUCGUUCCUGUGUCUGUCCCUUCGGGGAAAUGUCACGCAUUGAGUACCGGAGUCCUGUUAGCCCGCUACAGCCCGGUUUACCGGAGUCCUGCUAGCCCAGUGCUACAGCCCGGACCCACUUGCUGAUGACCGACACGUUCGAAGCUGGGUCAUGGAUGCCUGUCCCUGUAAGUCUGUGCCACUUUGGGUUUACGACUAGUCAUGUCAGCCCGGGCUCCUUAUCAUAUGGAUGCUAGCGACACUAUCAUAUACGUGAGCCAAAAGGCGCAAACGGUCCCGGCAAAGGUAAGGCGACACCCGUGGGGAUACCGUGUGUGAGGCCGCAAAGUGAUAUGAGGUGUUACAGGCUAGAUCGACGUGACAUCGAGUCGGGGUCCUGACAUUCUCACUCACCACCACGGGAAGACAAUAAAAGGCGCAGCUCAAGAAAGACCAAGAUCACGACAACCAAAGUUGAACAAAGUGGACAUUUUAGAGCUAAGGAAAGUUGCAGUGGUAUGUGAGUUCCCUGACAUAUUUCCGGAAGAACUACCAGGCAUGCCGCCAGAUUGGGAAAUAGAGUUCAGCAUUGAACUAGCUCCUGGAACCACCCCCAUUUACAAGAAACCCUAUAGGAUGGCACCCUCCAAGUUGGUAGAAUUAAAGAAGCAAAUAAAAGAAUUAUUGGACAAAGGAUUUGUAUGAGCCAGCUCCUCACCUUGGGGUUCACGAGUAUUAUUUGCCAAGAAAAAGGAUGGGACACUGAGAUUAUGCAUAGACUAUCGAGCACUCAACAUGGUCACCAUCAAAAAUAAAUAUCCGAUGCCACAGAUAAAUGAUUUAUUUGACCAGCUUGCACAAGCCAAAGUUUUCUAUAAAAUUGAUUUAAGGUCAGGAUAUCCGCAAUUAAAAGUACGGACAGAAGAUAUCCCUAAGACAACAUUCACCUCCAGAUACGGAUUAUAUGAGUUUACAGUAGUGCCGUUUGGACUAACAAACGCCCCCGCAUAUUUUGUCCAUCUCAUGAACAAAGUGUUUAUGAAAUUUAUGGACAAAUUUGUUGUGGUGUUCAUUGAUGAUAUUCUAGUAUACUCUAAGACACCAAAAGAGCAUGCAGAACAUCUCAAGAUUGUACUGGGAGAAUUGAGGAAACACCAAUUAUAUGCCAAAUUCAGCAAAUGUGAAUUUUGGUUAAGACAUGUUGGUUUUCUAGGCCACGUAUUGACCCAAGAAGGUGUUGCCGUGGGCCCAGAAAAAGUCAAGGCCGUACUUGGCUGGAGGCCACCAGCCAACGUAACAGAUGUCCGAAGCUUUCUGGGAAUGGCUGGAUACUACCGAAGGUUUAUUGAGGGGUUCUCCACCAUAGCAAAAACAAUGACAAAGUUACUCAAGAAGGAUAAGAAAUUUGUAUGGACUGAAGCUUGCGAGAAAAGUUUCCAAGAACUCAAGAAGAAAUUAACAACAGCACCAGUAUUGGUUAUACCAGACAUACACAAAAGUUUUGAAGUGUAUUGUGACGCAUCCCAAAAAGGCCUCGGAUGCGUGCUAAUGCAAGAAGGCAAAGUAGUCGCAUACGCUUCCAAACAACUUCGAAAGCAUGAAGAAAAUUAUCCCACUCAUGACUUAGAAUUGGCAGCAGUCAUUCAUGCACUCAAAGAGUGGAGACACUUUUUGCUUGGAAAUCGUUGUGAAAUAUAUAUGGACCACAAAAGUCUCAAAUAUAUUUUCACACAGCCAGAGCUCAAUUUACGGCAACGGCGCUGGUUGGAAUUAGUGAAAGAUUAUGAUGUUGGCAUCCACUACCAUCCAGGAAAAGCGAAUGUAGUGGCAGAUGCUCUUAGUCGAAACCCCAGCUCAGGCAACGACAGUCCACAUAACUUGUGACCUGAAUUUCAACAUGAGUUCGCCAAACUCAACUUGGUGAUGGUCACGAAAGGCACUGUGUCAAAUUUGCAAAUACAACCCACCCUUGUGGAGCAGAUUAAGAAAGCUUAGCAUGGACAUCCCAGGACUGAAGGCAUAAAAAGAAAAGUAAGCAUGGGCAAGGCCUCCGAAUUCGUCGUAGACGAAGAGGGAAUAUUAUGGUACGGAGAUAGGCUCUGCGUGCCAAAUAUAGAGGACCUCAAACAGCAAAUUCUAGCUGAAGGCCACGCCACCCCAUAUUCAAUCCACCCUGGAGGAACCAAAAUGGAUAAGGACAUUCAGGAAAGAUUUUGGUGGCACGGUAUGAAGAGGGAUAUAGCCACCUUCAUUGCAUGUUGCGAUUCUUGUCAACCCAUUAAAGCCGAGCAUCAAAAACCAGCAGGACUAUUACAACCAAACAGGAUAUCUGAGUGGAAAUGGGACGAAAUUGGGAUGGAUUUUAUUGUUGGACUACCUCGGUCACAACACGGAAAUGAUGCCAUAUGGGUCAUCAUAGAUAGAUUAACCAAGGUGGCACAUUUCAUCCCAGUAAAGACAACCCACACCACUCAGAAGCUUGCCAAGCUUUAUCUCUCCCGUAUAGUUUGUCUCCAUGGAGUUCCAAAGACUAUAAUAUCCGACGGAGGCACUCAAUUCGUCUCGAAAUUCUAGGAUCAUUUACAACAGGCUCUGGGAACUCAACUAGCAUUCAGUACAGCAUACCACCCCCAGACUGAUGGACAAACUGAACGCGUGAACCAAAUUCUAGAGGACAUGCUGAGAGCAUGUGUCCUCACCUGUGGAACUAGUUGGGAAGAAAGCUUGCCAUAUGCCGAGUUCGCAUACAACAACAGCUACCAAUCCAGUCUACAAAUGGCACCUUUUGAAGCCUUGUACGGGCGAAGAUGUCGUACCCCAUUAAACUGGUCAGAAAUAGGAGACAGUCAUAUCUUCGGCUCAGACAUGCUCAAGGGGGCUGAAGAGAAAGUUAGAAAAAUCAGGGACCGGCUCAAGACAGCUCAAAGUCGACAAAAGAGUUAUUACGAUCGAAAACAUCGUGAAGUCAGCUUUGAACCCGGUGAUUAUGUGUAUUUACGAGUAUCUCCUAUGAGGGGCCUGCAACGGUCCAAAGUUAAAGGAAAGCUAGCACCAAGAUUUAUUGGACCCUUCUGUGUGGUUGUACGGAGAGGUACAGUAGCCUACCAGCUAGACCUACCCAAAGAGCUGUCAGACGUCUACGACGUGUUCCACAUCUCACAGUUAAGGAAAUGCGUAAGCAACCCAAAGAAGCAAGUGUCACAUGAGAGCAUUGACGUGCAACCAGACCUCACCUACAGGGAACGUCCAAUAAAAAUAUUAGAAGAGUCUGAAAGGAGGACCAGUCAGAAAACAAUUAAGUUUUUCAAGGUUCAGUGGAGCAAUCACACCGAGGAUGAAGCGACAUGGGAAAGAGAGGACUCUCUCCGGGAAGAGUACCCACACCUAUUUGAGGAUAAGCUGAAAUCUCAGGGACGAGAUUUUUCCUAAGUGGGUAGGUGUUGUAACACUCCAAAAAUUUUGCCUUGGUUUUACCAAAUUCUCUAUUAUUUUUGAAAGGGGUUAUUUAAAAUUUUUCUAAAGGACUCUCCCUUUCGAAAACUUUUAUUUUAUGACAAGUAUUUUUGUUUGGAUUCAUCCCAAAUCUUGAUCUUUGGCCUUGAGGGUUUUUCAUCUUAUGUUGGCUGAACACAAAUAACAUUGGAAGGUUUUUGCAAUAUUUUCCAUUUAAAAAGAAUUCCAUUAAAACUCUUGGGUUUAUUCUUCCUCUUUCAAAAAAAUAUCCUCUUGCCAUGGCCUAUGAAGAAAUUUUUCUUCCAAAACUAUCUACUCACUUUGAGUCAAGCCAAGAAUCCUAUUCCAGCAAGUCUCAACCUCUUUAAAAUUUUAUUUCUAUUUAUUUUGCCCUCAAAAGCAAUUUUUGUCAUUUACUUUGACCUUGGUGGUUUACAAAGGAACUACCAAUUUUCCUUUGAAUCUUGAUCCCAAAUAAAUUUCUCUGGAUAGUCCUUAGCACCCUCAACCAAGAUCCACUGGCCCACAGUUCAAAAUUUUCAAAAUUUGCCCACUGCAAGUUUGGACCAGAUUUGCCAUUUUUGGUGAAAUUCAUACUUUUGCUUCUCCUAAAAAUCUGAGAUAAUUCAUGCAGCCUCCAGAUACAUCAAGAGACCACCUCACCAAAGAUCAGCUCUAGAAAAAUUUCCCACAUGCCAAAAUCAUUUCAUCGAACAGUUGGCAUCCACUGUUGCUGUUCAAAUGCAGUAAAGUUUCAGAGUUCAGUGUCUACUUUCUGUUGACAGUAUCAUUUCUUCAGAGCACAGCGUCAAUCUCGCCAGCGCCCGCGUUGGCACCUUGCGCACUGCUUCUCCUUCUUAUCCAGUGCGCCGCUCGAUCACUUGGACGGGCAUGAGCGUCGGUGGUGAGCUAGAAGGAGUGUAUCGCCCCCGUGAGCGGCGACAGCAGCGCCCGCUGCGGCCGUCAAAAGGGCUUGGCGUGGAACGGCGCCGUCCAGCACUGCCCAAGCCACCCGAGGCCUUCGCGUGGCCGUCCCCUCCCCUGUGCACGCUGCAGCAUGGUCGCUGUGGCCUGAGAGGCGCAGAGCACGCUCUCUGCCGCCGGCGUGCCCGUGAGCCGUUCUGUCGAGAACGUGGAGUGACGCCCAUGAUUUUCCAAGUUCAACCUCUCGAUGGAACCAGUAGACCAUCACGUUGAUGCCCAAUCGCCUAAAACCCCCGUUCGGCCACUGCCUCGCCGUAAUCACCACCAGAGUUAUCCCGUUCAUGGCAACCGCCUCGGAUCAGCUAUAAAAGGAGCCCUCGAGCUCACCUUCGACGCUGCACCACACCUCCACCUCACCAGAGCCCCGCCUAGAUACUAGGAAGACCUUGGGGAGGCCUUCUUCCCCGACUCCGGCCGCCCCGAUCCGCUUCGGGCUCCAGCAAGAUUAGCUCGAGUGCGUGCACCCCCGCCUCCCAAGUUGUACCAGUGGCAUCCUAGUGCACCCACUCCACUAACCCACGCCCCAAUAUGAAGCUUGCAGCCCUCCCCGGCGAGAUCCACUGACGCCCGAGCCGCCGUCCGUCGGAGUGAAGGCCGUCAUCGACGUGGGGCUCGCCGACGUCCAACUCCACCACCCACAGACGCGGGAGAGCACCGUGAGUCCGUAGGUACCAGCCCCUCCCCCUACCUCGCCGUGGAUCGUCGCCGGCGACCACCGCAAGCUUCGGGCGCCGGCGUGCUCUGCUUUUCCUUUUCAAACAUUUAAACCUAACAGGUGGGACCCCCUCGUCAGCCUCUCUUUUCUAAUCAAACCGUUUCUCUGGAAAGCGCCUUCGGGCAGAGUACAUUUUCCCUGUUGGGUGAUGUAUUUCUUAACGAAACAUUUUCAGUUUUUAUAAACUAAACCCUGGAUACUUUCUAUUUCAUUACAGAUAAGUCCCUGGGCUAAAACCUUUAUAACUUUUUAACAGAAGAUGAUUUUGAAUUGAUUCUUUUCUGUCAUCUUUAUUUUUCUGUCUAGUUUUGUAUCAUAUUUAUUUGAAAAAAAUUGGGACAAUUUUUAUAGACACACGGUAUUUACGUUAGUGUGCGAUUUCUUUAUACCGUAGAUACCGGAGGAGGUGACGGAACCGCGAACUUCGCCGAGCUAGACUCCGACUACUCCGAAGCAGGCAAGCUUGUUUGAACCUUUGAUAUGAUGAGUGUUUUGCAUGUUUGCUUGAGUAGUUUUCUCAUGGCAUGUUUAUAUAAGCAUAUUGUGAAUGUUAUAUUGCAUGCAAGGCAAACUACAGGUGGGCUUCGAAGUUCAUAUGUUCAUAUGAUGAUAAGAUAACCUGAUCAUGUGGUGGCAUGAUAGGUUGUAAGCUGGUAUUGUUGAAGCAUGCCAGUCUUACAUCAACUGCGUAACUCUAGUGUUAACGUGGAACAAGUUCUGUUCUUGUUCGUCCCCGUCCGUGCCACCACAUGAUUUCUGCAAAGAAUGCGGUUUAGUAAGUUGCAAACCUCUCUCCUAAUACACACCAAAUAGAGGGGCCGUGAUGAGGGUUCCAUGGCCCUGGACUAAAGCCCGUCAUCUAGUCAGGGGGCAUGGGUGUUUCCGGUUGGGACCGAGAGGGGGGCACCCCUUAGAGCGCGCGAAUAUAAAUUUGAUCCCAUGCUAUUCGAGGUUGUAGCCUCCCCAUCCCAAAGUUUUUCUUGAACGUUGCCUAGGGUGACCCCUGGCAGCAGAAUGUGGAAUGGGUGUGUACUGGUCAGAUGUGUUUCUUCUAAAAUACCGUAAACGGAACUAGUACUUCGUGACUACUGAAAUCCAUUGGCUGUGGAAUAAUAGUGCAAACUUUGCAGAGUCAUAACCAUCCGAGUAACUGUGACAGCCUCAAUUCAAUCGUACACUAAUCAUACACACAAAUGUGUACGAUCAAGAUCAAGGACUCACGGGAAAUAUAUCACAACACAACUCUAGACACAAAUUGAAAUAAGACAAGCUUUAUAUUACAAGCCAGGGCCUCGAGGGCUCGAAUACAUAAGCUCGAAUACACAAGAGUCAGCGGAAGCAACAAUAUAUGAGUACAAACAUAAGUUAGACAAGAAUGCCUUAAGAAGGCUAGCACAAAAGCAACAACGAUCGAAAAGAGCAAGGUCUCCUGCCUGGGAGCCUCCUAACUACUCCAAGUCGUCAGCGGUCUUCACGUAGUAGUAGGCAUCCUUCGGGUAGUAGUAGUCAUCAGUGGCGUCGUCUGGCUCCUGGGAUCCGUCAUCUGGUCGCAACAAUCGGGUACGGGCGAAAAGAAGUAGCAAAGCAACCGUGAGUACUCAUCCAAAGUACUCACAAGACUUACAUAAAAUUUAAACUAAGUAUGCAUCUAUAUCAAAGGAAUGGGUUGUAUCUGUGGACUAAACUGCAGAAUGCCAGAAGGGAAGGGGAAAGCCUAGCCUAUCGAAGACUAGCAUCUUCUGGAAACCACCAUCUUGCAGCAACAGGAGGGAGUAGAGUAGCAUAAAUUAAAGUAGCAGUAAUGUUAUCAACCUCGGCCGAAGAUCCUUUCUCGACUCCCUGCGAGAAAGCCAUCCCAGAGCUAUACUAUCCAGUUCUCAUCUCCAUUUCUCAUAUCCAUUUCUCAUCACAGUCCAUUCUCAUCUCAGGUAUCCAGUUCUAGUUGUAUCGAUCGGGAUACAACUCCAAGUGUCCCUUACCGUAGGACAGGCUAUCGAUAGAUGUUUUCUUCCCUACAGGGGUGCACCAACUUACCCACCACGCUCGAUUAACUCUGGUCGGACACACUUUCCUGGGUCAUGCCCAGCCUUGGCCAAACAAUACGCCGCAACCCGACAUAGGCUUAAUAGAGAGGGCAACAAGUCAGACUAAACCUAUGCCCCAGGGGUCAUGGGCCAUCUCACCGGGAACUCCUGCACGUUGCGUACGCGGCCGAUGAGCAGACCUAGCUACCACCUUAAACAAGGUAGGUGCUUUCCAGUCCAACCCGGUGCGCGCCGCUCAGUCGCUGACGUCUAUUAAGCUUCGGCUGAUGUAUACGACGCAGAACGCCCAUACUAUGCCCACGUGAUGGUUAGUGCUAUCAGGCCAGAGGCCCCUCAGAUCAAAUAUCCAAAUCAUAGUAGAUUAGGAAAGCGUGGUAACGAGCAGAGACUCAUGAUCGGUGUGACCCCGUCGCCCCAUCUCGAGUACUUGCGGCAAGGGCUAAGAAUGCCCGGGCACGCCUCGUAAGUAUCUCGCGGGCACCUUCCAGGUCAACCCGACUCCACAUCACUCGCAAUUAAGAUCGCGUGGGUACCCCUCAGGGUUGACCCGUCUUUAGUAACAUGGCUCAGUGUAAAGUCAUACUAACCAUAGUAGCUGUGUGUCUAACACAAAGGGGAAAACCCGAGGAAUCACCCCCGAUGAAUUCCACUCGAUGUAAUCAUCAAGGUGAACGUAAGAGGAUCCACCCUCGAGGUUCACACUUGAGGGGUUGCACGAUAGAGCGGUAACGGAAGUGGUUAAGGAGGAAAUCACCCUCGAUGACCUCGACCGUAUAGCUACACUAUAAAGAUCUCAUCAGGAGUGAUGUAUGAGGUUCACUCUCGGCAAUCGAUAGUAACUCUAUAGUGUCGUACAACUAAGGGGGUGAUGUGCGGUGUUGGGGCCUGGACGUCGAUCACGUUGAUCGAGUCAUCGAACAUAAAGCGAGGCAACUGGGACAAGGUGGGGGUCACUGAUGGAUCACUAACCAACCUAUACUAAGCAGUUUAGGAUAAGCAUGUAAGGUAUGAAAUCAGGUGACAACAAUAGGCUAUGCAUCAGAGUAGGAUCAUACAGAAAGCAGUAGCAGUUCCAAUGCAAGCAUGAGAGGGAAAGAAAUGGGCGAUAUCGGAAUGCUCAAGGGGGGUUUGCUUGCUUGGUUUCUCUGGCAAGGAGGGGUCAUCGUCGACAUAGUCGAUCACAGGGGCGACAUCGGUCUCGGGGUCUACCGGAGAGAAGUGGGGGAAGAAACAGUAAAUAUAAAGCAACAUAGCACCACAAAGCAUGGCAAUAAGAUGUGUCGGUUGUGACCUAACGUAUGGCUACGCGAUAAAGGUGAAGGGGGAAAACAACCGGGAAUGUUUUCCCGGUUCCGGACCUGUGUCAGACAUAUGACCGGAGGGGUAAUGUUCCAUGUACAGAUAGUUAGAGGCAUCUGACAGGUAAACAGACCACGUAUUUGGAUUCGUUGGAUUUUUCUGAGCAACUUUCAUAUAGAAAACAUUUUCAUCGGAGUUACGGUUUAAUUACUAUGAAUUUCUAAAGGUUUAAACAUUUUAGGGAAUUAAAUAAAUUAACAGAAAUGGAAUAUGACAUCAGCAUGGCGUAUGAGUGAUGUCAGCAGCCAACAGUUCGGUUGACUGGUCAAAUUGACAUGGGGGACCCACCUGUCAUAGAUAGUGGGUUAAACAGGGUUCAAACUAAUCUAAAUUUAGUUAGUAAUACUACUGGGCCCACCUAUCACUGUAUAAUUUAGGUUAACUAAACUAAUUUAAUUAAUUCCUGUUAAUUAGGGGGGAGGGCCCCACUGGUUAGUGGCUGGGGAUUGCCCAGUCAGUAGGGUUGACUGGUCAAACCAGUCAACUAGUGUCCUUGGGCCCCACUGGUAGUGACACAAAGGCGGGGCCCACUGCGCCACAUCUGUGUCGGCGCCGGAGACAACUCCAGCGACCAAAAACACGGCGGAGCAGCUCGGGACUUCGCCGGAAACAGGCUACGGGGCACCGUUUGGUCCGCGCGAUAGCGCAUUCGAAAGCGGAAGCGAAGCCGCGUCGUUUUGGGGCUACGGCACGGCCGGAGCGGGGGUGCAACGACGGCGGCGACCUCAACGGCGGAGGUCGAAGCUCGGGCACGGGUGGAAUCGGGCUAGGAGCACGGGCGGAGGCGCGGCGAGGUGCGCUGGGCUGCUUGAAACGUGCUGGGCACGGUGCCGUGCUCGACAGAGGUCGACGGCGAGCAUGGCCACGGCGGCUAUGGAGCGGGGCUUCGGCGAGCUACGACGGUAGCGGCAAGCAAGCUAGAGAGUGAGGCGGCUUACUCGAGAGAGGGGAGAAGGGAAAGGAAGAGGAGCUCACAUCGCUCCUGCAAAUGUGCGAAGUGGGCUCGGGGGAGGCUCGGAGUUGCCGGAGUUCGAAGGCGAGGGCGGCAGUGCCCGAGGUGGAAGACGACGGGGAUCCAGGGCUGCAGCGCAUAACAUCUCACGCUACUGGCCGUAGUCAACGCAGGUGAUGAUGGCGGUACUCCUCGACGUCUUCGCGUAACUCGGAGAGGUCGUCGGCCAUGACCACGGCGAGGCGACAGUGGUGGUCACGUCGGGUGCGGUGAAUCUGAGAGGAGGAGAGGCAAACGAGGGAAAUGGAAAGCUAGGGUUGGCAGGGGGAGCGGUGAGUGGAGGGGAGGGCUCGAGGCGUCGAGGGGACGUCGCCCUUAUCCCUUCCCCGACGAGGACGGCGACAGGGUUCGGUGGCGACCGGCGAGCGCGGUCGCUGGGUCGGCUGAACAGAGAAGAGGGAGGCGACCGGGGGAGGUGGGCUGCCCGGGUUGGGCAGCCCAGAUGACUAAGGCCCAGGGGGGUCAGGGGGUUUUCUUUUUCUUUUACUUUUUCUCUUUUAUUUUUACAGAAAAAGCAUGGUAAUAUUUGGGCUGCCAAAAGCAUUUUGUAAAAUGUGGGACUUGGCCACAUAAUUAUAUUGCAGUAGUUAGCACUGCCACAAAAAGGUUGUGAGGCUUUUGAAAUAGUUCGCAAUUUUUAUAAAUAAAAAAGCCAUUUAACCUAUUCUUUUAGCCACUACUUUAAUUGGUUUAGGCCAUUAAAACACCUUGAAAAAAUGUUGGUUUACCACCAAUAUUAACAAAUGAUUAUUUGCUAUAUGAUGAACAUUUUAGUUUUCAUGUCUGACAAAUAUGAAUUUUGGACUUCAGAUUGGAUUUGAAUUAGAAUUGGUUUUGAAUCAAGGUGAGAUUAGCAACAGUAACAAUGAUGACAACGCAUCAUUAGAAGGGGAUUACUACAGCAUGAUUCUCGGGGUGUUACAGUAACCGUGUCCAUGGUCAAGGACUUUGAUCAACAUAUCAGUGUCAGUCUCCGUGUCUGUCUCAGUAUCCGGCUCAGUGAUAGUCUUCGGAGAAUAAGCAUGGAACUGAGAGUGGUAAACUCGGCUGAACAUUAUUCCUGUGAACGGACUAACCAGUUUAUUAUUAUACAUUGAGUAUUUCCUUGUGAUGGUUUAAAUUCAUGAACUACUUGAAUUCGAAUGAUGAACUAUAAGCCGUUUAUGUGGUGUUGCUCAGAUGUCCAACUGUGGCAUUCUUGUUAUUUCCUUUCGAUAUAAGCCCUUUACGUGAUGUCGCUCAGACGUCCGACUGUGGCACUCUUGCUAUUUACUUUCGAUAUAAGCACUUUAUGUGAUGUCUCUCAGACGUCCGACUGUGGCACUCUUGCUAUUUACUUUCAAUAUAAGCCCUUUAUGUGAUCUCGCUCAGACGUCCGACUAUGGCACUCUUGCUAUUUACUUUCGAUAUAAGCCCCUUAGGUGUUGUCCCUUAGACGUCUGACUAUGGCAUCCUUGUUAUUUACUUUCAUUAUAAGCCCUUUUCGAGAUGUCGCUUAGACGUCCGACUGUGGCCGCAUUGUUAUUUACUUUUCCAUAUAAGCCCUUUUUUGUGGUGUCGCCCCGACGCCCGACUACGGCAUGUUAAUUUAUUUUUUUGUUACCGUUCGAGGCGUCACUUCAGACACCCGAUCGGUCUUCAGUUAUUUCGUUGGGAUUUCAGGAGGACUACCACCUGACUUCCAUUUAUUUAUCGUGCAGUGCAAAUUUAUUAUCAGAAUGUGCAUUACCAAUCUGCUCAUGUGCAUCAUGUUUGCAUUUGUUAUAUCUUAUGUCCAAACUUUCUUGCGACUACAUUCAAAGUACUGACCUGGCUUGUUGAUUUGGCCAAAUGUUGACGAAGGCGAUCUUAUGGAUGAAGAGUUCGAUAGUGAGUCCGACGCCUAGAGGAGUCCCAGUCAGUCCCGUGCGAUCCUGGAGUUGAUCACUUGUAUUAUAUAUGCUUCCGCUACCCAAAUAAAAUCAUCGAGCCUCACUCCGAUGCUUGAUGAGCUAUAAGAUUUAGGAGUCAUGUCACCCACUUCACUGUGACAUACCCACCACCACUUUUAUUACGAGUCAGUAGUUAUGCCACCAUACCGUUGUGUCAUAUCCGCCUUUAUGUGUAAUAUCGGUGCACUUGUAAUAAAUUGUUGAGCAGCCUCAGCUCCAUCUUGUAUAAUAUUUAGUACUUCUGGAUUUCUGUAUCAAGGAUUUGUCUACCGGUAAGAAAGAUUCUUCUGUACUGGUCAAUGUAGGGAUCGGCUUUUCAAUAAAUGUUUUGUUGGAAAACCAGUCGUGACAUUCAUCAUAAAGCCUUUGUAGCUUGGUGGCAGUGAUUAAAGAACUCUCUCAAUAACACUAUCAUCUGGAAGAUUAACUCCCAGCUCAGUCAAGUGAUUAUGAUACCUAGAUAUUUUGAAUAUGUGUUCACUGACAGAACUGUUCUCCUCCAUCUUGCAGCUAUAGAACUUGUUGGAGACUUCUUAUCUCUUAACUCGGGCAUUUGCUUGAAUUAUUAACUUCAACUGCUGGAACAUAUCAUAUGCUCCAUGGCGUUCAAAACGUCUUUGAAGUCCCGAUUCUAAGCCGUAAAGCAUGGCACACUAAACUAUUGAGUAGUCAUCACAUCGAGCUUGCUAGACGUUCAAAACAUCAGCAGGCCUUUCACCUAGCAAUGCAUCAAGGACAUAAUUCUUAUGUGCAGUAAUGAGGAUAAUCCUCAAGUUACGGACCCAACCCGUGUAGUUUCUACCAUCAUCUUUCAACUUAGCUUUCUCUUGGAACGCAUUAAAAUUCAGGGGAAUGGUAGCACGGGCCAUUGAUCUACAACAUAGAUAUGCAAAUACUAUCCGGACUAAGUUCAUGAUAAAUUAAGUUCAAUUAAUCAAAGUACUUAAGAACUCUCACUUAGAUAGACAUCCCUCAAGUCAUCUAAAUGAUACUUGAUCCAAAUCAACUAAUCGAUGUCCGAUCAUCACGUCAGAUGGAGUAGUCAUCAAUGUUGAACAUCUCUAUGUUGAUCAUAUCUACUAUAUGAUUCAUGUUUGACCUUUCGAUCUCUAGUGUUCCGAGGACAUGUCUUUACAUGCUAGGCUCGUCAUGUUUAACCCAAGUAUUCUGCAUGUGCAAAACUGUCUUGCACCCGUUGUAUGUGAACGUAGAGUCUAUCACACCCGAUCAUCACGUGGUGUCUCAACACGACGAACUGUAGCAAUGGUGCAUACUUAGGGAGAACAUUUUUACCUUGAAAUUUAGUGAAGGGAUCAUCUUAUAAUGCUACCGUCAUACUAAGCCAAAUAAGAUGCAUAAAAAGAUAAACAUCACAUGCAAUCACAAUAUGUGACAUGAUAUGGCCAUCAUCAUCUUGUGCUUUUGAUCUCCAUCUCCAAAGCAUCGUCAUGAUCUCCAUCAUCACCGGCUCGACACCUUGACCUCUAUCGUUGCGUCGUGGUCGUCUCGGCAACUAUUGCUUCGACAACUAUCGCUAACGCAUAGUGAUAAAGUAAAGCAAUUAUGUGGUGUUUGCAUUUCAUACAAUAAAGAGACAGGAAUAAGGCUCCUGUCGCUUGUUAGAUAUCUUAAAAAACAUGCAUCUCAUACAAUAACAUCUAUCACAUCAUGUCUUGACCAUAUCACACCACAACAUGCCCAGCAAAAACAAGUUAGACGUGCUCUACUUUGUUGUUGCAAGUUUUACGUGGCUGCUACGGGCUUCUAGCAUGAACCAUUCUUACCUACGCGUAAAACCACAAUGGUGUUUCGUCAAGUUUGUUGUUUUAACCUUCUUCAAGGACCGGCCGUAGUCAAAUUCGAUUCAACUAAAGUAGGAGAAACAGACACCCGCCAGUAACCUUUAUGCAAAACUAGUUGCAUGUCUGUCGGUGGAACCGGUCUCAUGUUCGUGGACAUGUAAGGUUGGUCUGGGACGCUUCAUCCCACAAUACCGCCUGGAAAACGAGAGGCAAAUGACAAAUAAUGUAAAUUGAGAGGAGAUGAGAUUUGUGAUUAGGAACCUGGUAUAUGUUGAAGAUCCUCCCCGGCAACGGCGCCAGAAAUUCCUUUUGAUGUAGCUUGAAGCUACGUCGGUGUUUCCCCAAAGGGGAAGGGAUGAUGCUGCACAGUGGCAGUAGUUAUUUCCCUCAGUUAUGAGACCAAGGUUAUUGAACUAGUAGGAUAACCAAGCGACACAACGUAAACAUCCCUUGCACAUAAAUAACAAAUACUCACAACCCGACGUGUAAAAGGGUUGUCAAUCCCUUUCGGGUAGUGGCGCCCCAAGAUAGGCAAACGGACGUGAGAUAAAUUGUAUAGAUCCAACACUAAAUAAAAUAAAUAAGAAUAAAUUGCAGCAAGGUAUUUUUGUAUUUUUGCUUUAAUAGAUCUGAAAAUGAAAGCAAAGGAAAAGUAGAUCGCAAAGGCAAAUAAUAUGGGAAAGAGACCCGGGGCCGUAGGUUUCACUAGUGGCUUCUCUCAAGUAAAAUAGCAAACAGUGGGUAAACAAAUUACUGUUGGGAAGUAGAUAGAAAUUCAAAUAAUCAUGACGAUAUCCAGGCAAUGAUCAUUAUAUAGGCAUGACGUCCAAGAUUAGUAGAUCCACUCCUACCUGCAUCUACUACUAUUACUCCACACGUCGAUCGCUUUCCAGCAUGCAUCUAGUGUAUUAAGUUCAUGGGGAAACGGAGUAAUGCAAUAAGAAUGAUGACAUGAUGUAGACAAGAUCUAUCUAUGUAGAGAUAGACCCCCAUUGUUUUAUCCUUAGUAGCAACGAUACAUACAUGUCGGUUCCCUUUCUGUCACCGGGAUCAAGCAGCGUAAGAUCGAACCCACUACAAAGCACCUCUUCCCAUUGCAAGAUAAAUAGAUCAAGUUGGCCAAACAAAACCCAAAUAUCGAAGAAGAAAUACGUGGCUAUAAGGAAUCAUGCAUAUAAGAGAUCAAAGAAACUCAAAUAACUUUCAUGGAUAUAAAAAUAUAGAUCUGAUCAUAAACUCAAAGUUCAUCUGAUCCCAACAAACACACCGUAAAAAGAGUUACAUCAUAUGGAUCUCCAAGAGACCAUUGUAUUGAGAAUCAGAUGAGAGAGAGGAAGCCAUCUAGCUACUAACUACGGACCCGAAGCUCUACAAAGGACUAUUCACGCAUCAUUGGAGAGGCACCAAUGGAAGUGGUGAACCCCUUCGUGAUUGUGUCUAGAUUGGAUCUGGUGGUUCUGGACUCUGCGGUGACUGGAAUUAAUUUUCAUCAACUCCCCUAGGGUUUCUAAAACAUUGGGUAGUUAUAGAGCAAAGAGGCGGUCCGGGGGGCACCCGAGGUGGGCACAACCCACUAGGGCAUGCCUGGGCCUCCUGGCGCGCCCUAGUGGGUUGUGCUCCCCUCGGAGCACCCCAGGCGCUGCCUUGGCCCAUUGGGUGUCUUCUGUUCCAUAAAAAAUCUCCAUGAUGUUUCGUUGCAUUUGGACUCCGAUUGGUAUUGAUUUCCUGCAAUGUAAAAAACAUGCAGAAAACAACAACUCGCACUUGGCACUAUGUCAAUAGGUUAGUACCAAAAACUGAUAUACAAUGACUAUAAAAUGAUUAUAAAACAUCCAAGAUUGAUAAUAUAACAGCAUGGAACAAUCAAAAAGUAUAGAUACAUUGGAGACAUAUCAGCGUCCCCAAGCUCAAUUCCUGCUCGUCCUCGAGUAGGUAAGUGAUAAAAAUGGAAUUUUUUAUGUGGAAUGUUGCCUAACAUGCCAUAUCAUAUUAUUUUCUUUAUAUUGUCGGUGUCAAAACCGGCGGAUCUCGGGUAGGGGGUCCUGAACUGUGCGUUUAAGGCAGAUGGUAAAAGGAGGCAGGGGACAUGAUGUUUACCCAGGUUCAGGCCCUAUUGAUGGAGGUAAUACCCUACGUCCUGCUUGACUGUUCUUGAUGAUAUGAGUAUUACAAGAGUUGAUCUACCACGAGAUCGUAGAGGCUAAACCAUGGAAGCUAGCCUAUUGUAUGAUUGUAUGUUGUCCUACGAACUAAAACCCUCCGGUUUAUAUAGACAACGGAGGGGGCUAGGGUUACACAAGGUCGGUUACAAUGGAGAAAAUAUACAUAUCCGUAUUGCCUAGCUUACCUUCCACGCCAAGGACAGUCCCAUCCGGACACUAGACGAAGUCUUCAAUCUUGAUUCUUCAUAGUCUAAUAGUCCGGCCGAAGGAUAUAGUCCGGCUGUCCGGAGACCCCCUAAUCCAGGACUGCCUCAGUAGCCCCUGAACCAGACUUCAAUGAUGAUGAGUACGGCGCGCAGUAUUGUCUUCGGCAUUGCAAAGCGGGUUCCUCCUCUGAAUACUCCAUGGAAGAGUUUGAACACAAGGAUAGUGUCCGGCCCUGAAAAAUAAGUUCCACAUACCAUUGUAGAGAGAAUAAUAUUUCCACAAAUCAAAUCUGCUGACAUGUUUUGACAAGAUGACAUCACGCCACGGCCCGGUCAUUAUUUGAACUGUUUUUCUCAACCAGCACUGCACAUAUCUCGAAGCGGUUUUCUUGACACGUCUUGUCAAAGCAGAGAUCGUGUUCCCCUUAUCACAGGAUUCUCAUCAAUACAGACGUGGGUAACCCAACCAUGCUUGUUGGUAUGACUCCCAGAUCUUAGGCAAGUCCCAAACGGCCACGAGGAGGACGCCUGACACUACUAGGAAAAGGGCUAAAGAUGAAAUUGACACUAAUGGCGCACUGUACAUGUGGUGCGCAAUUACUAAAUACUAAUGGCGCACCAUGUGUUGGUGCACCAUUAGUGUGCAAAUACUAAUGGCGCACCACAUCCACGGUGCACCAUUAGUAAAAAUUUUUUUUGAUUUUUUCAAAACUACCAAUGGCGCACCGUGGGAGUGGUGCGCCAUUACUAGUUGAACUAGUAAUGGCGCACCAUGCCAUGGUGCGCCAUUAGUAACUUGGCCACCACUUCCACCGAAUGCACCCCCCCUGUGGACCGCCUUUUCAGUUUAAAAAUAAAUAAAAAAAUGAUGGAAAUGUCAAAAAAAUAAAAGAAAAUAAGUUUGCCAUGUGAUAUGUGGUCUAGUUGUUGUGAAAAUUUACAAAUAUGAAUUUUGACUUUAUUUGCGAAAUCUCUCGAGAAUUUGUAAAAUGGGCAUAACUUUUUCGUACGAACUCGGAUGAAAAAAAAAAUUAUAUGAAAAAUCAUCUACACGAAAAGUUACAUCCGAAUUUAAUGGGGGGAACCCCAUUAAACAUUUUCAAAAUCCUCAAAAACCUAACAGAAAAAAAGAUACGGGGCUUUUAAGAUCUGGAGAGGCAAAAAAAUUAAAAAAAAUUCAAACUUACUAAUGGCGCACCUGCCCAUGGUGCGCCAUUACUAUCUUCCCGCCUUCUAAAUUCAAAAUAAGUCAAACAAAUAAAAAAAAGUUACUAAUGGUGCACCUGCCCAUGGUGCCCCAUUAGUAUCUUCCCGCCUUCAAAAUUCAAAAAAAAUAAAAAAAAUAAAAUAAAGCUAGUAAUGGCGCACCUGCCCGCGGUGCGCCAUUACUAUGCCGUAUAUAUGGCUGGGCAUGGUCCUCUCCUCCUUACCUCUUCAUUCUUCUCCUCCACUCCUCCUCUCCUCCAUUCCAUCUCCUCCUCUCCUCCACUCCAUCUUCCCUUCUCUCCUCCACCAUACUACCCUCCUCCUCUCCGGCGACCUCCUCCUCCUCCUCUCCGGCGACCUCCUCCUCCUCUCCGGCGACCUCNNNNNNNNNNNNNNNNNNNNNNNNNNNNNNNNNNNNNNNNNNNNNNNNNNNNNNNNNNNNNNNNNNNNNNNNNNNNNNNNNNNNNNNNNNNNNNNNNNNNNNNNNNNNNNNNNNNNNNNNNNNNNNNNNNNNNNNNNNNNNNNNNNNNNNNNNNNNNNNNNNNNNNNNNNNNNNNNNNNNNNNNNNNNNNNNNNNNNNNNNNNNNNNNNNNNNNNNNNNNNNNNNNNNNNNNNNNNNNNNNNNNNNNNNNNNNNNNNNNNNNNNNNNNNNNNNNNNNNNNNNNNNNNNNNNNNNNNNNNNNNNNNNNNNNNNNNNNNNNNNNNNNNNNNNNNNNNNNNNNNNNNNNNNNNNNNNNNNNNNNNNNNNNNNNNNNNCUCCCCUCACGGUUUCUCCUCCCUCCUCUUCGGUGAGCUCCUCCUCCCUCCUCUCCGAUGAGCUCCUCCUUCCUCCUCUCCGGUGAGCUCCUCUUCCCUCCUCUCGUCCCAUCCCCUCAUGGUUUCUCCUUCCUCCUCUCCGAUGCUCUGGUGAACUCCUCUCCGACGACCUCCUCCUCCUCUCCGGCGAUGUAGGCGAGCGCCUCUCCAGUGACCUCCUCCUCCUCCUCUCCGGCAAAAUCCUCUCCGGCAAAAGAACACGGCAAAAGAACGUACAAGAUCCAAAAAUAGGAACAAAAUUUGAAAUAAUAUCGUGCCAAAAAAUGAGAAAAAAAACAAGCAAAGAAUGGGCAAAAAAAUCACGAUCCAGAUCCAAAUUCAAAAUUCAAAAAAGCAAUGGCCCACGGUGGGGGUUAGACGGUGCGCCACAACUAUUUUCCCGCCUUCAAAAUUCAAAAAUACUAAUGGCGCACCAGUGGCCUAUACUAAUGGCGCACCGUGGCCUAUACUAAUGGCGCACCAGUGGUGCGCCAUUAGUAUACCAGAUACUAAUGGCGCACCAGUGGUGCGCCAUUAGUAAAAAAUACUAGUGGUGUGAUACUAAUGGCGCACCAAUGAUGUGCUAUUAGUAGGCAAAACUGGUGCGCCAUUAGUAGCCCUUUUCCUAGUAGUGUGAUAUUCACCCCCUUUAUAACGAGGACAGGGCCUUUUCUUUCUCCCUCUCGUGCUCAAUCGAAGCCUUCCCCCGCCUCGAGUUCUAACACCCGAAGCUCAAGUCAGGCGCUUCAGACCUUCAACUAUGUCCGGAUCCAAGCUUCAAGGUUGGUGGAUGCCCUCCUCUGUAACGGAGGAGGACAUCAAGAAGCUGAGUGAGGCCACAUAUCUGACCGCUGAAAUUUCACAUAGGCUGCCUGCCCGAGGGCAGGUCGUCCCUACUCCCAAACCCACCAAGAGUGUCGUGUUCAUCUCCCACUUCCUCUGAGGACUAGGCCUCGCUCUGGAUCCCUUUGUCAGGGGUCUUAUGUUCUAUUAUGGGAUGGAUUUCCAUGAUCUAGCCCCGGACUUCCGUCUUAACAUCUCGUCAUUUAUUGUCGUAUGUGAGGCCUUCCUCCGCAUUACCCCUCACUUCGGCCUAUGGCUCAAGACCUUCGAUGUGAAGCCGAAGAUGAUCGAGGGGCGGCACACAGAGUGCGGAGGUGCUUUAAUAAGCAAAAUCGUUGAUGCUCCAUGGCCAGAGGGUUCCUUCCCAGAGGUGUCCAGAUUGUGGCAGCGGGAGGGGUUUUACAUCACAGCUCCCCGAAGUGCCAAGUGGGUAGCCGCCCCACCUUUUGCUCGGGCCCCCACCGCAACUGAUGUCAUGGAUCAGCAGGGGGCUGAGCUGGGGUCUAGCAAAGGACGUGCCAAUACUGCAGAGCCGUAUCCGAGAUCUCUUUGAGAGAAAUUUCAGUCUGAUUAUGGUAAUGCAAGUUAUGCUAGUUCGUCGAGUCCAGCCUUGGAAACGUCGGCCCCUCCGUAUGUGGGAAUUCAACUCGGAAGGACUGCGAGCUAUUCAGCAUUUCCUUGGCAUGACGCUCGAAGAGAUGUACAAAUCGUUCUUCGGACCCCAAAUAAAGUGUCCGGACACCUCCGAGGAUGUGGGUUUGAGCUGCAACUGCCCUGCUACCCAAGUAAGUAAUCCCAUGGCCGAACCCGCCGUCCUUUUAUUUAUCAUAUCAUCAUUCUAAAGAGUCGCUCUUUGACCAGGACUAGAUAAAAAAGGCGAAGAUGAUCAGGUGUGCGGCCCCCCUUCCUGAGGGCUUGGACAAUAGAGUGCUGGAAAAGAUACUCGAGCCGGCACCUUAUCUAGUGCCCUCAAAGGAAGAUGAAGGGGAGAAUAAAGAGGGCAAAAGCGGGCCUCACUCGCUACUUAUUCCAACCGAGGGAAUGGGCACCUCUGUGAGGUAGGAUAACCAAGGGGAAGAAUCUGACAUUCUCUCUCCCCAGGGAAGGAAGAGGACUACUUCUGAAGAUCCGGAAACUAAGGUUUCCAAACGGGAGAAGAAAUCUUCGCCAGAGGGUCCUGCCUCGGAGGGUAUUCUUGCCGCACAAUGUCCGCGCGGGGAUUAGCCCUCUACCUGUCACGUCCCUAGCUUUACCUUAGCCUUGGACUAGCUUGGUUGUUGCAUCAUGUUUAAAUUCAAAUGAAAUUUGAAUUGGGGAAUUUUCAAAGCCUCAGAAUCCUUUUAAAAAUGAUCAAGAUAAAAUUGCUUCAAAUAAGUCCAAGAAAAUGUUCUUGUCAUCCUCUGGAAAUAUUAGCAAGAUGUAAAAUCCAAACCAAUAUUUUUGGUGUCUCGAAAACAUUUAUUUUGGGCAUUUGAAUUAAAUCAAUAAGUAUUUGAAUUGGAUUUAUAUCUACUAUUAAAUAAAUAUAGGUCCAAUAAUUCUGAAAUAUUUUAUGGAGCUUUGGUUUAAUUCUUUUAGCUUCUAAAAAUAUUUCCAGAAGCAACAAAAUUGAAUUGCUUUCAAAACCAAAUUCAAAACAAACCUGCAAAACCGAAAAUAGAACAGAAUUAGAAAAAAACAGAGAGAGGAAAAACCCACCUGGCUUACCUGCAGCCCACCUGGCCUGGCACUGCUGGCCCAGCCCACCAGGCCUUCCACCGUCUUCAACCUCCUGCCAGUGGGCAGGAGGGCGUGUGGCCACCGAGCGCGCCCACGCGCUCCGCGCCACCUCCUGCUUGCCGACGAGCCCCUGGACGCGUGGGCGAUUUUCUACGUGUCUUCACGAUCGCGCUGACCCCCUCUCACUCUCUCUCGAGCUCAUACCCCUCCUCUGCUCUUUCUCCCUCUCACCACCGUCGCUGCUGUUCGCCGUACCCAAGGCCACCGACCACCCCUCGCCCUGCCGCUGAGCCUAGAAGCUCCGCCGCGUCGUCCUCGACCUCCUCGCUGAGCUACGCAACGUUGAACGCUCCGGAGCCUCGCCAAUGCCGCCGUCUCCGUCCUUGGGUGCCGGAGAUUCCCGCCGACGUUUCGCCGGACCCCGUGUCUCUCUUGCCUCUCCAGCAGCACCAGAAGAACCACGAUGAGCCUCUGCACCGUUUUCCCCAUACCCCGUCGCCUAAUUCACCCUCCAGCCGCCGUUCCCACUAAAGCCGUGAGCUCUUCGCCGCCGGCGAUGGUGCAGACGAGGCCAUGCGCACUGCAGCCCGUGUCCGAGCACUCCAUCGUGCUCAGCAUGCUCCUCGUAGCACAUAUCACCCCACCGCCGUCCUCCCCGUGCACCACAACGUGAUCCCGCAUGCAACCGAACUCCGGCCGCCGCCGCGAGGUUGUUUCCGGAAAGCUCUAGUCACCCCACGACCUCCCACCUGCUCCCCUGGAUGCGGGCGAGCAAGGGCUACGCCCUGGUGCCCUUGGCACGUGCAGCCGACGCCCGUAGCGCGUUUCUGGCCUGCCUCCGCCGUGCUGGAUGGUCGCCGGCGGACUAACCCCGGCCGUGCUGACGUGGCCAGGUUAAUUAGGCAUUAACCACCUCUUAAUCAAACCCAAGAGUCACAGACAGCCGGGCCCCAUCUCAUAAUUAACCACAGGGUUAUUCCCUGCUUUAAUUAAGCUAAUGCUUUGACCCGCCACCUCAGCAUUGACCUGGCCCCACUAGUCAGCCUCUGUUCUUGCCCUGUUACACUGACGUGUGGACCCCACACAUCAGGUUUGACCUGGACCGCGCCCUGUUGACCUGCUGACGUCAUGAUGACGCAGUGCUGAUGAAGUAAAGUUUUCUGGAAUUAAAAUAAAUCAGAAAUGAUUUAUAAAUUUCAGAAAAUACCCCAAACUUCUAAAAAUCAUAGAAAAUCAACCAUAGCUCAGAAUUAAAUAAAUUAUAUAUGGAAAAUUAUCAGAAAAAUCAAGGAAUCCAUCUGUACCAUUUUCAUGCAUGUUUGAGCAAUGUUUGUCCUUUGUUUUGGACAAAACAAAUAAAAGGCAUUUAAAUAAUCAUAUAUGGAGUUGGAAUUUGAAUCAUGUAUUCAAACCAACUUCAUUUAAAUCAUAGCUAGAUGCAUUAGCUCAAAUCACAGCAUAUUGCCAUGUCAUGAUCAUGCAUCAUAUUGUGGCAUUGCAUUGAUUGUGUUCUUUCUCAUUUGCCGGUGUUUGUCCCCUCUUGAUAGACGUGGUUCCGUCGAUGUGAUCGAUGACACCGAUGAAGAACUAUACUAUCUUCAGAAGUGCCACGCAAGCAAAACCCCCUUGUUCAUUCCGAUACAGUCCCACUCUCUCGCUCCAGCUCUCUUUUACUGCAUUAGGACAACAGCGACUCAACUAUUACAUGGUGCGGUAGUUGAACCCCUUUCCUCUGCAUGACCUGUUAUUGCCACAGUAAAUAGAUGAAUCCCACAAGCAUGAGUAGGAGUUGUUUGAGCCCUGAUGUGCCUACUCAUUCAUGCUUUUUUGUCAUGCCUGCUAUUGCUUAGAGUUGAGUCAGGUAUGAUUCAUCGGGGAUGAAUUGGAAUGGUGUUGAACAUGUCCUACUGUGUAUGAGCUAAGUGUGUGAACACGAUUUGGUAAAGGUAGCGGUGAGAGGCCAUGUAGGAGUACAUGGUGGGUUGUCUCAUUGCAGCCGUCCUCAGGAACUGAGUUCUGUGUUUGUGAUCCAGGAACAGUUACUACCACACAUUGGGUUCUGGUAACUCGGCCCCUCUCGGCUUAUUAAUCAACUCGAUCUCUGUCCAGGAGUUGCAAAUAGUCUCUGGUGUUUGUAGGUAGUGUUAUUAGUCUACUAAGUGGCACCCGGUACAGGUGGGCUUGGGACAGACUAGGCACCAUGGCACGAUGUACCAAGUGGCACCCUGAUGGUGGGCUUGGGAACCCUGCUCACAUCGUUUGGGGCCGUGAGCGACACCCCGGCCGGAUCUCCUUGCGGAUGGAACCCGAAUAGGCGAUAAACCUGGACUAGAGACUUGUUGGUUAGUCACGUCGUGGACGACUCCCUCGCCCGGCUUCCGCUUGAAGGUUGCCAAGGUACAUGACGUGUACAGGGCGAUAAGUGGCGAGAGCGUGUGUGAAGAAGUACACCCCUGUAGGGUUAUCAUUAUCUAUUCGAAUAGCCGGAUUCCUCGGAUAUGGAAACUUGGACCCCUUGCAUAGUUCAUAGACAAGUGAAAGUGGAUACUCUAAAAUGCGCAAGAUAAGUGUGAGUGCUAUGGAUGGCGUUGUCGCAGGGAGAUGGGAGCGGAUCCAUAGUGGUGUAUUGGUAUGGUGAAUUUGUGGACACGUGUGCACCACCUCAAAAGAGUUACUUGCAGUCGUAGUUCAGGUUAGCCACUGAGUUAAAGCUGGCUUGCUGCAGUCAAACUCCACCACCCCUUAUUGAUACUGAUGCAUAUGUAGUUAGUUGUGAUGUAAGUCUUGCUAGGUACAUUUGUACUCACGUUUGCUUAAUUUAUGUUUUGCAAAGAGAUGUCAGUCUCGCUAGUAGUUCCACGUGGACCUCGACGUUUAGCUUGAUACCUCAGCUACGAUCUUGUUCCCUCGGCAGGAUCUUGUAGAUAGUCAGGCUUCUCAGCCUUUUCAUUUGUAGAUGCCUGUACUCAGACAUGUUAAGCUUCCGCGUGUGCUUUGACUUGUAUGCUCUGAAUGUUCGGUCAUGAGACCUAUGUUUGUAAUAUCUCGCUCCUCGGAGCCUAAUGAAUAAAUACUUGAGUCGUAGAGUUAUGUUGUGAUGCCAUGUUGUAUUUACACAUAUCAGGCAUCCGACAACCUAGUUGUUUAUCCUUGGUAGCCUCUCUUAUGGGGAAAUGUAGUCUUGUGCUUCCAUGAGCCAUAGUAGUCCGCUACAGCCUGGUCACUGGAGUCCUGCUAGCCCAGCACUACUGCUCCGGAACACUUGACUGGCCAGCAUGUGAUUCAGUUUGUUCCUGUGUCUGUCCCUUCGGGGAAAUGUCACGCGGUGACAUCCGGAGUCCCGCUAGCCUGCUACAGCUCGGGUUCCCGGAGUCCUGUUAGCCCAGUUGCUACCACCCGGAUUCACACGCUGCUGACCGACAUGCUCGAUGUUGAUUCAUGUAUGCCUGUCCCCGUAAGUUAGUGCCACUUUGGGUUCACGACUAGUCAUGUCGGCCCGGUUUCUCUGUCAUAUGGAUGCUAGCGACACUAUCAUAUACAUGAGCCAAAAGGCGCAAACUGUCCCGGGCCAUGGUAAGGCGACACCCGUGGGAAUACCGGGCGUGAGGCCCGCAAAAUGAUAUGAGGUGUUACAGGCUAGAUCGGUGUGACUUAGAAUCGGGGUCCUGACAGCUUUGGUAUUAGAGCCUGACUGCCUGUAGGUUUACCAAGCCAAACUGGUCGAAGUUGUGUCUAGAAAUGCUUUAGUUAUAUAAGGGAAUUGAUUGUGGAAGGGAACGUAAGGCUCUUUUUACUCCUUAUCCUCAUGACCUUCUGAUCUGAAUCAUCUUAUCUUUUUCUAAGGGGUUAAGGACUAGGAUUCUCUUCUAUCUCUCAGGAUGACGUCUUACUAAACCGUAGUUGCCUAGGAAUGUUGAGUUUAAGCCUCAGUUCAGUUCCUACUACUUCCGUGUGUUCAUAGCUGGCCUCAGAACCUUGAUAUUGUGAUGUUGAGUGGCUAUGCCACCAUUUUUGCAGGAUGUCUCAAAUAUUUUUGAGCAUUUACAACCGUUAUGCUGUCCGAGUCAUCCCAGGUUUCUAAAUAGUCUGAUGCAUUUGCAAAUCCCUUCUUUCUGUUCCUGAUGUUUUUUUGGGUCAGUUUAACCACACUAAUCGGUGAGUUGAGGUACUCUGUUGCCUCGACAUUAUGUUGGAGCUAUUAUUAUGACCCUAGGUGUCAUAGCAGAUCACCUGGUAAUCUAGCCAUGUUUCGUAUUCCUAGUGUUAUGAUUCUGGCCACCAUUCUCAAAAGCAUCCCGUGAUGCCACUUAGUUGGUAGGCAUUCUAUUCCUGGGUUCUUGAACCCAAGAUUCACCCCACUUACUUCAUGUUGAUAGUGUUUGCUAGUUCCUUUAGGUUAUUACUAACCUUUGCAUUAGUCCUCGAGGUCUGUGGUAUUUCCUUCUUCCGAAUACUAUGACCCAUUUAUGGUAGAAGUUUGUUGAAACCAAAAGAUCACAACAAAGUGCUCUUGAUGAGUUCUCCAUUCUUAUUGUGACUCUGCCAAUUCUACCUUCCGCAUGGGUUAUCUGGAAGAAACAUGUUGAACUUUGCUCAACAUGCUAAUCCAUGAAUCCACAACUCGGAAAGUUAUAUGUUCCUUGAGUUGUCCCUCUUUAGUUGUCUUCUGACCUUCGUCUAUCAAUUGAUAGUCAAGAGUAUGUGUGCAUUCGUUCAUCGAUGCCUAUCAUUCGUGUGGUUCGUUAAGCUAUUCUACUACAGAAUGACUAGGAGAAACAAACUCCAGCACCUCAUCCAUAUCUAGGAUUGGGUCAAAGCAAUUGUAUUCCACAGAUUAAGAAUGCUAAUCCAGCUUCUAGUCUGUUCUACCUUGGAGUGUUACCAUCUUUCUGUCAGGAGUGUCAUGAGAAUUGCACCACCUCCUAUAAAUUCUUGACGCAGUAAUACUUCUUGCCAUCAUUGUUCAUUCCUCGGUUCCGUGUUAUUGUAACCGGAAUGCCGACAAGUGUACUGCGAUGUGCGAAACCAAUACUCCUAGCAACUCCGUUGCUUGGUAGUUAAUGGACAAUACUCUCAAUCUUAGUGUGCUGGUUAUUGAAUCAUCAUCCUAAGAUUGAUCAUGCUACCUAGUCCAUAUUUCCGGGUGCACUCAUCGACCAAGGAGUUAGGAUUGUGACAAUCCCUCUCUCCUUGAUCAUAUCGUCUUGCCUGAAUAGCAAGAUUGUUCUCGAGCUUAAUAACAUAUCGGUGGUUCAUGAUUUUCCGAAUAUCUUCUCGGAAGUAUUACCAGGUUGUCACCUGACCACUAUGUUGAGUUCAUGAUCAUGUUGGUUUUCCUCCAAACCACCCAUUCUCCAAGAAUCUAUUUUGGAUACCCUGAGCUAGUUGGUUAAGCUAAACAACAACUUGAAGAGUUGGAAGAUGAAAGCUUGUCCGACUUAGUUCGUCACUAAGGGAUAUCCUUGUGUGUGUGUGUGUGUUGAAGAAAGAUGAUAUCUUCAUCGACUGAUCCCCAUGAUCAGCUGUUGAAUCUAUUAUCUUGUCCAAACCUUGAUUUGAGUGUGGGCUAUCAUCAAAUCAAAUCAGAACCAACGAUGUUCGUAAUGUUGUCUUACUUGCGGUUGUCCCUCGAGCAUACACCAUUAUAUCUUUCGGGUCUAACCAAUGCUAUCAGCUUGUUCAUAUGAUUGUGGAAUUCCAUUUAUAUGGAAACCUAGAUGAAUAGUUGUUGAGCCCAUCGACAACAUCCUUGUCUUCUCCAUGAUUUUGUUGGAUAUCAAGAUAGUGUUGGAAACUUUUGUAAGCAUUAUCUUCAUGUCCCGUUCAUGAAAUACAUGUUUGGUGUAAGAAGUGACUUUCUCCAAGUUCACGUGCAUUAGGUGCAAGUUGCCGCCGUGAAUUCAAGAAAGAUUGUUUUUGUUUCCUUUGGAAUCGUCCCAAGUAAGUCAUGUAUGUGCGAAGUAUUCUAUGGUCUGAUAGACUGAUCAUCUUCAUUCUAUAUGUAUCCCUAGCACACCAAGCCACUGAUUGAUUUUUCAAGGAGAAGAAGUCUCUUCUUAAGAGCAAGACUUAUGCAAGGACUUCGAUAUCCUUGUUGAUGGUUCCCCACCUGAACUCGGUAGUGUUUUUAUUAUAAGACUACUACGUGGUCAUGCUUGUCUGGGACAACAUGUUCACAUGUGUUAGUAGAACCAGCUCAUGUUUUGGAGCUUACUACCAUAGUCCAUUUCCCGAGAAUCUCGCAAGGUCAUCUCCUCGAUUUGUGUUGCAAACUUUCAUUUUUCUCUCUAGACUGGAUGAGUCUGCAAUAUUCUGACACCAACCAGAUAUGAAUCUCAGGCAGAUAUGAUGGUUGGAACGUUUGCCGAGAACUAUAAUAUUGGUCUCUCUGUAACCCGGUAAAGUGGAUGUCGUGGCCAAUGCACCAGCCGGAAGACCUAUUAUUGUAGUAUCUUGAUUGAGGAAGUUGGCCACCUCCCCAUAAGGAUCUCGCAGGAUUUACUUCCGUAGUUAUUCCUUAUGGAUUCCUGUGCUCUCGAAGUCUGACCUUUACUUGAUGGCCAUGUUGAUGCUUUUAAGUAUUGACCAUGGUACCUAGUACAUCAAGGAGAACAUUAGAAGCGGAGUGCUAAAUGUCUCUCGGUCGAUCAUCUAGAUUUUCUUCUUUGGCAUUACUAAGGAAAAAUCUGAGAAAGUGAUGUCCUCCUUUGCAUUUGCAUCCUCCAUCACCGUUUAUCAUGGUAGUACGAUGUGUUGCCAGGAUCCUUGGCACGGAUGCUGGUAAAACCUUGAUGAAUCUGGAAAUGCUCAAGUUCUUGAGAGCAAGCUCAGUCAUUGGUUUAUAUCCUCGGUAUCAAUUGGAAUGUGCCAUCCAUUGCCGAGUGUCCUAUAACUCUAGUUUCCUCUCCAAACUAAGUAUGCCAUUCUUUCGAAUUCAUUCAAUUGAUCAAUUGUGAUUUUCCUUAGGCUGGUAUAGAGAGUUUCAAUGAUCUCAGUAUCAAAAGUAAUUCUUUUGCCACUUAAGGGAAUAAUUCUACGAGUCACCCUCCCUGAGGUGUUCCGUUAUGGUAUCAUGGGCAACUUAACUCCUCGCUACCUUGAAACCCCCCCUAACCAUCUAUUUAACCGUCGAAUUUUUGCCUACCAACUUGAACCUUCAUCAUCUGUUUCACUCCAUCCCUCUAGAUGUAUGCUUCGUGUCUCAUCUCGAGAGAUGUUGCUAUGUCUCGUUCUGUGAGCUGAUCAUCAGUUGCUCGAUCUUUGAGGAGAUCAGUUCUGUAGAAUUUCUUUCUGUCAUCGUUGUGUUGGAUGAAGUUCUCAGAGCAUGAUGCCGAGACAAGAUCAUGAUCAGAUCAAUGUUCUUAUGAGGCGCAACCUGGAUCAUGAAGAUUCUGUUAGUUUGCAUUCCCCCUUCCAUCUUACCCUACGCUUGAAUCUCGGGACGAGAUUCUUGUUUUAGUGGGGGUGAGUUGUCACAUCCCUAGCUUUACCUUGGCCUUGGACUAGCUUGGUUGUUGCAUCAUGUUUAAAUUCAAAUGAAAUUUGAAUUCGGGAAUUUUCAAAGCCUCAGAAUCCUUUUAAAAAUGAUCAAGAUAAAAUUGCUUCAAAUAAGUCCAAGAAAAUGUUCUUGUUAUCCUCUAGAAAUAUUGGCAAGAGGUAAAAUCCAAACAAAUAUUUUUGGUGUCUCAGAAACAUUUAUUUUGGGCAUUUGAAUUAAAUCAAUAACUAUUUGAAUUGGAUUUAUAUCUACUAUUAAAUAAAUAUAGGUCCAAUAAUUCCGAAAUAUUUUAUCGAGCUUUGGUUUAAAUCUUUUAGCUUCUAAAAAUAUUUCCAGAAGCAACAAAAUUGAAUUGGUUUCAAAACCAAAUUCAAAACAGACCUGCAAAACAGAAAACAGAAGAGAAUUAGAAAAAAACAGAGAGAGGAAAACCCCACCUGGCUUACCUGCAGCCCACCUGGCCUGGCACUGCUGGCCCAGCCCACCAGGCCCUCCACCGUCUUCAACCUCCUGCCAGUGGGUAGGAGGGCGUGUGGCCGCCGUGCGCGCCCACGCGCUCCGCGCCACCUCCUGCUUGCCGACGAGCCCCUAGACGCAUGGACGAUUUUCCGCGUGUCUUCACGAUCCCGCUGACCCCCUCUCACUCUCUCUCGAGCUCAUCCCCCUCCUAUACUCUUUCUCCCUCUCCCCACCGUCGCCACCGUUCGCCGUACCCAAGGCCACCAACCACCCCUCGCCCUGCCGUUGAGCCUAGAAGCUCCGCCACGUCGUCCUCGACCUCCUCGCUGAGCUACGCAACACCGAAUGCUCCGGAGCCUCGCCAACGCCGCCGUCUCCGUCCUCGGGUACCGGAGAUCCCUGCCGAUGUUUCGCCGGACCCUGUGUCUCCCUUGCCUCUCCAGCAGCACCAGAAGAACCGCGGUGAGCCUCUACACCGUUCUCCCCAUACCCCGUCUCCUAAUUCACCCUCCAGCCGCCGUUCCCACCGAAGCCGUGAGAUCUUCGCCACCGGCGAUGGUGCAGACGAGGCCAUGUGCACUGCAGCCCGUGUUCGAGCACUCCAUUGUACUCAGCACGCUCCCCGUAGCACAUAUCACCCCACCGCCGUCCUUCCCGUGCACCACAAUGCGAUCCGCACGCAACGAACUCCGGCCGCCGCCGCGGGGUUGUUUCCGGUGAUUUCCGGUCACCCCACGAACUCCCACCCGCUCCCCUGGAUGCUGGCGAGCAAGGGCUACGCCCUGGUGCCCUCGCCACGUGCAGCCGACGCCUGUAGCGCGUUUCCGGCGUGCCUCCGCCGCGCUGGAUUGUCACCGGCUGAUUAACCACGGCCGUGCCGACGUGGCCAGGUUAAUUAGGCGUUAACGACCUCUUAAUCAAACCCAAGAGUCACAGACAGCCGGGCCCCACCUCAUAAUUAACCACAGGGUUAUUCCCAGCUCUAAUGCUUUGACCCGCCACCUCAGCGUUGACUUGGCCCCACUAGUCACCAUCUGUUCUUGCCCUGUUACACUGACAUGUGGACCCCACACGUCAGGUUUGACCUGGACCGCGCCCUAUUGACCUACUGACGUCAUGAUGACGCAGUGCUGACGCAGUAAAGUUUUCUGGAAUUAAAAUAAAUCAGAAAUGAUUUAUAAAUUUCAGAAAAUACCCCAAAUUUCUAAAACUCAUAGAAAAUCAACCGUAGCUCAGAAUUAAAUAAAUUAUAUAUGGAAAAUUAUCAGAAAAAUUCAAGGAAUCCAUCUGUACCAUUUUCGCGCAUGUUUGAACAAUGUUUGUCCUCUGUUUUGGACAAAACAAAUAAAAGGCAUUUAAAUAAUCAUAUAUGGAGUUGGAAUUUGAAUCAUGUAUUCACACCAACUUCAUUUAAAUCAUAGCUAGAUGCACUAGCUCAAAUCACAUCAUAUUGCCAUGUCAUGAUCAUGCAUCAUAUUGUGGCAUUGCAUUGAUUGUGUUCUUUCUCAGUUGCCGGUGUUUGUCCCCUCUCGAUAGACGUGGUUCCGACGAUGUGAUCGAUGACACUGAUGAAGGACUAUACUAUCUUCAGAAGUGCCAGGCAAGCAAAACCCCCUUGUUCAUUCCGAUACAAUCCCACUCUCUCACUCCUUCUCUCUUUUAGUGCAUUAGGACAAUAGCAAUUCAACUGUUACAUGCUGCGGUAGUUGAACCCCUUUCCUCUGCAUGACCUGUCAUUGCCACAGUAAAUAGAUGGAACCCACUAGCAUGAGUAGGAGUUGUUUGAGCCCUGAUGUGCCUACUCAUUCAUGCUUGUUUGUCAUGCCUGCUACUACUUAGAGUUGAGUCAGGUCUGAUUCAUCGGGGAUGAAUUGGAAUGGUGUUGAACAUGUCCUACUGUGUGUGAGCUAAGUGUGUGAACAUGAUUUGGUAAAGGUAGCGGUGAGAGGCCGUGUAGGAGUACAUGGUGGGUUGUCUCAUUGCAGCCGUCCUCAGGAACUGAGUUUUGUGUUUGUGAUCCAUGAACAGUUACUACCACACAUUGGGUUCCGGUAACUCGGCCCCUCUCGGCUUAUUAAUCAACUCGAUCUCUGUCUAGGAGUUGCAACUAGUCUCUGGUGUUUGUAGGUAUUGUUAGUAGUCUACCAAGUGGCACCCGACACAGGUGGGAUUGGCACAGACUAGGCACAGUGGCACGGUGUACCAAGUGGCACCCGGAUGGUGGGCUUGGGAACCCCGCUCACAUCAUUUGGGGCCAUGAGCGACACCCUGGCCGGAUCUCCUUGCGGAUGGAACCCGAAUAGGCGAUAAACCUGGACUAGAGACUUGUUGGUUAGUCACGUCGUGGCCAACUCCCUCGCCCGGCUUCCGCUUGAAGGUUGCCGAGGUACAUGACGUGUACAGGGCGAUAAGUGGCGAGAGCGUGAGUGAAGAAGUACACCCCUACAGGGUUAUCAUUAUCUAUUCGAAUAGCCGGAUUCCUCGGAUAUGGAAACUUGGACCCCUUCCAUAGUUCAUAGACAAGUGAAAGUGGAUACUCUAAAAUGCGCAAGAUAAGUGUGAGUGCUAUGGAUGGCGUUCUCGCAGGGAGACGGGAGCGGAUCCAUAGUGGUGUAUUGGUAUGGUGAAUUCGUGGACUCGUGUGCGCCACCUCAAAAGAGUUACUUGUAGUCGUAGUUCAGGUUAGCCACUGAGUCAAAGCUGGCUUGCUGUAGUCAAACUCCACCACCCCUUAUUGAUACUGAUGCAUAUGUAGUUAGUUGUGAUGUAAGUCUUGCUGGGUACAUUUGUACUCAUGUUUGCUUAAUUUAUGUUUUGCAGAGAGAUGUCAGUCUCGCUAGUAGUUCCACGUGGACCUCGACGUUUAGCUUGAUACCUCAGCUACGAUCUUGUGCCCUCGGAAGGAUCUUGUAGAUAGUCAGGCUUCUCAGCCUUUUUCAUUUCUAGAUGUCUAUACUCAUACAUGUUAAGCUUCCACAUGUUCUUUGACUUGUAUGCUCUGAAUGUUCGGUCAUGAGACCUAUGUUUGUAAUAUCUCACUCCUCGGAGCCUAAUGAAUAAAUACUUGAGUCGUAGAGUUAUGUUGUGAUGCCAUGUUGUAUUUACACAUAUCAAGCAUAUUGUGUGUAUGAUUGAAAUGCUUGGUAUGUGUGGGAUCCGACAACCUAGUUGUUUAUCCUUGGUAGCCUCUCUUAUGGGGAAAUGUAGUCUUGUGCUUCCAUGAGCCAUAGUAGUCCGCUACAGCUCGGUUCACCGGAGUCCUGCUAGCCCAGCACUACUGCUCCGGAACACUUGACUGGACGGCAUGUGAUUCAGUUCGUUCCUGUGUCUGUCCCUUCGGGGAAAUGUCACGCGGUGACAUCCGGAGUCCUGCUAGCUUGCUGCAGCCCGGGUUCCCGGAGUCCUGUUAGCCCAGUUGCUACCGCCCGGAUUCACACGCUGCUGACCGACAUGCUCAAUGUUGAUUCAUGUAUGCCUAUCCCCGUAAGUUAGUGCCACCUUGGGUUCACGACUAGUCAUGUCGGCCCGGUUUCUCUGUCAUAUGGAUGCUAGCGACACUAUCAUAUACGUGAGCCAAAAGGCGCAAACGGUCCCGGGCCAUGGUAAGGCGACACCCGUGGGAAUACCGUGCGUGAGCCCGCAGAGUGAUAUGAGGUGUUACAGGCUAGAUCGGUGUGACUUAGAAUGGGGGCCUGACACUACCGAGCUAUAAGUAAUCGCAAAGUACUUAAUAGUGAAAAUAUUCUACCUUACUUCCGAAGACAAUAACCGAUUCUUAUAAAUUGUAGUCUGGAUCGUAGCCCUUCUUGACAGAGUUCGUCUUCGGGGGAUCUCCUUCCGGAGAUGAUGGAGAGUGAAACGCCUCCCCCUGACACCCCGGCCCCGGAGGCGGGCGACCCUGAAGUGUCGUCGCGGAGGAUAUCUCCAGAUCCGCCAAGGCCAGAGGAUAACCCUUUGGCUACCCGAAAUCCCCAUUAUCCGGCUUCUAAGGAGAGCGGCAACGAGGGUCCAGAACCAUACAGUGUGCGGUCAGACGCGCUGAAGGAUCUUCUGGGCAAGCGGCCGUCUCGGAAGUGCAUCGUACGCUAAUGGGUAUGGUAAUUGAAAGGAUUUCAUCCGCUGAAAGCGGUUUGCACGAAGCCUUUAUGAGUCUGCUGAAGGGCUUUGAGGUUCGUGAAAUAGUGUAUGUUUUUGAUAGUACCGCACACGUUAGGUGUGCCCUAUGCAGAUAGUAGCCCUUAAGACUCUGGUUGUCGUCGAGAACGUCGGCAACCCGAGGGUCAUAUACCCGGGUAAUAACCCAACUGCCUUUAUGUGCAGGUGGCUGAGGCUACGGUGGCUAGCCAAACUGAUGGGUUUACCGAGAUAUAGCGGCAACUUGAUGCGGUUGAUGCCAAUAUCGUGCUUGUCAACCAGCGGCUUGACGAGGCACAGGGUGAGUGAUUUCUCUAGUGAUCUCACAUAAUAAGAGGAGCAUGAUGCUAGUAUCUUAAAUAUGUUGCGACUGCAGAUGGAAGUGCCGCCGUGGAGACCCUUCGGGCGGAGCUGGCCCGAGCCAAGGAGCAAGCAAGGAGUAGCAAUGCGGCCGCUCUAAAGGCGGCCGGAGAGUUAAGGGCCGAAUGGGCCGCGCAUUGCGAGAGCAAGGAAAGAAUAGCCAGAAUGGUUGUAGAAUUAAAAGAUGCCGCUGACCGUUACCAACUUCUUGAAGAAGAAAGCCGAGCAAGGGCGACAGGGCUGGAGAAGGCCCUGGUAGCUGCCAAGGAAGCCCGCUCCAAAAUUAGAGCGACGAAGGAGGAGCUGCAUCAAGCUGCAGAUAUCGUGUCUGGGAAGCCCUUCUUGUUGCGGACUAAAUUCGGAGAUCCAAAAUAUGUUCCUCUUGACCGAAUAUGGAGUUCUACGAACGCCUACGUGGAAUUGGCUGCAGGUGCUGCUGAUGCGGCCGAGUACUUCAAGGAUCAGAAAGAUCAAGAAGUGGAGAAGCUGUUCUGGUCACAGUUUCAUGCUCCAGUCCGUCCGCUGCUAUUGAAUGACCGAAUAGCCGAGUGGACCAAGCUCCGUAGGUUGUCCGGACUUGCCGUGAGGUCUGUUGUAGAUCAUCUGUGGCUGGGAGGGCCAAGGCCGAAUAGCUACUUUAGUUUAGUGCAACUGUCGGAGUAAACGACCACUGGUAGCCUAGCCGGCUCCCCCUGGCCCUUCUGAAAAAAUUACAAGCUGAUCCGGCCCUCAAGAAUCCAAGACGUGGGGCCGCCUUCCCCUUACCGGUUGUCUCCCAGGCCGACUAUCGGAAGGCGGCCCGGCUUUAGCCCUCAUGAAGAAAGCCGAGGGAGGGCCGACUCCAAGAAGCCGGCUGCGAGAAGCCGACUCCCACAAAGCGGUCAAGAUCGUACCCUCGAGGUCUGCAUCCACCUAACAGCGAUGUGGCGGGGCGUGGCUACAGUAAAGCCUGCCACCCCCGAAUCCCGGAGCACGCCUGACACAGUGCGCCGUAUGGGGUGGCCAUGACCCGUCCGGCGCGGCACUGUUGCCAUGUUGACCCUGAUGCCACCCAUGACGAGCUGUCAGCGCGGCCCACGGGCGGUGGGCCCCUUCAGGCAGAGAGACACCCGAAGGCGGCCAGGCCUCCCCCAGUCGGCCCAAGACAGGGCCGGCUCCCCACAGCCGGAUUGCUUCCUCCCUCGAAGGAGACGCCCCAUUAAGGAGAAAAGACGAGGUGAGGCUACAACGAUCGCCCACCGGCCGGCGGCACUAUAGCCACGCUUACCUCGGCGAAGCCCUCGUCACCAGGUUUGAGGCAACAGUAACCAGCCACCGACAAGGCCCUUGACAGUGGGGCCUGCCUGUCGACCAAGGAGCCGACAGCUGGCGGGACCCACCAGCCGGUCGGCUCCAGCAGCCGGCGCAGAAGCCGGCGAGCAUAGACACAGACGGCUAGGGGCCACGCCCAGCCGGAUUACCAUUGUCCCCCGGGGGGUGGGCCUAUAUAAACCCCUCGUGGCACCCAUGGAAAGGGUUGAUCUGAGCUAGUUUUAGACACCACAUAGAGAGAGAGCUAGCCGUGCCCUUCUUCUUCUUCUCGCCAAACAGCUCAAGGAGCAUCUUGUAGCCACUCGUUCAUCUAGUGAUCAUGCGGAGACCCUGCAGAGCAGUAGUAGGGGUGUUAUCUCCAUGGAGAGCCCUGAAGCUGGGUAAGAUUCGUCGGAGUGCAUGUCUUCGCCUCAUCCCGCUUCCAGGCACCGGCGAUGUCUUACUGGCUCCCACAAUGAUAAGCCACCCGUUGGCAUAUGUCGCACCUACCACCCGACAUUUGGCGCCCACCAUGGGGCCAGGUGCACCGUCAUCAGGAGACCUGUUCUGGAGGGGAACCCUCUUCCUCCCCAGCGAGCAUAGCCAGCCCAGCACGCCCGAUGGCGCUUGCCACGACGUGCUGCAAGGCAUCACCAACAUCUGCGCAGCGAGCGGCCUCGCCGAUCUCCUUGACGAGACCCUCAUCUCUGACGAGCCCGCCUCUGACGCGGGCACCGACCAACUCGUCAACCUCCUCGGCCAGCUCCACGUCUCCGGCGAGCCUGCUGUGGACUUGGAGUUUGUUGGAUCCACCGAUCCGAUGCCUGUCGACUCCGACAUGGCCUCGCUCGAUGCUUUCCCCACCGACGUCGUGAUCUACAAUGACCCGCUUCCCCGGGCCGAUGGCUACGACGGUGCCACCACCGAGGUGAUGGUCAUCGGCCACGGUGGUGCUUCUGGUGAGAAUGCCCUCGACGCCCCGCAUGCGGCGGUCCACGACUUGUCCAUCCCCCUCCCGGCCAAUGCCGACGCCGAAGCACUGGAGGCUCGCUGCCUCGCCCUCCUCCCGGAGGGCCGGAAGUUGGCUUCCAUGAGACGCCUCACUGAGGCCCACCAGCGCGAAGCCGACCGCGCCGCCUUUGGCACGCCGCCCCCAGGCGGGCCAAGCCGAGCCGGCGUUGUCAGACAGCGCGCCGCUGCCCUCGCCGACACGCUAGGAGUCGACCGCCUAGUCUACGCCACUCCACUCGAGAACCUGCGCGCCGCCCAGGCGGCCGUAGAUGAGCUAAACGGACUGGGGGCCGAAGAACUCCCCCACAUGACCAGACGCAUCCAGCAACUAAUCGAUGCAGCCGCAUAGCGGCACGAAGCCGACGCACGCGCGGAAAGCCCUCCGCUGCGCCGAGAGCACGACGCGACAUCCCGGACGCCGACUGCGGGUAAAACCCGCGCGCGACAUGAGAAAGAGCCGGCUGCCAGCCUAAGCCGAACCCGGAUCUCCAUCGAGCGAGACGCAGAAGGCCAUCCCUGGGCCAUGGAGCGGCGGGGCAACCCGCCUCCGCCUCCACCUCGUGGGGAGAGAUAUCCCACCCCACCGCCUGUCACGCAUCCGACUCUCGGCGGCCGACUAGGUCGCCGCGAAGGAGUCGGCGAGAAUGACGCCCGCCAUCAGAUCGACCGCCUAGCGCGAUCCCUGGCGCUAGAAGAAGAAGAUGAUGUCGGCCCGCCUUGCUUCGGCCCCCGCAUCCGCGAUGAGCCUUUCCCCAAAGGGUUCUCGCUCCCAAGAGACACGCCCAAGUACAACGGCUCCGUGAAGCCGGAAGAUUGGUUGAUCGACUACUCCACAGCGGUUCGCAUAACAAACGGCAACAGGCGCAUUGCCGUGAAGUACGUGCCCCUCAUGAUGCAAGGCACGACGGGGACCUGGCUCAACAGCCUCAGGCCAUACAACAUCAACAACUGGCUAGACUUACAAGCGGGCUCCCAAGCCCAGACAGCUCUCCUUGUGCGUACAAGGCCCCACCGAAUCCACUCGCGACUACCUCACGCGUUGGGCCGAGCUCCGAAACUCUUGCAAAGGGGCGCACGAGGUGCAAGUCAUAGAAUACUUCACUGCUAGGUGCCGAGAAGGCACCCUCCUCAAGCACAAGCUCCUCUGCGACAAGCCGACUACCCUCGACGAGCUUCUGGUCAUAGCGGACAAGUACGCCACCGCCGACUCCUCAAUGAAGACUGAACUCCGGGUAGACGCAUCCGGGAAGGUACUCAACCCGGCGCCCAAGACGCCGGCUGGGGACUCUGGCCGACGCCCGUACCAGAAUGGCCAUAAGCGCAAGGGCCCCGUGCCGCUCUCCACCAGUCGGCAGGUGGCCAUAGUCGAAGACGAGCAGCCCGAAGGGCGGCCCGCACACAAGAAGCAGAGGGGCGGCAGGCCGGCUUGGCAGUCGGCCUUCUCCUACGAGCAAACUCUUGACGCCCCAUGCAAGUUCCACAGUGGCGCGAAGCCGUCCAACCACACAACCUGGAAGUGCCACUGGCUCACCCGAAUCUCCAAAGGCGAAGGGCUCGCGCCGCCUCCGCCUGCUGGUCCGCCGCCUCCGGCUCCGCAGCUGACGACCGCUCGGCCAGCAGUCGGAGCUGUGCACGAUGAGUUCCCCGACGAGCAUGCCGCCUAUGUCGUCUUUACAAGCCAGCCCGAAGGCCAGCGCAGCAGACACCGAGAGCACCAGGAAGUCAACAUGGUCGCUACCAGCCCCGCCAAGCACAUGCACUGGUCAGAAAAUCCUAUCAGCUGGAGCCGGGCCGACCACCCAGAGGUGAUGCCAUCUCCCGGCUCUUAUGCGUUGGUUUUGGAUGCCACCCUUGCAAUGGACAGACACGCCGCCCGUUUCUCCUGCGUGCUGAUAGACGGCGGGAGCAGCAUCAACAUCCUGUACCGUGACACCCUAGAGAAGUUGAACGUCAAGAUGAAGAAACUCAUGCCUACUCGGACUGUGUUCCAUGGCAUUGUACCUGGCCUGUCCUGCGCCCCCAUUGGAAAGAUCAAGAUUGAUGUUCUCUUUGGGGACAAGGAUCAUUUCCGCCGGGAAGCGAUUUGGUUUGAAGUGGUGGACCUGGAGAGCCCCUACCAUGCAUUGCUUGGCCGUCCUGCCUUGGCCAGGUUCAUGGCUGUUCCCCACUAUGCUUACCUCAAGAUGAAGAUGCCGAGCGCCAAGGGCAUCAUCACCAUAGCCGGCGAUUACAAGAAAUCUUCCGAGUGUGCAGCAGCCAGCAGCCGGCUGGCCGAGUCCCUUGUGAUUGCCGAAGAAAAGAAGAUGUUGGACCGAGUCGUGGCCAUGGCCGGCAAACAGCCGGCCCUGUCCCCCGAUCCCAAGGAGUGUGAUGCCCAAGGAUCUUUCCAGCCAGCCAAGGAGACAAAGAAGAUACCUCUUGACCCCGAGCACCCAAAAAGGUUUGCCGUCAUCGGGGCAAACCUAAACAGCAAAUAGGAAGGCGAGCUCGCCGAUUUCCUCCGUGAGAAUCGGGACAUCUUUGCAUGGUCCCCUGAGGACAUGCCGGGUGUUCCGAAGGAAUUCGCCGAGCACAAGCUACACGUUUGAGAAGGCGCAAAACCAGUCAAACAACCCCUCCGCCGACUGUCGGAGGAGAAAAGAAGGAUUGUAGGAGAAGAGAUAGCCCGGUUUCUGGCAGCCGGCUUCAUUAUGGAGUUUUUCUUUCCAGAGUGGCUCGCCAACCUGGUCCUCGUGCUAAAGAAGAACAACAAGUGGCGCUGUGCAUAGACUACACGAGCCUCAAGAAGGCCUGCCCCAAAGAUCCCUUUGCCCUGCCAAGGAUUGAUCAAGUCAUAGACUCCAUGGCCGGAUGCGAGCUGUUGAGUUUCUUGGAUGCUUACUCAGGAUACCACCAGAUAAAGCUAAAUCCGGCUGACCGCCUGAAGACCGCCUUCAUCACGCCAUUCGGAGCUUUCUGCUACCUGACUAUGACAUUCGGCUUAAGAAAUGUCGGUGCCACAUUUCAGCGUUGCAUGCAGAAGUGCCUCCUCAAGCAGCUCGGCAGAAAUGCCCACGUCUACAUAGACGACAUUGUGGUGAAGACGGAGAAGCAUGACACCUUGCUGGAAGACCUCAAGGAAACAUUUGAGAACCUGCGCCUGUUCCAGAUCAAGAUCAACCCCGAGAAAUGCAUGUUCGGAGUGCCAGCCGGCCAGCUCCUAGGCUUCCUGGUCUCCGAACGCGGCAUCGAAUGCAACCCAGUAAAGAUCAAGGCCAUUGAGAGAAUGGCGAUUCCCACCAAACUUCGAGACGUCCAGAAGUUCACCGGGUGCUUGGCCUCCCUGAACCGCUUCAUCAGCCGGCUCGGAGAGAAAGCUCUCCCCCUCUACCGCCUCUUGAAGAAGACCACUCACUUCGAGUGGAACGACCAAGCCGACCAAGCUUUUCACGAGCUGAAGAAGAUGCUGGCCAUGCCGCCUGUCCUGGCGGCGUCGACUGAGAAAGAGCCCAUGCUCCUCUACAUUGCUGCAACCAGCCGGGUGGUCAGCACCGUCAUCGUAGUCCAGCGCCCAGAAGAGGGCCGAGCCCAGCCGGUCCAGAGGCCGGUGUACUAUUUGAGUGAGGUGCUAUCUACCUCAAAGCAGAACUACCCGCACUACCAGAAGAUGUGCUAUGGCGUGUACUUCACCGCCAAGAAGCUGAAGCCCUACUUCCAAGAGCACCCCAUCAUGGUCGUAUGCACCGCCCCGCUUGCCGAGAUCAUAGGCAACCAAGAUGCAUCCGGCCGGGUGGCGAAAUGGGCCAUCGAGCUGGCCCCCUACAUGAUCUUCUACCAGCCUCACACUGCCAUCAAGUCCCAAGUAUUGGCCGACUUCCUCGUCGACUGGGCCGAGACCCAGUACCAGCCGCCAGCUCCCGACUCCACCCAUUGGCGCAUGCACUUCGACGGGUCCAAGAUGCGCACUGGCUUGGGAGCCGACGUCAUCCUCACCUCUCCCAAAGGUGACAAGCUCAGAUACACGCUGCAAAUUCACGUUGCCGCCUCCAACAACGUGGCCGAGUACGAGGCGCUCAUACACGGGCUCCUGCUUGCCAAAGAGCUCGGCAUACGCCGGAUCCUAUGUUACGGCGACUCGGACUUGGUAGUCCAGCAAUCAUCCGGCGACUGGGACGCCAAGGACGCAAAUAUGGCAAGCUACCGCUUCCUCGUUCAGCAGACCAGCGGGUACUUUGAAGGAUGUGAGUUCCUCCAUGUACCGCGAGCCGACAACGAGCCAGCUGAUACCCAGGCUCGAAUAGGCUCCACUCAGCAGGCGAUACCAACCGGUGUCUCUCUGCAACGCCUCCUCAAGCCGUCUAUCAAGCCGUCUCCAGAGUCCGAUUCCAUCUUCGUGCCGCCUGACCCCGACGGAGCUAGGUCCGGCUCGAAGAACCAAGCAGGUGACCCAGGGACUUCGAUAGUCGGCCCGGGGACGUCAGUAGGCGGCUCGGGACUUCCGUAGUUACGCCCGACCCAGGGACUGCCACACCCGGCUCGGGGACUGCGGUAGUCGGCCCGGGGACUGCACCAACACAACAGGCGGCGGCCGACUCCAGCAUUUCACCACCCAGCCCGCCCGCCCUGGUCGCAGUAGCCGUGUUGGCAAUAGAAGAAGUCGCAGCUCCAUCAUGGGCCCAGUCCAUCCUCAACUUCCUAAUAAACCAAGAUCUGCCGGCUGACGAAACAAAGGCAAGACAAGUCCAAUGCCGAGCCGGAGCAUACACAAUCGUCAACAGAGAGCUCGUCAGGCGCAGUGUCAUUGGAGUCUUCCAGCGAUGCGUCGAGCAAGAGAAGGGCAUUGCAAUCCUCAGAGACAUCCACCAAGGAGAAUGCGGCCACCAUGCGGCCUCAAGAUCACUCGUCGACAAAGCUUUCCGCCAUGGGUUCUUUUGGCCGACUGCUUUGGAUGACGCCAAGGAGUUAGUUAAACAUUGCAAAGGGUGCCAAGUCUUCAGCUCCAAGCAACACAUGCCGACUUCGGCACUCAAGACCAUUCCCCUCACUUGGCCCUUCACUGUUUGGGGACUGGACAUGGUGGGCCCAUUCAAGACGGUGCGCGGCGGCGUGACACAUCUGCUUGUCGCCAUGGACAAAUUCCCCAAAUGGAUUGAGGCAAAGCCGAUCAAGAAGCUGAAUGGGCCGACUGCCGUGACAUUCAUCGCAGAUAUAACAACUCGGUACGGCGUGCCACACAGCAUCAUCACCGACAACGACACGAAUUUCGCCAAGGGAGCAUUGGCACAUUUCUGCGCGACGCAGGGCAUCCGGUUGGACUUAGCAUCCGUUGUCCACCCGCAGUCAAACGACCAAGUCGAGCGAGCCAAUGGCCUCAUCCUUUCCGGCAUCAAGCCCCGACUGGUCGUACCACUGGAACGUUCGGCCGACUGUUGGCUCGAUGAGCUGUCGGCCGUCCUCUGGAGUCUGCGCACUACCCCAAACAAGUCAACCGGCUUCACUCCUUUCUUCCUCGUGUAUGGUGCCGAGGCGGUCAUCCCAACUGACAUCGAGUUCGACUCGCCAAGGAAACACGAUAAGACGGCGUCGACCUGCUGGAAGAAGGUCGGCUGUUAGCCCUUAGCCGGUCCGCCAUCUACCAGCAGGGCUUGCGCCGCUACCACAACCGGAAGGUCAGACCAAGAUCUUUCCAAGAGGGCGACCUCGUGCUCCGGCUGAUCCAGCGAACAGCCGGCCAGCACAAGCUCUCGGCCCCUUGGGAAGGCCCCUUCGUCAUCAGCAGAGCGCUGGGAAAUGACUCCUACUACCUGAUCGACGCACAGAAGCCGAAGGUACGAAAGAGAGACGACUCCGGCAAGGAGUCGGAAUGACCAUGGAACGCCAACCUCCUCCGAAGAUUUUACAGUUGAAAUGCAGUAUGUAUCAUGCUAACUUUUGUACUAAGUACGAGACAAUAGGCCCCCCGAGGAGAGCUCGGGGACUGCCAUCUUUUAUCUAUGAAUGAAGAGUAUCAUGCUUAUGAUCAUGUCAUUACAUUCACUUUUUUCGUUCGGCACCGGGUUCGACUAGUCGGCCCGGGGACUGGCCGCCUUGAGUUAUAUUAGAAGUCCUACCCGCGGUCAGACAAGUAGUGUGCCGGAACCCAAGCCUUCUCUUGCCAAAAGUCGCAAUUCGAAGAACCGGCUGUCCGGAUGGCAAGAGUUAAAGGCAGGAAAGGACGCCCACACGAAAAACGGCUAGGGACUAACGGAAUAAUAUAACAAAAGCCGGUUUUUCUCCCACCACCGACCGACUACCAGAGUAGCCGGCCGGCUGGCUUCCAUUCACCUCGCUUCAAUCUAAUAAAGCUCGAGUACUUGCCUUCCCCAAAAAAAUAUAGCCAAGUUCUUCCCUAGCCAAAGGCUGCAGAGCAGCUGCCGGUUGGGAAGGCAGCAGCCAGGGGAAGGCGGCAAAGGAAACAGCCUAAGGAUAAAAAGCAUACAUGAAUGGAAGCCAAACACACACACGAUCAUAUUUACACAAAAGACCUUCGAAAGGCCAGCAUUCAACAUAGUUUGAAUAUACCACUAGUGGGUGGAAUUGCGCAAGUUUAAUAAAAAUUGUUCAAAGAGUAACAAGCAGGAAAAGCAAGGACGGCAGAUUAAGCUAAGGGAACGACUGGUGAGUCAGGCAGGUCUGUAGAGACGACAGUGCUGGCUGGAGGAGUGGCCGGCUGGCGAGCCUCGGCAUGAUCACCACCUCCCGCAGAGGGCGCGCUAGCACGCGCCUCGUUGCUGGAGGCACGGUCAAGCUGAGGCUCGCUGGCCGCUUCACCGGCCGGCUCGACGUCUUCGCCUUCCUCUCCUUCGUCGUCUUCACCUUCAUCGCUGGAAGCGAUCUCCUCCGCCGAGUCCUCACCCUCUGCCGGGUCCAGCCUGAACCAUUCCUCCGGCUGGGCAACGCCGUCGUCAUUUAUCUCAGGAGCAAAGGCGCUGAUGUCAAUGCACUCGGCGAUCGUCGAGGCACGCUGAGCGAUAGCCGGCCGCACCUCCUCCAUCUCCUCGUUGGCUUCCAGCCGCUAGGUGCGCAGCUGGUCCAGGUUCAGCCCAGGAUACCAGGCUGGGACGAACGCCAGUGCCCGCCUAGCUCCAACCCGGGCUGCCGAUGCCUUCCAGGCCUCAAAGCGGCCAACCGCAACCUCCAGUCAGUCGGCAGUCCGACUCGGGGUGCGAGGAAUCGCUUCGCCUGGCCAGAGGGCGGCCAACACCUGCGCCCCGGCGCGCUGGAGGCGGCGGAGCAUGCGGUGAGCUGGCUGCAGCCGGGCUUGGACCGCCAAGAGUUACUCCUCAAGCGUCUGGCUCGCAUCCGGCACGAUUUCAGCCCCUGCCUGCCGGUGCGCCUCGCGGUGGGCCUCGAUGGUCUGAGUGGCAAUGACGGAGUAGCCGGGGAAGUAGUCUGCACAAAGAACAAAAAGCAGCACAAGGCAGAACACAAAUCAGGGGGCAAGGGGCAAGCAAGGAGUGAGGAAGGCGGCUUACCAUCGAUCACUCGCAUAUUAACUACACCCAAUGCUCAAGUACGAUCAUAGUGCCUCCUAGUUGGUGCUUUAUAAGAGAAUAUGGACACUCAAAUUCAAAAAUAAAAAUUGCAUAAAGUAAAAGAAACUCCCUUCGCGGAGGGAGUAGGGAUUUGUAGAGGUGCCAGAGCUCAAAGCGAAAAAUUGAGAGACAAAAACAUUUUGAGAGGCAUACUUUUCCCACCAAUGAAAAUGACUUAGAGUUCCCAACACUUUCCAUGCUAGAGAUAUCAUAGGUAGUUCCCAAACAGAAAUUAAAGUUUAGUAUUUUUCAACCAUACUUUCACUUUCCAUGGCUAUCUAUAUCCACGGUUGCCCUCCAUACCAACACUUUCCAAGGAAUUUAUUAUUUGACAACAUAAAGUAAAUUCAUUUUUCAUUUCAGGAUUGGGCAUCCCUAAUACCUUUGCCUUACUCUCAUGCAAUGACAAGUGAAUAAACACUCACCAUAAGAAUAACACAUCUAGCAUGGAAAAUAUUAGCCACCCCUCACCGCCUUGUUAGCGGUACGAGCACAAGAAAGAGAAAUUUAUUUUGAAUAUUAGAGAUGGCACAUACAAAUUUCCUUAGAACGGCAAAAGAAUACCGCAUAUAGGUAGAUAUAGUGGACUCAUGUGGCAAAACUGGUUUAAAGGAUUUUGGAUGCACAAGUAGUAAUCAUACAAAAUGAAGGCUUGCAAAAGAUUGAGAAGCCACCAACCAAGAAACGAAUAAUCUCAUAAGCGAGCAUUAAGCAUAAUUAACACCGAAUAAUGCACCACAAGUAGGAUAUAAUUUCAUUGCAUAAUUAUUGACUUUCACGCUUUCAUAGGGAAUCACAAACCUUAACAUCAAUAUUCUUACUAAAGCAUAAUUACUCAUCAACAUGACUCACAUAUCACAUCAUCGUAUCUCAAAACUAUUUCUAAGAGUCAAGAUUAUUUUGUCCAAUGAUCUUCAUGAAAGUUUUUAUUAUAUCCUUCUUGGAUAUCUAUCACUUUGGAACUAAUUUUCAUAUGUUGCUUUUGAUAAGCUCAAACAAAUAUAAGUGAUGAUCAAGAGCAUAAUAAUUCUUUCUCUCAAAUUAAUUUAAGUGAAGCAAGAGAGAAUUUAUUGAAAAUUUUACUAACUCUCAAAUAAAUAUAAGUGAAGUAAGAGAUCAUUUCUUCAAAAAUACAAAAGCACACCAUGCUCAAAAAGAUAUAAGUGAAGCACUAGAGCAAGUCCAUAGCUCAUAAAAAUUUAAGUGAAACAUAGAGAGCAAUUCUAACAAGUCAUGCCAUAAUUUUGGCUCUCUCAAAUAGGUGUGUCCAGUAAGGAAUAAAGACUUAGGGCCUGUUCGGAAGCCCUCCAACUUCACUGGAUCCACAAAUCCCGCUUCCAUUUCCGGAUGCCAGCUUCUUUUAUGAAAACUGGAUCGAUGAAAACUGUUCGGCACCCUCGCUCCAGCUUCUUGUAGGCGCGAGCAGGCCAAACUGCCUGGACGGGCUAGAGCCCAGCCGGCUCAAUAGAUAAGGUGGCCUUAGGCCUGGUUGAACGCUGGAGGAGAGUGGCUGGGCCUGGCCCGGUUCAGAAGGAAAGGCAGCGAUGUCUCCACGUAGCCUCGUCAAGAGAAUAGAGCAUGACGUGAGAAGGGAGAGAGAAAGCAGCGAACCGGUACGCACCCUCAAAUCACUUGGCGGUGGCAUCUGCUCGUAAAUAAGGCCAACUCCAGGAUUCCCGAUUCCUGGGAUCGCCAAAACAACCGCUCCAGGUUUUUGUACGUGAACAUUGCUACGAUCCUGGAAGCCAACUUCUUGGAGCCGGGCCGGUCGGGCCAGCUUCGCUCGCUGAUUUGCGGAAUCCUGGAGCAGGCAGGCUACCGAACAGGCCCUUAAAACACAAAAUAAAACAAGCAAAGACUCAUAUCAUACAAGACGCUCCAAGCAAAACACAUAGUAUGUGACGAAAAAAAUAUAGCUUCGAGUAAAAUAUCGAUGGUCGUUAGAAGAAAGAGGGGUUGCCACUCGGGGCAUCCCCAAGCUUAGUUGCUUGCUCCCUUUUGGAUAAUAGCUUGGGAUGCCAGGACAUCCCCAAGCUUAGGCUCUUAUUACUUCUUAUUCCUUCAUCCAUCAUAAGAUAACCCAAAACUUGACAACUUCAAUCACACAAAACUCAACAAAACCUUCAUGAGAUCCGUUAGUAUAAGAAAGCAAAUCACUACUAUAAGUACUAUAGAAAACCAAUUCAUAUUUUGUUCUUGCAUUAUAUAUACUGUAUUCCAACUUUUGUAUGGCAAAAACUCAUCAAAAAAAAACCAUAGAGCCAUCAAAACAAGCACACAACACAAAGAAAACAGAAUAUGUCAAAAACAGAAUAGUUUGUCGCAAUCUGGGUAACUCAAAUACUUCUGAAACUCCAAAAAUUCUGAAACAUUUGGAAGACCUGAGAAAUUUUUAUAUUAGUCUUCUACAAAAGGAAUUUGUAUUUUAUUGCUCUCUGGUUAAAAAUGAAAAAAAAAUCACGAGCAAAAAAGUUUCUGUUUUUUCAGCAAGAUCAAACAACUAUAACCCAAGAAUAUCCUUAAGGCUUUACUUGGCACAAACACUAAUUAAAACACAAAAAACACAAUCAUAACAGUACCAUAAUUGUGCAAACACUGAAGAGCAGAAAGUAAAAAGCAAAAAUAAAUUGUAUUCAUUGGGAUGCCUCCCAACAAGCGCUAUAGUUUUACGCCCUUAGCUAGGCAUAAAGCAAGGAUCUAAGUUUUGUCAUCUUUGUUUCAAGAUCCAUAAGAUGCCCUCGUGAUUGAUUCAUAUGGUGGCCUAAUUCUUAUUCUAGGGAAGUGUUCCACAUCCUUCCUCAAAGGAAAUUGUAACUUAAUGUUGCCUUCUUUCAUAUCAAUCAUGUCACCGAUAGUGCGUAAAAAUGGUCUACCAAGAAUAAUUAGACAAGAUGGAUUGCUAUCAAUAUCAAGAACAAUAAAAUCUAUGGGCACAUAAUCCCUAUUUGCAAGAGUGAGAACAUCAUUAAUUCUUCACAUAGGCUUUUUAAUAGUAGAAUCCGCCAAGUGCAAAUUUAAAGAGCAUUCUUCAAUAUCGAUAAGACCAAGCACAACACAUAAAGAUUUCGUAAUUGUAGAAGCACUAGCACCCAUGUCACAUAAAGCAAAGCACUCAUAAUUUUUAAUCUUGACUUUGAUAGUAGUUUCCCACUCAUCAUGAAAUUUUCUAGGAAUUGAAACUUCUAAUUCCAACAAUAUGUUUAGUAAAAGCUUUUUUUGUUCAUAAGCAUGGGGUGAAUUUAUCAUGGAUUGCAAUAAAGAAAUACAAUCAAUCAAAGAGAAACUAUAAUAAUAAAAGUCUUUGUAAUCCAAAAGAGUGGGCACAUCACUAGUUAAAGUCUUGACCUCUUCAAACCCACUUUUAUCAAUUUUCUCAACAAGAUUUUCACCCUCUGAAAUAGCGGGACGCCUUCUAACUAAAGUUGACUCUUCACCAGUCCCUUUUUCAUCAAUAUUAACUUUACUAAACAAGGACUCAAUAGAAGAAACACCAAUCAUUUUAACAUCUUCAUCACUUUUGCGAAAAUAAUCACUCGAAAAUGCUUUUUCUAAAAAUUCUCUUUUAGCUCUAAGCAUAGCGGUUCUUUUGUUACUUUCAUCCAUAGAAACAUAAAGAGAUUUAAUUGAUUCCUAAACUUUAGGCACAAAAAAUUUCAUCUUGAGAUUUUCCACAUCAUGAUAAAUUCUACAAACACUUCUAGAUAACAUCAUUUAUCUUAUUCAACUUUUCUUCUUUGGUAGUGUUGAAUACUUUUUGCGUGUUGUUAAAUUAUUUAAUAUUAUUCUCAAGAUCAGAGGUGUUACUCUUAUGAUAAGAUUGAUUUCCAUAGGAAUUUCCAUAAUUGUUAGAGGAAUUACUAGGAAAAGGCCUAGGAUUAAAAUUCCUUCUAUAAGCAUUGUUAUUAUUUCGAGAGAUAAAAUUCACAUCUAUGGCAUCACUAUUUUGCUCAAUCAAAGUAGACAAAGGCAUAUCAUUGAAAUCAAUAGGAGCACUUUUACUAGCAACCAUUUUCAUAAGAGCAUCAACUUUUUCACUCAGAGAAGAAAUAUCUACAACUGAAUUAACUUUUUUACUAGUGGGAACUCUUUCCGUAUGCCAUUGUGAAUAAUUUUCCAUAAUAUUAUCAAGCAAUUUAGUGGCUUCACCCAAAGUAAUUUCCAUAAAAGUACCACCCGCAGCGGAAUCUAAAAGAUUAUGAGAAACAAAAUUCAAUCCCGCAUAAAAAAAUUGUAUGAUCAUCCAAAGAUUUAACGCAUGAGUUGGGCAAUUCCUUAGCAUCAUUUUCAUUCUUUCCCAAGAAUUUGCAACAUGCUCAUGUUCAAGUUGCUUGAAAUUCAUGAUCCGGGUUCUAAGGGAAAUAACUUUUGUGGGUGGAAAAUAUUUAGUGAUAAAAGGAUGUUUGCACUUAUUCCAAGAAUCGAUACUAUUGCGAGGCAUAGAAGAGAACCAAUUUUUUUGCAGAAUCACGCAAAGAAAACGGAAAUAAUUUCAUCUUCACAACAGCAUUGUCCACAUCUUUUUUCUUUUGCAUGUCACAUAGUUCCACGAAGGUAUUAAGAUGGGACGCGGCAUCCUCAUUAGGAGUACCGGAGAAUUGAUCUUUCAUAAUAAGAUUCAGCAAAGCAGUAUUAAUAUCACAAGACUCCGCACUAGUGGUGGGAGGAGCAACCGGAGUGCCAAUAAAAUCAUUGUUGUUGGUAUUUGAGAAAUCACACAAUUUGGUGUUCUCUUGAGUCAUGAUGACUACACAACAAGAUUGCACUCAAAAACAGAUCCGACAAGAAAACGACGAACGAAAAAGAGGGGCGAAUAAAACGGUAAAUUUUUGUGAUGCGGGGGAGGGGAAAAUGAGAGUUAAAUGGAAAAUAAUGUAAAUUGCGAGGAGAUGAGAUUUGUGAUUAGGAACCUGGUAUAUGUUGAAGAUCCUCCCCGGCAACGGCGCCAGAAAUUCCUUUUGUUGCGGCUUCAAGCUAAGUCGGUGUUUCCCAAAGAGAAAGCGAUGAUGCAGCACAUCGGCGGAAGGUAUUUACCUCAUUUAUGAGACCAAGGUUAUCGAACCAGUAGGAGAGAAGCAACACAGCGUAAACAGCCCCUGCACACAAAUAAAAAAUACUCGCAACCCAACGUGUAAAAGGGGUUGGCAAUCCCUUUCAGGUAGCGGAGCUCCAAGAUACGCAAACAGACAUGAGAUAAAUUGUAGUAGAUUGAUAGAUCGAACGCCAAAUAAAAUAAAUAAGAACAAAUUGCAGCAAGGUAUUUUUGUAUUUUUAGUUUAAUAGAUCUGAAAAUAAAAGCAAAGGAAAAGUAGUUCGCAAAGGCAAUUAAUAUGAGAAAGAGACCUGGGAGCCAUAGGUUUCACUAGUGGCUUCUCUCGAGAAAAAUAGCAAACAGUGGGUAAACAAAUUACUGUUGGACAAUUGAUAGAACUUCAAAUAAUCAUGACGAUAUCUAGGAAAUGAUCAUUAUAUAAGCAGCACAUCCAAGAUUAGUAGAUCGACUCCUACCUGCAUCUACUACUAUUACUCCACACAUCGACCGCUAUCCAGCAUGCAUCUAGUGUAUUAAGUUCAUGGGGAUACGGAGUAAUGCAAUAAGAAUGAUGACAUGAUGUAGACAAGAUCUAUCUAUGUAGAGAUAGACUCCAUCGUUUUAUCCUUAGUAGCAAUGAUACAUACGUGUCGGUUCCCUUUCUGUCACUGGGAUCAAGCACUGUAAGAUCGAACCCACUACAAAGCACCUCUUCCCAUUGCAAGAUAAAUAGAUCAAGUUGGCCAAACAAAACCCAAAUAUUGGAGCAGAAAUACAAGGCUAUAAGAAAUCAUGCGUAUAAGAUAUCAAUGAAACUCAAAUAACUUUCAUGGAUAUAAAAAGAUAUAUCUGAUCAUAAACUCAAAGUUCAUCUGAUCCCAAUAAACACACCACAAAAAGAGUUACAUCAUAUGGAUCUCCAAGAGACUAGUGUAUUGAGAAUCAAACGAGAGAGAGGAAGCCAUCUAGCUACUAACUACCACUACUAGGGAAAAGGCUAGCAGCAGCGUGGGUUUUAGGUGUAUCAGUAGCGCGGGGACCGGCGCUACUAAUAAGGCGCUACAGCUAACACGUAGCAGUAGCGCGUGCUCACCAGCGCUACUGCUACACAAGUGUAGCAGCAGCGUGCUUAAUGGAAGCUCGCUACUGCUAAUAGCUAUAGUGCGCUUCUCCUAUGCGUGCUACUUCUACUACCACGCCGCUGCUAACUUUUCUCCACUCGCUACUGCUAAUUUUAGUGGGUUUUUGUUUUUUUGAGCAUAUUUGUUUUGUAUUUGAACAGGCUUUAUAGAAGAAUCUUUAGCACAUACAAAUGUCAUCAUGAUACACAUACAAAUGCCUGCGAAACCACAAAAGUAAUCAUAGCAUAUACAUACAAACAGUCUCAUCAUAAUCAUCAUCCAACACAAAGUGGUAUCUUGUCAACAUCUCGAAAAUAGCGAUACAUGCAAGUCUCGAAUACUUGCAACUACAACGUCAUCCAUCUAAACAAAGGUAUACGCGAGAAGAGCUAUCACUAUGAGUGAGAGCGGAACUAUGCAGUACAUGAGGUGGCGGUUAUGAUUCCUCUCUCGCGCUAGCGUGAACCUCAAGUAACUAGCUUCUCCUUCUUGUCUGCUUUUGAAGCCUUUAUGGCUGGCGCUCGAGAACCCAUUCACUUACGCCUGACACUCAUGCCACUCAUUGUACACCCCCGAAACCUUCCCUUUGUACACGACAUAGCACUUCCAUCCCGCCAUCAAGAAACUAGGUACCUGUUAGAGAUGCAUGUUCAUGAAGAGGAUGUACAAUCAUAUAUAUGCAACAAAAUAUACUAGAGUAACACCGAAAAAGAAAGGGUUAGCAACUAGAUGCAACAUACAGUAUACAAAUUAAUUAACUAGAGGUACGCAGGUCAUCGUACGCAAACUAACAAAGUAGAGUUACGCAAGUUUGGCAGGGACCGUGGACAUCACAAAGUUUCAUCGCUACAAAAAGUAUACAAGUUCAACCGACACAUAUCAUCAUCAUUGGCAUCAUAAAUCACUAGAAGUUCCAUCCUUCGAUAUCAUCGAGGAUGGACCCUAGCUUCUUGAACGGAGUGAGGUCUAGACGUUGCAUGCCUAUGCGAGUUCGGAUGUCAGCUCACGAUAUAGGUCCGUGGUGGAACAUCCCCUUCUAAUCGAUGACUUCUUUCAUGAUGAUCGUCGCAAUGUCACUUUGGAUGCGAAAGAAGUCAUCUCUAAGUUUAUAAUCUGCUUCUCCAUGAGAAUCUAGCCACUUGUGGAUAUGAUCAUCAUUUCUGCUUUUCAUGAGAAGCUUUUGGUGAUUCGUGUUGAACUGAAUCAUGAGAUGGACGAUGUAGAAUCCAUCAUUCUUGCUUGGAUUUGGGACAUGGAUGCAGGAGAAGUUAGUUUUAUGCGCGAAACCAAUCUUCUUGUUCCUUUGUUUCCUGAUCUGCAUGUGGCCACCUCUAAUGCUGAAGCCUUGGAGAGCAUCAUCUAGAAUAUUCAUUAUGUGGGUGUAGUCUUUUUUCUCGUAGUCUCUGGAAGGGUCAAAAUACACAGCGUGGGAGACUUGCGGGUAAAGAACGAUAAGGACGGCGCGCCCGUUGCUGCGGGGAAAAGACACCUCAAAUUAUUCCCCAUAUGAGAGAGAAGGAAUGAUUGAAAUGUACGAAAGGGUUGUCCGGAACUGACUUACUUUGGAUGAUAAGGCACGAGGACAAUUUCCCGGUCCUUAUUCUGUACCAUGAAGUUUUGGAGGUACUCCCCAGCAGUUUCACGCUCAAAGUCACCGAGACUCAAGAAAGACUCGUGCAUGUAGUAUGGAUCUGCCACACAGAUUUGCGAGACUUCUUCACUCUUCAUGGCGGAGCUCAUAUGUAGCGCAAAAAGGCGGACGAUUGUAAAAUUGAGCCGCCUUGUCAGAAACAUCUCAAAGAUAUGGUCAAGCCGCAGGAAGAACACCUCCGCGGGCCGUGUCUGGACGUAGCACUUCCCCUCAGGCACACGAGCCACGUAUGUCGGAUAUCCUGGAUCCUUUGAGGCUAGUAGCAUUUUCUCAGUCAACAGCACAUGGUCGUGCAGUCUCCUGAGAUCCCCUAAUAAUGCCUCCAUCAGUUUCGGCGGUAGCAUCGGCUCGCUCGUGAGAUGGAACAUGGCCGCACCUUUCAUGGGUACACGCUCUUCAGAAUGCAUCGUCUGGCUGCUAUGUGCUCUGGAUUGUUUGGAGCCAGCUAUCUUCCCGAUCUCUUUCUCUCCUUUUUCUUGGGCACACCUUCUAGACCCUUCCUUAACCCAUGCCCCAGUGUUCCCGGGCUAAGUACUGUACGACCCUCGCGCCCGGCUAGUUGAGCCUGUGUUGAGGCGGCAUCUUCACGCGUGUCCCGUGAGGAUUUUCUGAAGAGAGACUUUUUGCAAUCCCUGCUACGACCUUCCUGCCCGGGAAUAUCAUCCAUAUCUUCAUUAGCAAGAUGAUAGCCCGAUUCGUCAUAUGGUUGACUCAUCAAUUCUAUGUCACAGUCAUAUGCGUUUGUAUUAAGGAAAUCCAUAGGGUCGACCUCCGUCUCUGUUAACACCUGAUUUUGGCACAAUGCAGAAUGCAAUGGAGAUGGCCUCAAAUCACAAAAUAUUCUAAAUGAGAAAUUUCACAUUGCUGAGUGGAACAACUUUGAUGUUUGGACCAUAAUCAUUCGGCAUCAUAUCAAAGACCAAAACUACACUCAGAUUGUCAUGUUUAGGUGUUUUGGGUGCUUUUUGGUCAAGUACGCCUCCAGGAGAAUCUCGAAUGAAGGAAUGCUCUACAUGAAUUGUCUUCAUCUCGUCGAAUCGGUCGAUUUUGAUAUAAAAAUCAUCUCAAUCCGAGUUCUUAUGCAAAAGUUAGAGCUAUCUGGAUGCAGCCCUGUCAAGAGGCGAAAUAUGACGCGGAAGACCAGACAUGUCUUGGCAAGUGUCUGAUGGCGUGAGUGUUUUGGCCCAGAAGAUGGCCUCGAAUCAGAAAACGUUCAAUACAAAAGUUUUUCGUCUCGUCGAAACGGUCAACUUUGCUUUUGGACACAUUUUCAUCCGAGGUCGUUUACUGCCUCAAAAACCUUGCCGGGGAAAGCUUGCCGCCGUGAACAGUAACCUUGCCGGGGAAAGCUUGCCGCCGUGAACAGUAACCUUGCCGGGGGAGAGCUUGCCGCCAUGAACAGUAACUUGCCGGGGAAAUCUUGCCACCGUGAACAGUAACCUUGUCGGGAAAGCUUGCUGCCGUGAACAGUAGAAACUGUCGAGGCCAAUCCGACCAGAUGCUGAAGAUGGGCUCAAAUACUUAUCUAGGUGGCUUCGGAUGAAGAAGUGUUCAACAUAGGAGUUGUUCGUAACGUUGAAACAGUCAACUUUGCUUUUGGAGUCAUCAUCAUCUGACGUAGUAUACGACCUGCAGAGACGCUGCAAUAGUCGGACGGUCCAGUCAGCUACAUGAACGAGUCCGACUCAAAAUUAGAGAUGACCCCGUGGAGUAUUCAAGAUGGCCUUAUUUGGAAAAGUGAUCAACAUACGGAUUGUUGGCCUCGUCAAAGCACACAUAAUUGAUAUUUGAACCGUCUCCAUCGGAAGUGAUAUGCAAAUUCCACAGCCCACGCAAGGAGCAAGACAAAAGAUUGGACCAGAUUCGGGCUGAAUCCGAGUGGGACCAGAACUAGGAUUCUAACACGUGAAUUGAUGUAAUUUUCUUGUAAGGAAAGCCUAGAUAAAUCCUUUGCUUGUACGGGAAGUCCAGCCGCCUCUUAUAUAUGUUGGGUGUGACGGCCGAUUGAACACACACAAUCGAAAAAAUCAAUAUACUACUUUUUUCAUCUACGUUUUAUCUCUCCACCGUUUUUCUAUCUCGUUCUUCGCUGUUCUUCGUGUUUGAAAGCUGCGAAUCCCGAGGCUCUAGGGGCGAGCGAGUCGACCUAGGGCAGCCCAUAGCCGCCACACUCCCUGACGGGGUCCCUCCCGGGGGUGUGGGGUUUUCGGGUCUGCAAAAGCGCCCGUCGACUGUCUUGCGUAUCGCGCUGUCGGUCGGGUCUCCUUCGACGUGAGCUGCCGUGCAUCACCCCCGGCAUCGAGGGUACACGUGACGUGUUCGUGUGUCAACACACUUUUUGGCGACUCUGCUGGGGACGAAGAUCAAUCAUCAUCAUCCACCAUGUCCGAUCUUCCCAAGCCAUCUGAGGUAGACGCUGAUAACAUCAUUAAGCCCAGUCUUGAUGAGAUAUCGGCUGAUCAUUGCCAAGUCUAUGAGGAGUACAAGAAGGCACGUGAGGAGAAGGACUUGCAGGAGUUCCUUGCAAAAUUCAAGAAAGAUCGCCAAGGCCACAUCACUCCGAUUGAAGAAAUCAAGUUCCCUCCUCUUCAAGCCGAGCAGGUUAAACCCGCUGUGAGUACUACCUUUUCUCCAGAGCAGUGGGCUGAGAUUGAGAGUCGUAUUGCUGAUGGUAACAAUCUGAUCUAUCAAACUUUCAUAGAAAAUACCAAUGCUCGGAAAAAUAUAUCUCAAUCAUCUAGUGGUAAUGAUGGUGUAGCUGCUAGUGUGCAAAACCCUAAUCUGGCUUUACCUAUCUCAUCGGCGCCUCCCAUGCCGAUGACUUAUUAUCCUACUCAAACAAAUUAGAUUGUGACUGCACCUAUUAAUCCUAUUGUGAGCAUGCCAAGUUCGGUGGCAACGCCGAACCAAACCCUACCUACAACUACAACCACUCGACCAUUACCGAACUAUAGUUCGGCAUACAUGCCACAGUUCAUACCUACUGCUAGUAGUCCUACUCCUCCUAUGCCACUGCCACAAGCGUCAUCGUCCACUAUGGAUGAUGGUCUAGCUAAUCUUAGAGAGGAGAUGGCUAAGAUGCUUCGAGAGAAUUUUGGAGUUGAGUUACCUCGGAAUCGGAUUUACCAAAAGCCGUACCCCGAGUACUUUGAUGCCAUCCAGUGCCCUCCAGGAUAUAAAAUUCCAGAUUUUGUUAAAUUUAGUGGAGAAGGCACAAAAACCACAUGGGAGCAUGUUAGUCAAUAUUUAGCACAAUUGGGUGAGGUAGGCUCAUUGAACGAAUUGAAAGUGCGUUUAUUUCCUUUAUCAUUAACUGGUACCGCAUUUUCAUGGUUUUCUUCUUUACCCCAUGGUUCCAUUCGGGUUUGGUCGCAGCUAGAGCAGAAGUUUCAUGAUCACUUUUAUAGCGGCGACAAUGAACUCAAGUUGUCACAUCUAACAUUGGUUAAGCAGAAGCAUGAUGAAUCGGUCUCCGAUUACGUCAAGAGAUUUAGAGAAACAAAAAACCGGUGUUUUAGUUUGGUGAUAACCGAGAGAGACUUGGCAGACCUAGUGCUGAGUGGUUUGAGAACUCCCAUCAGAGAAAAGCUAGAAGGCUAUGAGUUCUUAAAUAUCAACCAAGUCUUACAAAGGGCUUUGGCUCAGGAAAGCCAAAGCAAAGACCUCAAAGAAGUGCAUAGAUAAAAAGCCGAUCGUCCAAAGAUGUAUAUGAUCGAAUAUGAUAGUGAUCACUCGGACGAUGAGGGUGACGUUUUUUCUACUGAAUUUGUUUGGACAUCUAAGGCCAAACCAUUUACUUGCAAUGAUCUGAAACCUAUUCAUAAGAAUCGUGAUGAAGAGAUGAAGUUUACUUUUAACAUUGCCAAGUGUGAUAAAAUAUUUGAUUCUUUGCUGCAAGCUAAAAUUAUUAGAAUAACUCAUACUCUGCCGCCGUUUGAAGAGCUGAAACGGCGCGCUUAUUGCAAGUAUCAUAAUUCUUUUUCUCAUGCUACUAACGAUUGCAAUGUUUUUCGACGACAGAUACAAUCGGCCAUUAAUGACGGAUGAUUGAACUUUUCUGAAAUGCAAGUUGAUAAACAGCCUUUUCCAAUGAAUGCCAUGGAUUUGGAGGGGAAGAAGCUACUCAUUCGGCCGGAGGCAGCCGAAUCUGCUAAUAAAGCUAAUGUCAUUGUCAGUGAGCCCAGGAAAGACAAGGAGGACAACAAGGUCUUGGGGAGACAGGUUGUGCUUGAUAAGCAACCCGAUGGCAAGGAAGUGAUCAAAAUCACCAUCAAGAAUCCUACACUCGGGGGGCAACCGCAAGUGCAAGAAAAUACUCGUGUUAAAUUUGUCAAGCCCAAGAGUCCAGAAGUUGGCAAGUGGAAGAAGAAUGAAGCUAAAGUGCUGCGCAAGCAGAUCAAGCCAACUUUUGAUAUGUUGUUGUCCAAGUAUGCUAACCAGUCGGCUGGUUUUAGUUUCAAUCGACCGACUCAUCUGAAACGACCAAGGUCACCAUCAGCUGAUAUGUUCAGUCGGUAUACAAAACCGAGUGGACCAAAGGCGCAGUUUUCAGAAGAGCAGAAGCAAUCUGUGUGGGAUCGACUUGAUUACUCAUAUAAUGGCCGACUCAACAUCGGUGACUAUCAGUCGGCUGGUCAAAAUAUGCGACCGAGUGGAAAUUAUUCGAGUGUAAGGAUGCACCCAGGUGGAAGCUAUCCGAGUGAAAAAAUGUGGCCAAGUAGAUUCCAUCCGACUGGAUUCCAUCCGAGUGAAUUCCAUCCGACUAACAUCCAUCCGAGUGGAUUCCAUCAGAGUAAAAAGCUGCGCCCGAGUGGAAAUUUCAUGCAUCUGGAAAGUCGAAAAGAAUGGCGUGUUAAGUCACCAAGUGUUGCAGCAGUUGAGUCGGGAAAAACAAGGAGAAAAUGGAUGCCGACUCACUUAUCUUGGGCACCAAAACAUUUGCCAUACAGCAGCCAAUUGUGCAUAGUAAACCGGCUGAGCCGAUACUUUCUAUUGUGCCAGAGCACUCGGCUAAUGACCAUGAAGCAAGCGCCAGCCGAGUAAAAACGAGAGAUCCUAAAGACACUUAGCCAAAGUGGUGUCCUCCAGGGCUAACAAAGACACAGUAGAGGAAACUACAGAGGUUAAGGAGCCAAGAAAUGGCAGAACAAGAGGCUGAGAAGCAAAGGGAUAAGUUGUUCAAUGACACUCGGCCUAUGGUACCUACAAAACAAGUGUGGAGGCCCAAACAAAUACGAGAUACAAUGGCCUCUACGCCUACCACAGCAACACCUACACUACCAAAAAAGGACAACGCAAUCAUUGCAUCGUCUACGUUACCUAUUGCUUCCUCUUCACUCGGACAAAUUUCUGAAUCGGUGGAUGCACUUGAGGAGGAGGCUGAUAUGUUGGACUAUGAGUCUACACCGGUUCAUGAAGGUAUGGAUAUCAAUAUGGUGUAUUACUUGCCUGCUGAGUUUUGUGCUGUAGAUGAGGAAGGGGAGGUGGCUCGGCUGGAUUUUGGCCCUAAAAAUGCGAUAUUCGAGAAGCCAAAAGAACCAGUAACGCAUCUGAAACCAUUAUAUCUCAGAGGUCAUAUCAAUAGGUCGCCGCUCACUCGGAUGCUUGUUGAUGGUGGUGCUGUGGUAAAUCUUAUGCCCUAUUCGGUCUUCAAGAAAUUGGGUUUGCCUGAUGAAGAAUUGAUCAAGACCAAUAUGGUGCUUAACGGGUUUGAAGGCAAAGAGAAAACUGAAGCCAAAGGUGUGAUGUAUGUGGAGCUUACAGUCGGAAGCAAAACUUUGGCUACUGCAUUCUUUGUCGCUGAGGUGCAAGGUAACUACAACGUCAUACUAGGCCGUGAUUGGGUUCAUGCAAACCAGUGUGUACCAUCCAUUAUGCACCAGUUUUUGAUUCAGUGGGUUGAUGAUGAAGUGGAAGUCAUUCAUGCGGAGAACUCGGCCUGUGUUGCUUUGGCCGAUGCGUCGGUGGAUUGGCAACAUCCCAAUGCUACUUGCUUGACGGGACGUGACUUAUCAGAGUUUGAUUUUCUCAGUGCAACCAAGAAUGGUUUUAUGCCUGUCUCUUUAAAGCCGACUGAAUGCAAUCGGCUCCAAGGUAUGAUAUGUUUAAAUGGAUUCUAGCUCUGAGUGGUUACAAAAACGUCUUGUGAAAUAUCAGUCCAGCGAGAAUGAUAUGUAUGAGUCUAUAGAGGAGUUGGAUGACAUGGAUAAACUUGGACAAGGUUUUACGUCGGCCGAUCCAUUAGAAGAGGUAGAUAUUGGAGAUGGUUCAGUCACUCGACCGAAAUUUAUAAACAAAAAUGUGAAAGCCGAUUGUAAAGCUAAGUUGAUUGAGCUAUUGAAAGAAUAUGUUUGUUGCUUUGCAUGGGAAUAUCAUGAGAUGCCAGGGUUAAGCCGAGAGCUAGUGGAGCAUCGGUUGCCUAUAAAGGCCGGUUUUAGACCUUAUAAACAGUCGGCCAGAAAAUUUAAUCCGAAAACAUAUGACCGGAUCAAGGAAGAGAUCGGUCGACUGCUUGAAGCUAAUUUCAUUCGACCUUGCAGGUAUGCCGAGUGGAUUUCUAACAUUGUCCCAGUGGAGAAGAAAGGAUCCGGCAAGUUGAGGGUGUGCAUUGAUUUCAGAGAUUUGAAUAGGGCUACACCCAAAGAUGAGUAUCCUAUGCCAAUAGCCGAUAUGCUUAUUAAUGAUGCUUCUGGGCAUAAGGUUAUUAGCUUUCUAGAUGGUAAUGCCGGAUACAAUCAAAUUUUUAUGGCCGAAGAGGACAUGUACAAGACUGCUUUUCGAUGCCCUGGUUUCGUUGGUUUAUUCGAGUGGACAGUGAUGACAUUCGGAUUAAAAAAUGCUGGAGCCACAUAUCAAAGGGCUAUGAAUUUGAUUUUCCAUGAUUUACUCGGUAUCAUACUUGAAGUUUAUAUUGAUGAUAUUGUUGUCAAAUCAGAUGCUUUUGAAUCUCACUUGGCCGAUUUGCGUUUAGCUUUUGAAAGAAUGAAAAAGUAUGGACUGAAGAUGAAUCCUUUGAAGUGUGCUUUUGGCGUGUCAGCUGGUAAGUUUUUGGGUUUCAUUAUUCAUGAAGAUGGCAUAGAGAUUGAUCCCAAAAAGAUAGAGGCUAUACAGAAAGUGAAGGCUCCAACAUGCAAGAGAGAUAUGCAAAAGUUCCUUGGCAAGGUCAAGUAUUUGAGAAGGUUCAUAGCUAAUUUGUCAGGGAAAGUUGAUGCAUUUACUCCUAUCCUUCGGUUAAAGGAUGAUGCUGAUUUCACUUGGGGGGCAAAACAGCAAGAAGCAUUUGAUAUAAUCAAGAAUUAUUUGUGCACUCCUCCGGUGAUGAGAGCACCCAAGCAUAGGGAACCCUUCAGACUUUACAUUGCAGCAGAGGAAGAAGUUAUUGGUGCUGUUCUAACUCAAGAGACCGAAGGAAAAGAGCAUGCCAUCACUUAUUUGAGCCGCCGCUUAUUGGACGCAGAGACAAGGUAUACAUUUAUUGAGAAAUUAUGUCUAUGCUUAUAUUAUGCCUGCACAAAACUGAGACAUUAUUUAGUGCCGAGUGCUUGUGUUGUAGCUUGUCAAACCGAUGUCAUUAAAUACAUGUUGCAUAGGCCAAUUCUUAGUGGUAGAAUUGGCAAGUGGGCUUAUUCUUUAAUUGAAUAUGAUUUGGCUUAUGAAUCUCUAAAGUCCAUGAAAGGCCAAAUUGUUGCUAAUUUCAUUGUUGAACAUCGGAUUAAUGACAAGCAUGAUGUUGAUAUGAACCUUAUUUCAUUAGUACCAUGGAUAUUAUACUUUGAUGGGUCAGUUUGUAGCAAUGGCCAAGGUGUUGGUAUUGUUUAUAUAUCUCCUCAUGGUGCUGUUUUUGAAGCCUCAUGCCGCUUAGAAUAUUUUUGCACAAACAAUCAAGCCGAAUAUGAAGCAUUGUUAUUCGGCCUAGAGAUGUUACUUGCUAUAGGUUUUACACAUAUUGAGGCUUAUGGUGAUCCGUUACUAGUGGUACAGCAAAUAUCCAAAGUCUUUCAGUGUUUCGACGAAUCACUUAAUGUUUAUCUUGAUAAAUGUCUAGAUAUAAUCUCUACUUUGGAUUGUUUUAGCAUUGCACAUAUAUCUAGACAUGACAACUGGAAAGCAAAUGAGUUGGCACAACAAGCAUCUGGAUACCAUGUUGAUCAUGGCAUGUUUCAUAUUUCUCAAAAUCCGAUGUCUUGUCUUACCAGUAUAGAAGAGGCCAAACCAGAACCCACUGAUUCGGUCAUUAACAAAAAAUCUAGUGCAGGUGACAAUUCCGACUGGAGGAAGCCCAUUAUUGCUUACUUGCGUAAUCCGAGUGAAAGGGUGGACAGGGCUGUUCGGUGUAUGGCUUUUAAAUAUACUAUGAGGGAUGAUGAUCUUUAUCGCCGAACAGUUGAUGAUGUUCUUUUAAAGUUCUUGGAUGAGGACCAAGCAAGAGUUGCUAUGGGAGAGGUACAUGAAGGCAUUUGUGGUACUCACCAGUCGGCUCCCAAGAUGAAAUGGUUAUUACGACGUGCUAGGUUUUAUUGGCCGACCAUGAUUAAUGAUUGCUUCAGAUAUUAUAAAGGGUGCGAGGCUUGUCAAAAAUUUGGUGAUAUUCAAUUAGCUCCCGCUGCUAUGUUGCAUCCUAUUAUCAAGCCGUGGCCUUUCAGAGGAUGGGGUUUAGACUUUAUUGGGCAAAUCCAUCCGUCUUCUUCGACGGGGCAUCGGUUCAUAUUGGUGGCAACUGAUUAUUUCACUAAGUGGUCUGAAGCAGUACCUCUCAAGAACAUGACGCAUACGGAGGUAAUUAAAUUCAUAACCGAACACAUUAUUCAUAGAUUCGGUAUUCCUCUAACGUUAACUACAGAUCAAGGUUCAUCUUUUAUGUCACACCAAGUCAGAGAGUUUGCCGAAUCUUAUAACAUAAAGUUGCUCAAUUCCUCCCCAUAUUAUGCCCAAGCUAAUGGACAAGCUGAGUCUAGCAAUAAAAUUUUAAUCAAGCUCAUCAAGAAGAAGAUUGAGGAUAAUCCAAGGAGAUGGCAUGACUUGUUGUCUGAGGCAUUAUGGGCAUAUAGAAUCUCAAGGCAUGGUGCUACGAAAGUGACUCCAUAUGAGCUAGUAUAUGGUCAGGAGGCUGUUUUACCAGUGGAAGUAAAUUUGAAUGCUUUGAGAAUAGCCAAACAAAAUGAUUUAUCGGCAAUACACUUCUAUAACUUGAUGAUGGACAACAUUGAUGAGGUUGCUGAUAAACGUUUGGCUGCUUUGAAUGCCAUAGAGAGAGAUAAGUUGAGGGUGGCAAGGGCUUACAAUAAGAAAGUCAAGUUGAAGAAUUUUCAAGUUGGUGACCUCGUCUGGAAAGUGAUUCUACCGAUUGGUUCAAGAGAUAGAAAAUUCGGGAAGUGGUCUCCAAGUUGGGAAGGUCCUUUUAGGAUUACAAGAGUUGUUCCCGGAAAUUCAUAUUUGAUGGAAUCAAUACAGGGGGAAUUGUUACCUCGAGCUCUCAAUGGCAAAUAUUUGAAGAAGUACCGCCCUAGUGUGUGGCAGGAAGCCUAAGUAGGCAAUGGACGAUAUAUGAUUAUCGCCCUUAGCACAAACAUGGCCGAUACAAAAUUAUCGCCCUGAGAAGAAUAGAUGGCCGAUGGAGUGUUGACAUCGUCCUUAGAACAAACAUGGUGCAAAUUAUUUUUCGGCAUGCAAGCUUUGCCGAAAAACAGGGGGGCCUGUGUUGACACCUGAUUUUGGCACAAUGCAGAAUGCAAUGGAGAUGGCCUCAAAUGAAAAAAAUAUUCUAAAUGAUAAAUUUCACAUUGCCGAGUGGAACAACUUUGAUGUUUGGACCAUAAUCAUUCAGCAUCAUAUCAAAGACCAAAACUACACUUAGAUUGUCAUGUUUAGGUGUUUUGAGUGCUUUUUGGUCAAGUGCGCCUCCAGCAGAAUCUCGGAUGAAGGAAUGCUCUACAUGAAUUGUCUUCGUCUCGUCGAAUCGGUCGAUUUUGAUAUAAAAAUCAUCUCAAUCCGAGUUCGUAUGCAAAAGUUAGAGCUAUCUGGAUGCAGCCCUGUCAAGAGGCGAAAUAUGACGCGGAAGACCAGACAUGUCUUGGCAAGUGUCUGAUGUAAUGCGUGAGUGUUUUGGCCCAGAAGAUGGCCUCGAAUUGGAAAACGUUCAACACAAAAGUUUUUCGUCUCGUCGAAACGGUCAACUUUGCUUUUGGACACAUUUUCAUCCGAGGUCGUUUACUGCCUCAAAAACCUUGCCGGGGAAAGCUUGCCGCCGUGAACAGUAACCUUGCUGGGGAAAGCUUGCCGCCGUGAACAGUAACCUUGCCGGGGAAAGCUUGCCGCCGUGAACAGUAACCUUGCCGGGGGAGAGCUUGCCGCCGUGAACAGUAACUUGCCGGGGAAAGAUUGCCGCCGUGAACAGUAACCUUGCCGGGAAAGCUUGCUGCCGUGAACAGUAGAAACUGUCGAGGCCAAUCCACCAGAUGCUGAAGAUGGGCUCAAAUACUUAUCUAGGUGGCUUCGGAUGAAGAAGUGUUCAACAUAGGAGUUGUUCGUAACGUCGAAACGGUCAACUUUGCUUUUGGAGUCAUCAUCAUCCGACGUAGUAUACGACCUGCAGAGACGCUGCAAAAGUCGGAUGGUCCAGUCAGCUACAUGAACGAGUCCGACUCGAAAUUAGAGAUGACCCCGUGGAGUAUUCAAGAUGGCCUUAUUUGGAAAAGUGAUCAACAUACGGAUUAUUGGCCUCGUCAAAGCACACAUAAUUGAUAUUUGAACCGUCUCCAUCGGAAGUCAUAGGCAAAUUCCACAGCCCACGCAAAGAGCAAGACAAAAGAUUGGACCAGAUUCGGACUGAAUCCGAGUGGGACCAGAACUAGGAUUCUAGGACGUGAAUUGAUGUAAUUUUCUUUUAAGGAAAGCCUAGAUAAAUCCUUUGCUUGUACGGGAAGUCCAGCCGCCUCUUAUAUAUGUUGGGGGUGACGGCCGAUUGAACACACACAAUCGAGAAAAUCAAUAUACUACUUUUUUCAUCUACGUUUUAUCUCUCCACCGUUUUUCUAUCUCGUUCUUCGCUGUUCUUCGUGUUUGAAAGCUGCGAAUCCCGAGGCUCUAGGGGCGAGCGAAUCGACCUAGGGCAGCCCAUAGCCGCCGCACUCCCUGACGGGGUCCCUCCCGGGGGUGUGGGGUGUUCGGGUCUGCAAAAGCGCCCGUCGACUGUCUUGCGUAUCGCGCUGUCGGUCAGGUCUCCUUUGACGUGAGCUGCGGUGCAUCACCCCCGGCGUCGAGGGUACACGUGACGUGUUCGUGUGUCAACAGUCUCAUCAUCCAUUCUCUGUUCUACAGGACAAAUUACAUCAGCCAGUACUAUUGCACCCCCUUCAUCAUGUCGUCCGCCGCUCUCACCCGGCACUACAGGAGCUGGUAAUUGCGUAGGCGGGGUGGUGGUCUCCGCACAUGCUUGUUGAUCUGUGGUUAUUGGUGUGCUCUCGACCGACUCCAGACCAAUAAGAUUCUUCAGCCAUAGAGCACCCAACCCUUGCAGCUUCCAAUCCACGGUGGGGUCUCGUCGUCCGCUCCCACAUGCUAUACUGGAGGAGGCAAAUCCUCGUGCCCCGAUUUCACAUUGGACAAGCUAACCCUGAAGUGCCCAGCGGGGAUCGGCUGGUUGUGGAACGUGGGUUGCAAGGGGUCCAUUAUCAUCCCCUUUCCCACGUCCACCUUCUGGCCUUUGAUCAAGUAGAGUAUGGUGCACGGGGUUUCUUUCGCCUGCAAACACAUAUGUCUAUGGCGUAAAACAUCCGAAAGGCAACAAAAAUGGAAUAUUAUAUAUAUAUAUAUGUUGGUGCGACAUGUAAUUACCGUGAUGGCAUCGAGCUCAGCCAAAUACGAAGGCCCACCGAGCGCGCCAGAGACUGAGGACGGGCUGCUAUGAGCGGGAGCGGCUGUGAGAGGAAGCCCGGUUGCGUGGGCAAGUUAUGGUGCGAUGGUGUUGUUGUUCAUGGAGUUGCUCCCGACGAAACUGGGUAACGGGAAAUCAUGUACCGCCUUGUCUGGAUUUUCCUUUGUCCAGUUGAUGAUAACUAGAACCAAGUUAGUAGCGAAAUCAUUUCUCCAGGCAGUUACAGCUGCAUUGACUGCCUGCUGUAGCAACUCAUAUUUGUCCUCGGCUGCUUUUUUCGCAUCCUCAGCUGCUUUUUUCUCGACCACAAGCUUCGCCUUCGCGUCGAUGUCCGCCUGACUAAACUUCUUUUUCUGCUUCUUGGCCUCCGGACCCUCAUUGUAAAACACCUUCCACGUGGUGCCGUCUCCAGCGCUGUGCACACGACCAUAUUGUGGCCGCUGGCCCAAAGGGAGUCCCUUAAGUUCGUUCAAGGCCCGGUUGAGAGGGGUGUCCCACUUGGGCCUCACCGGAGAAGUAGGGCUUUCGGCUGCAAGCUGGUGUUGCUUCUCCAGUAGUCUAAUCAAUUUCCUCGUAAUCUGGUCCAUGUAAAAAACCUUUUUCUCCCUGUCCCACUUGUAGCGGGCCCUGAUGAAGUCACGCUCCAAGGGGUUGGUGAACUUCACGAAGGGGUCUGGGGGACCCGCGGCUUCAUGUUCCGCGUCCUCCUUAUCCCAUAUGGGCCUUUUACCGAGGUAACCACGGCUUCCGAGGUGAUGCUUCCCCGUGUUCCUUUGCUGAAGUCUCUUGAAUUUCGCAGCCUUAGCCUUGGCGUCCUCGGUAGCGCUAGUGUCCUUGAACUUUUCGAACACCUCUUCCGUAAGUGUCAGAUUUUCCUCCAGAAUCUUGGACACGGGUUCCUCAGCCUCAAUAGCUCGUUUCACCCUCCCUUUCCAGCAGGCCAAAUCAUUGCUGAACAUGCCCAUGGCGUGACUGUUAAUCUUUUUCAUCUUCGGAUCAUCCCAUGGUUGUUCUAUGUUAUCAUCCCGGCCGGGGAACUUGAAUCUCUUGUGCAACUUCGUUAAGAGCAACUGCGUCAAAUGUUCUUUACUCCUUAACUCAUCAUCGCUGAUGCUCGCGCAUUCCCGUAGGAUGCAUCCCACUUGGUUCCCAUAGCACUUGCGAGGUUCUUCCGGCUCUAACGGCUCUAACUUGCCAGGUGCCAUCUUUGUGAUCACAAGUCAUCCAAUCCCUAGUUUGUUAGGUUUUCGUAUCAUCUGCUUCUUAUGCUUCCUCUUUUCGGUAGCGGCAUUGGCGCCGGUACCUUCCCCGUGGGUAUCUUCCCCGCCGGUACCUUCCCCACCAGUCUCGGCGCCGCCAUCGGUGUCGGCGCCGUCGGUGUCGAUGUCGGCGUCAGUACCAUCAUCGAGGCGGACCUGCAAACCUUGCUUAGCAGUCAAAAAGUCGAGGUAGUCUUGUUCACCCUGAUAAUCCAUCUCGUAUGCAUCUUGGUCAGAAGGCCCAGUUUCUUUGUUGUUCGACAUGUUUCGUAUGAUUAAGUGUCCUCAUUUAUUUCUAAAAGUAUGAAUAAAUGAGAAAUGACAUAAAAAAAAAUCUAUGUGCCAGCACUCGAUAUGCCAACUAUGUAGCACAAAUCAUGCCUUUAUUCAUGGGAAAUUUCGGCAUGACCUUUGCUAAAAAUGGACAUAUCGAGCGCCUGAAAUUCACCGGAACGAAAAUGUAUCAACAUUCCGGCAUAACAUAGUCCACUCGGAUCAUUUACCAAAACAUGACAUGUCCAAAACAUGACAUAUCCACAUAUCACAUGUCCAAUUCAAAUUUGCAUAUAAAUUCAGCUAAUUUUGAAACCUAUCUAAAUUCAUAACUAAAUAGAUAACCUAAUUAACAUAACUAAAACCUAAGUAAAUUGACCGAAGAACCCUAGCUAGCAGAGAGAGAGAGAGGGGGGUGGUUUACAGAGGGUGCAGGGGCGAGGAUGCAGGCCCGACGACGGCCGAUGUUGGGAGGGGAGGAAGCAGAGGAGGGAGGCCAGGACCGACGGGUCGGGGGCGAGCGCCUGGGUCGGGGGCGAGCGCCUGGGUCGUGGGCGAGCGCUGGGCCGGGUCUGGCGCGGCGGUGCCACGGGGGGAAGAGAGUGGGGAUUUGGGGGAAAAGAGGCGGGAUGAAGCAGGGAGAGUCAGAAUUUUGGGUUAAGUGGACGUAGCAGUAGAGUGUUUAGACAAAACGCGCUACUACUAUUAAAGGCAUCUAUAGCGGUUUUAUCCAGAAACCGCUACUGCUACCUUGACUGGCUGUAGCUUUUUUUCAGUAAAGCGCUACUGCUAUAACCAGUUUCCCUUUUUCUUUCCCUUUAUUUUUCUCACUUUUCUUUUUUUUCCGAGAGCAGUGAACGAAGGGAAGGCGAUAUAUAUUGCAUCAUUUGACGGUUAAAUAUGUAUGCAAAAUAGGAACAUAUAUAUUACAUCAUUUGACCCAUGCAUAAUAAUGGCUAAGUGUGUAUACAAAAUAGGAACAUAUAUAUAUAUUACAUCAUUUGACCGAUUCCUCAGCGUUGACAUUUUCGUUUUUGAGUCAGCUUCCUUCCCUUCUUGUUCGUCAAAGAAUAAUUGAGCCCCUCAUUGUGACUUUGCCUUUUCCAUGGAGUACGAUUUUUCUUAGGUAAUGAAGUAUUGAUUCUUCUUUUGAUGUAUACUUCAUCAUCAUCGUCAUCUUCCCUCAUUGGGUUGCCGUACUGAUCAUAGUCUUCCUCGUUGGCGACUCCAUCCAUUCCAAUGAUGUUCCUUUUGCCUCUCCUCAUGACAACACGACUGGGAUUGCAUGGGUCGGUUAUGAAGAAGCAUUGUGUCACGUGCUUAGCGUGUACCCAUGGCUCAUUUUUUGCGAUAGCGUUCACGGUAGCGCUCUUGGUGUUGGGUAUAGUCAUGGUAGUGAAAAUCUGGUUUUCUCUUUCGACAUUCUUAGCCCAUCUGACACGGAACAUCAUCGUGUUGUGCAGUCCAGAGUAGUCAAGCUCCCAGGUCUCCUCGACCCUUACAUAAAAUCAUUCAAUUGCGCCGUUGUCACUGUCGGUCAUGCAUUCCAUUGUCACCCCUGAGUUCUGAUCAUCACUGUCCAUAUCUUUGGUCUCCGUGUAGAACGUGUAUCCGUUGAUAUCAUAUGCCUGAUAGGUUACGAGGUUGGGCGAGGGGCCAUGUGCUAAGGCGUAUAUGAGCAAUCCAUCCUUAGAGCCCUCCUUCGGGGGAUUAGCAAUAAUAUGCUCUUUGAACCAAUGCGGGAAAGUGGAGUUGUGCUCUCUAGUAACUUCGGCGUCUGUCUUGCAUACCCCCCGGUCAUGAUACUUCUUUGUGAUAAUUUCUUUGUGGAGUGCCACGAAAGGAUCUACCUUAUCUAGAUGUUGUAGCACCACCAAGUUUGCUCUGUCAAAGUCGCUGCGUCGAUCUUAGUAUGCCACGUGCAAUUCCCUGUGACCGUUGCAGUGACCUUCUCCUUCGAGCCUCCCAUCGUGCUUGUUAACGGGCAAACCAACACUAACACCAGGUGGCUGGUCUGCGCCAUAUAGAAAAUUCUCACAGAAAGAGGUGCACUCUUGUGUCAAAUAGCCCUGGACGAUGCUUCCAUCCUGACGGGACAUGUUAUGAACGAAUCCUUUGAUGAUCCCAUUCAUCCUCUCAAACGGCAUCAUGUUGUGCAGGAAUGACGGCCCUAGGUCUAUUAUGUCAUCCACAAUAUGGACACACAGAUGCACCAUGAUGUCAAAGAACGCGGCCGGGAAGUACAUAUCAAGCUCAUGCAGUAUCACAACGAUCUCUUCCAGUAGCCUUCGGAGCUUCUUCACACUGAUCGACUUUCGAGAGAUGACGUCGAAAAAGUUGUAGAGACCAAUAAGCGUGUCACGGACGUGCUUGUCCAUUAUCCCUCUAAGGGCAACAGGUAGUAUCUGCGUCAUUAUCACAUGUCAGUCAUGGGCUUCAUCCCGCUCAACCUUUUCUUGUCCGUGUCUAGAUAUCUGCUUAUCUUGCCACAGUAACCGGAACUAACUUUGACUCCGGUAAGGCACUUAAAGAAUUGAUGGAUCUCAGCCUGACUUAAGGUGAAGCAAGAAGGGGGGCAAUAAUCCUCUUUCUUUAUUUUCUUGCCCUUGUUCUCCCGUGCCUCUGUCUCCGUCUCUGUCUCGUCUCACAUUUUACGGGGCGGCAUGUGCAGAUCUUCCCUGAUUUUCAAAUCUUGCAUGUCUUUUCUUGCCUUCGGCCCAUCCUUGGUCUUAUUCGGCAUGUUCAUCAGUGUUGCGAGCAAGCUCUCAAGGACAUUCUUACAGAUAUGCAUUUGAUCAAGGCAAUGAGGUGCAUCGAGUUUGUGCAAGUACUCCAAGUCCCAGAACACAGACCUCGUCUUCCAUACCUUUAGCAGCGGCUCCGGCGCCUUUCUCAUCGCCUUUCCCGAUGCGGGGCACUCUUUCCAGUUUUUCAGCAGCUCAUCGAUUUCGGCACCGCUCCGCUUACGUGGAGGUCCUCGAUGCUCAGCGUGACCAUUGAAUAGAUCUCCAUGGUUUCUCCAUGGGUCGUCCUGUUCGAGCCAUCUUCGAUGCCCCAUGUACACGAUUUUCCCAGACCCUCCAUCUUUCCUUGACGUUAGCUGCCGAGACGUCGUAUCAUCCAUGCACCGCGUGCAUCCGCAAUAUCCAUGGCACACCUGGCCUGCCACAUAUCCGUAACCGAGAUAGUCCUGCACUGUCGUGAUCAACGUGGCUCUCAUGUUGAAAUUCUCGCCUUUGCUAGCGUCCCAUGUCUUGGCCGGUGUUUUCCAUAACAUGUCUAACUCCUCUUGAAGUAGCCCCAGAUACAAAUUAAUAUUAUUUCCUAGUUGUUUCGGCCCUUGAAUAAGCAUGCUCAUGUGAAUGUACUUCGAUUUCAUGCACAACCAGGGGGGAGGUUGUACAUCCAUACAAACACGGGCCAUGUGCUAUGGUUGGUGUUCUGAUUGCCAAACGGAUUCAUGCCAUCGUUACACGCGCCGAGCACGAUGUUCCUUGCAUCACAUCCAAAAUACCGAUAGAAGCUGUUCAACGCUCUCCACUGGCUUCCAUCCUUGACGUGUCUCAGCUUUGGAUCAUGUCCAUCGUCGGGCUUCUUCCUCUCCGCAUGCCAGCGCAUUAGCUUUGCUUCCUUGGGAUCUACAAAAUACCUCUGGAGACGGGGAGUGAUCGGUAAGUACCAUACCACUUUCUAGGACAUUUCUUCCCAGCCUUCUUGUAUCGAGAAGCAUUGCACACCGGACAGCUUGUUUUUCCGCGUGCUCCUUCUGAUAAAUUAUGCAAUCGUUGAUGCAUGCAUGGUAUCUAACGUGUGGCAGAUCAAGAGGGCACACGAUCUUCAUGGCCUCAUCAACACUACUAGGACAUAGAUUACCCGCGGGCAGAACAUCCUUUAGGUACUUGAGAUGCUCAACAAGGCUAGUGUCGGUCCAUUUGUUUUUAGCCUUCGUCUUCAGGAGUUGGAGCGUGAAACUCAAGUGGGUCACCUCAGGAUUGCAACCAUCAUACAAUGGAGUGUUCGAGUCUACCACCAGUUGCUCCAGCAUAGCCUCCUCUCUAGAAGCAGCUCUCUUAGUACUCGUCUCCUUGCGAAGCAAUGCUUGAACAUGAGGGUCCCGCAUGAUUGAACUUAGUACCGACAAACUCUGCUGCGUGGAGUCCAUGUCAUUCUCUCCACCGCCAUGUCCGGCCCCUUCUUUGCCGCCAUGUCCGGCCCCUUCUCCGCCGCCAUGUCCGGCCUCUUCCCGCCACCAUUAUCGACCAUCUCUUCGUCUUGCCCCAUGUCAUCAUUGCCUGCCCCGUCGGCAUCCUCAACAUCAUCAUCCUCAUCUUCAAUUAUCCAUCGAGUAUAGCCAUCCAUGAAACCAGUCAUGAGCAGGUGCGCUUCGACACGACCAUCAUCAUGGGGGUCGAGCCAAACUAUUCCUUUGCAUUUUUGACAUGGACAUAAAACCUCUGUCAGGUUAUUUUCCUUCAUGUCCUGCACCGCCGACCGCAACCACCUGUCCACCAUCGUUCCACUGACCAUCGUCAACUCUGCAUGGUAAUAAUAAACAAAUUGAUUAUAAAAAUGCAUGCAUUCAUCAAAGUCAUACAAAAAGUUGGCAUGACCUUCCUUAAAAAUAGGACAUAUAUAGAUCUAGAGUUUGCCCGGAAUUCGCCGAAACAGAAAUAAAUCGACAUUUCGGCAAAACAUAGGCAACUCAAAAGCACAAUUUGGCGUCAACUCAUGCCACGCACAAAAUUUCCAUAAACAUAUCACACACACAUAAACAUAUUUCCAUUUUGCAAAAGCAUGAAAUUUUAAUCACCUCUAUCUCGAGAUCGAGCACACGGUGGAGAUUAUGUUGUAGGGAGAUCAAAAGUGCACAAAUCUCUUCUUGACAAAGAUAGAUCUAGUUAGGGGCAAAUAGGUCACUUAACUAAAUGCUACAUCUACCUAGCUACCUAAUUUGGGAGGAGACAACUUCAACUAGUGGAGGGGGAAGGAAAAAGAGAAAGGAGAUGCAUUAAUGGAGGUGGUGUAGUUAUAGCUAGGAGUAAUGAAGAGAGAAAAAGGUAGGUAGAAGAGGGAGAGUAAUGGGGGGAGAAGUAUUGAGGAAGAAGAAGAGUGAGAGAGGGAGGAUGUGGGAUGUAGGGGAAAGGGAGGAGAGGAGAUGGGGAGGGGAAGGUGUAAAAAGGUGGUGGGUGCUACGUCUUAGCAGUAGGGCGGGAGCAAAAGUGCGCUGCUGCUAAGAGCGUAGCAGCAGCGCGCUUUCCUAUCACGCGCUACUGCUAAACGGGCCAACCCUGUGGAAAAUUUCAAAAUUAGCAGCAGCGACGUGACUAAAAAGAGUGCUACUACUAUGGCAUUAGCAGCAGCGCGCUUCCUGCUGCCGUGCUACUGGUAAACUUAGGUCGUUGUGUACUAUCGGUGGAUUUUUGUAGCAGCGCGGUUUAAACAUCACGCGCUACUACUAAAUUUGCACCAGUAACGUGAUUUCCAUAACCGCGCUGCUACUAAUUAGCAGCAGCGCCUCUUUUUAUGUCGCGCUGCUACUAAGAUUCUGUGUAUAAGGUUUUCCUUAGUAGUGUACGGACCCGAAGGUCUACAAAGGACUACUCACGCAUCAUUGGAGAGGCACCAAUGGAAGUGGUGAACCCCUCCCUGAUGGUGUCUAGAUUGGAUCUAGUGGUUCUGGACUCUACGGUGGAUGGAAUUGAUUUUCAUCGACUCUCCUAGGGUUUCUGGAAUAUUGGGGUAUUUAUAGAGCAAAGAGGCGGUCCGGAGGGGGCACCCAAGGUGGGCACAACCCACCAGGGCGCGCCUAGGCCUCCUGGCGCACCCUGGUGGGUUGUGCUCCCCUCAGAGCACCCCCCAAGCGCUUCCUUGGCCCAUUGGGUGUCUUCUGGUCCAUAAAAAAUCUCCAUGAAGUUUCGUUGCAUCUGGACUCCGUUUGGUAUUGAUUUCCUCCGAUGUAAAAAACAGGCAAAAAACAGCAACUGGCACUUGGUACUAUGUCAAUAGAUUAGUACCAAAAAAUGAUAUAAAAUGACUAUAAAAUGAUUAUAAAACAUCCAAGGUUGAUUAUAUAACAACAUGGAACAAUCAAAAAUUAUAGAUACGUUGGAGACGUAUCAGUGCAGAACGUACGGCACCUCUGACUUCUGCACACGUUCAGCUCGGUGAUGGCCCUCGCCCUCUUGAUCCAGCAAGACGUCGAGGUAGUAGAUGAGUUCCGUCAGCACGAUGGCAUGGUGACUGUGAUGGUGAAGUGAUCCUUAUAGGGCUUCACCUAAGCACUACGAAAAUAUGACCGAGGGAGUAAACGAUGGAGGGGGGCACCGCACACGGCUAAACAAUUGNNNNNNNNNNNNNNNNNNNNNNNNNNNNNNNNNNNNNNNNNNNNNNNNNNNNNNNNNNNNNNNNNNNNNNNNNNNNNNNNNNNNNNNNNNNNNNNNNNNNNNNNNNNNNNNNNNNNNNNNNNNNNNNNNNNNNNNNNNNNNNNNNNNNNNNNNNNNNNNNNNNNNNNNNNNNNNNNNNNNNNNNNNNNNNNNNNNNNNNNNNNNNNNNNNNNNNNNNNNNNNNNNNNNNNNNNNNNNNNNNNNNNNNNNNNNNNNNNNAGGCAGCAGGAAGCACCCAAGUCGACCGAAUCCUACUUGGGGUCUCCCCAUGGCCGGCGCCCCAUGCCUUAUUUGCCGGAGGGGGAAGGAAAGAGGUGGGAGCAGGGAAGGAAGGGGGAAGCCGAAUCCCCCCUUUCCUUCUCCCUUCCCCUCUUUCCUUCUUCUUUGGUUCGGCCCAUAUGGGGGGGUGCACCAGCCCCUUGUGGCUGGUGCGUUUCCCCUCUUGGCCCAUAAGGCCCAUACCUUUUGCCGAGGGUGCCCAGAACCCCUUCCGGUGACCCGAUAUGUACCCUGUACCCUCCGGAACACUUCCGGUGUCCGAAUACCAUCGUCCUAUAUAUCAAUCUUUACCUCUCGACCAUUUCGAAACUCCUCGUCAUGUCCGUGUUCUCAUCCGGGGACUCUGAAAAACAUUCUCUCACCAAAUCCCAUAACUCAUAUAAUACUAUAUCGUCAUCGAACGUUAAGCGUGCGGACCCUACGGGUUUGAGAACUAUGUGGACAUGACCAAGACACCUCUCCGGCCAAUAACCAAUAGCGAAACAUGGAUGCCCAUAUUGUCUCCUACAUAUUCUACGAAGAUCUUUAUCGGUCGAACCGUUAUGACAACAUAUGUUAUUCCCUUUGUCUAUCAGUAUGUUACUUUCCCGAGAUUCGAUCGUCGGUAUCUUCAUACCUAGUUCAAUCUCUUUACCAGAAAGUCUCUUUACUCAUUCAGUAAUACAUCACCUCGUGACCAACUGUUUAGUCAUUUUCUUGCAAGCUUAUGAUGUGUAUUACCGAGAGGGCCCAGAGGUACCUCUCCGAUACUCGAAGUGAAAAAUGUUAAUCUCGAUCUAUGCCAACUCAACAAACACCUUCAGAGAUACGUGUAGAGCAUCUUUAUAUUCACCCAGUUAUGUUGUGACGUUUGAUAGCACACAAGGCAUUCCUCUGGUAUCCAGGAGUUGCAUUAGCUCAUAGUCUAAGGAAUAUGUAUUUGACAUGAAGAAAGCAAUAGCAAUAAAACUGGACGAUCAUAAUGCUAAGCUAACGGAUGGGUCUUGUCCAUAAUCAUCCUUCUAAUGAUGUGAUCAUGUUAUCAAAUGACAACUGAUGUCCAUGGUUAGGAAACCUUAACCAUCUUUGAUCAACGAGCUAGUCUAGUAGAGGCUCACUAGGGACACGGUGUUUGUUUAUGUAUUCAUACAUGUAUCAAGAUUUCCGAUCAAUACAAUUCUAGCAUGAAUAAUAAACAUUUAUCAUGAAUAAGGAAAUAUAAAAUAACAACUUUAUUAUUGCCUCUAGGGCAUAUUUCCUCCAUAUUUAUCAUAAAGAUCAAAUAGAAUAGUAUGAUUAUUGCGCUGGGAUGUAAACUCAAAUCUUCGUACGAAUGAAUCAAUCAGGUGGUAGUACUGCCUGCACUUAUCUAACACGAAGUCCUCAAGAUUAACAUUUUGUACCUACACAUCAAAUUCCUCUUUAAAACCUGCAUGAACCAUGAAUUGAUCCAACCGCCAUUCGCAAGGACGUACUCGAGCUUCCCUUGGUGGUUCAAGAUCCGUCUCACAUAUCACGAGCCUUGGGGCUUUCUUGCUUGAGGGGCCACCUUGGUACAUCAUUCUAAACAUUGUUCUUCCUCUGGAAAAUUUCUGAAAUUUUUAGUGACUCAAAAUAAAAGUGAACCAAACUCAACAAGAUUGAUAGUAACUACUCCUACAAGUGUCUAGAAACUAUAUCAUGCAUCAAAACUACUUUGGACCAUAUAAAUUUGACAUGCAAGUUCAAGAACAAGGUCACCACAGCAGCAAAAAUUUUCAAUAUAUAAAGCACUAGAAGAAAAACUAAUUGGACCAUUGGAGGAGUCACGUAUCGAAGAACAAUCCCCCAAGACUGUUUUGCAAAUGGAACUUUGCACAAGGAGAUCGAAAAUGGCAGCAAGAUGAGCUAGAACACGAGUUUGAACAAUGGGAUGAUUUUUUUUGGAGGAAGACGAAGUGGAUGGUGAUACGUCUCCAACGUAUCUAUAAUUUUUGAUUGCUCCAUCCUAUAUUAUCUACUAUUUUGGACAUUAUUGGGCUUUAUUAUCCACUUUUACAUUAUUUUUGGGACUAACCUAUUAACCGGAGGCCCAGCCCAGAAUUGUUGUUUUUUGCCUGUUUUAGGGUUUCGAAGAAAAGGAAUAUCAAAAGGAGUCCAAACGGAAUGAAACCUUGGGAAACGUGAUUUUCUCAUCAGAUAAGAUCCAGGAGACUUGGACCCUCCGUCAAGAAAGCCACGAGGUGGUGACGAGGGUGGAGGGCGCCCCCCUAGGGCGCGCCCCCUGCCUCGUGGGCCCCUCGAAGCUCGACCGAUGUACUUCUUCCUCCUAUAUAUAUCCACGUAACCCCAAACGAUCAGAUACGGAGGCAAAACCCUAAUUCCACCGCCGCAAAUUUUUGUAUCCACGAGAUCCUAUCUUGGGGCCUGUUCCGGAGCUCCGCCGGAGGGGGCAUCAAUCACGGAGGGCUUCUAGAUCACCAUCCAAGCCUCUUCGUUGAAGUGUGAGUAGUUUACUUCAGACCUACGGGUCCAUAGCUAGUAGCUAGAUGGCUUCUUCUCUCUUUUUGGAUCUCAAUACAAUGUUCUCCCCCUCUCUCGUGGAGAUCUAUUCGAUGUAAUCUUCUUUUUGCGAUGUGUUUGUUGUGGCUGAUGAAUUGUGGGUUUAUGAUCAAGUCUAUCUAUGAAUAAUUUUUGAAUCUUAUCUGAAUUAUUUUAUUUAUGAUUGGUUAUCUUUGCAAGUCUCUUCUAAUUAUCAGUUUGGUUUGUCCUACUAGAUUGGUUUUUCUUGCCAUGGGAGAAGUGCUUAGCUUUGGGUUCGAUCUUGCGGCGUCCUUUCCCAGUGAUAGAAGGGGCAGCAAGGCACGUAUUGUAUCGUUGCCAUUGAGGAUAACAAGAUGGGUUUUUUAUCAUAUUGCGUGAAACUAUCCCUCUACAUCAUGUCAUCUUGCUUAAGGCAUUACUCUAUUUUUAACUUAAUAGUAGAUGCAUGCUGGAUAGCGGUUGAUGAGUGGAGUAAUAGUAGUAGAUGCAGAAUCAUUUCGGUCUACUUAUCUCGGACGUGAUGCCUAUAUACAUGAUCAUUCCUAGAUAUUCUCAAGAGGUAGCAAGAAGAAUUUCUGGCGCCAUUGCUGGGGAGUCUGCGCAAAAGUCAACAUACCAAGUACCCAUCACAAUCCAUAUCUCCCGCAUUACAUUAUUUGCCAUUUGCCUCUCGUUUUCCUCUCCCCCCAAUUCACCCUUGCCGUUCUAUUCGCCCUCUCUCUCUCUCUAUCCUCCCUCUCCCUCUCUAUUUGCCUCUUUUGCCCGUUUGCUUUUUGUUUGCUUGUGUAAUUAUCGUCAUGGCUAGUCUCAUAUCUUCUCCGUUGUCUCCCGAGAAUGAAGUUCUAAAUUUUAAACAAAGGGAGGGAGAAAAUCUAAAAGAUGCUUGGUAUAGAAUUUGCAAUGCUCAAAAUAGAUCUACCAGGAAGCAAUCUACUUCAGUUCUUCUAUGCAAUUUUUAUGUAGGUGCUAGUCCUUGGUAUAGAUAUAUCCUUGAUACCAUUACCGGAGGGAAUUUCUUGGGUAGCCAUACUUUUUAUUCUUAUAAUGCUAUGUUAGAUUUAUUUGGCUCACCACCUCUUUUGGCUAAUGGAACUAUGUUAACUUUGGAGCAUGUUAUGCAAAGACUGAAAAUUAUUGAAAAUAAAGUUGCUACCAUUGAAUUAAUUGAAAAUAUAGAUAAAAAGAUCCAUAAUCAAAUUACCCAAUAUGGAUCUAGGGUAGGAAUGACUUUGAAAAAUAUUAAGGAAAAGGAACCCAUAGUUAAUGAGAAAAUAAAUCUAGAUUCCACUAGAAUCGAUAAACUUGAGGGUAUAAUUACAAACUUGGGAACCGCUUUUUCUUCCGUAAAGAAUACUCCAAGUCCUCCUACUAAAAUUUCCAAGAUUAUGUAUGUUCCUAAAAAUAAGGGUGAAUCAUCUACUGAAGAAACUACGGAUCUUAAAUCUAUAAGUAUUCAUCCUAAUCUUUUUUCUAUCAUUAAGCAAUCAAUUGGUAGAAAUGAAUUUUUUUCAUCUUGUGCCUAAGAGUUUGAUAAUCACUAGAAAGAAAUAAAUUCCUAAGGGAGAUAGAUGCCUCAUUGAAGAAUUGCCUCCCAAAGAUGGCAAUACCUAGAUCUAUUCUUGCUUGUUAUGCCUAGCUAGGGGCGUUAAACGAUAGCGCUUGUUGGGAGGAAACCCAAUUUUAUUUUUAUUCCUUGAUUUUUGCUCCUGUUUAGUAAUAAAUAAAUUAUUUAGACCCUGUUUUGGUUGUGUUUUUUGUGUUUAAUUAGUGUUUGUGCCAAGUAGAACCGUUGGGAAGACUUGGGGAAAGUCUUGUUGAACUUGCUGUAAAAAAACAGAAACUUUAGCGCUCACGAGAACUGCUGUAAUUUUUAUUUGGAAAGUGAUAUUUAGUUAAUUCUUUUUGAAUAUUAUUAAUAGAUAAAUUACUCACGCCAGCAAUUUAUUUUAGAAUUUUAGGGGUUCCAUAUCUUGCGCUAGCUACAGAUUACUACAGACUAUUCUGUUUUUGACAGAUUCUUUUUUUCGUGUGUUGUUUGCUUAUUUUGAUGAAUCUAUGGCUAGUAAAAUAGUUUAUAAUACAUAGAGAAGUUGGAAUACAGUAGGUAUAAUACCCAUAUAAAUAAAGAAUGAGCUCAUUAUAGUACCUUGAAGUGGUCUUUUGUUUUCAUUCGCUAACGGAGCUCACGAGUUUUCUACUUUAAGUUUUGUGUUGUGAAGUUUUCAUGUUUUGGGUAAAGAUUUGAUGGAUUAUGGAACAAGGAGUGGCAAGAGCCUAAGCUUGUGGAUGCCCAUGGCACCCCCAAGAUAAUCUAAGGACACCUAAAAGCCAAAGCUUGGGGAUGCCCCGGAAGGCAUCCCCUCUUUCGUCUACUUCUAUCGGUAACUUUACUUGGAGCUAUAUUUUUAUUCACCACAUGAUAUGUGUUUUGCUUGGAGCGUCUUUUAUAAUUUGAAUCUUUGAUUGUUAGUCUACCACAAUCAUACUUGCUGUACACACCUUUUGAGAGAGCCAUACAUGAUUUGGAAUUUGAUAGAAUACUCUAUGUGCUUCACUUAUAUCUUUUGAGUUAUAUAAUUUUGCUCUAGUGCUUCACUUAUAUCUUUUAGAGCACGGUGGCGGAUUUGUUUUAUAUAAACUAUUGAUCUCUCAUGCUUCACUUAGAUUAUUUUGAGAGUCUUAAUAGCAUGGUAAUUUGCUUAAUAAUAAUUUGAUUGGUAUUCAAGAUUUGUAAAACUUUCUUUUGAGUGCAUUGAAUACUAAGAAGAAAUUGAUGCUCGAUAAUUGUUUUGAGAUAUGAGGAUGGUGAUAUUAGAUUCAUGCUAGUUGAGUAGUUGUGAAUUUGAGAAAUGCUUGUGUUAAAGAUUGUGAUUCCCAUAGCAUGCACGUAUGGUGAACCGUUAUGUGAUGAAGUCAGAGCAUGAUUUAUUUAUUGAUUGUCUUCCUUAUGAGUGGCGGUCGGGGACGAGCGAUGGUCUUUUCCUACAAAUCUAUCCCCCUAGGAGCAUCCGCGUAAUACUUUGCUUUGAUAACUUCUAGAUUUUUGCAAUAAGUAUAUGAGUUCUUUAUGACUAAUGUUGAGUCCAUUGAUUAUACGCACUUUCCUUCCUUCCACCAUUGCUAGCCUCUCUAAUACCGCACACUUUUCGCCGGUAUCAUACACCCACCAAAUACCUUCCUCAAAACAGCCACCAUACCUACCUAUCAUGGCAUUUCCAUAGCCAUUCCGAGAUAUAUUGCCAUGCAACUUUCCACCGUUCCGUUCAUUAUGACACGCUCCAUCAUUGUCAUAUUGCUAGCAUGAUCAUGUAGUUGACAUUGUAUUUGUGGCAAAGCCACCGUUCAUAAUUCUUUCAUACAUGUCACUCUUGAUUCAUUGCAUAUCCCGGUACACCGCCGGAGGCAUUCAUAUAGAGUCAUAUUUUGUUCUAAGUAUCGAGUUGUAAUUGUUGAGUUGUAAGAAAAAUAGAAGUGUGAUGAUCAUAAUUUUGAGAGCAUUGUCCCAAGUGAGGAAAGGAUGAUGGAGACUAUGAUUUCCCCACAAGUCGGGAUGAGACUCCGGACAAAAAAAAGAGGCCAUAAAAAAGUGAAGGCUCACAUAAAAAAAUGAGAGAAAAAGAGAGAAGGGACAAUGUUACUAUCCUUUUACCACACUUGUGCUUCAAAGUAGCACCAUGAUCUUCAUGAUAGAGAGUCUCUCAUUAUGUCACUUUCAUAUACUAGUGGGAAUUUUUCAUUAUAGAACUUGGCUUGUAUAUUCCAAUGAUGGGCUUCCUCAAAAUGCCCUAGGUCUUCGUGAGCAAGUGAGUUGGAUGCACACCCACUUAGUUUCUUUUUGUUGAGCUUUCAUAUACUUAUAGCUCUAGCGCAUCCGUUGCAUGGCAAUCCUACUCACUCACAUUGAUAUCUAUCAAUGGGCAUCUCCAUAGCCCGUUGAUACACCUAGUUCAUGUGAGACUAUCUUCACCCUUUUUGUCUUCUCCACAACCACCAUUCUAUUCCACCUAUAGUGCUAUAUCCAUGGCUCACGCUCAUGUAUUGCGUGAAGAUUGUAAAAGUUUUGAAAAUGUCAAAAGUAUGAAACAAUAGCUUGGCUUGUCAUCGAGGUUGUGCAUGAUUUAAAUAGUUUGUGUGGUGAAGAUAGAGCAUAGCCAGACUAUAUGAUUUUGUAGGGAUAGCUUUCUUCGGCCAUGUUAUUUUGAGAAGACAUAAUUGCUUUGUUAGUAUGCUCGAAGUAUUAUUAUUUUUAUGUCAACAUGAACUUUUGUCUUGAAUCUUUUGAAACUGAAUAUUCAUACCACAAUUAAGAAGAUUUACAUUGAAAUUAUGCCAAGUAGCACUCCGCAUCAAAAAUUCUGUUUUUAUCAUUUACCUACUCGAGGACGAGCAGGAAUUAAGCUUGGGGAUGCUUGAUACGUCUCCAACGUAUCUAUAAUUUUUGAUUGCUCCAUGCUAUAUUAUCUACUGUUUUGGACAUUAUUGGGCUUUAUUAUCCACUUUUAUAUUAUUUUUGGGACUAACCUAUUAACCGAAGGCCCAACCUAGUAGUUCUGUUUUUUUGCCUAUUUUAGGGUUUCGAAGAAAAGGAAUAUCAAACGGAGUCCAAACGGAAUGAAACCUUCGGAAACGUGAUUUUUUCAUCAGAUAAGAUCCAGGAGACUUGGACCCUCCGUCAAGAAAUCCACGAGGCGGUCACGAGGGUGGAGGGCGCCCCCCUGCCUCAUGGGCCCCUCGAAGCUCCACCGACGUACUUAUUCCUCCUAUAUAUAUCCACGUACCCCCAAACGAUCAGAUACGGAGCCAAAAACCUAAUUCCACUGCCGCAACUUUCUGUAUCUACGAGAUCCCAUCUUGGGGCCUGUUCCGGAGCUCCGCCGGAGGGGGCAUCAAUCACGGAGGGCUUCUACAUCAUCAUCCAAGCCUAUCCGAUGAAGUGUGAGUAGUUUACUUCAGACCUACGGGUCCAUAGCUAGUAGCUAGAUGGCUUCUUCUCUCUUCUUGGAUCUCAAUACAAUGUUCUCCCCCUUUCUCGUGGAGAUCUAUUCGAUGUAAUCUUCUUUUUACGGUGUGUUUGUUGAGACUGAUGAAUUGUUGGUUUAUGAUCACGUCUAUCUACGAAUAAUAUUUGAAUCUUCUCUGAAUUCUUUUAUGUAUGAUUGGUUAUCCUUGCAAGUCUUUUGGAAUUAUCAGUUUGGUUUGGCCUACUAGAUUGGUUGUUCUUGCCAUGGGAGAAGUGCUUAGUUUUGGGUUCGAUCUUGUGGUGUCCUUUCCCAGUGACAGAAGGGGCAUAGGCAUGUAUUGUAUUGUUGCCAUCGAGGAUAACAAGAUGGGGUUUUUAUCAUAUUGCAUGAAACUAUCCCUCUACAUCAUGUCAUCUUUCUUAAGGCAUUACUCUAUUUUUAACUUAAUACUCUAGAUGCAUGCUGGAUACGGUCGAUGAGUGGAGUAAUAGUAGUAGAUGCAGAAUCGUUUCGGUCUACUUGUCUCGGACGUGAUGCCUAUAUACAUGAUCAUACCAAGAUAUUCUCAUAACUAUGCUCAAUUCUGUCAAUUGCUCAACAGUAAUUUGUUCACCCACCGUAGAAUACUUAUGCUCAUGAGAGAAGCCACUAGUGAAACCUAUGGCCCCCGGGUCUCUUUCUCAUCAUAUCAAUCUCCAUCACGUUAUUAUUGCUUUGCUUUUACUUUUUACUUUGCAUAUUUAUACCAAAAUAUUAUUUAUCAUCUCUAUUAGAUCUUACUUUCGUAAGUGACCGUGAAGGGAUAGACAACCCCUAAGCGUGUUGGUUGCGUUGAGCUAUUGUUUUUGUGUAGGUACGAGGGAUUCGAGCGUAGCGUUCUACUGGAUUGAUACCUUGGUUCUCAAAAACUGAGGGAAAUACUUACGCUACUUUGCUGCAUCAUCCCUUCCUCUUCGGGGAAAUCCAACGCAGUGCUCAAGAGGUAGCAGAUGGGUGCUGGAAUAAGUGAGGGGGACCCAUGUGGGACCCACAAGGUAGGGGGCGCGCCCAGGGGGGUAGGGCGCGCCCUCCACCCUUGUGGCCUAGUAGUGCAGCCCCCUAGUGUGUUCUCAGUGCCAGAAAUUUUCAAAUAUUCUAUAAAAAAUCAUACUAAAUUUUCAGGGCAUUUGGAGAACUUCUAUUUUAGGAACAUUUUUUAUUGCACGGAUAAUUCAGAAAACAGAUGGAUAAUCCUAUUUUUGCUUUAUUUAUUCUAAAUAAUAGAAAGUAAAAAGUGGGUACAGAAAGUUGUUCCCUCUAAAUUCAUCCAUCUCAUGCCCAUCAAAAGGAAUCCAUUAACAAGGCUGAGCUAGUCUUAUUAACAAACUUCUUCCGAAUGACAUGAAACCGGAGAACUUUCGAAUAACACUAGGUUUCCUCAACGGGGAUAUGCUUGUCCCCAACAAAAAGAAUAUCAUAUUUCUUUUUAAUAGUAGGAUGUAGCGACCCGACCCGAAUGGAUCAAGCGCUCUGUGCUCAGGUGUCAUCCCUGGAUCAGUAAUGCUGACACCACACAGUACAUCGAAGGAUUUAUAACAAAGUGGCAAUCACACACUUAUUACAUCGUUGUCUCAAAGAGAACUCAUUACAUUAAAUAUGGCUUAAGGCCAUCUAGUGUCGAUAACAGCGGAAGACUCAGAAGAUAAAUGGGUCCAUCAACUCCAACGGCAUCACUGAGUAUAGAACCACGACCUAAAAACUCCUUACUCGUCGUCUAAAAAGUCUGCAACAUGAGAAGUUGCAGCCCGAAAACGGGUCACCACAUGGAAUAUGCUGGCAAUGUAACACAUAGAGAGUAAUGGAAUGAAACAGCUAUACUAUAUGCAUAUAUGGCUAAUGGAAAGCUCUAUGGUUACAGUUUUGCGUAAAGCCAAUUUUUCCCUACUGCAAAGGAAUAAAUUUAUUUAACUAUCAUGGUGGUUGUUGAACAUCGAGAAUGGAUGACAGCAUUCCGAUCCCAAUUAAGUGAACAAUUAAAACCCAACAACAUUAAUUAGAAGUAACAUGUUGAGAUUCACAUGAUAUUCAAGUACUAGAUACUCAAGAUUGUCCAUAACCGGGGACACAGCUAAUCAUGAUUAGUUUGUACACUCUGCAGAGGUUUGCGCACUUUUCCCCACAAGACUCGAUCGCCUCCAUUUGGUUUCUCGCACUACAAGGUGUUUGAGAAGACGGAUGACCGAGACGAAGUCUUUCAGAAGCACCAGCACCUUACAUGUGGGUAGACCGGUACACCUACUUUCCCCUACAUCUGCUAGUCUACCCGUAAGAGUUCACACGACUUAAUCAACUAUGCCAGAGCCCAUAAUGGCUUGUGGCUGCACACGGAAGUUUCUAUCAUGAAAGAUCCUUUGAUCCCUUUGAGCCUGGGUGGCGGUCCAAAAUAAAACAGGCAAGUCCUGAUAGACAUCAGGUGCCUCAAUCCACCCAGAUGUGUGUUUAAGUUGCCACCUUAGAUAAACCAUUAAAAUUAUCAACUCACAUCUGUCAUGGAUAUCACUCACCCAAUCCACGUCUACUAGCAUAGCAUGGCAUAAUAAGCAAACGUAGAAGUAACUCCCAAAGGUUUCAUAAUAAUACAGGUGAUAGUUACUACCUCAUCUACUUCCCAUCCCACAGUUUAAUUAGAUCCUAAUCAUGCAAUGUGAGAGGAUUGAUCUAAUGCAAUAAAACAUGGGUUGUAGAAAAGGUAUGAUCAAAGUGUUACUUGCCUUGCUGAUGAUCCGCGAGACCUAUGGUUUCGAAGAAACAAGCGGCGCAAUCCGGGUGAUCUAUCACAGACAAACAACAAGCAUACAAUAAGUAAUCAUCUAAUGCAUAGGUAAAACUUGAACAAGACAACGAACCAGAAAAUUCAACUUAAGAACUCCGGUUGCAAAGAAAGAACAAACCGAACAAAGAAACAGAAAACAAACGGCGGAAGAAAACAACUCGGUUCUAGCAAGUUGAAACUAGGUCAAAUUUUACCAGGGAAAAAACUUGUUUGAGUUGAUUAGACGGAACGGCGGUUUCGAAACGAAACUCCAGGCGCUUGAAUCACCUGAUUCCGAUAAACGAGCGAGAAGAAAGACUAGAACGAAGAUCGGAUCUGAGAUCGCGAUCGCGGAAUAAAUCCGACGAAAAGAAAGAGACGAACGGUUAAACGAACGGGCGUCGUUAACCGGGAAAAAUCGGUGAUCAUGUUCGUUGAGAUGAACGGUCCGAAAGAAGAACGAAAACCGAUCUAGGGGAUCCGGAAGAAAACCGAAACAGAAACCGGAAGAAAAAGAAAAGAAUCAGAGAGAAAACGGAACGGUUCUUUUAGAAAAAAACUGGACCGGGGAAGAAAAAGAGAGGCGCGGCUACCUCGGGAGGCGGGCUCCGGGCGGCUGCGGCUUAGGCGCGGGGCGGCGCGGCUAAGGCGGCGGCUUGGGCUGCGCCCUGCUGCUUGCUGCGGCUUAGGAUGGAAAGGGGCUUGGGGUUUUGAUGUGAGGAGAGGGGGGGUGUUGGUAUUUAUAUAGGUGAGGGGAGGGGGUUUCUUGGGGUAGGGGACAAGAAAUAGAGUAGGAAUAGGAAAGAAAAAGAGGAAACAGAGUAGGACUAAAGUCCUACUAGGACUCCAAAAGGGGCGGUGGCGGCGGCCUCCUGGCGCCUGGCGCGCGCGGCGCGGGCGAUGGCCUGGCCGGCCGGCUGCUGGCUGGGCCUUGGCCCAGGGCGCUGCAAAAAAAUUUUUAAUCGGUUUCGCGGGCAAAAAAACAAAAGAAAAACUAUCUAAACGAACUCCGAAAUUACUAAAGUAAAUUUUCUCCGACUCCUAAAAAUGAGCCGAACAAAAUGAACUUUACUCCGGACCUAGAAUGCAAUUUUCGAAAACGCGCAUUUUUCCCUAUCCAAAUAAAAGCAAACGAAACUCCGGCAAAACGAAAUUUGAUCUAUUUAUUAAAUCUUCAUUUUUCCUCAAUUUUGAGAAAGUCAUAUUAUUCCCUCUCUUAUAUUUUUGAUAUCGGAAAAAUUAUUGAAGAUGAAAUAAAUAAAUCAAAUGAUCCUCUUUUCAAAUUCGAGAAAACUCUCAAAUAUGAAAAUAACGAAAUCUCCAACUCUCUCCGAAGGUCCUUGAGUUGCGUGAAAUUUCUAGGAUCAACCAAAAUGCAAGAAAAUAUGCUAUGCAUGAUGAUCUAGUGUAUAACAUUCCAAAUUGAAAAUUUGGGAUGUUACAUAGGAAGAAGGAAUUCAAAACCUCCAAUAGCAAUAGUUAAAACUUUUCCAAUAGAAUUGAUGAUAUUCACUUGAGGUUGUUUCUUCGAAAAGUGUACUAUAUGCUCAUUACCAUUAACAUGAAAAGUGACAUUUCCCUUGUUGCAAUCGAUAACAGCCCCUGCAGUGUUCAAAAAGGGUCUACCAACGAUGAUCGACAUACUGUCAUCCUCAGGAAUAUCAAGAAUAACAAAGUCCAUUAAGAUAGUAAUGUUUGCAACCACAACAGGCACAUCGUCACAAAUACCGAUGGUUAUAGGAGUUGAUUUAUCAGCCAUUUGCAAAGAGAUUUUAGUAGGUGUCAACUUAUUCAAUUCAAGUCUACGAUACAAAGAGAAAGGCAUAACACUAACACUGGCUCCCAAAUCACAUAAAGCAGUUUUAACAUAGUUUCUUUUAAUAGAGCAUGGUAUAGUUGGUAUUCCUGGAUCUCCAAGUUUCUUUGGUAUUCCACCCUUAAGAGUAUAAUUAGCAAGCAUGGUGGAAAUUUCAGCUUUCGGUGUCUUUCUUUUAUUUGUAACAAUAUCUUUCAUGUACUUGGCAUAAGGAGACAUUUUCAGAAUAACAGUCAAACGCAUAUGCAAAAAGACAGGUCUAAGCAUUUCAACAAAGCACUCAAAAUCCUCAUCAUCCAUUUUCUUGGAUGAUUGACGGGGAAAUGGCAUGAGCUUCUGACCCCAAGGUUAACUUUCUUUACCAUGAUUCCUAGCAACGAAGUCUCUCUUAUCAUAGCAUUGAUUCUUAGAUUGUGGAUUAUCAAGAACAACAACAGGUUCAGUCUCCACAUCAUUAUCAUUACUAGGUUGAGCAUCAACAUGAACAUUGAUACAUCUCCGACAUAUCUACAAUUUAUGAAGUAUUCAUGCCAUGUUUACAAUGAUUCCAUAUGGUUUUGGUAUGAUUUGAUUAGAACUAACCCGGUCUGACGUUGUUUUCAGCAGAACUAACAUGGUGUUGUUUUUCUGCAGAAAUAAAAGUCCUCGGAACAAGCUGAAAAUUAAUGAAGAAUUUUUCUAUAAAAUAUGAAAAAUACUGGAAGAAAAAGAUACGGAAGAGGAGUCCCGGGCCGCCACAAGGGUCCCCCCUGGGGCGCGCCCCUCGACCUUGUGAUCGCCUCGUGGGGCCCCCUGACGUGAAACUGACGCCAACUCCUUUUAUAAAUCCAAAAAAAUCAUAACAGAAGAGAGAUCGGGAGUUCCGCCUCUGUAAGCCUCUGUAGCCAUGAAAAACCAAUCUAGGCCCUCUCUCGCACCCUGCCAAAGGGGGCCAACAUCACCGUAGGCCAUGGAGGAGGAAGCCGGAGGGCUCACCAUCGUCAUGGAGGCCAAGGACCAGAGGGGGAAUCUUUCCCCAUCUAAGGGGGAGGCCAUGGAGGAGGAAGCACAAAGGGGAUAAUCGCUCCCCCUCUCUCUUGAUGGCGCCGGAGUGCCAUUGGGGAAACAAUUGCCACGGUGAUCAUCUUCAUCAACAUCACCAUCCUCAUCUCUUUUACGCGGUCCACUCUCCCGCACCCCACUGUAAUCCCCUACUUGAACAUGGUGCUUUAUGCCACAUAUUAUGAUCCAAUGAUGUGUUGCCAUCCUAUGAUGUUUUGAGUAGAUUUCUUUUGUCUUUUCAGUUGAUUGAUGAUAUAGAUUGGUUUGAGUUGUAUGUCUUAUUUUGGUGCCGUCCUACGGUGCCUUCCAUGCCGCACACACGUGAAGGAUUCCCGCUGUAGGGUGUUGCAAUACGUUCAUGAUUCCCUUAUAGUGGGUUGCUAGAGUGAAAGAAGCUUAAACCCAAGUAAGGGGGUUGUUGCGUAUGGGAUAAAGGGGACUUGAUAUGUUAAUGUUAUGGUUGGGUUUUACCUUGAUGAUCUUUAGUAGUUGUGGAUGCUUGCUAGAGUUCCGAUCAUAAGUGCAUAUGAUCGAAGAAGAGAAAGUAUGUUAGCUUAUGCCUCUCCCUCAUAUGAAAUUGCAAUAAUGAUUACCGAUCUUGUUAACAAUCACCUAGGAUAAUUCCGCACACCGACCAAUCAUUAUUCCGCACUCGCUAUUUAUAAUACAUAGUAAUAUAUUCUAACUUUAUGAUAACAACACCUACUUUUAUAUUUUAGUUCUCCGAUAUCAUGCAAAGUUAUCCUCUUCAUACCCACAACAUAGUUUUAUUUCUCGUUUCUAGUUGGAAGCAAACGUUCGGUGUACGUAGAGUUGUAUCAGUGGAAGAUAGGACUUGAGAGAAUAUUGAUCUUACCUUUAGCUCCUUGUGGGUUCGACACUCCAUACUUAUCACUUCCACCUUUGGAAAGUCCUAUGAUGAUUCCUUGCACUUGAGGAUUAUCAAGCUCUUUUUUGGCACCGUUGCCGGUGAGCAAUAGCGUGGGGUUGAUAUUUUCGCGUAUGCUUGUUUGCUUUAUUCAUUAAGUAGAUUUUGUUUUCCCUUUAUUUUAGUUGUGGGUGAAACAAACAAAAAAAUACAAAAUGGAAAUACCAGAAAAAAAAUAUUUGCCUCCUAUGCCUAAAAACUUUUUGAAAAAGAUAAGUGAUUGGAAGGUUAUGCAUUGGAGAAGUGAGGGUCGACCUUGAACACUUGUGUUCAUGAUCAUGGAAACAAUGUAGACUUUUUCAUGGAAGUUUCUCAAAAAUAAGUAUCCCCUUGUAUAUAUUCAUUGUAUUAUAAAAUUAAGGUGCCAAGGUUUGGUUUUAGAAUGUUUAAAUUGCUUGUUUGGUGUGUGCAGCAGAAAAACAGAAACAUUGCGUGUAGUGUUUGAAUUCUUUUUUUUACUGGAGCAUGAUAAAAUCUUGAAAUUUCUACAUGACUGCCCAACAAAUUGCUUAGAUUGUCCUAUUCUUUUAGAAUUUUUGAAGUUACAGAAGUAUAUGAAAGAUCCAUAUUGCUACAGACUAUCAUGUUCUUAACAAAUUUUGUUUUCUAUGUGUUGUUCGCUUUGAUGAAUCUAUGGGUUGUAUCGGGGGGUAUGACCCAUGGUGAAGUUGGAAUACAGUAGGUAUAAUGCUAAUAUGAAAUUGGACUGGGUUUACAAUAGUACCUAGAGGUAGUGAUUUGCUUUAUUAUACUAACGAAUCUCACAAAGUUUUUUGUUGUGUUUUGUGUGGAUGAAGUGUUCGAAGAACGAGGAGUUACCGAUAUGAGAAGAAUAAGGAGAGGCAAGGGUCCAAGAUUGGAGAUGCCCAAGGCACCCCAAGUAAAUAUUUAAAUGAUACUCAAGCAUCUAAGCUUGGGGAUGCCCCAGUUGGCAUCCCAUCUUUCUUCUUCAACAAUUAUGGGUAUACCUCGUGAAAGUGCGUUAUAUCGACUAGAGGGGGGUGAAUAGGCAAUUUUUAUGAAAUUCUUCACUGAGGAAUUUGCCGGUGAGGAAAUUCCUUAGCGAAGACCUACUAGCAGCGGAAUAAGUACUCAAAAGUAAACAUGACAGAAUACAAGCAUGGUCGUCAUGAUGAAAUGAAGACAGGCACAGAGUACAGGUAGCGUGAGCACAGGAUAACACAGGAUGAAGACAAACAGACUAAAGAAAUUGAACUGAGGAAAUUGAGAAAGUCUUCAGUCAAAGUCUUCAAACACAGAUAUGAAGGAAAUGAAAGAUUUGAGGAAAUAGAACCAGUAAGCUUGGUGAAGACAAUGAUUUGGUAGACCAGUUCCAACUGCUGUCUCAGUUGUACGUCUGGUUGGAGCGGAUGAGUAUUUAAACUCGAGGACACACAGUCACGGACACCCAGUCCUGAGCACGCAGCUCAGGACACCCAGUCCUCGCCGUAUUCUCCUUGAACUAAGGUCACACAGACCUCAUCCAAUCACUCGUGGUAAGUCUUCAGGCGACUACCAAACCUUCACAAACUUGGUCACUCGGCAAUCCACAGUUCCUCUUGGAUGCUCUAGACCAUGACGCCUAACCGUCUGUAAGAAGCACAAUCUUCAAAGGUAACAAGCGUCGGAUCCACGCAAGAUCAAUCUCUUCAGUGAUGCUCAAUCACUUGGGGUUUGUAGGUGUUUGGGUUUGGGUUUUUGGUUUUUCCUCACUUGAUGAUUUUCGCUCAAAGUCCUUGGAGGAUGGGUUGCUCUCAAAUGACAAGUGUCAGUUUCUCUCGGGGCAGCCAACCAGCUAGUGGUUGUAGGGGGCGGCUAUUUAUAGCCUAGAGAGCAGCCCGACAUGAUAAGACAUAAAUAACCUUCAAUGAUAUGACCGUUAGGUGGGUAGAUAUUUCGGGACAGUUGGCGCAUAGCGCAGCAACGGUCAGAAUUUUGAGUAGCAAAAUCCUCAGGCCUAUCAUGUUCCUCAUUGUGUAGGCAAUCCGCACUGGCAAAUUCCUAACUCCUCAGUCAGGACAAAUUCCUCAGAGACCAGAAGAACUUCGACUCUGUCACUGAAGAAAUUGACUGAACUGUAUGAGAUUUCCAAUGGCUUCACUCGAAGGGAUUCGUAAGUGUAGGAUUUUGAGUUGAGCAUCACAUGGAAAUUUUUCCUUAGUAUUUCCUCGACCCCCUUUAACAGUACGGUGUUUCCUAUGACUCAAGAAAGGGAAAAUCAAACUAUGAAAACAAAAGUCUUCACGCUUCAUGUUCCUCGAAUGAAUACCAAGUCUUCACGGUCACACCAAUUUCUUCACUUUCAAAGUCUUCAGAAAGUCUUCAGAGAUUUAAAGUCUUCAGUCGAAGAACUUCAUUUUUAGGGGUCGACUUUCUCUGUAAAUAUCAAACUCCUCAUAGACUUAUACACCUGUGUAUACUCACAAACGCAUUAGUUCCUUAACCUAUAAGUCUUCAAUACACCAAAAUCACUAAGGGGCACUAGAUGCACUUACAAUCUCCCCCUUUUUGGUGAUUGAUGACAAUAUAGGUUAAGUUUUCAACGGGGAUAAACAUAUGAAGUGUAAAUACUGAUAUUGAGGAAUUUGAUUGCAAGAUAUAGAAGAACUCCCCCUGAAGAUGUACAUAGUGAGGAAUUUGCUUUUGAAGCAAUGCACACUUGAAGAGUUGAAUCAUGGAGAUCUCCCCCUAUAUCUUAUAAUUCAUACACGCAUUUGACAUAUCACAAUGAAGAAUUUGAAAUGCAUGAUGAAAUAUGGUGACUGAUGUAAUUCAACAUGUGUGCAUUAGCAUAUAUGAGGAAUAAGCAUGCAGGAAAACAUAUCAAAAUAUCAGAGCACCAUCGGGUUUAAGUUUACAACUCGAUCCAAUAAAGUGUCAGAAGAACGAGAGUUGUAACUUAACAAAAAAAUGCCCAUAUAGAAAGACCCGCUUGAAGACUAACUCAAAAUUCUCCCCCUUUGUCAUCAAAUGACCAAAAGGAUCGAAUAUGAGGACUAACGCCCCUGAAUAAUAUUAAGUUGAUGAAGGAGCGCCAACGUUGUUGGGGUCGUUUGUUGUAGUAGGGUCUGCCGCAGUGUCGUCCAAGUCUUCAUUUUCAUCGGUGUCGCGCGAUGAAGAUAAUGAGCUGGCCACCAGAGAAGGAACCUUGACCUUCUUGAAUUUCUUCGGUGGAGGUGCAGACCAGUCAAAAUCUUCUUUGAGACCCAUUUUCUUCAGAUCUUCUUCACCAUACAGAUGUGAUAGGAUGGCCCAGGUGCGACCGAAGACUUCAUGGAGGUAGUAAUGGUUUUUCUUCACUGCAUUGUGUGUAGCAGUCAUGUUGUGAAGAAAUGAACCAAACUGACGCUUAACCCAUUUAUGAUUUCGAUCCACCUUCUGGUGAAGACUAAGCAGAAGUUCACGGUCAGUCAUCAAUGGCGGAGCAGUGGCUUGAGGAGUGGACUUGGGUGCAUUGGCAGAGUCAUGUGUGGCAGAGUCAUCAUUGGUGGAAUAAGAAGCAGCUUUGUGAAAUUGACCAUCCAAUGGACGAAUGCCUUCAUCUAUUACAGCUGGUGCCUUGCCCUUUCCAUCAACUUAGGAAUAGGUCUGCUUGAGGACUUCAAUUGGGGGCAAGUAGCUGAGGUGAUUCUGAAAAUCAGCUUUGUAGUUGAGUGAAGACCUUGUCCUGAGGAAUCUCAUAAUCCAAGGUGCAUAAGGCUUCAGGUCAAACGGAGACAGUGCAAAAUUUGCCAGAGUCCUCAUGAAGAAAUCGUGAUAAUUGACAGGAAUGCCAUGAACGAUGUUGAAUACCAGAUUCUUCAUGAUGCCAACAAUUUCCUCAUCAGAUGAGUCAUGGCCUUUGAUAGGACUCAUUGUCCUCGUAAGAAUACGAUAGACAGUUCUGGGCACAUAAAGCAAUUCCUUCACGAGGAAUUUGGUUCUUGGGGCCUGUCCUGGCUUCAAAGAUUUCAUCAGCACUUGCAUGUAAUGAUUUGUAAGCUCAGGUUCACUAUAGAUGCAACGAGCUUCUUCAAGGGGAGGACUGAGUGGUAAGGCACGAAGCAAUUCAGAAGCUGGUGCAGUGUAGUGAGUGUUUUCAGACAUCCAGUCCAGCACCCAUGAAUUCACAUCUUCAGAAUCUCCUGUGAUGUGCAGCGAUGCCUAGAAUUGAAGAAUCAGUUCUUCAUUCCAAUCGCAGAUGUCAGAGCAAAAGUAUAGCAGUCCAGCAUUGUGAAGAACACUAAGGACUAGUGCGAAGCAUGGCAGAGAUUCCAUAUCCACGUGAGGAAUGUGCUCAUGGUAGAAGAUUUUCUCUUUGUUGAAUAGCACUAAGGAAUAGAAACUGGCUUGACUAGCAGUCCAGAAACGCCUCUUCCUAAUGUGAGCAGAGUUAUAGGGGUUGUAGUCUUUGGAGAAUACAUGCUCGCCGAAGAAAUCAUCAGCCUUGAACUUUUGCUUGCGUGAGAAUGGAUCCUUUGGCUUGGGCAGAGGAGUUUCAGUGAGUUGCAUCACGACCUCAGGAAUCUUAAUCGCAGGUUCUUGAGGCUGAGGAAUUUCUGGUUCCUCUGCAGUGCCAGUCUGUGUCUUCAGUUGUUUAGCAGUAGCAGUUUCUUUAGCACUAGUGGCAGGAAUUUCCUCAUGGACAGAUGCAGUGGGAUGAGUUUCUUCAGUGCCCAUUUGAACAGUUUGUGCGGGGGACUGAGAAAUUUGCUGUAGAGGGGUGAAGAGUGGAGAAUUGGGGUGCUGACUUUCCCAAAUGUCAUCAGUCAUCACUGGUGUGGAGCAGCCAACAUCCACAUCUUCAUCUUCCAUUUCUUCAACGCCAUCCUCUUCAGCUGUGAACUGAGGCAUGUGCGAGGAGAUGACAGGUGUUGAAGGGAUCGCAUCCACUUCAAUUUCUUCAUCCAACUGCUCAGACGAAGCAGCAGAAGGAGUUUCUUCAUCAGAUCCGCUGGGGAUCACAUAUUCUUCAUCAAAAGGAACAAGGUCCUUUGAUGGUCUGGUUGAGAUGGGAAUAGCAUCAAUGGGAUUAGUAAAUGAACUUGUCAUAGGCUUCAUCUUCUUCGGAGCUGAAGAAUCUAAAACAACUGAUGCUUUCCUUUUCUUCACUGCAGCACACUCUUGAGCCUUGGUCUUCUUCACAUCUGAUGCAGAUGGAAGGACUGGAGUUGAAGUAGGCGCAGGAGCAGCUGAGGAAUCUGGUUGAUUUUCUUCAUUUUCUUCAGGCGCCCCACUAGUGGGUGCCCUGGCAAUUUCUUCAGCGGCUGGAAUGCAGUCAUCAGCCUUGGAACUCACAUUUUCUUCAGCAGCCUGAUUGUCAUCAGCGGUGCUGGCAUGUUCUUCAGUAGGCUAAGCAGAUGCUUUAGCCUGAGGAACUUCCUGUUGCGUUGGGGCUGCAACAUUUGAGGUGAAGUUAUUGGCAAGUUUCACAAAACGAACCUUGGCUCCAAGCCAAUCAGCGCGAUGUGGGUCAAAGUCAUCACUGAGUUUCAUGAUCUCAGUUUGAAUAGUGACAAGUUUUUAGUUAUCAUAGAGAAAAUGUUUUUCUUCAUAUAGCGGUCUUUCUUGUACUGCGCUUUCUUGAUCUGCCUGGCCUUCUCAAAUUUCCACUUUUCUUCUUGCAUGAAGUGGGCCAGCAUGUGACUUUGGCCAGGAGUCAGUUUGAAAUCGGGCAUGGGAGUGUUGGGGUCCUUGUGCCAAACAUCAAUGUAUUCAAGGAUCAACUUGGAAUCCAAAAGCAGUGGCACCUCUGUUCCCUUGGCUCUAGCGGCCCUGACUUGCCUGUCUCUGAUGAUUUCUGCAAGUUCAUCAUCAUCAGCUUCAUCUUCUUCAGACGAUACUUGGAAAGCGACCUGCUUCUUCUGAGGACUUGGUCGAGGACCGUGUCCAGCAGUUGACUUUGUCUUCAGUAGUGAGGGGCCAGCUGAGGAACUUGGUGCAGCUGAGGAACUAGCUGAGACGCCUGAUGCAAUGGAGAUGCCUGCAGUCCUUUGGCACGAGGCGAGAUGCACAGGUGCUGAGGAUUUAGUCGGAACAGCUGAGGGCUUUGGUGGAGGAGCUAAGGACUUGGGAGGAGCGGGAGGAGCAUGAGGAAUUGGCCAUGAGGGCUUUGAGGAUUCUGGCCGUGAGGGCAUUGUUGAGGAACUUGGCCUUGAGGGCACUAUUGGUGAAGCACUUGCCUUGCACGCAGGCUUCUUUGCCAUAGCCUUCUUCGGCUUGAUAGCAGAGGCCUCAGCAGAGGCAGCAGCAGCAGCAGAGUCUUCAUUGAAUUUCCUCACUGCUUCUCUGGCUUGCUUAGCCAACUUGGCUUGGCGCUUGGCCCAUUCAUCAGGGUAGUCCUCACCGCGCUUGAGGCUGGUGGGAUCAGCUAUUUGGCCAGGUGCCAAUGGAGGUCUUGGUCAUGGAGGAUUGAGUGCGAAUUUCUUCAUAUACUUGGGAGUGACAUAUCUGUACUCCCUCCACUCUCUAGCCCAUCUCCUCUCUAUCUUCUGAAUGUGCACCUUGCGCUCAUUCUUGGUUUCCUCAGUAGGUGUGCAGUACCCAGCAUAUAUUUCAUCAGGGAUCUCCAACGCUGUAUUGACCUCAGGCCUCUUUCCUCCUUUCUGUGGCUUCUUACCAUCGGCCAUUUUCUUCAGUUGAGGAAUUUGAACAAUCGAAUUCUUUGAAGAAGUAUGCAACUUUUCUUCGAGGAACGCUGCAAAUGAGUUAAGUUGAUGAGAACCUAGUGAUUCAGCAGCGGACAUGAGUACCUGUGAACAGAGUAUAGUUGCGAGGAAUUCGGAGAGGUCAUAUGCAUUCUCAGAAGGUUUUUUCAAAAAGAACAAGUUUGAGGAAUUUGAACAUAUGAGUCUUGAAGAAUUUAACUAAGCGUUCUUUGUCUUAGGUUCCAGAGUUGUAUAGAUCGAAGAUCCACAAAAUUGAGGAAUCUUGAAGAACAAUGAUGCUUAGAGAAACGAAUCAAGAACAGAUGACUUGUGAGGUGUUUAGUAUGUGAAGAUAUGAAGAAAAACACCUUUGAAUAUUUUGUAGAUAAUCAUUCGAAUCAAUGAGGGUAGUAAAAGUAACUUUUAAUUACCCUUAACGAAGAACACAACGAACUGGAGUGAGGAUAUGUGAAGUUCCUCUGUGCAGAUCUUCCACGCCCUAACUUGGCGGAGGAAGACGGCUACGGCGGCGGCGGAGUGAAGAUUUCCGCGGUCGGCGCGAGUACGUUGGCGACGAGGUCGAGGCAGUGAAGCUCUUCCUCACCGGCGACGAUGAAGUAGCGGCGGCGCUAGGGUUUGAUAAGCUCGAGCUAGAGAGAGAUCGAGCAGAGUAAAAGAAGUGAGGAAGGGAAGGAGGGGUAUUUAUAGCCACGGUGUAAAACUGCUCGCCCAAAGAAAUUGGACAAACGUGCCCCUGACCCUUCUCAUUCGCACGACAUGUGUCACCCAUGUACUGAGAGGUGGAGAUCAUGUGCGAUCGUGGGUGAGUGGAUAAGUAUAUCAUGGGAUGUGGAACGGUUUGAGCGGCAAAGUCGAAAAUUUAGAUAAGAUAGGUUUUAAAGUUCCGUUCGCAAUUUCUUCAGCUAACAAGGACACAGUGAAGAUUUUGAACGAGUUUCAAAUAGAACACACCUGAAGAAUUUGUGAAUAGAUUGGGUUGAGUAUAGCAUAGAGGGGAAGGGUCCGAUCACAUUCACUUAGUAGAAAACCAACUUGAAGAAUUAGUAAUAAGUGAAUGUUGUAGAGGACAUAAACUCAUAUAUAUAUAUAGCCAAUGAAUAAAAAUGACGGAAACAGUGAAGACAAUGCGAAGUUGAAGAAUAUGAACAAUUGAGGAAUUUCAACUUUUGGUGGUGGCCUGACCCACCGUAUAAGAAUGAUGAUUUCAGACACCGCAUACAAUUAUGGUAGGGUUCUGAGAAUCAAUUCUUCGUUAAUUUCUUCACACUUAGAGUGUUAUUCUUCAUUGAUUGAAGAAAAACGUUUCUUCAUGUGUUGCACAUCUAAGUCAUCAAUUUUGCAUAAGUGUUAGGAUGAGUGUCCUUUUCAAAGAACAUUCGAAGAUUCUGGGAUAUUUAGCUCACACCGCAAAUUGCUAAAUAUCUUCUCAUCCAAGGGCUUUGUGAAGAUAUCGGCUAGCUGUUCUUUAGUCUUCACAUGCUCAAUAGAAAUGUCGCCCUUCAACACAUGAUCACGAAGAAAUGAUGAUGAAUCUGAAUGUGUGAGGGAGUCCUGGAUUAGGGGGUGUUCGGGUAGCCGGACUAUACCUUCAGCCGGACUCCAGGACUAUGAAGAUACAAGAUUGAAGACUUCGUCCCGUGUCCGGAUGGGACUUUCCUUGGCAUGGAAGGCAAGCUUGGCGAUGCGGAUAUUAAAGAUCUCCUACCAUUGUAACCGACUCUAUGUAACCCUAACCCUAUCCGGUGUCUAUAUAAACCGGAGGGUUGUAGUCCGUAGGCAAUCAACUCCAUACACAACAAUCAUACCAUAGGCUAGCUUCUAGGGUUUAGCCUCCUUGAUCUCGUGGUAGAUCUACUCUUGUACUACCCAUAUCAUCAAUAUUAGUCAAGCAGGACGUAGUGUUUUACCUCCAUCAAGAGGGCCCGAACCUGGGUAAAACAUCGUGUUCCCUGCCUCCUGUUACCAUCCGGCCUAGACGCACAGUUCGGGACCCCCUACCCGACAUCCGCCGGUUUUGACACCGACAUUGGUGCUUUCAUUGAGAGUUCCUCUGUGCCGUCACAAUCAGGAAGGAUGCCUCCUCACGUCUUUAAAGACAGCGUCGUUGCUAAGGGAGCCUUGGCUGUCGGCCAAAUCCUCCGGCUAGGUGGUUUCCUCAUGACCGCCUGUUCGGCUGUUGCACCGACGGUGACCUCUCGGGUCAUCAAAAGCAACCUACACGUCAGCUCGGAGCUCGUCGAGCAGCUAGAUCCAAUGGAGCUCUCUUCCGUAAACGAGCUCUUGGAUCACAUCGCCGCCCUGGGGGUCGCUACGGAUUACGACCAAGUUGGGCUUAAACCUGAUCUAAGAGAAAUUAACUCUCCCCAAGUCACCCACCAUGUUGCCGUGGUAGAGGCGCAGUGCGGCGACCCUUCAUCUAUUUUAAGGACUAGCUACGUCCGAAUUCCCGACUCCUCCAAGCCGGAUACCCACGGAGAGGAGGAUGUAACUCAAGACCUGAGCUUAGGAUCAGGCAACGGGCUAGAUUCGUUGGACAACAUCCAAGAAUCCGAACUUCAGAGUUCGGAAACUCUUCGGCCUCCGAAUCUUGGAUUGGGUGAGGUUUCAGAUUCAACGACACCCGCCCACCCGAACAUAAGCGAUCUCUCCCAAAUCAGGUAGAAGCCUGAGGAAACAGUACAUCACUACUGGGCCAGAUUCCUCCUGGUUAUGAACAGGAUAAAGGAUUGCCGCGAGGGAGACGCAAUCUCAAUUUUCUGCAGUAAUUGCACGGACGAGGGAAUCCUUAACGCCGUAAGUCGUCGUGAUAUUACACGCUUCGCUGACUUGGCGUCCAUAGUACAAAAAUAUUGUGCGAUGGAAAGCACCUGGAGAACUGAAAUAAAAUUUUGGGAUAAUCCGGCCUUGAAUAGUAAUCCCGUCCAAACUAAGAGGGUGCAUCAUCAUAGGACACCCGGGAUAAACACCAAAAAGCCAAAACCCUCUACAGGGCAUGGAACCGUACUGGAAAGGUGGCUUGAUGGACCCUGUAGAAUUCACAGUACAGAGGACGCCACACCAACUCACAGCCUUAGAGCAUGUUGGAUACUCCGGUAGGUGGCCAAAAUUGGCAAGGACCUCUUAAUUCUGGAGGCCGCAGAAAGCCAGCCCGAGGACACCAGUACCGCUCUCACAGUCUUCGAGACUUUCGCAUCAAACAAUGUGCGAAAAAGAACACUCUGCAGCCUUGCCGAAGUCUAUCAAGUUGCAACAAUAAAUCCAUGGAGCGACACUGCCAUUACCUUCAACGCAAGUGAUGAACCUAGAUUCCGAACAGCCCGAGCACCAGCCGCAUUGGUCCUCAGUCCCAUAGUGGACGGCUUUUGCCUCACCAAGGUUCUCAUGGAUGGAGGCAGCGGACUGAACCUCAUUUAUGAGGAAACCCUUCAAAAAAUGGAAAUAGACUGGCACCGCAUCGGGCGAAGCAGCACAACCUUUAGAGGAAUAAUCCCCAGCCGGGAAGUGCGCUGCACAGGAAAAAUCACACUAGAUGUGGUGUUCGGCACGCCAGAUAAUUACAGAUCCGAAGAAGUCACGUUUCAGGUGGCCCUGUUUAAGAGCGGAUAUCACGCUUUACUAGGGAGGGAAGCAUUCACAAUCUUCCAAGCAAUACCCCAUUACGGGUACAUGAAGCUUAAGAUGCCUGGGCCGAAUGGAAUUAUCACUCUAGCUAGUGAUCCGGACAUAGCACUCCGCGCCGAAAACAAGACAGACGCAUUAGCCCUUGAGGCGCUAUCCGAAGCCUUAGCGGCCGAGGAACUGACUGCGCUAUGCUCCACGGUUAACAGGGAUGAUGUGAUACUCGAUAAGAGAUCCAAAUCCACAUCCUUCAAGCCAGCCGACGAAAUAGUCAAAUUCCAGGUCCAUCCAACGGACCCCAAUAAAACAGCUUCAAUCAGGGCACGACUGAACCCUGAAGCAGACGCCGCACAGCGAGAGUUCCUACGAGAGAACUAGGACAUCUUCGCCUGGCACCCUUCAGACAUGCCAGGGAUCCCAUGCAGGCUGGCUGAACACAGCUUAAAUAUCCUAAAAGGAUUUAAACCUGUCAAACAAGCCCUUCAGCGUUUUUCUGAACCCAAGAGACAGGCUAUGGGAGAGGAGCUAGCCAAGCUAUUGGAGGCCGGAUUCAUCAGAGACAUAAAACAUCCGGACUGGCUAGCAAACCUGGUGAUGGUACCAAAGAAGGACAAAUCCUGGCGCCUGUGUGUCAAUUUUAAAGACCUUAACAAGGCUUGCCCAAAGGAUCCCUUCCCCCUCCCCCACAUCGAUCAAAUUAUUGAUGCCACCGCAGGACACGAUUUGUUGUGUUUCCUUGACGCAUACUCCGGUUACCAUAAAAUUAAGAUGGCAGAAUCAGACCAAGCUGCAACAGCAUUCAUCACAACAUACGACCCAUUCUGCUUCAACACAAUGCCCUUCGGGCUGAAAAACGCCGGCGCAACAUAUUAGCGCAUGAUCCAGACAUGUCUGGCAAAUCAGAUCGGCAAAACAGUGGAGGCGUAUGUGGAUGAUGUGGUCGUCAAAUCAAGACAUGUCGAAUCUCUAGUAGACGACUUGAGGCUUACAUUCGAUAACCUCCGAAAAUAUGACAUCAAGCUCAACCCGGAAAAAUGCGUCUUCGGCGUUCCAGCCGGAAAGCUCUUGGGCUUCAUUGUAUCCGGUAGAGGAAUUGAAGCAAAUCCAGCCAAGAUCUAAGCUUUGUCACAAUUGGAUAUACCAAAGGACCUCAAACAAAUACAAAAAUUAACCGGAUGUGUGGCGGCUUUAAGCUGCUUCAUCUCCCGCUUGGGAGAAAAGGCACUACCCUUCUAUCACCUCCUUCGGCGCACUGAACACUUCGAGUGGACGGAGGCCGCCACGGCCGGACUUGAUGAAAUAAAAGCCAUAUUGGCAACAAACCCAGUCCUGGCCGCGCCAAACACCGGCGAACCAAUGUUAUUGUACAUUGCAGCAACACAUCAAGUUGUCAGCGCAGUGCUCGUUGUCGAGCGGGAAACGGAUGGACACAAAUUCCCCCUUCAAAGGCCAGUCUACUACGUAUCCACUGUCCUCACUCCAUGCAAAUCACGGUUCCCGCAUUAUCAAAAGAUUGCAUACGCGGUAUUCAUGGCAUCCCGGAAGCUACGACACUACUUUCAAGAGUGUUCCAUAACAGUAGCCUCUGAAGUACCACUCAACGAUAUUAUUAACAACCGCGACGCAACGGGCCGGAUUGCAAAAUGGGCCAUCGAGCUUCUCCCGUUUAAUAUAACCUAUAAGCCACGGCGAGCUAUUAAAUCGCAAGUUUUGGCCGACUUCGUCGCAGAAUGGACGGAGGCCGAGCUCCCUAAAGAGUACGGCACAUAUUCAAACUAGAUUAUGCAUUUCGACGGCUCCAAAAUGUUGGCCGGACUGGGGGCUGGCGUCGUCCUGACGUCCCCCACAGGAGACAUAGUCCAAUAUGUGCUCCAGAUCAUGUACACGGAUUCCAACAAUGCAGCCGAAUAUGAGGCCCUCCUACAUGGUCUCCGGAUAGCAGUAUCCAUGGUUAUCCAGCGCCUAGAGGUACGCGGGGAUUCAAACCUCGCGAUAUCCCAAAUAAAUGGAGACUUUGAUGCCAAGGACCCAAAAAUGUCAGCUUACCGCAACGCCGUCCUAAAAAUGUCAGCUCGGUUCGAAGGGCUGGAGUUUCACCAUAUAGCCCGAGAAAACAAUCAAGCAACGGACGUCCUGGCACGCAUCGGAGCAAAACGUGAUGCAGCCCCCCCCCCAACAUCUUUUUGGAAAGAUUGUUCAAGCCAUCCGUAGCAUGGGAGGGGGAACCCGCAAAUAACAGCCCGGACCCAGCCGCACCACUCGACGCCGAACAAUCUGACACAAUUGGAGGCUCUGCAAAUGAAAUUACACCUUCAGCCCACGUAAUAAUCGCGGUCAUUGCCCCGUGGACAAAACCAUUCCUAGCCUACCUUACUAGGCAGGAACUCCCGGAGGACCAAAAUGAGGCCCGCUGCAUAGUGCGGCGAUCUAAAGCCUAUAGAGUCUAUGAGGGAGAGCUUUAUAAGAAAAGCACUACCGGAGUCCUUCAAAGGUGCAUCUCCGAAGAGGAAGGGCGGAACCUUCUGGCUGAAAUUCAUGCCGGACUCGGUGGUCACCAUGCCGCUGCUUGGUCCCUUGUUAGCAAGGCUUUCCAUACAUGCUUUUAUUGGCCGACGGCCCGGACGGACGCUCAGGACCUAGUCCAAUGAUGCGCUGGUUGCCAACUUUUUGCCAACCAAAGCCAUAUGCCACCCACCGCACUCCAAACUAUACCCAUCACCUGGCCUUUUGCGGUCUGGGGGCUUGACAUGGUCGGACCCCUUAAAGGUGGGACCGAUAGGAAACAAUACUUACUGGUCAUGGUGGAUAAAUUCACCAAAUGGAUAGAAGCCAAGCCUGUUAAAACGGCCGAAUCCGGACCUGUGAUAGACUUCAUAUCCGGGGUUGUAAACCGUUAUGGCGUCCCCCACAGCAUCAUAACCGAUAACGGUACAAACUUUACCACCGACGAGGUAAAACUCUGGUGCAAAAACAUGGGCAUCAAGCUCGAUUAUGCUUCCGUCUAUCACCUAGAAACCAACGGCCAGGUUGAAUGUGCAAAUGGUCUUAUCAUGAGCGGCAUUAAACCCAGACCGGUGCGGUCCCUCAAGGAAUCUAACACGCACUGGGUAGAGGAGCUCGACUAUGUGCUAUGGGGGUUGCGGACCACGCCAAAUCGCACCACCGGAUACACACCAUUUUUUAUGGUGUAUGGUGCAGAGGAAGUUCUGCCCUGCGACAUAAUUCAUGACUCACCUAGAGUGCGUAUGUACGAAGAAAGAGAAGCCGAGCUCGAUCGGCAGGACAACUUGGACGCCCUGGAGGAGGAGCAUGACGUGGCAAAAGCCCAUUCCGCAUUUUAUCAACAGCAGGCCCGAAGAUAUCAAAGCAGAGAAGUACGGGCCAAAAGUUACAAUGUUGGCGAACUAGUUCUACGCCUGCCGGAUAAGAAAAAGGACAAACUCAAGCCCAAGUGGGAAGGUCCAUUCAUAAUCGACCAAGUCCUGACUGGCGGGGAAUACCUCCGGCGAGAUGCAUCGGAUAACCAACUCGAGCCGAACCCGUGGAACGCCACCCGUCUCCGAAGAUUCUAUGCCUAGCGCCGGACUCUGUGUUCGUCUCCUUCCUCUGUCCAUUUUUUGCAUUUUUCUGUCUUACAUUUCUCUCCUUCCCCUCUUUUCUUUUAUAGCCCUUAAAGGCUCAUCUAGUGACGCGCCACUCGCGCUCAUUAAACCUGGGGGCUUCUUUAACAGAAGCUUAUUUAUACGGGCUUCACGCCCAACACAUGCGUCAAACUUCCGCAUGUACCUUUUUCUUCACCAUUAUAUGCAUCGAUAUGACUUGUUUUGGCCAAGCUGGGUUGCCUGGCUCCUGUGCUUACCCUACGUUCCCGAUUGUUUGGCUAGGCGGUAAAGGGAGCACCUCUGCGAUUGUUACUGCCGGGUCAGCCGGAUGUGUACCUCAGAUUGGGUGAAGCCGAAAGCUAGCAUUCUUAAGGGAAUAUUUGGUCGGUGAGAUAAAAGAUGAUCUUUUUACUCAUUUUAUGCGCCCCCAGAUGCUUUUUUCUGCGUCUUUUACGCAGUCCGGACAUGCACUUUAGGGCAUGCCUCCCAGCGAAAGGAACCCCUAACAGAACUAUUCUCUCUGGAAGAUGUUUCUUACUAACCAUGUAAUAUAACAUAACUAGUUGGGCACUUGUCUGAUAAAGCACUAAUGACCCCUACGCCUGGUCUCCACGCAUACCACGGUUCUUAUAUAACCGCUAUGGUAUUCGGACACACUCCGGACCGUCAGGUCCCGAGGUUGAAGUGAAAAGGUCGGCAAUGACAAACGAUCUACAAUCCAGCUAGAAGGCAUUAAACAUGUCAAUUCAAAAUUACAUAGUCAUUCUGACUGAUUGUAUUCCUCUUCUAUACCAUCUAACAGGCUUUCUAAUUUACAGUCCUGCUGGGAAUACUUCGCGGCUAACUCUACUUGGCUGUAUACUAAGCUCACAGGGAUCUCCUUCCCGUCAGGCCCCACUGGUCCGACCUCGGCAGGCUUCCCUAGCGCCUUGUCGGCAGGCCGAUAUCUUCCACAAUAGGAAGCGCCGCCGAGCUCCCUUCAGCUUCUCCGCAAGCUCUCCAAGGCCCGCGGGCAUGGAGUGGGCAGGCCAUAAGGCUUGGGCAACACCUCGCAUUGCCUGCCGAAUUCGCUCGUGCAGUUGCAUGAGUUCGGGAAGAAGGUCACCCGUAGAACCGGGCAUCUCCUCUGUAGGACGACCUGUGAGCAUACCUACAGACAUUACUCUAUUAGUCGACUUCCUCGCCGAACUCUUUUUUUCAAAAGUUCGUUCAAGCACUUACUAAAAAUGCCGCAUCGAAGCCGCUGAUUCUCCUUCGUGGAGUCCGACAGCUGGCCACGAACAUCUUUAAGUUCGACGUCCAGCUUGGUGUUGGCAUCCUGAAGAUCAUUCUUCUCUCGCCUCACCUUUGUCAACGUACUCUCACCGGCCUUUAGCCGGCGUAAGAGUUGCUGCUUUUCCGGAUCGAGUCCGGCGCCAUCUGCAACAUGAUUUGUCAGAUUUGCACCCACACCGCACAAUACUAAUCUUUUGAAGUGUAUCUUACCUGAGGGGGUCUCUUUGGGCUCCCCUGCUGCGGCUAGUGCAGCCUCUAGUUGGGCCUUGCACUUUUCCAGCUCCUGGGACAGUACAGUAUUCUUAUCUGUAAGAACCUGCAUAUUAAAUGAUCCUUAAAUCAGUUGCUCUAACUGUUUCAAGUCUCGGGGGCUACUGGUAUAUAUAUAUUUGACCAAAAUUUUCUUACCCGUAUGUCUUUUACAUACUGCUCCGUGGCUCUGGCUAAACCAUUUUGAGCGGCAUGGAGGUACGCAUCUCCCGAAUUAAAGGCAUCUAAAGCCUCUUGGGAGAAACAAGCGUCGCGUAGAACUGUCCGGCGAUGCCUGUGGUUCAUGGCACUCUCCACUUCAGAAUUUGUGGCAGACAGCCUGUCUACAUCCUUUGUCGGAGGAAUGUCCGGUGCGUGCCUUGUGCUCGCCUCCGCUUCCUGGCCAGACGUUGGAGCCUGGCUGGUGGAGGCGCGAUUGGCAACCUCUGCGGAUGUAGUCCAGCGAGGUCUCUUCGUUCUGAAGAUAGCACGAACGUUAAUAUGCCCUGACAGAAUAACACCAGGGAAACAGAGGGUGCGCUAUACCUUUGCGUCGGCAUCUCAGUUCGGACUACAUUCCUUUUUGCCCCAUGGGGCCCUGCGGCCCCUCGUUGGCUAGCCGCCGCAGGUUCAGCCUCCUGCCUCGGAAAUCUCCCCUGCAAAACACGGUUGUCGUCAGAAACACCGGAAUAAGUGAGAGUGGAAUCUCUCUCAAGGGAAUGAGACUCCGGUUUUCUGUCACCUGGGAGGCCGGGAUUAACCCUGGGUAAUCAGCUGUGAUGGCUACCAAGGUAUUGUCCUUGCUUAGUUGAUGGAACACCCCGUCGAUAAGCUCCAGCGAUAUGUCCGGAUCCUCUUUGGAGUCCGGAUCGAGGGACCGUUCUGGGUCCUCGGGCUGUGGAGGGCGGCUGUUUAUAUCCUGUACCACCUGUCGCAGUUCCUGCAUUGAAGUCGUUAGACUACAUAUCUAACCGUGGGAGUAUAAAACAAACGGGCAAGCGCAGUUGUUCACUUACCCAACUUGGAGGAUCGUACAUAGUAAAUCCGGCCUGCGGGUUGAUGCGGAGGAAUUCCUCCUUUUCUCCCUUGUACAAAGAGGAUAAGAUAUUUACUAGAGCGGCAGCUGAGGCCAGCCCCUUACGACCGUAAUGGGUGGCGUCAUCCUCCCCGUUGAAAUCCCACAUGGGGUGGCCUCUGUAUUGAAGUGGCUGCACCCCCCGCAUAAUGCAUCCAGCCAUGACUCCAAUCAUGGUUAGUCCGGAAUGAGCCAACAGUCUUCUCCGGCCCAUCAGGUAAAGGACGUCUCUGUCGCUUUCUCUCUGAGAGCUCCGCGGAUGCCAGCUCAAGCGUUUCUUCAAUGGAGCACUAUUGAACACAGGGAGACCGACCCGGAUAGGGUCCGGUAGUGGGACGUCAUCUAUAUAAAACCAUUCCGAAGGCCAAUCCUCGGACGACUUCUUUGGGGUUCCGGAUAGGUAUCCGGUCCCGGCGAUGCGCCAUACUUCGGCUCCGCCCACUUGGUAUAUAGACCCCUUUUGAGAACGGGGCACCAGGCAGAAUAACCUCUUCCACAGCGCGAAAUGAGCCUCAACGCCUAAAAAUAGCUCGUAAAGGGCGACGAAACCCGCAAUAUAUAUGCAACACGGAGGCGGGCGUGAGAUUGUGCAGCUAGAGGCCGUAGAACUCCAGAAGCCCGUGGAGAAAUGGAUGAAUUGGAAAUCCCAGUCCCCUUAUUAGAUAGGGGACGAGGCACACCCGCUCUCCUUUAGAAGGAUUGGGGGUGCUCUCCGCUUGUUUUCCGCCGUUGUAGGUGGCGAGACCGGCUCGAACCGGGACCAUGUAUGCCUGAGGGAGAAAUCCCUUGGCCUGAAGUGACGCUAACUCGCUAUGCGGGAUGGUGCAACUCUCCCAGUCCCCGGGUUUGGGACUGGAGGGGCGAGGGGAGGAGCUGCGACGGCUGGUCAUGUUGGAAUGGACCUUUGCUAGAAGCGCUCUGAUGAUAACUCGCAGAAAGGAGAAGAUGUGGUUUGGACCUAAAUACCCAUCCCGUUAAAUAGGCGGCUCGUUUAUACGGCUAGGGGCGUGGAUGUAAAAACACCCUGGCUUUUCGCAUUCGUUUGACACAUGGAAGACGACCAUUAUUGGGCGUGGAAGCCGAGGAACACUACAUUACAAAAAUCGGACAUUAUUCCUACAGGUACAUAAGAUUUGGAGAAGAACCCGCCUUGCAAUGCCGAACAAUCUGCGCGCCAGACUCUUCGUCAUUGAAGCCUGGUUCGGGGGCUACUGAGGGAGUCCUGGAUUAGGGGGUGUUCGGGUAGCCGGACUAUACCUUCAGCCGGACUCCAGGACUAUGAAGAUACAAGAUUGAAGACUUUGUCCCGUGUCCGGAUGGGACUUUCCUUAGCGUGGAAGGCAAGCUUGGCGAUGCGGAUAUUCAAGAUCUCCUACCAUUGUAACCAACUCUAUGUAACCCUAACCCUAUCCGGUGUCUAUAUAAACCGGAGGGUUGUAGUCCAUAGGCAAUCAACUCCAUACAUAACAAUCAUACCAAAGGCUAGCUUCAGGGUUUAGCCUCCUUGAUCUCGUGGUAGAUCUACUCUUGUACUACCUAUAUCAUCAAUAUUAAUCAAGCAGGACGUAGGGUUUUACCUCCAUCAAGAGGGCCCGAACCUGGGUAAAACAUCGUGUUCCCUGCCUCCUGUUACCAUCCGGCCUAGACGCACAGUUCGGGACCCCCUACCCGACAUCCGCCGGUUUUGACACCGAAAAUGUGCUUUGUCUUCGAGUGCUGAACUGGGUUGUGAGCAAUCUUGAUAGCACUCUCAUUGUCACAGUAGAGAGGCACAUUCUUCAUGUUGAAGCCGUAGUCCUUGAGAGUUUGCUUCAUCCAUAGCAAUUGAUCAUAGCAAGAACCAGCGGCAAUGUACUCAGCUUCAGCAGUAGAUAGUGAUACGCAAUUCUGUUUCUUCGAGGACCAACAUACCAAAGAUCGUCCGAGGAAAUGACAUGUACCAGAUGUUGACUUGCGGUCCACACGAUCACCAGCAUAGUCAGAGUCAGAAUAUCCAAUGAGAUCAAAAGCCGAGCCCUUGGGGUACCAUAAUCCAAGUGUUGGUGUGUGAGCUAGAUAUCGAAGAAUGUGCUUCACAGCCUUAUGGUGUGAUUCCUUCGGUGUAGCUUGAAAUUGGGCACACAUGCAAACACUAAGCAUUAUGUCUGGCCUAGAUGCACACAGGUACAAUAAAGAGCCAAUCAUGGAGCGGUAUACCUUAUGAUCGAAGCCGAUACCAUUUUCAUCAGUGCAUAGAUGGACAUUUGUGGGCAUAGGAAUUUUGAUGCCUUUGCAAUCUUGCAUGCCGAAUUUCCUCAGUACAUCCUUGAGGUAUUUCUCCUGAGAUAUGAAUAUGUCAUUGCGUUGUUGACGAAUUUGAAGACCUAAGAAGAAUUUCAACUCUCCCAUCAUAGACAUUUGAUAUUCUUCACUCAUCAUAUAGGCAAAUUCAUCACUAUAACGUUGGUCAGUACAACCAAAGAUAAUAUCAUCAACAUAUAUUUGGCACACAAACAAUUCACCACCAUAAGAUUUAGUGAAAAGAGUAGGGUCUGGUGAACCAGGUUUGAAGCCUUUCUUCAUGAGGAAUUACUUCAAGGUAUUAUACCACGCCCGUGGGGCCUGCUUGAGGCCAUAGAGGGCCUUGUUUAGUCUGAAGACUUUGUCAGGAUUCUUUGGAUCUUCAAAACCUGGGGGUUGAGCAACAUAUACUUCUUCCUCAAGCUUACAAUUAUGCACUUUUCACAUCCAUUUGAUAUAAAGUGAUAUCAUGAUGGUUAGCAUAAGCAAGUAAUAUGCGAAUAGCCUCAAGUCUAGCAACGGGUGCAAAAGUAUCAUCAAAAUCAAUUCCUUCAACCUGUGUGUAGCCUUGAGCUACAAGUCGUGCCUUAUUCCUCACCACAAGGCCAUUUUCAUCUUGCUUGUUGCGGUAGAUCCACUUUGUGCCGAUGAUAUUAUGCUUGCGAGGAUCUGGACGUUUGACCAGUUCCCAGACAUUGUUGAGCUCGAACUGAUGUAAUUCUUCUUGCAUGGCCUGAAUCCACUCAGGCUCCAGAAAUGCUUCAUCUACCUUAGUGGGCUCUGUAAUAGAGACAAAAGCAUAGUGCCCACAAAAGUUAGAUAAAUGUGAAGCUUUUGAGCGUGUGAGAGGACCUGGCGCUUUGAUGUCAUUGAUGAUCUUUUCAACUUGCACUUCUUUUGCAAUACGAGGAUGAGCUGGUUGCCAUUGAAGAAUUUGAUCAGCAUUCUCUUCAGCACCAUUUUCUUCAGUAUUUUCUUCAGGUGCAUUAGCUCGACGUUCUUCAUGUUCUGGAAUGAAUUCUUCAGCAGAUUUUUAAGUAGGAAUGACAUCCUCGGUACCCUUGAACUUGAAAGUUUCCUCAGGUGCUAGUUCAUCUAUCACAGUAGGUAGGUGCUCUCUUUGCGAGCCAUUAGUUUCAUUGAACCGCACAUCUAUAGUUUCAACAACCUUGUGAAGAACGUUGUUGAAGACUCUGUAGGUGUGUGAGUCCUUUCCGUAACCAAGCAUAAAACCUUCAUGUGCUUUCGGUGCAAAUUUUGAGUUGUGAUGAGGAUCUCUAAUCCAACAUUUAGCACUGAAGACUUUGAAAUAACUUACAUUGGGUUUCUUAUUAGUGAGGAGUUCAUAGGUUGUCUUCUUUAAGAAUUUGUGAAGAUAUACUCUAUUGAUGAUGUGGCACGUAGUGUCAAUUGCCUCAAUCCAGAAUCGACGUGGCGUUUUGUAUUCAUCAAGCAUAGUGCGAGCCAUCUCAGCAAGAGUCAUGUUCUUGCACUCCACGACGCCAUUCUGCUGAGGACUGUAAGGAGCAGAUAACCCAUGAGUAAUACCAAGUUCAUCAAGAUAGUCAUCAAGACCAGAAUUCUUGAACUCAGUGCCAUUGUCACUUCUGAUGUGCUUGAUCUUCACUCCAAAGUUGGUUGAAGCCCUCGAGGAAAAUCGUUUGAAGACUUCCUACACUUCAUGUUUGUAAGUAACAAUGUGUACCCAUGUGUAUCGAGAGUAAUCAUCAACAAUAACAAAGCCAUAUUGAGAUGCUUCAUUUGAAACAGCAGAAUAAUGAUUAGGACCAAAGAGAUCCAUGUGAAGCAAUUCAAAUGGACGAGUAGUGGUCAUGGUAGUCUUCGCUGGAUGCUUGGCCUUGGUCAUCUUUCCAGCUUCACAGGCUCCGCAUAGGUGAUCCUUGAGGAAUUUGACAUUCUCGCUGCCAAUGACAUGCUUCUUCUUUGCAAGCAUGCGCAAAUUCCUCAUGCCUGCAUGACCAAGUCGUCGAUGCCAGAGCCAGCCUUCUGAAGCUUUUGCAUGUGAGCACACGGCUGGUUGUGGUCCUUUGGAGAAAUCAACAAUAUACAAGUCUCCUCUCCUAAAGCCUUCGAAGAGUUUGGAAUUGUCAGCUUCCAUAACCACAACACAAUGGUACUUGCCAAAGACAACAACCAUAUCAAGAUCACAAAGCAUUGAGAUAGACAUAAGGUUGUAUCCUAAGGACUCAACAAGCAUGACUUUGUCCAUGUGUCGAUCCUUUGUGAUCACAACCUUACCUAGACCCAAUACCUGACUUUUGCCUUUGUUAUCAAAGAUGAUCUGCUUCAUAUGCGACGGAGGUAAUGGAGCAUCCAUCAAUAGAUUCUUGUCACCAGUCAUGUGAUUUGUACAUCCACUAUCGAGGACCCACUCUGUGGCUUUGGGUUGAUCAUCCUACAGAUGAAUUAGUGCAGCUUACAAACUCAUAUACUUCAUCAGUGAAGAAUAUGACAUCAACUCAUCAGAUCAAUUUCAUCAAGCAAAAGAACAGAUAAAGCAAUAUGAGGACGUGGGAAAUGAAAGUUCAUUUCUUCAUGAUUAGCCUGCGUCCUAUCAGGCAUACUCAGCUCUCCAGCAAAUUCUUCAAACGAUUACGUAUGUUUGGAGACCUAACCCUGCAGAAGAGAUUAGUUCUGUUUCUUCACCACCCACAUCUGAAGGGGUGGCAAAGAGUUCAUCAUUCUGCGAGCUCCAUACGAGAAGGAUGGCAUAGAAGCCAGUCCAUUUCAUUUCACAUAAGAGGGGUUAGAGUAAGCAUAAGAGUAUGCAGAGAAAUUCUUCGAGGACUUAUGGAAAUAAUGAUUUGAAGAAUAAUGCACAUAUUCAUAAUCCUUAGAUCUUCCCUGCGAAACAGACAGGUUAGCACGAUGAUGUUCAUAUGAGGACUUUGAUCCUUUUGAGGAAUAUGAUCCAUGUGAGGAAUUUGGUCCAUAUGAAGAAUUUCAUCUGGGGUUCCUAUUCUUCACAGGUGGCGUCAUGAUGACAUUCACUUGAAGAUUUUCAAGGCAUCUUUUGGGAACCCAGAUUUUCUUAAUAGGGGGGCCGUUCCUGUAGUUAGUGCCAACAUAUCUAGCAAAUACUUCACCAUUCUGAUUUUUAACAGUUUAUAGUCAGAAUGAGGAGAUUCACAUGCAAAUCCAGAUAAGUUGGAUGGAUCAACUGGAGGUCCUUUUGCAGCAACCCAUGUAGUUUUGGGGUACUGCUCAGGCUUCCAAUAUGUACCAUCAGCAUUGAGUUUCCUCUCAAAGGCAAUACCCUCUCUCCUAGGGUUCCUAUUGAGGAUCUGAUUUUUAAGCACAUCACAAAGAGCCUGAUGCCCUUUGAGGCUUUUGUACAUGCCUGUCAUGUACAAUUCCUUCAGCCCUGCAUCAUUAGUGAUACUAGCAAUGUCCUCAGAUGAGGAAUUAGUGAUAGCAGAGGCAUGUGAAGAAUUUGAAGCAUUAGCAGCAUUUGAACAUUCAGGUGAAGAAUUAGCAGAUUCACGUUCAAUGCAUUUCAAACAUGGAGGAACAAAUUCUUCCUGAGAAGCGCUGAUUUGUUGAGCAAGUAAUGAAUCGCGCUCCUUCUGAAGAUCUUCAUAACUCACUCUUAGCUUUUCAAGAUCUUGCUUUCUUUGAAGAAAUUCAUAAGAAAGCUUCUCAUGAUCAGAUAAGAGAGUGUUAUGUUGAUCUUGAAGGGUGUAAUACUUAGUAUGAAGUCUUUGAAGACUUUCAGCCAAAGCUUUUGACUGAUCCAUUUCUUCACCCAACAUAUCAUCGCUCUUAUUUAGCAUAUAGUGAACUUUUUCCAAAGCUCUUUUUGUUUAGUGGCAAGGGAAGCAAGUUUGACAUAGCUGGGUCCAAAUUCAUCACCAGAUUCAUCAUCACUAGACUCGGAUAGGUAGCAUUCAGUUACCUCGGCAUCUUUUGCCAUAAGGCAUGAUGCAGAAGAUGAUGAUUCUGGUUCGAAUGUCAUCUCUUUGAGAGAUUCCUUGAAGUCCUCAAACCAAGGAUCAUGACAGGUUCGAUGACCUUCAUAGACCUCAGAGAGACGGUCCCAGAUGAGCUUCGCAUGAUCGAGAUGCAUGAUAUUCCUGAACUGAUUUUGAGACAGACAUGAGCAGAUGACAUCCUUCGCCGUGAGGUUGAGAAGAGUGUACUUGCGAAUGUCAUCAUCUUAUGCCAUCUUGCACAGAUCGGUCAGACCAAUCUCAGUGACGGUCCACAGCACGAUGUUCAUCGCCAUGAGGCGCUUCUUCAUCAUGGCCUUCCACUUGGGAUACUCGUGACCGUCAAAGAUGGGGCAUGUCACUUUCUUCAUACAUGCGGUCGACAUAACUAAACUCUAGGCGGUUAAACCAAAAUCACACUGAACAAGGGAGUACCUUGCUCUGAUACCAAUUGAAAGUGCGUUAUAUCGACUAGAGGGGGUGAAUAGGCGAUUUUUAUGAAAUUCUUCACUGAGGAAUUUGUCGGUGAGGAAAUUCCUUAGCGAAGAACUACUAGCAGCGGAAUAAGUACUCAAAAGUAAACAUGACAGAAUACAAGCAUGGUCAUCAUGAUGAAAUGAAGACAGGCACAGAGUACAGGUAGCGUGAGCACAGGAUAACACAGGAUGAAGACAAACAGACUGAAGAAAUUGAACUGAGGAAAUUGAGAAAGUCUUCAGUCAAAGUCUUCAAACAUAGAUAUGAAGGAAAUGAAAGAGUUGAGGAAAUAGAAACAGUAAGCUUGGUGAAGACAAUGAUUUGAUAGACCAGUUCCAACUGCUAUCUCAGUUGUACGUCUGGUUGGAGCGGCUGAGUAUUUAAACUCGAGGACACACAGUCCCGGACACCCAGUCCUGAGAACGCAGCUCAGGACACCCAGUCCUCACCGUAUUCUCCUUGAACUAAGGUCACACAGACCUCACCCAAUCACUCGUGGUAAGUCUUCAGGCGACUUCCAAACCUUCACAAACUUGGUCACUCUGCUAUCCACAAUUCCUCUUGGAUGGUCUAGACCAUGACGCCUAACCGUCUGGAAGAAGCGCAGUCUUCAAAGGUAACAAGCGUCGGAUCCACACAGGAUCAAUCUCUUAAGUGAUGCUCAAUCACUUGGGGUUUGUAGGUGUUUGGGUUUGGGUUUUUGGUUUUUCCUCACAUGAUGAUUUUCGCUCAAAGUCCUCAGAGGAUGGGUUGCUCUCAAAUGACAAGUGUCAGUUUCUCUCAGAGCAGCCAACCAGCUAGUGGUUGUAGGGGGCGGCUAUUUAUAGCCUAGGGAGCAGCCCGACAUGAUAAGACAUAAAUGCCCUUCAAUGAUAUGACAGUUAGGUGGGUAAAUAUUUUGGGACAGCUAGUGCAUAGCACAGCAACGGUCGGAAUUUUGAGUAGAAAAAUCCUCAGGGCUAUCAUGUUCCUCACUGUGUAGGCAAUCCGCACUGGCGAAUUCCUAACUCCUCAGUCAGGACAAAUUCCUCAGAGACCACAAGAACUUCAUCUCUGUCACUGAAGAAAUUGACUGAACUGUAUGAGAUUUCCAAUGGCUUCACUCGAAGGGAUUUGUAAGUGUAGGAUUUUGAGUUGAGCAUCACAUGGAAAUUUUUCCUUAGUAUUUCCUCGACCCCCUUUAACAGUACGAUGUUUCCCAUGACUCAAGGAAGGGAAAAUGAAACUACAAAAACAAAAGUCUUCACGCUUCAUGUUCCUCGAAUGAAUACCAAGUCUUCAUGGUCACACCAAUUUCUUCACUUUCAAAGUCUUCAGAAAGUCUUCAGGAUUUAAAGUCUUCAGUCGAAGAACUUCAUUUUUAGGGGUCGACUUUCUCUGUAAAUAUCAAACUCCUCAUAGACUUAUAGACCUGUGCAUACUCACAAACGCAUUAGUUCCAUAACCUAUAAGUCUUCAAUACUCCAAAAUCACUAAGGGGCACUAGAUGCACUUACACCUUGGCUUUUGUUUUGUUCACAUGAUAUGUGUCUUUUGAGUUUAUUUUUCCUUUCGUUUCCUUUAUGCACCAUGCUAGUAUGAGAUAGUCCUUCAUUGAUUUAUAGAAUGCUUCAUGUGCUUCACUUAAAUCUUUUGAGUAUGGCUUUAUAGAAUGCUUCGUGUGCUUCACUUAUAUAUUUUGAUCUUGGAUAUUGAAAAAUUUAUAUUAUUUAUAGAAUGCUCUAUGAACUUCACUUAUAUCUUUUAGAGUAUGAAUAAAAUUAUCAUUGAAAGUGGGUUUGGAAGAGUGUUAACUCUAGAUAAUUAUCCCACUAUUGUGGAGGAUGUUGAAUUUUAUUAUGAUAAAAGUGGAUUUGGAGAGGUCAUGACUUUAUUUAGUAAUUAUUCCACUCUCUUGGAAGAGGUUUCAAUUGAUUUUGAUGAGAAUAAAGUUGCCAUAUAUGAUGAUUAUUAUGAUGACAUGUAUGUGUAGGGGAAUGUAGCAUGAAAUUUCAAAAAAAAUCCUACGGUCACGCAAGAUCUAUCUAGGAGAUGCAUAGUAAUGAGAGGGGGAGAGUGUGUCCACGUACCCUCGUAGACUGAAAGCGGAAGCGUUAGUUUAACGUGGUUGAUGUAGUCGAACGUCUUCUCAAUUCAACCGAUCAAGUACCGAACGUACGGCACCUCCGAGUUCUGCACAUGUUCAACUCGAUGACGUCCCUUGAACUCUUGAUCCAGCAAAGUGUUUAGGGAGAGUUUCGUCAGCACGAUGGCGUGGUGACAGUGAUGGUGAUGUGAUCCGCGCAGGGCUUCGCCUAAGCACCACGACAAUAUGACCGGAGGAGUAAACAGUGGAGGGGGCGCCGCACACGGCUUGGAACAAUUGUGUGUCUACGAGGUGCCCCCUCCCACGUAUAUAAAGGAGUGAGGUGAGAGGAGGCCGGCUAAGGCGCGCUCCCAAGGGGAGGAGUCCUACUAGGACUCCAAGUCCAAUUCGGACCCCCCUUCCUUUUACCGGAGAGGAAAAAGGGGGAAGGAGAAGGAAAGGUGGUGCCGCCCCCUUCUGCACUCCAAUUCAGACCCUUCCAAGUGGGGGUGCGCCAGCCCCUUGAGGGCUGGGGUGCCUCCCUCCCAAGGCCCAUGUGGCCCAUUACUUCCCCCGGGGGGUUCCGGUAACAUCCCGGUACUUCGAUAAAUACCCGAAACACUUCAGAACCAUUCCGGUGUCCAAAUACUAUCGUCCAAUAUAUCAAUCUUUACCUCUCAACCAUUUUGAGACUCCUUGUCAUGUCUGUGAUCUCAUCCGGGACUCCGAACAAUCUUCGGUCACCAAAACACAUAACUCAUAAUAUAAAUCAACAUCGAACGUUAAGCGUGCGGACCCUACGGGUUCAAUAACUAUGUAGACAUGACCGAGACACAUCUCCGGUCAAUAACCAACAGCAGAACCUGGAUGCUCAUAUUUGUUCCUACAUAUUCUACGAAUAUCUUUAUCGGUCAAACCACAAUGACAACAUAUGUCAUUCCCUUUGUCAUUGUUAUGUUAGUUUCCCGAGAUUCGAUCGUCGAUAUCUUCAUACCUAGUUCAAUCUCGUUACCGGCAAGUCCGUUUACUCGUUCCGUAAUACAUCAUCUCGUAACUAACUCAUUAGUCACAUUGCUUGCAAGGCUUAUCAUGAUGUGCAUUACCGAGAGGCCCCAUAGAUACCUCUCCGAUACUCGGAGUGACAAAUCCUAUUCUUGAUCUAUGCCAACCAAACAAACACCUUCGGAGAUACCUGUAGAGCAUCUUUAUGAUCACCCAGUUAUGUUGUGAUGUUUGAUAGCACACAAGGCAUUCCUCCGGUAUUCGGGAUUUGCAUAAUCUCAUAGUCAAAGGAAUAUGUAUAAGUCAUGAAGAAAGCAAUAGCAAUAAAACUUAACGAUCAUUAUGCUAAGCUAACGGAUGGGUCUUGUCCAUCACAUCAUUCUUCUAAGGAUGUGAUCCCAUUCAUCAAAUGACAACACAUAUCUAUGGUUAGGAAACUUAACCAUCUUUUAUUAAUGAUCUAGUCUAGUAGAGGCAUACUAGGGACACUUUGUUUUGUCUAUGUAUUCACACAUGUAUCAAGUUUCUGGUUAAUACAAUUCUAGCAUGAAUAAUAAACAUUUAUCAUGAUAUAAGGACAUAUAAAUAACAAUUUUAUUAUUGCCUCUAGGGCAUGUUUCCUUCAGUAUGCCAUAAAGAGUAAUGAUAACCAUGAAACUUGUCAUCUUGAUUUUAAUUUUCAAACCCGUAAUAGUUAUUUUGUUGAGUUUGCUCCCACUAUUAUGAAUGAGAUGAAUUUUGCUUAUGUGGAGAGUAAUAAAUUUUCUAUGCUUGUGGAUCAUGAAAAUAAUGCUUUAUGUGAUGGUUAUAUUGUUGAAAUCAUUCACGAUGCUACUGAAAAUUAUUAUGAGGGAGGAAAAUAUGCUUGUAGGAAUUGCAAUAAUAUCAAGUUUCCUCUCUAUGUGCUUAAAGUUUUGAAGUUGCACUUAUUUUGCCUUCCUAUGCUAGUUGAUUCUUGUACCCAUAAGUUGUUUGCUCACAAAAUACCUAUUCAUAGGAAUCAGGUUAGACUUAAAUGCGCUUGCCACAUAUGUUUCAUGAUGUUCUCUUUGCGUUUCAAUUCUUUACUUUUAUGCGAACAUCAUUGAAAUCAUCAUGCCUAGCUAGAAAGGCAUUAAAGAAAAGCGCUGGUUGGGAGACAACCCAACAUUUACCCCUACUGUUUUUGUGUGUUAGCAUGAUUAUGCUACUGUAGUAAUCAUGUUUUAUAGUUUUUGUUUCACUAAAGUGCCAAGUAAAGCCUUUGGGGUAGUGUGGAUGAUAGUUGACUUGAUUUUGUGCAAAAACAUAAACUUUUGCGCCCAGUCACCGAAUUCUUUAAAAUUACUGGAGCAUUGAAAAAUUCUGAUUUUUUACAGAUGAUUGAUAUACAAAUUCUCUACACUGUCCUAAUUUUUAAGAUUUUUUGGAGUUACAUAAGUCUGCAUGGUUGUUAUUCAGAUCAUUACAGACUGUUCUGUUUUUGACAUAUUAUGUUUUCAAUGCAUUGUUUGCUUGUUUUCUAGUUUCUAUGGCUUAUAUUGCUCAACCAAAAUUGUAAAAAGGAUAUGGUACAGUAGGCAUUGUGAGAGAACAAUUAUGAAUCUUGUCUUGACAGUACCAAAGUGAAUGAUUUGUCUUUCUCAUACUAACCCAUCUCACAAAGUUCCGUUAAGUUUUGUGUGAUUAAUGUUUUGAAGUUUUGGGUGAGAUAUCGAUACGAGGAGAAUAAGGAGUGGAAAGAUCCUAAGCUUGGGGAUGCCCAAGGCACCCCCAAGGUAAUAUUCAAGGAAGACUCAAGUGCCUAAGCUUGGGGAUGCCCUGGAAGGCAUCCCCUCUUUCGUCUUCAAAACCAUCGGUAUACCUUACUCGGAGCUAUAUUUUUAUUCGUCACAUGAUAUGUGUUUUACUUGGAGGGUAUUUUCAUUUUACUUGUUGAUUGAAUAAAAUCAUUGGAUCUGAAAUCUUGAAUGAGAGAGAGUCAUCCCAUGGCUAGUUAAUUAUUUGACUACUCAUUGUCCUUCACUUAUAUCUUUUUGGAGUAGUUUGUCAUUUACUCACAUGCUUCACUUAUAUCCUAUGAGAAAAUGGUUGAAUGAAUUGAAUAUCAUAGAUCUGAAGUUAUAUAUGCUUCAUAUGCUUAUCCCAUGGGGAGCAAUGACUUCACUUAUAAGAAGUAUAGGUGGCAAAAUUUAUUGGAAGUUAGCAAACUCAACAUUUGUCACUUGAACAAUUCAUGAAAGAAUAUUGAAGGAAGAGAGAUUUCACAUAUAAAUAUACUAUCUUGGACAUCUUUUGUAAUUGUGAACACUCAUUAAAAUAUGACAUGCUAAAAAGUUGAUGUUGGACAAGGAAGACAACAUAAUGGGUUAUGCCUUCUUAUAUCCGAAUAGAAGUUAUGUGACGCCCCCGAUUCAAUCAUACACUAAUCAUGCACGCAAAUGUGUACGAUCAAGAUCAGGGACUCACGGGAAGAUAUCACAACACAACUCUACAAAUAAAAUAAGUCAUACAAGCAUCAUAAUACAAGCCAGGGGCCUCGAGGGCUCGAAUACAAGUGCUCGAUCAUAGACGAGUCAGCGGAAGCAACAAUAUCUGAGUACAGACAUAAGUUAAACAAGUUGCCAUAAGAUGGCUAGCACAAACUGGGAUACAGAUCGAAAGAGGCGCAGGCCUCCUGCCUGGGAUCCUCCUAACUACUCCUGGUCGUCGUCAGCGGGCUGCACGUAGUAGUAGGCACCUCCGGUGUAGUAGGGGUCGUCGUCGACGGUGGCGUCUGGCUCCUGGACUCCAGCAUCUGGUUGCGACAACCAGAAAGAAAGGAAAGGGGAAAAAGGGGGGAGAAAGCAACCGUGAGUACUCAUCCAAAGUACUCGCAAGCAAGGAACUACACUACAUAUGCAUGGGUAUAUGUGUAAGGAGGCCAUAUCGGUGGACUGAACUGCAGAAUGCCAGAAUAAAAGGGGGAUAGCUAGUCCUAUCGGAGACUACGCUUCUGGCAGCCUCUGACUCGCAGCACGUAGAAGAGAGUAGAUUGAAGUCCUCCAAGUAGCAUCUUCAAGUAGCAUCUCCAAGUAUCAUCGCAUAGCAUAAUCCUACCCGGCGAUCCUCCCCUCGUAUCCCUGAGGGAGAGCGACCACCGGUUGUAUCUGGCACUUGGAAGGGUGUGUUUUAUUAAGUAUCCGGUUCUAGUUGUCAUAAGGUCAAGGUACAACUCCAAGUCGUCCUGUUACCGAAGAUCACGGCUAUUCGAAUAGAUUUACUUCCCUGCAGGGGUGCACCAACUUACCCAGCACGCUUGAUCCCAUUUGGCCGGACACACUUUCCUGGGUCAUGCCCAGCCGCGGAAGAUCAACACGUCGCAGCCCCACCUAGGCAAAACAGAGAGGCCAGCACGCCGGUCUAAACCUAAGCGCACAGGGGUCUGGGCCCAUCGCCCAUAGCACACCUGCACGUUGCGAGGGCGGCCGAAAGCAGACCUAGCCUAGUGGCGUUCCAGUCCAAUUCGGCGCGCGCCGCUCUGUCGCUGACGUCUGAAGUGCUUCGGCUGAUACCACGACGUCGGGAUACCCAUAACUACUCCCGCGUAGAUGGUUAGUGCGUAUAAGCUCGUAGCCAACUCAGAUCAAAUACCAAGAUCUCGUUAAGCGUGUUAAGUAUCCACGAACGCCGAACAGGGCCAGGCCCACCUGUCUCCUAGGUGGUCUCAACCUGCCCUGCCGCUCCGCCACAAAGUAACAGUCGGGGGCCGUCGGGAACCCAGGCCCACCUCUACCGGGAUGGAUCCACCUGCCCCUUCAGCCCCCGUCUCCGAUCAGUAUCACAGGUAAUGUAACUGUGUAAAGUAUAUAGUAUAUGCCCGUGAUCACCUCCCGAAGUGAUCACAGCCCAGUAGUAUAGCAUGGCAGACGGACAAGAGUGUAGGGCCACUGAUGGAACGCUAGCAUCAUAUACUAAGCAGUAGGAUAGCAGGUAAAGGUAACAACAGUAGUAGCAAGGACAGGCUAUGCAGCAGUAUAGGAUUAACUGAAAGCAGUAACAUGCUACACUACUCUAAUGCAAGCAGUAUAGAGAAGAGUAGGCGAUAUCUGGUGAUCAAAGGGGGGGCUUGCCUGGUUGCUCUGGCAAGAGAGAGGGGUCGUCAACUCCGUAAUCGAACUGGGCAGCAGCAGCGUCGGUCUCGUAGUCUACCGGAGAGAAGAGGGGGAAGAAACAAUGAAUACCAUGUAAACAGAUGCAUAUCGAUGCAUGACAUGACAAGUAACGACGCUAGGCGUGCCCUAAUGUGGUAUGAGGUGAUGCCGGUUAAGGGGGGAAACAUCCGGGAAAAUAUCCCCGGGGUUUCGUGUUUUCGGGCAGCGGAGCCGGAGGGGGAAAGUUGCGAGUUCGAUAGGUUAGGGGUGUGUGGCGGACGAACGGACUGCGUAUCCGGGUUCGUCUCGUCGUUCUGAGCAACUUUCAUGUACAACGUAUUUUCGUCCGAGCUACGGUUUAUUUUAUAUUAAUUUUAAAAGGAUUUUAUCAUUUUCUAGAAUUAACAGAAUUAAUUUAAUCCUCUAAUGCAUUUAUGACGUCAUCAUGACGUCAGCGGUCAACUCUGGCUGUUGACCUGGUCAACCUGACAUGUGGGUCCCGCAUGUCAUACUCUGUUAACUGAUUAUCUUAGUUAAGUUUAAUUAAUAGUAGUUAAUUAGGUUAAUUAGUCAUUAGGUUUAAUUUAUCAAGAUUAAUUAAAUUAAUUAUUUACUUAAUUAAUUAAUUAAUUAAUUAAUUUUAUUCAUUAUUAAUUUUAUUAAUUAUAUUUAUCUAAAUUCCUUUCCCUUUCUUUUAUUUUAAAAACGUCCUGGGGGGUGGGGCCCCCAUGUCAUAGGCAGGGGGGGUGGACCGGUCAGCCCAGCUGACCGAGACAAUCAGGGCGGCGGGGGGGGCCCUGUGCCCACCAGUCAGUGGCCCAGGCGNNNNNNNNNNNNNNNNNNNNNNNNNNNNNNNNNNNNNNNNNNNNNNNNNNNNNNNNNNNNNNNNNNNNNNNNNNNNNNNNNNNNNNNNNNNNNNNNNNNNNNNNNNNNNNNNNNNNNNNNNNNNNNNNNNNNNNNNNNNNNNNNNNNNNNNNNNNNNNNNNNNNNNNNNNNNNNNNNNNNNNNNNNNNNNNNNNNNNNNNNNNNNNNNNNNNNNNNNNNNNNNNNNNNNNNNNNNNNNNNNNNNNNNNNNNNNNNNNNNNNNNNNNNNNNNNNNNNNNNNNNNNNNNNNNNNNNNNNNNNNNNNNNNNNNNNNNNNNNNNNNNNNNNNNNNNNNNNNNNNNNNNNNNNNNNNNNNNNNNNNNNNNNNNNNNNNNNNNNNNNNNNNNNNNNNNNNNNNNNNNNNNNNNNNNNNNNNNNNNNNNNNNNNNNNNNNNNNNNNNNNNNNNNNNNNNNNNNNNNNNNNNNNNNNNNNNNNNNNNNNNNNNNNNNNNNNNNNNNNNNNNNNNNNNNNNNNNNNNNNNNNNNNNNNNNNNNNNNNNNNNNNNNNNNNNNNNNNNNNNNNNNNNNNNNNNNNNNNNNNNNNNNNNNNNNNNNNNNNNNNNNNNNNNNNNNNNNNNNNNNNNNNNNNNNNNNNNNNNNNNNNNNNNNNNNNNNNNNNNNNNNNNNNNNNNNNNNNNNNNNNNNNNNNNNNNNNNNNNNNNNNNNNNNNNNNNNNNNNNNNNNNNNNNNNNNNNNNNNNNNNNNNNNNNNNNNNNNNNNNNNNNNNNNNNNNNNNNNNNNNNNNNNNNNNNNNNNNNNNNNNNNNNNNNNNNNNNNNNNNNNNNNNNNNNNNNNNNNNNNNNNNNNNNNNNNNNNNNNNNNNNNNNNNNNNNNNNNNNNNNNNNNNNNNNNNNNNNNNNNNNNNNNNNNNNNNNNNNNNNNNNNNNNNNNNNNNNNNNNNNNNNNNNNNNNNNNNNNNNNNNNNNNNNNNNNNNNNNNNNNNNNNNNNNNNNNNNNNNNNNNNNNNNNNNNNNNNNNNNNNNNNNNNNNNNNNNNNNNNNNNNNNNNNNNNNNNNNNNNNNNNNNNNNNNNNNNNNNNNNNNNNNNNNNNNNNNNNNNNNNNNNNNNNNNNNNNNNNNNNNNNNNNNNNNNNNNNNNNNNNNNNNNNNNNNNNNGGAUCGGGCGGAGCCGAUCCAGAUCGGCGCGGGGAGGGAGGAGGAGGGGAUCGGGGGGAAUGGGGUGGUCGGCUAGGGUUUGCCGACCGGGGGAGGGGGGAUAUGGGAGUGAGGGGGUGGGCCGGGCCAGGGGGCUGGCCGGCUGGGCCAGGUGGGCUUGGCCCAGUUGGGCCAGGGGGGGUUCCCCUUUUCUCCUUUUGUUUUAUUUUUCUUUUCUUAUUUUUCCUUUUCUGUUUUAAUUCAUUUAAUAAUAUCCAGACACUUUACAAAAAUGUGUGCACCCCACCAUAAUUAACUUUGUAAUAUUAGACAACCCCCGAACAUUUUAGUUUUAAUUCCUGAAAACUUUUAUUGUCAUUAUAAUCUUGAAUUUUAAUUUCGAAACCGUUUCGAUCUAACCCGUGGUUAACUACAGUGACAGAGGUGACGUGGCACCAUCACGUGAGAUUACUGUAGCAUGAUUAUCCGGGUGUUACAAAUCUCCUCCACUACAAGAAAUCUCGUCCCGAGAUUUAGGAGGGGAGUAAGGGGGGAAGGUCUGGUAACGAAUAUAGCGGGUCUUCUCAUCCUGGCUUGCUCUUCUCGAAGAAGUUGAUUCAUUACAUUGAUGUCUUCAGUCCUCUGCUUCAGUUCAUCAUGAUGAAGUUUGUCGUCCUUCCUUCGGUAACUCCAUCGUACCUACGUAAAAAUUAAGGGGGUAUUCCGGGAGAACGAACCUCUACCAGGUUGACUAUCUGGUCGAUAUCAUCGAGGAAGGUGGCAGAAAGUAACUCUCGAAUUGAAACUUAAGGAAAUAUCGAGAGCAAAGUAAUGAGGUUUCAUGGGAAGUUUCGAGCGAGCAGGAAAUCGUUCGAUGCCUGAAACAAGGCGUGAAAGGGGCUCAAAGCAAUCGGGAAUAAGUAUUGCGUCCGGCAACAGAUUUGAUGAUCCCUCGGAAAAUGGCUCGUGAAUUACAUACGAGGUCACAUGCGAGGAACAACCUUGGGAACAAGGGGUGUAGGAGAGUCAGGUUUCGAUCCAGUGGACCUAUGGGUUACGGGCCCACCAUGUGGGUUAAGAGUAGGAAGGGCGUUGACAUCUUACAUGGUCAUGACAGUAAGGCAUGUCAGAGGGUAGCCUGUCAAUUAUAUGUCAGCAACAAUGUCGGUACCAAGGGCGAGGGACGAAGAGAACCACCUUCCUGCUCGUUGAACGAGGCGGACCAAUAGGCAAAGUUCUCGUCCAUCGGCGGUUACCGGAAGUCAUCAACAGUAGAAAUAGGGUUACACCAGACAGGAAGGUACACCGAGGUGUUUACCUAAGCAGGGGAUUACCACUGCUCGGUUAAGUAGUUUACAAGAAAGUUUGAACAAAACAACGGGAAGGAAAAUGUGUUUAAACACAUAUUUCAGGGGUAUAUCCUUCCCAAGGGCAAGCAAAGCAUGAUAUCCAUGACGGGAUAUAACGUAGCAAACCCCUUUAGAAAGGGGAAGAGAAUUCCAUGCCAUUAUCCAUACAACGGUGUUCAGAUAAUUGAGCAAGAAACAUUUAGCAUUGGGCUUCAAAUGCUCUUGUUGAAAAUCAGAGUACCAUUGACAUGCUUCGAGAUAGCAUUGACAUGGUCUUCAGGUGAAGAUCAGACUUUGGAAACACGAAGGAUCCAUCAGGAAUAACUUGUAGAAUAAGUCUUACAAUUUCCUCAUGGAUGAAUGGAUAACCUUGCUGAAAAGGAAUCUAUAAUGAUAGGUCCUCCAGCCGGGGGGGGGGGGUGCUAGGCAUGACAUCAUGUUAGCGGGUCAUCAAAGGAUCAACAUCAUAACUCUUGGAAAGGUGUCCCAACCAUCAUAUCUGACCGAGAUUCAGAUCCGAUUGGUGUCAGGAUACCUCAGACUUAGGAUACCUGAGAAGAAAAGGUGCAACGCAAAUUGACGAGAUGACAUUGUAAGAUUCUCGGGGAAAUGAACUAUGAAGUGUUUUCCGUUAUCAAGAGUCCAUCAUUAACCCAAGCAGAGGACAAGGAGGUGUCUGGUGAACUCAACGGCAAUUCACCGAGAUUCCCAAAAGAUGGAUUUCCACAAUUGAGUGAACAAGGAGAUAACAUUGGUCAGAUCAAAUGAUAUAAGGAAGUAUGCUCGAGGAAAACAUACACAAUUAAACAUUGGUUGAAAGGUGCGCCCGAAAUAUGGGUUGGGUUGCACGACCAAUGUCAGAAUGGUGAUUCAAUAGUCAAUAGCCUAAGAAUGAACUUUCGACCAUUAACUUCAAAAAAAUAGGGUUGCUAGAAGGAAAGAAUCCAAACAACACCGUUCACUUGUUGGAAUUAACACGGGGACCAAUAAAGAAUGCUGAUGGUGAGAAGUAUUUCUAUGCCAAGAAUUCUCAAGAGGUGGAAAAAAUCUCAGAACAUUCUUGACAUAAAGGAUAGUAAUACUUCAAGGUAAAGAAGAACAAUUGCUGGAUAGCAAGGAACUCAAGGUAUAACACCAAACAUGAACAAGCUUGUGUUGGUGGGAAGGCAAUAAAGUGGUCGACGAUAAUACAAUUCAUCGAGGGCAAGGUUGUUAUUUCUCAUCAUGAAUUCAAUUGGUAUCCUGGAUGAGCUCAGAAUGUUGAUGAUCACGACACCUUUGUCGCGAGAGUUCAUGAACAUGUAAUCGAUCGGUAACGACAUCAAGUCAAGUAAUGAUGAAGUGAAAGGUUAUUGGAACCAAGGGUACGACACAAACUCGAAACCAAGCUUGUUGUUCAAGGCGAAAUGAUAUGACGAUGAGGAUCGACAUAAGGUUAGUUCAUCGUCGAAAAUUGGUGCACCGAGAAUAAGGACCAGGUAGCACAGUUAGAAUCGUCACGACAAUGAUAUAGCCAAACAGGCUAGGAAUGGCGUGAUCGGGUACAAACUCGUACUUAUAGAAGCUUACUGAAGAGUUGUUGAACCGAAGAGCGGACUCGGUUCAGUUAUCGGUGUCUUUGAGUGUUCAAUAACUCAGAGCCCGCGAAAAAUUGGAAUCAGUGGGAAGGUAGCACUUGAUGAAGAACUCAUAAGGAGUUAUGCAGUUCCAUGAUAAUCUCGAGAUACCAGGGGGGUAAUACUCGACACAAGAUCAACGUAAAGGUGGGACUGGUGUAUUGAUCCAUAGAAGACAAUUGUUUUAACUUGUCCGAGAAAUGAGAUCAAAGAAGAACAAUCAUGGUCGGAACCACGGUUGCAAAAGGCCAGAUCCUAGAUAUAAGAUGAACUUAAACCAAAGGAAUAAUUUAUUUAAAAGAAGCUUUAAUGAUAAGAUCUACAUCGUGUCCAUGGGCAUGAACACAAGUUCAAGGUCGACUCCCACUUCUCCAAUGCAUAACCUUUCAUUCACUUCUCACGUUCGAUGAAGUUGCAGUGUUGAAAGUUUAUCUGGUGAAGCACCAGAAGAGUAUGACUCGUGAAAACUUUUGGGUUCACACAGUUUAGAGAAGGCAUAUGUUCAACCCACAGGGGCUCCUUAGAAACGUAUACCACAAGUUUCAAGAGUAAAUAACACAAGCUCGAAAGUAGAGAAAGGUUAAGAAAGUAGAUGAUACAAUUACCAAGGGCAUUAUGUAUCCAAGGGAAGGCUCACAAGGUUAUUGAAUAUGAAGGAUGCUGACGGAUAAAAUCCAACAAUGGGCCUGAUGGUCCACAAGGGAUCUGACGUGAGCAUCGGUACUCAACUAGAGGAAGAAGAGUGCAAGGAGAUCAAAUUAUAGAAACAACUGACUAACUCAAUUGUCAAAUGCAAAGGAAUUAUGAUUUCCAAAUCAAGGGAUCAGAAGCAAUGCUCUGAUUAGGGAUGGAUAAGUUGAAUAGCCUUAGGGUACAAUCAACGACAAUUGGAUUGGUCGAGAACCAAUUCCAGUUAAAAGAAUGGCAGCUCAGCCGGAAAGGUAAUUUAUAAGGAUCAAUGAUGUUUGCGGGUAUUCGCAAACAUAUUGAGUCAACAGACUCAAAAUGAUAAUGACAAGGAAUGUCAUUAAGACUACGAGACUUAUGGGAUUAACCAUAAUGCAAGCAAGCAAGAAUUUCAAGAGCCAAAGGCUCCAGAGGAUUUUCAGAAGAUCGAAUAUUAUUUUGAAGACUUUUGUGAAACACAUGAACAACUGGGGAUGAGCGGAUACUCGACAAGUGCGAGAAUUAUCCAUAGGGGUAUUCAGGUGACAAGGAAUUGCAAGACAGCAGGCACAAGAUAUUCUCGGAUCAAUAGAGAGAAUUUCGGGGUAUCUUGUAAUAACAAGAUCAUCUGGGAAUAAAAGUAAGAACGUCAAGUGUAUGUAUUUAUCCAUAGGGAUAUUUCGAUGGUAGGGAAUUGCAAAAGCAACGGACACAAAGUCUCAAAAGAGUUUCGGCGAGUAACUUCGAAAUCUUCUGGUGCAGUCGGCGAUCACCUGGACUGAAGGGGCUCUCCGGGAGAAAGUAUUUUCGAGAACCUAAAGUCAGAUUUUAGUAGAAAUCGUUUAACCCGAGUAGAAGAGAGUUCAGAGUCCCAGAGUAAAGGUCGAGGAGUAAAAGAUCCUACUACCACCCAAUGGCGACGUGGGCCCAUGGGCCGCACAGCCAUGUUAGUAAAAGUUUUGUAAAGUCUAGACUCGACUUCGGCCAAGGAGUUGGAAGGGGGAUUCCUACAGGCAGUCGGCUCUGAUACCAACUUGUGACGCCCCCGAUUCAAUCGUACACUAAUCAUGCACGCAAAUGUGUACGAUCAAGAUCAGGGACUCACGGGAAGAUAUCACAACACAACUCUACAAAUAAAAUAAGUCAUACAAGCAUCAUAAUACAUGCCAGGGGCCUCGAGGGCUCGAAUACAAGUGCUCGAUCAUAGACGAGUCAGCGGAAGCAACAAUAUCUGAGUACAGACAUAAGUUAAACAAGUUGCCAUAAGAUGGCUAGCACAAACUGGGAUACAGAUCGAAAGAGGCGCAGGCCUCCUGCCUGGGAUCCUCCUAACUACUCCUGGUCGUCGUCAGCGGGCUGCACGUAGUAGUAGGCACCUCCGGUGUAGUAGGGGUCGUCGUCGACGGUGGCGUCUGGCUCCUGGACUCCAGCAUCUGGUUGCGACAACCAGAAAGAAAGGAAAGGGGAAAAGGGGGGGAGAAAGCAACCGUGAGUACUCAUCCAAAGUACUCGCAAGCAAGGAACUACACUACAUAUGCAUGGGUAUAUGUGUAAGGAGGCCAUAUCGGUGGACUGAACUGCAGAAUGCUAGAAUAAAAGGGGGAUAGCUAGUCCUAUCGAAGACUACGCUUCUGGCAGCCUCCGACUCGCAGCACGUAGAAGAGAGUAGAUUGAAGUCCUCCAAGUAGCAUCUUCAAGUAGCAUCUCCAAGUAUCAUCGCAUAGCAUAAUCCUACCCGGCGAUCCUCCCCUCGUAUCCCUGAGGGAGAGCGACCACCGGUUGUAUCUGGCACUUGGAAGGGUGUGUUUUAUUAUGUAUCCGGUUCUAGUUAUCAUAAGGUCAAGGUACAACUCCAAGUCGUCCUGUUACCGAAGAUCAUGGCUAUUCGAAUAGAUUUACUUCCCUGCAGGGGUGCACCAACUUACCCAGCACGCUUGAUCCCAUUUGGCCGGACACACUUUCCUGGGUCAUGCCCGGCCGCGGAAGAUCAACACGUCGCAGCCCCACCUAGGCAAAACAGAGAGGCCAGCACGCCGGUCUAAACCUAAGCGCACAGGGGUCUGGGCCCAUCGCCCAUAGCACACCUGCACGUUGCGAGGGCGGCCGAAAGCAGACCUAGCCUAGUGGCGUUCCAGUCCAAUUCGGUGCGCGCCGCUCCGUCGCUGACGUCUGAAGUGCUUCGGCUGAUACCACGACGUCGGGAUACCCAUAACUACUCCCGCGUAGAUGGUUAGUGCGUAUAAGCUCGUAGCCAACUCAGAUCAAAUACCAAGAUCUCGUUAAGCGUGUUAAGUAUCCGCGAACGCCGAACAGGGCCAGGCCCACCUGUCUCCUAGGUGGUCUCAACCUGCCCUGCCGCUCCGCCACAAAGUAACAGUCGGGGGCCGUCGGGAACCCAGGCCCACCUCUACCGGGAUGGAGCCACCUGCCCCUUCAGCCCCCGUCUCCGAUCAGUAUCAUAGGUAAUGUAACUGUGUAAAGUAUAUAGUAUAUGCCCGUGAUCACCUCCCGAAGUGAUCACAGCCCAGUAGUAUAGCAUGGCAGACGGACAAGAGUGUAGGGCCACUGAUGGAACGCUAGCAUCAUAUACUAAGCAGUAGGAUAGCAGGUAAAGGUAACAACAGUAGUAGCAAGGACAGGCUAUGCAGCAGUAUAGGAUUAACUGAAAGCAGUAACAUGCUACACUACUCUAAUGCAAGCAGUAUAGAGAAGAGUAGGCGAUAUCUGGUGAUCAAAGGGGGGGCUUGCCUGGUUGCUCUGGCAAGAGAGAGGGGUCGUCAACUCCGUCGUCGAACUGGGCAGCAGCAGCGUCGGUCUCGUAGUCUACCGGAGAGAAAAGGGGGAAGAAACAAUGAAUACCAUGUAAACAGAUACAUAUCGAUGCAUGACAUGACAAGUAACGAUGCUAGGCGUGCCCCAAUGUGGUAUGAGGUGAUGCCGGUUAAGGGGGGAAACAUCCGGGAAAAUAUCCCCAGGGUUUCGUGUUUUCGGGCAGCGGAGCCGGAGGGGGAAAGUUGCGAGUUCGAUAGGUUAGGGGUGUGUGGCGGACGAACGGACUGCGUAUCCGGGUUCGUCUCGUCGUUCUGAGCAACUUUCAUGUACAACGUAUUUUCGUCCGAGCUAUGGUUUAUUUUAUAUUAAUUUUAAAAGGAUUUUAUCAUUUUCUAGAAUUAACAGAAUUAAUUUAAUCCUCUAAUGCAUUUAUGACGUCAUCAUGACGUCAGCGGUCAACUCGGGCUGUUGACCUGGUCAACCUGACAUGUGGGUCCCGCAUGUCAUACUCUGUUAACUGAUUAUCUUAGUUAAGUUUAAUUAAUAGUAGUUAAUUAGGUUAAUUAGUCAUUAGGUUUAAUUUAUCAAGAUUAAUUAAAUUAAUUAAUUAAUUAAUUAAUUAAUUUUAUUCAUUAUUAAUUUUAUUAAUUAUAUUUAUCUAAAUUCCUUUCCCUUUCNNNNNNNNNNGCGUAUCCGGAUUCGUCUCGUCGCUCUGAGCAACUUUCACGUUGAAAAUAUUUUAAUCCGAGUUACGGAUUAAAAGAUAUGAUUUUUUUAAAGAUUUUAUUAAUUUCUGGAAUUUAAUCAAUUAAUUAUUUAAUUCGAAAAAUGGAAUUAUGACGUCAGCAUGAUGCCAUGCUGACGUCAGCAGUCAACAGGGUUGACUAGGUCAACCCUGACAUGUGGGUCCCGUUCGUCAUACUCUGUUAACUAAUUAUCUUAGUUAAGUUUAAUUAAUAGUAGUUAAUUAGGUUAAUUAGUCAUUAGGUUUAAUUUAUCAGGAUUAAUUAAAUUAAUUAUUUACUUAAUUAAUUAAUUAAUUAAUUAAUUUUAUUCAUUAUUAUUUUUAUUCAUUAUAUUUAUCUAAAUUCCUUUCCCUUUCUUUUAUUUUAAAAACGUCCUCGGGGGUGGGGCCCCCAUGUCAUAGGCAGGGGGGUGGACCGGUCAGCCCAGCUGACCGAGCCAAUCAGGGCGGCGGCGGGGGGGCCCUGUGCCCACCAGUUAGUGGCCCAGGCGGUGGCCCCGGGCGGCCACGUCGGCAGCCGGCGUUGGGGGCUCCGGUAGGCGUCCGCGGCGGAGGGGGCACCGGACUUCGCCGGAAUCGUCGCCCGGCGGCCAAAAGGGGCCGCGGGUGGGUGCGUUCGAAUGGGGAGAGGACGCCGCGUCCAUUGGUGGCAAGGCCACGGCCGGACNNNNNNNNNNNNNNNNNNNNNNNNNNNNNNNNNNNNNNNNNNNNNNNNNNNNNNNNNNNNNNNNNNNNNNNNNNNNNNNNNNNGGAUCGGGCGGAGCCGAUCCAGAUCGGCGCGGGGAGGGAGGAGGAGGGGAUCGGGGGGAAUGGGGUGGUCGGCUAGGGUUUGCCGACCGGGGGAGGGGGGAUAUGGGAGUGAGGGGGUGGGCCGGGCCAGGGGGCUGGCCGGCUGGGCCAGGUGGGCUUGGCCCAGUUGGGCCAGGGGGGGUUCCCCUUUUCUCCUUUUGUUUUAUUUUUCUUUUCUUAUUUUUCCUUUUCUGUUUUAAUUCAUUUAAUAAUAUCCAGACACUUUACAAAAAUGUGUGCACCCCACCAUAAUUAACUUUGUAAUAUUAGACAACCCCCGAACAUUUUAGUUUUAAUUCCUGAAAACUUUUAUUGUCAUUAUAAUCUUGAAUUUUAAUUUCGAAACCGUUUCGAUCUAACCAGUGGUUAACUACAGUGACAGAGGUGACGUGGCACCAUCACGUGAGAUUACUGUAGCAUGAUUAUCCGGGUGUUACAAGUUAUAUUGUCAUGGAUCAUCCAACAUGUUGAGCUUGCCUUUCCCUCUCAUGCUAUCCAAAUUCUUUGCACCAAGUAGAAAUACUACUUGUGCUUCCAAGCAUCCCUAAACCCAGUUUUGCCAUGAGAGUCCACCGUACCUACCUAUGGAUUGAGUAAGAUCCUUCAAGUAAGUUGUCAUCGGUGCAAGCAAUAAAAAUUGCUCUCUAAAUAUGUGGGAACCUGGAAUUAACUUCCAGAUCCUCCUGUGUAUAUUUUUCAACAUCAGUGAAAAUCAUCAGAGUAGAAUUGACGUGGGGGUAACCAUCAUCGUCCUCUACCUCAUCCUCAACUUUGUUCGCUUCCUUCUCCUUUUCCUUGGGAUGUAUCUCUGGGAAUUGCUGGAUUACGAGUCGACACUAUCGAGUGGUAUGCUUCAGGUAAAUGAAAUUACCCUCUUCAUCUUUCUUGGUGUGAAUGUGGCAUGGUAAAUCUAGCACAUGAUUUCCAUCUUGAUCUUUUACUUUCUAGGAGUUCCACGGUCCUUUGAGUUUCCCUUUGAACUUUCCUUGAGUCACGGCUAAGGCUUCUCCAGGAGCAGCUGGCUCGGCUUUGCGCUUCUGCUUCCGACUGGAGUUCUGUGACACCCCAAAAAUUUGGCCUUGUUUUAAUGAAUUAAAAAAAAUUCCAGGAAUUAAAACUUUGGAUAUCUGAGCUCCAUUUUGAUUUUUUUAAAUCAUUUCCUUCCCUGUUAUGAUGAGUUUUUCCCAAAGAGAAAACUUUUCAAAUAUGCCAUUGGACAUAUUUAAUCUCUCAAGAGAAACUUUCCCUUAUUUAAUAUAACUAAUUAAAUAAUUAAGUUGUUUGAUCUUUACUUUCUUGAAAAUGGUUUUUCAAGGUUAAAUGGCCAUAUUUGAACUACAACCAUUUGAUAGAUUCACUUAAAAUUCCCACAAAAAUUUGGAGAUGUCAUGUGAUGUUUUUAAAUCACUUUUAUGCAAAAAUAUAUUUUAUUCAUGAAAUAUUUUGAGCUCUACACUCAAUUUUUCUUCUCUGGUCCAGAGUGCAUUUUGCACUACAACCCAUUUAAAUAUUUCUUUCUGGCCUCCACCAAAAUUAUGGGAUAUUGUUAGUAGCAUAUGAUUCAACUUUAUGCAAAAACCUAGUGCUGUUCUUUGAAAACAUUGAGUGAAUCAACCUCUUUUUCAUUCUGGUCCAGCCUUGCGAUUUCUACUGCAACCCUAUUUAUUUUUGCUCCAAUGAUCUUGUGCUUUCUCCUACUUGUAGAUAGCCCUACAAAACCCCUAAAUCCAGGAGCAUGUACCCAUUGGAUUAAUUUUGUUCAUGAAAUAAUGUCAUUUAUUUCCUAUCCAGAAUUGUAGUUUUGCAAAACUUGCACUAACAAGUUUCUGCUUUUGGCAAACUAACCUCACCACCCUCUUGUACAUCUAAAGAGACCACCAUCUGGAGUUUUUGGCCACUCCAAGACCUGCCUAAGUGCCCUUAGCAUUUUGUCAAACACCUUACGGGCAUGAUCUGUUUUGACAUGAAUUGUGGCAUUGCACUGUGAACUUGCACCUCUGAUCAAACAAGCAUGUCCACUAGACUCCCCGUUACUCCUAACCUAGAUCUGCUAAAUGCCAGCCUCACCCAAGCUCUGUAGCAUGCUCUGGCAUUACGUCGAGCACAUCCCUUGCACGCCCAGGGCGCGAGCAGAGCGUGCGUUUGGCACGCACGUGCGCCGAGCCGACACGCUGGCCCCCACGGUUUUGGCCCGCUCUGCAGCACCACGCCACGCGCUCCCCUUCUCACCGCAACACGCCAAGCCGCCCCUCGCCAUGCCCCGGCAGGCCAAGAGCUAGCCGCCACAGCCGCCGACAGCCCCUGCUCCGUUCAGCGCCGCCCAAGCCUCUCCCGCUCGCCACCUGGCCCCUGGAACAGCGCGUGCUCAUCCGCGAGUGUGUCCACUAGCGCUUGUCGUCGCCACGACGCCCUAGCUACAGAAUGGCGGUCGUCGGCAACCUUAUCCGCAGCCGCCGCGGAACCAACCUCGACGAGCUAUAAAAGGAGGCCCCCGAGCUUCCCCGAGCGUGCAGGCAACCUCAGGCCACCCCAAUGGCACUCCCCUAGCUCGCAUUCGACCCGGGGAGGCCUCCUUCCUCAUCUCCGGCAACUCCUGCUGCCGCCACCGCCCCGGCCAAUCCGGCACCUCCAAUACCUCCCCCUCUCCGUUCUCUUCGCUAGGAACCUCCUCAUCCUCCCGUGAACCCGUCCCCCUACUCAAUUUUGAUCGGGAACCCCAGUAUCCCCAAACACACUUUGCUCCCGAGGCCACCUCCGCCGAGAAGCUCGCCGCCAGCAGCUCCCUCCGUCCCCACCUACCUGGCGACCACCGGGGGGACCGCCCUGGAGUGGCGGAUCCAUCCCCGCCCUCUGAGCCCCGCGGGGAGCCGCCGUUCGCCGGCGACGAUCGUCGUUGCCUCACCUCCGUUCGGGCAGAGGAAGAGGAGGGAGGGAUAGACUGGUCAAACCUGACCAGUGGGGCCUCUGGACCCACUGUCAGCGACCCCGUGCCUUUCCACGUGGGAUUAAGUGAAGGCGUAAUCCCCCAGUAUGUUUCCCCCGCUCCAAAAGCGUAUUCCCCUCCGAAACGUUUUCUUUUCUGUUUUAUUUAAAUAACAGAUUUGACCAAAACUUUGACUGGUUAUAACUUUUUAAAUACAACUCCAAAUGAAAUGAUUCUUUUUCCUACCUCUCUCAAAUUUCACCUAGUUUAUUUUUAGAUUUAUUUGAAAAAAAAUUCAGAACAAAUUUUGGUGCCGUUUUUAUUUUGUGUGUUAAUUCUUUUAUAUUGCUAAAAUAGGAUUUUUGAAGAGAGGAGAAAUGUUUCAAGUUUUGGAGUGCACCCUGCCUUUCCACACAUUGAAGGCAAGCAUUCUGAACCCCGGCAUAAUAUUUUUGUGUGUUCGAUGACAAGUUCAUAACAUCACCUCACUUUGGAGAAACUUGUUAUUUCAUGUGAUAUGAUCAUAUGCAUGGGUGAAUGUUAUUGAUUUCCAUGCUGUUGGAAAUGGACACACUUGUGAUGAUAAUCACCCUCAUGUGCCUUGCAUGCAUACCGGCAGGAACCCGAGAAAACCUCUGCCUUGGGUAGGCAUGAGUUUGUCGCCGGUCUCCGUCGGGACGGUUAUGUCUGGUAUGGCAUGGCAAGGUGAUAUGAGUGGUGACUCUGUUGGAUGAAAUAUAUUCGUUAUACUAAUCAUGCAGGGAAUACUUAAACCUCCUGAGUCGACCGUAGAUCGAGUCUUGUGCCAGUAACCCCCAUACUUGUUUCGUACUACCACUCGUCUCAACAGCAAGUAGAGUACGGUUCAGUAAGUUGUCAACCUCUUUCUAGCACACACCAUACAGAGAGGCCAUGGUGGAAGAUACCGGUUGUAGCUGGUAGGCAGGCCACCUGGUCCGGGGGCAUGGGUGUUUCCGGUUGGGACCGAGAGGGGAGGCCACCCCUUAGAGCGUGGGAUAUAAAUUUGAUCCCAUGCUACGCGAGGUUGUAGCCUCCCCACUUAGAGUUUGCUUAACAGGUGUCGUGGGUGAUUCCAGACACGUGUGAGUUAAGCUGGUGUGUGCAAGUUAGGUGUGUUUUCAACAAAAAAGACCGUAGAUGGAAUUAGUCCCGAUGGACUAAAGAAAUCCAUUACUCGUGGGUAAAGAGUACACCCUCUGCAGAGAUUAAACCUAUUCGAAUAGCCGUGUCCAUGGUUAAGGAUUACAGUCUGGGAUGGGUCAAGUGUCGGUCUUAGUGUCGGUCUUCGGAGGUGAAACUGUUAACCAGAACUGGAACUACUACCUGUGACUUGUGAUAAUUAUGAUUAUUAUUAUUGUUGAAUAACCCGUGAUAUUAUUGUUAUUAUCGAGUAUCUCUGGGAUGGUUCUACCUCCGGGAUAUUCACUAUGAUUGUUCAUUUUAAAGCCCUUUUUGUGGUGUCGCUCAGACGCCCGACUGUGGCAUUUCUUUUAAAGCCCUUUAUGUGCUGUCGCUCAGACGCCCGACUGUGGCAUUUCUUUUAAAGCCCUUUAUGUGGUGUCGCUCAGACGCCCGACUGUGGCAUUUCUUUUAAAGCCCUUUAUGUGGUGUCGCUCAGACGCCCGACUGUGGCUUUGCUUGUUAUUUAUUUCAUAAAUUUUAAUACUACUAUGUUAUUGCAAUUUUAUAAAUAACUUGCUUGCACGCAUCAGAGAUUUUAUUAUCUUUUGUGACUGACGUCAUGAGCAUAAAAUAUUUUCAGCACAUCAUUGUUAUAUUAUACCUGUGUUCAUAAUGUUUGCGAGUACAUUCAAAGUACUCACUGGCUUGUCCCUGGCUAUUGUCUUGGCCAGAUUUCUUGCGCGGAAGAGGAGCGACGCGAUGACAGCCCCGCCACCUAAGUAAUGGAGAUAACAGCCUCGCGAAGAUAGGAGUUAACCUGGUCAGCUGUUCCCGUGGGAAAUGGAGUCCCAUAGACACUGAUGUUUCACAACCCGCUUCCGCCAUCAACCACUAGAAACCAUUUGUUGUACUCACAGGCCAGAAUGGCUUUGUGCUACAUAUUUUGUUUUCUGCUUGGAAUUUCUGUAUCAAGUUGGAGCCUCAUCAGCUAACAGUAAUCCUGGGGCUGAUGAGCACGACGGUCUUUUCUGGAAAUUUAUUACCCGGAAAACCGGUCGUGACAGACUUGGUAUCAGAGCCAGGCUGACCAUUGGCUAAUCCUAUCUUAGCCAGGUCGAAAACCAUAGGCAAACCAACCCACUAGACCUUAACCAAACCCCAGCCAAGCUUCUCGUGCAAGAUAGCCACACAGUGACCCAACACCUUUUUGGCAGUCGGUGCCCAACCUAUCAACCUAACCUAUCACUCAUGCGCCAGUGACCGGCCCCUAAAUAGUCCUUUCUCGCAAGCGUGCGAAGGAAGACUCCGUCCCCUUUUUCCUAUAAAAAAGGGCACGCUAGCCCCAACACAGCACAGCACAGCCUCUACCCCCAAACCAAGCUACAAUGCCUGGCCCUGUCGUGCACAACGAGACCACAACAACCAACCUUGGAGGUUUUGUGACCAUCCUCGCAAACCUCACCCGUCGUGCCUAUGUGUUAGAGGAGCCACCAGAAUAUGUUGUGUACCAAGGACCCAUGAGCGGUGAAGACCAUCAAUUCUGGGUCACUGUGCACAUCUACGGUAGGGGUCUAGCACCCGAGCGCCCCUAGAGGUUCACCAGAAGGACAACUUCCUUUGAGCCACAAGCCAUCCAGCUAGCCGCUCGAGAAGCUAUAGUUCAUCUCAGGCACCUGUCGCCCAGAGUUAACUGUCGCUCGUUCCACUACUACCCCAGACGUGAAGGGUAUGGUAGACCACCCCAAGUUGCCAACGAAGAUCACGAGACAGAUCCUGCAUUGUUGCACCUAGUGCGCUAUGUAAGUGCACUAGAGGAACUAUGCGAUCAAAUCACUAUUGAUCUAAUCGCAGCUCGUGGAGAGCUGGUUCGUCGAGCCCCGGCGAGAGAAGAGAAUGAGCCCAACGCCGACAACCCAGUCGUGCUGUUUGGACAUCCGAUCGAGCCCCUAAGGUCUGCCCCAGCCAUCGGCCAAGGUGCUGCGAUAACCCCAGAGGUGCUUCGUCGCAUAUUGGGAGCACACUCCAACGGGGUUGUGGCCAACAAUCCCCGCGAUGGUCAUCAUCACUACCCCGACCCUGCAGUUCCUCCACCAUCUCCGACUAAUCCCGGCAGUGAGACACGUGGAGAAGCCUCGACAUCCACCAGGCGCGCCCGUUUAGACAUAAACGAGGUAGACUAAGCCGUAUGAGUAGCACCGAGUUUCAGUGUAUCCUCGCGUUGUAAUCAUGCGACCGUGUAUAUUAGCGCAGCCUGUCGUUGUGCCUCUGUUUUAAUAGUGGCCUUGCAUUUUUGGUCAGCGCAUAGUUGCAUAUUUUUCCGGGCACAACUACCAAAACCAACCCGAUGACAACCACAGUAAUGCGUCUCUUUAUGAGAUAUGUGUAUCUCUGACACUGACCUGACCUUUGGAGCUAAGCUGGCAAAUUUAUUACCUUUCACCAUGGUAAAACGAAUCCGGCUCCAUUGCUAUAUAAAGGCCACCUUGUGGCCUUACCCAGCAACCCUCACUUUGUGCACCACACUCACAACUUUUUCCUGUCAUGCCGAACCCCAGCAUUCAUCUGAGAACCCCAGAUGCAACCCCAGGUAGCUUUGUCAAAAUAUUGUGGGAUUUUACCCGCAAUACCAUGGGUUCUACCCAGCCACCUCAGUACGAGCUGUUCAAAUCAAGGAUCACCCCUUCCACCUCGGAAUAUUGGGCAGCAGUACACAUUCCUCCUGUAGACCCCAACCAAGAUCCAACAGAAGUUUCCUUCGUGGGAAAAUCUAUGCCAACCCCACACUUGGCCAUAGAAGCUGCUGCGAAAGAAGCGAUUGCUCGCCUUCGAUCUGCAGUACCCUAUGCCCGCGAUCGAGGAUAUUAUUACUUUCCGAGCCGUGCAGCACGCGGAGAACUUACAUCUUUUCCUGGUGGACGGAUUGAGAAAGACCCAGUACUAGCCAACCUUAUCCAGUACAUCAUCGCUCAAGAGCAUUUGAACCAGCGAGUAAUGGAUUAUCUCCAGGGUCUCGCUGAUUUAAAUCCUCAUAUUGCCAUCGGCAGAUCACUGAGACCCGACCCGGAGAGACGCAUACAUCGACUGGUCAAUCCACUUCCUCCGGUAGAAGAGGAGUGUAUCCCUUUACCAGAGACAUUUUAUCAGGACCCCACCCAGUUACCGUUUUCAUUUUAGACGUCACUACUGUAUUUGUUUUUACAACAUUUAUUUAUGUGUGUGACUUAUGCGUGAUACCCUAAGUUUGUACGACGAGUCAAUUAUUUGGUUUCUACUAAUGUGUGUAGUUUUUGUUGUGGUUUAUACUCCUUUAAAUUAACUGUUUUUCCCUCGCAAGAUCCUAGUAUGAGUUUUCUUUUUACUGAAUUGCUGCAUCAUUUAUCCCCUCACUACGUGGAUUAUUUUUAUUUUUAUUCACACAGCACCACGCAGCAGACUCACAACCAUAAUCAUUCGGACACAUACACUGUUUUCAAAACUUUGCAACGGUGUUGCAUCCAGCUAAUCACCCCCCUAACAACAGUUAGCACCCGGCACACCCCAUCUACUCCUCAUGAUCACCACCACUGCGGAGAGCCAACACCCGAGCAGCAGCGUCGCGACGAUCAUCGAGGAUCAUCGCGCACAGGAGCACAGAGAACCCCAGCAGUGUCGCCAGCCCUCCGCAUAUCAGGAUCGCAAACCAGUCCGGCAUCGCCUCCGCCAUUAGAGCCUAACCUGAGCUUUUGUAAGCAGUAAUGGAGGGAGGAGGAGGAGAAGUGAGGCCAGGUGUGAGGAAGAAGAGAGAGGCACCCCGGCCAUUUUAUAGCUCGAGCUCGGUGUAUGGUGGGCGAAGUCCACCAACGCCGCUCGUCGCCGAUCACCGGUGUUCGGAGUCGAAUCCGCGAGCAGUGCCGACAGCGCGCUGGCCCGCGAGGUGAGUGCACGCUGCACCAGCAGCUAGCACGCCGCGCACUACCGCGGUACGGCCUAGAUACCCUACGCGCUAAACGUCGCCGAUGGAGAAAGCGCGGGGAAGCGCGCGAGAGAGAGGAAGAAGAGAGAACCAGAGGGAGAAGAAGAGACUGACAAUGGGCCCCAGGUCCACCUGUCGGCCAGAGAGAGCACUGUGCUCUCGGGUACGACCAGCGUAUAUUUAAAUUUAGAAGUUAUUCUAAAUUUUUAUCCAGCGUAGAAAUCUCAUGUUUUUGUCCCAAACCGUAGACUUUUCCACGCAGCACCAGUUUUCACACUGUGGUUUUUCACCACUUAUUGCCCUCUCACUAAAGCCACAUCUUUAUUGUGUAGUAUUUUCUUAACACAGCUUUUAACAAAUCUCGGGGACAAGAUUUUUCUUAAGGGGGGUAGUCUUGUGACACCCCAAAAAUUUGGCCUUGUUUUAAUGAAUUAAAAAAAUUUCCAGGAAUUAAAACUUUGGAUAUCUGAGCUCCAUUUUGAUUUUUUUUAAAUCAUUUCCUUCCCUGUUAUGAUGAGUUUUUCCCAAAGAGAAAACUUUUCAAAUAUGCCAUUGGACAUAUUUAAUCUCUCAAGAGAAACUUUCCCUUAUUUAAUAUAACUAAUUAAAUAAUUAAGUUGCUUGAUCUUUACUUUCUUGAAAAUGGUUUUUCAAGGUUAAAUGGCCAUAUUUGAACUACAACCAUUUGAUAGAUUCACUUAAAAUUCCCACAAAAAUUUGGAGAUGUCAUGUGAUGUUUUUAAAUCACUUUUAUGCAAAAAUAUAUUUUACUCAUGAAAUAUUUUGAGCUCUACACUCAAUUUUUCUUCUCUGGUCCAGAGUGCAUUUUGCACUACAACCCAUUUAAAUAUUUCUUUCUGGCCUCCACCAAAAUUAUGGGAUAUUGUUAGUAGCAUAUGAUUCAACUUUAUGCAAAAACCUAGUGUUGUUCUUUGAAAAUAUUGAGUGAAUCAACCUCUUUUUCAUUCUGGUCCAGCCUUGUGAUUUCUACUACAACCCUAUUUAUUUUUGCUCCAAUGAUCUUGUGCUUUCUCCUACUUGUAGAUAGCCCUACAAAACCCCUAAAUCCAGGAGCAUGUACCCAUUGGAUUAAUUUUGGUUCAUGAAAUAAUGUCAUUUAUUUCCUAUCCAGAAUUGUAGUUUUGCAAAACUUGCACUAACAAGUUUCUGCUUUUGGCAAACUAACCUCACCACCCUCUUGUACAUCUAAAGAGACCACUAUCUGGAGUUUUUGGCCACUCCAAGACCUGCCUAAGUGCCCUUAGCAUUUUGUCAAACACCUUACGGGCAUGAUCUGUUUUGACAUGAAUUGUGGCACUGCACUGUGAACUUGCACCUCUGAUCAAACAAGCAUGUCCACUAGACUCCCCGUUACUCCUAACCUAGAUCUGCUAAAUGCCAGCCUCACCCAAGCUCUGUAGCAUGCUCUGGCAUUACGUCGAGCACAUCCCGUGCAUGCCCAGGGCGCGAGCAGAGCGUGCGUUUGGCACGCACGUGCGCCGAGCCGACACGCUGGCCUCCACGGUUUUGGCCCGCUCUGCAGCACCACGCCACGCGCUCCCCUUCUCACCGCAACACGCCAAGCCGCCCCUCGCCAUGCCCCGGCAGGCCAAGAGCUAGCCGCCACGGUCGCCGACAGCCCCUGCUCCGUUCAGCGCCGCCCAAGCCUCUCCUGCUCGCCACCUGGCCCCUGGAACAGCGCGUGCUCAUCCGUGAGUGUGUCCACUAGCGCUCGUCGCCGCCACGACGCCCUAGCUACAGAAUGGCGGUCGCCGGCAACCUUAUCCGCAGCCGCCGCGGAACCGACCUCGACGAGCUAUAAAAGGAGGCCCCCGAGCUUCCCCGAGCACGCAUGCAACCUCAGGCCACCCCAAUGGCACUCCCCUAGCUCGCAUUCGACCCGGGGAGGCCUCCUUCCUCAUCUCCGGCAACUCCUGCCGCCGCCACCGCCCCGGCCAAUCCGGCACCUCCAGUAGCUCCCCCUCUCCGUUCUCUUCGCCAGGAACCUCCUCAUCCUCCCGUGAACCCGUCCCCCUACUCAAUUUUGAUCGGGAACCCCAGUAUCCCCAAACACACUUUGCUCCCGAGGCCACCUCCGCCGAGAAGCUCGCCACCGGCAGCUCCCUCCGUCCCCACCUACCUGGCGACCACCGGGAGGACCGCCCUGGAGUGGCGGAUCCAUCCCAGCCCACUGAGCCCCGCGGGGAGCCGCCAUUCACCGGCGACGAUCGCCGUUGCCUCGCCUCCGUUCGGGCAGAGGAAGAGGAGGGAGGGAUAGACUGGUCAAACCUGACCAGUGGGGCCUCUGGACCCACUGUCAGCGACCCCGUGCCUGUCCACGUGGGAUUAAGUGAAGGCGCAAUCCCCCAGUACGUUUCCCCCGCUCCGAAAGCGUAUUCCCCUCCGAAACGUUUUCUUUUCUGUUUUAUUUAAAUAACAGAUUUGACCAAAACUUUGACUGGUUAUAACUUUUUAAAUACAACUCCAAAUGAAAUGAUUCUUUUUCCUACCUCUCUCAAAUUUCACCUAGUUUAUUUUAAGAUUUAUUUGAAAAAAAAUUCAGAACAACUUUUGGUGCCGUUUUUAUUUUGUGUGUUAAUUCUUUUAUAUUGCUAAAAUAGGAUUUUUGAAGAGAGGAGAAAUGUUUCAAGUUUUGGAGUGCACCCUGCCUUUCCACACAUUGAAGGCAAGCAUUCUGAACCCCGGCAUAAUAUUUUUGUGUGUUUGAUGACACGUCCAUAACAUCACCUCACUUUGGAGAAACUUGUUAUUUCAUGUGAUAUGAUCAUAUGCAUGGGUGCAUGUUAUUGAUUUCCAUGCUGUUGGAAAUGGACACACUUGUGAUGAUAAUCACCCUCAUGUGCCUUGCAUGCAUACCGGCAGGAACCCGGGAAAACCUCUGCCUUGGGUAGGCAUGAGUUUGUCGCCGGUCUCCGUCGGGACGGUUAUGUCUGGUAUGGCAUGGCAAGGUGAUAUGAGUGGUGACUCUGUUGGAUGAAAUAUAUUCGUUAUACUAAUCAUGCAGGGAAUACUUAAACCUCCUGAGUCGACCGUAGAUCGAGUCUUGUGCCAGUAACCCCCAUACUUGUUUCGUACUACCACUCGUCUCAACAGCAAGUAGAGUACGGUUCAGUAAGUUGUCAACCUCUUUCUAGCACACACCGUACAGAGAGGCCAUGGUGGAAGAUACCGGUUGUAGCUGGUAGGCAGGCCACCUGGUCCGGGGGCAUGGGUGUUUCCGGUUGGGACCGAGAGGGGAGGCCACCCCUUAGAGCGCGCGAUAUAAAUUUGAUCCCAUGCUACGCGAGGUUGUAGCCUCCCCACUUAGAGUUUGCUUAACAGGUGUCGUGGGUGAUUCCAGACACGUGUGAGUUAAGCUGGUGUGUGCAAGUUAGGUGUGUUUUCAACAAAAAAGACCGUAGACGGAAUUAGUCCCGAUGGACUAAAGAAAUCCAUUACUCGUGGGUAAAGAGUACACCCUCUGCAGAGAUUAAACCUAUUCGAAUAGCCGUGUCCAUGGUUAAGGAUUACAGUCUGGGAUGGGUCAAGUGUCGGUCUUAGUGUCGGUCUUCGGAGGUGAAACUGUUAACCAGAACUGGAACUACUACCUGUGACUUGUGAUAAUUAUGAUUAUUAUUAUUGUUGACUAACCCGUGAUAUUAUUGUUAUUAUCGAGUAUCUCUGGGAUGGUUCUACCUCCGGGAUAUUCACUAUGAUUGUUCAUUUUAAAGCCCUUUUGUGGUUUCGCUCAGACGCCCGACUGUGGCAUUUCUUUUAAAGCCCUUUAUGCGGUGUCGCUCAGACGCCCGACUGUGGCAUUUCUUUUAAAGCCCUUUAUGUGGUGUCGCUCAGACGCCCGACUGUGGCAUUUCUUUUAAAGCCCUUUAUGUGGUGUCGCUCAGACGCCCGACUGUGGCAUUUCUUUUAAAGCCCUUUAUGUGGUGUCGCUCAGACGCCCGACUGUGGCAUUUCUUUUAAAGCCCUUUAUGUGGUGUCGCUCAGACGCCCGACUGUGGCAUUUCUUUUAAAGCCCUUUAUGUGGUGUCGCUCAGACGCCCGACUGUGGCUUUGCUUGUUAUUUAUUUCAUAAAUUUUAAUACUACUAUGUUAUUGCAAUUUUAUAAAUAACUUGCUUGCACGCAUCAGAGAUUUAUUUAUCUUUUGUGACUGACGUCAUGAGCAUAAAAUAUUUUCAGCACAUCAUUGUUAUAUUAUACCUGUGUUCAUAAUGUUUGCGAGUACAUUCAAAGUACUCACUGGCUUGUCCCUGGCUAUUGUCUUGGCCAGAUUUCUUGCGCGGAAGAGGAGCGACGCGAUGACAGCCCCGCCACCUAAGUAAUGGAGAUAGCAGCCUCGCCAAGAUAGGAGUUAACCUGGUCAGCUGUUCCCGUGGGAAAUGGAGUCCCAUAGACACUGAUGUUUCACAACCCGCUUCCGCCAUCAACCACUAGAAACCAUUUGUUGUACUCACAGGCCAGAAUGGCUUUGUGCUACAUAUUUUGUUUUCUGCUUGGAAUUGCUGUAUCAAGUUGGAGCCUCAUCAGCUAACAGUAAUCCUGGGGCUGAUGAGCACGACGGUCUUUUCUGGAAAUUUAUUACCCGAAAAACCGGUCGUGACAAGUUCCCUCCUCCAAUUUCAUGGGCGACUGUUUUGUGCUUGCCACUCCGGAGUCGGUCUUCCUCUUCACCAUUGGCGUAUUUGGUGGCAAUCUCCAUCAUCCGAGUCAGAGUCAUAUCUCUUGUCCGACCGAAUUUUAGAUUCAAUUCCCGAUACUUAACGCCUUCUUUGAAGGCACAAAUUGCUUGGUGAUCUGACACAUUCUCCAUUGUAUGGUGUAAUGUGAUCCAUCUCUGGAUAUAAUCUCUUAGAGUUUCAUACGGGUUAUGAACGCAACACUGUAAUUCUGUCAACCCUGCUGACCGUUUGCAAGUACCUCCAAAUGUUCUGACAAAUACUCGGGCAAGAUCUUCCCAAGUAUAAAUACUACCAGGCACUAACUGAUUCAGCCACGCUCUGGCCGAGCCCUCUAACAUCAAAGGGAGAUGCUUCAUGGCAACUUCAUCGUUGCCACCACCAAUCUGUACAGCCACUCGGUAAUCCUCAAGCCAAGUCUCAGGCUUGGACUCACCGGUGAACUUACUGACUCCAGUCGCCAACCUGAAGUUGGGAGGAUCACCGCAGCCCUGAUGGCUCUGCUGAAGCACUCUGGACCUGAGACAUGCACUCUGCUGCUGGUUGGAAAAUCUCUGUCGUGGCCUUCUCUCUGAGCUCUGUUUCUGUCGACCAGACCCUGAACGAGAAUAGAUAUCGCAUCAAAGCCAGGUUCCCUCGGGUCGACUGGAAUCCUUCACCCACCACUGUGAGGACGUCUGUCAUCAUGCUACUGGGGCAUGUAUGACCCACUCCUUGGUGGAGGCGUGGGCACUCGACUACGAUCAUCGUGAUCGAGUCGGUGAUCAUACUGCUCGCGGUUUCUGUACUGAUCUCUCCGGUCCCCAAGUCCCUCACGCCUCGGGGGCGAUCUCAGGCUGUGAGCCAACUGGAUUGUGUCUGCAACCGCGGAUCUGCUAUGGAUCCUAUUCCGCGACUGAGAUACUGCUGCAUUCUGCUUUCCCGUUGCUCGAAGCAAAGCCCGGAUCCGCACCAAACCUCGACCAGCUUCUGACUGGGAAGGUUGAAUUGACUCCACUAUUCAGGCCGCAGCUGCGAGAUUCUGGAUCGGAGUUCGAUAUACCUGAGUUGGAGGCGGAAAACGUUGGCGUCGACUAGACUUGGGGAUAGACUGCCGAGCACGCUUGUCGAGUGCACGCUGGAGGUUCUCCAGUCGACUGCGCUCAGCCAAGUUGGCCAGGCGCGCCUCCUCCAAGGCCUGGGCCUCAGGGGUUUCUCCAAUGAUAAGAGUGUGAAGCGCAUCCAUGUUCUGGCGGCGAAGUUCUUCCCUCUACUGCGAAGAGAGGGGUUCGGGGCGAUACUCUUCGUGAACACGCGACGGAACACCGCCCCCAUCGCCUCCGUCUUCACGGGUGAAGCCAGGAGGACUACAUGGUUCAUUGACCAUCAAAACCUCCACCGCGGGGUCGUUGUUGUCGCACUCGGAUGCAGUAUGUAUGGAGCCAGUCGAACAGACCGUAAAGAGUUUCGUCGGGAUCGAUUGCCGCGACUUGGGGGGUGGCCGACUGGCGAGCCACAGCAUGCCUCACCCACCGCUGAAGCCUCGAUCGACCGGAACGUUUGCUCCGGGGGGCUGCAGGGAGGGAGGUCAACACAGGAGCCGACCGAUACUGAGUUGACGGUUGCCGUAGGAGGACGCCACGGACGGACGGGGAGCGCCUCGACGUCAAGUGGCGCUUCUUGGAGCCAAGCAGAGUCGUCGGCAACGAAUACGAGCGCGUCGAGACAGAUCUUGCGACCCUCAGCCAAACCUCCGCCUGAAACCAUGUUGAUGGGGAUUGCAAAAAUCGCAACUUCUCCAACAAGUCGCUAAGACACCUGCCCCACGGUGGGCGCCAACUGUCGUGGAUCUAAGUCUGACAGUAGAAUGGGGCAUAGGAAUGUAGAGGCAAGAUCCUAGCUAUGGAGGAGUUGUACACGCGAGUUUUACGAGUUCAUGCCCUUCUCAGAGGAAGUAAUAGCCCUAUGUCUCGGAGCCCGGAGGCGGUCGACUGGACUAUAUGUGUGUGAGUUACAAGGGGUGCGAACCCUUUUCCCAGAGGAGGGGGUGUUGGAAAUAUGCCCUAGAGGCAAUAAUAAAAUGGUUAUUAUUAUAUUUCCUUGUUCAUGAUAAUUGUCUAUUGUUCAUGUUAUAAUUCUGUUAUUCGGAAAUCGUAAUACAUGUGUGAAUACAUAGACCACAACAUGUCCCUAGUGAGCCUCUAGUUGACUAGCUCGUUGAUCAAUAGAUGGUUACGGUUUCCUGACCAUGGACAUUGGAUGUCAUUGAUAACGGGAUCACAACAUUAGGAGAAUGAUGUGAUGGACAAGACCCAAUCCUAAGCAUAGCACAAGAUCGUGUAGUUCGUCUGCAAGAGCUUUUCUGAAUGUCAAGUAUCAUUUCCUUAGACCAUGAAAUUGUGCAACUCCCGGAUACCGUAGGAGUGCUUUGGGUGUACCAAACUUCACAACGUAACUAGGUGACUAUAAAGGUGCACUACAGGUAUCUUCGAAAGUGUCUGUUGGGUUGGCAUGAAUCGAGACUGGGAUUUUUCACUCCGUAUGACGGAGAGGUAUCUCUGGGCCCACUCGGUAAUGCAUCGUCAUAAUGAGCUCAGUGUGACUAAGUAGUUGGUCACGGGAUCAUGCAUUACGGAACGAGUAAAGUGACUUGCCGGUAACGAGGUUGAACGAGGUAUUGGGAUACCGACGAUCGAAUCUCGGGAAAGUGACGAACCGAUUGACAUAGGGAAUUGUAUACGGGAUUGCUUGAAUCCUCGACAUCGUGGUUCAUCCGAUGAGAUCAUCGUGGAACAUGUGGGAGCCAACAUGGGUAUCCAGAUCCCGCUGUUGGUUAUUGGCAGGAGAGUUGUCUCGGUCAUGUCUGCAUGGUUCCCGAACCCGUAGGGUCUACACACUUAAGGUUCGAUGACGCUAGGGUUAUUAGGAAGACUUGUAUGUGAUUAACGAAUGUUGUUCGGAGUCCCGGAUGAGAUCCCGGACAUCAUGAGGAGUUCCGAAAUGGUCCGGAGGUGAAGAUUUAUAUCUAGGAAGUUGUCAUACGGUCACCGGAAAGGUUCGGGGGCAUAUCGGUAUUGUACCGGGGCCACCGGAGGGGUUCCGGGGGUCCACCGGGAGGGGCCACCUCUCUCCGAGGGCCUAAUGGGCUGUAGAGGAAAGGGAACCAGCCCUACAUGGGCUGGGCGCAUCCCCCCAUGGGUCCAUGCGCCUAGGGUUGGAGGGGGAACCCUAAGGGGGGCGCCCCCCUUGCUUGGGGGGCAAGCCCCCUCCCCUUGGCCGCCGCCGCCCCUCUUUAUCUUAUCUAGAGGGGGCCGGCCCCCUUCCUCCUUCCCCUAUAUAUAGAGGGGCAAGGGGAGGGCUGCACACACCAUCCAAGGCGCAGCCCCUCCUCUCCCCAACACCUCUCCUCCGCAACAGCUUGGCGAAGCCCUGCCGGAGUACUGCAGCUCCACCACCACCACGCCGUCGUGCUGCUGUUGGAGCCCUCUUCAUCAACCUCUCCCUCCUCCUUGCUGGAUCAAGGCGCGGGAGACGUCGUCGCUCCGUACGUGUGUUGAACGCGGAGGUGCCGUCCGUUCGGCGCUUGGAUCUUCGGUGAUUUGGAUCACGACGAGUACGACUCCAUCAACCCCGUUCUCUUGAAUGCUUCCGCUCGCGAUCUACAAGGGUAUGUAGAUGCACUCCUCUCACCUCAUUGCUAGAUGACUCCAUAGAUUGAUCUUGGUGAUGCGUACAAAAUUUUAAAUUUCUGCUACGUUCCCCAACAGGGGGGUGGCUUAUAUAGAGUGCGCCAGGACCCCAGCUCCCCUCCGUUACACGGGGUUCAAUGUCCAUAAAGAGAGAGCAUUACAGGUAACGUCUGUAAUAAAGUGCUAUGAAUGAUCAUUAAAUAUAUGAGUAAAUGCCCGACCGUUGCUGUGCAGAACGGCUUUAGGUCUUCUUGUACGUCGAGUGGUCUUUUACAUGGUCGAGUGGUUGAAUAGUCGAGUGACUUAAAGAAGAAGUAGUCUUCGAGUGAAUGGUAGGUCGAGUGGAUUGCACUCGACGCCUUUAUUGGGUCCACCUUGUUUACUCUUGAACUUCUUUGCUUCUAGGGCAAGGACCUGGGGUAGGACGUAUAGGUCAGGCCUAUUACCUUACCCCAGGUCUAUGUCCUCAUCACCGAGCGUCGCGACCGUCGGGCGGAAGGAGUGGCGCGCCUCCAAUAACUCCGGCGGGGGAUCAAGGCUUGGAUGAAGCCCACCCCAUCGUAGACCUCGCCAGGGAAGACGUUUAGGCCAGCCGCAGCCACCGGAGAAGCUUCGAUUCGGGUUCGGCCGAAAGUGAAUCGGUGGCUUUAGGCGGCGGGCCGGCGAGGCAGGCAGUGGGGGACGGGGGUGGGGGGAGUCGUGGCGGGCCUGGUGGCCGUCGGGGGGCGUCGAUUUGGUGCGGAUUUGGCCGGCGGCGGAGACAAGCGGGUGGAGGCUGGUCGCGUGGAAGGGAAAGGAACUGGCAGUUGGGCGGCUGGCGGGUGGUCGCGUUUUUAUAUCUUCUGUAGGUGGAGAUACAAAUUUGCACCAUGAGGUGUUGUAGUUUACAUCUCCGGAAGCGAAGAUGUAUUAUUAUUAUUAUUAUUAUUAUUAUUAUUGCAUCUACAUCAUUUGUUGGAGAGGUGUUUUCAGUCCUCGAAGAAGCAAAAGUUAGGUAUUUUCGCAUCUAUAUCUUCUAUUCGAGAUGCUCUUACGUUUUUCCAAGGGAGGGAGUAGAAGUAUAAGGAUUAUAAUUUUUUACCACUCCCGUUGUUCGCCUCAUAUGUAUGCACAUUGGCACCGCUACCCUUUCUUCUACUUUCUCCACGCUAUUUAAAUAAGGUUCUAGAGACGCCGGUGAGCUCCCCUACUUCUCGUCCGUCUUCCACCUCACCUCACCGCUUCUUCUUCUUCCUCAUCGUCUUGCACAACCGUCUAUGUUGUAAGAUAAGACUGAUGUGUGAACGAACGACCGUCUUUAUAUUCGUGAAACAACAAAACUACAUCAUGAUGAGCAACAUUAACGGUCAUGAGCGCAAGAAAACAAAAUCACAUGGUGACCAGGAAUGAAAUACCACAACCAAACACCAAUAGUACAGUACAGCAACAAUCAUGCCAAGUUCACAAUAACCUCUCACUGAUAUUCCCAUCCCAUCGAUAGCCAGCAGGAAGAGCAGGGGUACGCUAAUUCAUUCGUCGUCAAACGCAGGUGGCAUGCUAGAGCUGCUUGCCAGCGCAACUCCGGAGAACGCAUCGCGGACACGCUUCUGUGGAGGUGGCUGACACAAUGCAAAGCCGAACAGCCGUGGUGCUGCUGGUUCCAUCUCCCCCGUCGCCACCGUCACAGUGGCCGCCGACGCCUGACCUUGCACCGUGACACCGUCCGGCCGCGAUACACCUAACAUAAAGACGGACGGCUGUGGUGCCAUCUCCUCCGUUGCCGUCGUCACUGCGGCCGCCGGCAACUGACCUUGCACCGUGAUGCCGGCCGGCGGUGGACCCAACGUGGUGUCGGACGGCUGUGGCGCCAUCUGCCCCAUCGCAGCCUGCCGCUGCGUGGUGGCUCGCUUGUUGCCGCGUCCCACUCCCACGUAGCCCGUAACCUCACGGUGCCGGCGGAGCUGCUCAGUGAGAGGCUCGACGUAGUUGCUGUAGCCGAGGGUGUCGAAAGCUUUGAUCACGUGGAGGCCAGUCAUUUUCUUCUUGCCGUCCUUUCCGCACUCCGCUUCGGCCUGGAUGGUGACCAUGUUGAUGAACUCCUUGACACAGUGGUCCACGAGGGCUAUGGCGUCUGGGUGGAUCCUGGCGCGCGGGUCAUGAUGUUUUCUAGGUCGUUGGGCCAGAAGGCCCGCGCCUUUCUCGACUUGCCUACAUUGUCUAAAUACACAUUUUCAAAAGUUGAAAAUUUUCGAACAAAAAUCCUGCAUGUAUAUCCGGACAUUUUAUGUGCGUGCACAAAGUUUUUGGUGAAAAACGAGAUUUUUUAUGGCUUGUGUAAAAAAGAGGAUCUUUCUUUUUACUUUCCCGUCCCUCGUGUCGCCCCUAGGGCGACUCGGGGGAGUCUAUGGUUAUCCCCCGCCGCCAUCCCCCCCCCCCACCCACCCACCUCGCCGCCACCGGAGACGACCGCCGGGAAAGCCCGCGCGGGCGCCGGGGAAGGUGGCGGCAGGGUCUUCGGCGCUCCUGUCUNNNNNNNNNNNNNNNNNNNNNNNNNNNNNNNNNNNNNNNNNNNNNNNNNNNNNNNNNNNNNNNNNNNNNNNNNNNNNNNNNNNNNNNNNNNNNNNNNNNNNNNNNNNNNNNNNNNNNNNNNNNNNNNNNNNNNNNNNNNNNNNNNNNNNNNNNNNNNNNNNNNNNNNNNNNNNNNNNNNNNNNNNNNNNNNNNNNNNNNNNNNNNNNNNNNNNNNNNNNNNNNNNNNNNNNNNNNNNNNNNNNNNNNNNNNNNNNNNNNNNNNNNNNNNNNGAGGGUUCGGCCGUGAGGACGGCGAGCCGCAGGUGGUGGGCGAGCGCGGCGCGGGUCUUCCCGUGCCAGAUCUGGAGGUUUUGCCCCCCUCCCUUCCAUGCAUCCCUUCCCAAUCCGCGGUUCAGCUUUGGAUCUUGCCGGAUCCACCUCUGGUGUGUUCUGGUGGAGCAGAACGGUGUCCGAGGGAAAUCUUGACCGCCUUGGCUGGCCGGCAGCGGCGACGCUGCCUUUUGGCACCGCUUUCCUCCUUGGGGGCGUUGCUGAGGACACCAUCUCUCCACUCCGCCACAUGUCCGGGUGAAAGCCCAAGAUCCGAUGCGGGUCAGGCGUCGGCGGUGCCCCGUGCACCAUAACCUUCCUGGAGGCGGCGCCAAGGACAUUGGGAUCGGAUGGGAUGGUCUGCAGGUGAGGGGUGGGGGUGUGCUGCCUCCUUUUCGGUGGAGCGGUGUUUCUUUCUACAUAUUCUUGGCGACGGCUUUGGCGGCAUGGAGCGGCGGAGGCUUGGCGUCAGAUGUGUGGUGACGGACAUGCGCAGGAGGUCGACGUUGUCUGGCGUCAUGGUGGCGUCGGCGGCAGCGAGACCGGGCAAGGCCGAUGCAGGAGUACAGCUCUGGAGAUGGAAAUGUGGCAGGUGGCUGUGGUGGCCUCAUACCCGGCAGGCGUCCUGGUUGAGGAGCACGCCAGACUGGUGGGUGCCCAUACCCAGCAGGCGUCCUGAUUGGGACCUCAGGUCUUAGAUGUUAGGUUUGGCUAUGAGGUCCGUUUAAUAUUAGGCACAGACCAUCAGCGCCCCUUCAUCAGCUAGAUAGGAGUAGCGACAAAGGUUGCUCAGAUAGUGGCUUUGGUCUUACUGUUGUACGACUUUGUAAGGUCUUGGGUAAAUAAUUAAUAAAUUAGUCGUAUGCAUUGUCCAGAUACAGAGGCCGGGGGUAUUCCUCCUUUUCUAAAAAAAAUGUAAAAAAGACAAUUUCUGAUGCUUCAUUACAACUAUUCAUUUUGCAUUUCUUUUUUUUUUACACAAGCCACAAAAAACGUCGUUUUUUACCGAAACUUUGUGCAUGCACAUAGAAUGUCCGGAUAUACCCGCGGGAUUUUUGUUCCGAAUUUUUCAACUUUUCAAAAUGUGUAUUUAGACAAUGGGUACAUAUGCACCUAGGAGCUAAAACACUGCGUCCACCGGAAACCAUAUAUAUAUAGGAAUACACGAGUCUUCUCUUACAAAAAGAGCCAUAUAACAAAAAGCAUUGUAGAUCAAAAUCUUAAGGCCUUGUUCGGUUGUAUUGGGUUUGAGAGGGAUCAAAGGGGAUUGUGAGGGAUUAAAUUUCCUGUCUGUCAAAAUCCUCCCCAACCACUUCAAACCUCUCCAAUCUCCAUGAGAAAGGGAUUAAACAAGCAAGCCCUAAAGGAGAUUUUUAUCUCCAGAAUCGUUGUGCAACUUCUUUUUAGAACUUCCAUUCAUAUAACGAAAAUUAUUGUAGAUUAAAAUCAUAAAAAGAAUUAUAUGAAACAAAUUGGUUCUGAAAUUAUGCGGGAACCAACAGAGGAUGAGGCGAUAUUUUAAAUAACUUGUUCAUGGACAUUCAUGGAUUAGUAAUAUAUUUGAACAACACACAAUUACAAAAACCAAAUACUUCACACAGAUGAUCUGAAGAAGAAUCAACUAAUUUUAUCUACUUUUACCUUCUCCUGCUUUGUUGACACGGUCAUUGCCUUGCCUUUCUUCCAUCGCUUCUCGUCUCACUAGUGUUACUAGAUCUAUGUUGUCCUUACGGUUGUUAUACAACAUCCAUUCCACGAUUUAUAAGAAAAGACUAGCAUGUGGGUGGCCUCAACCAGGAGCCAGCUGGUGCUAUCUGAUGCUAUCUGGUGCUGGCCUCAACGAGAAACAUAAGGACAUUAGUAGAAGAAAUUAAUUGAUACUAUAUAAAUAUAUGCAUGCAAUUAAUGCUUGCACAUCCAAAUGUAUACGAAACAAAAUGAGCUAAUCUAUAUUCUAAAAUGUGUCUAUAUACAUUUGUAUGUAGUCCGUAUUGAAAUUUCUAGAAGGUCUUAUAUUUAGAAACGGAGGGUGUAAUAUAAAAGAUAUGGAAGCAAAUUAAUGCUUGCACAUCCAAACGUAUGCAAGCCAACGACAAAUCAUGUAUAAAUGUGAUUAUAGCCGUGAGUGCUACUAGUACAAAUGUCGUAGUUGUUUUUUCUUUCCUCACGCUGUGUAUACAGGUCAUUUCAAAACUGAAAUGGUACAUUAUACACAAGGCAACAAAGCUAUAACAUAAUGACUACCCCAACUUUUACAGAUGUGUAUUCCUUUCUUUUUUGCGGAAAUUUAGAGAUGUGCAUUCAGAAGCAGAAAAUCAAAUAUAGUGUUCAGAAUAGCAAAAGUCAAUAAAGAAGAGGACCGGGCACUUUUUUUGACAUCAACAGGACCGGGCACUAUGCUGUGAGCCUAGUGCAAAGAUUAGCUCUAUUUCCCAUUGUGCCGAGUUGCGGUCCGGUGCACUUUACAAAGUUAAACGAUAUCAAGUUUAUUUUGUCAGGCAACAUGUACCUGAGCCCCACCCCAACUGCUCGUCGCCCCCGGCGGCGGUGGGGCCUUGGUCUCCCCUCAUGCGAGGCAGGGUCAUCGCGGGGCGGCCCCCUCGUGCAGUGGCGUGGCGGUUGUUAGACUGUAUAUACGUAGUCUUGUAUAGGCCUUGUAUUGUAUCUUUUGGUACAUCUAUAUAAUGAGAUAGCCACACCCUAUUUUAGGGUGUCGAGCCAGUUUCCCAAACCCUAUGUUUUACAUGGUAUCAGAUUAGGUUACGAUGUCUUUCGCUGCACCACCUCCCGCCGCCGCCGCGCCGAUCUCGACCGCCGCCGCCGCGCCGGCCCUCGCCCCAAUGUUGCCCUUCAUGGCCUCCCGCCCCCUCGCGACGACGUACGGUGCCGUGCCGCCGCCGCCCACUUCCCCGCAGGCUUCGGGGUCUCCGGACGCUCCAAUCGUCCCGACCGAGCCCGCGGCGCUGCCGGCCCCUGGCGGCCCUCCUCCGCCGAGUCCGCACCCGUGGUGCGGUGCUCCCGCGCCAUCCUAUGGUGCACCCCUGCCGCCGUCAUCCUUCUGGCCGGGGUCGGCCUAUGCUGCGUCGCCGCCGCAACCCUACACGGCGGUGCCGCAUCCGCCGCCACCGCACCACUACUACCAGGCGCCGCCGCCGUCCUAUGGGGGCGCGGCCUCCUCGCCGUACGAUGCCCCUGCAGCGCCUGACCAAGGUGCUUCGGCUGCUGCGGUUGCUGGCCCCUACGCCACGCCGGGCACCUACGGUCCUCCUGCAGCGCCCGGGCACGGCGCUUUGGCUGCCGCCUCUGCCGGGUCCUACUCCUCCCCUGGCGCCUAUGCGAUGGUCCCUCGUCCAGAGAUGGCCCUGUCCAUGGAUCCCUAUGCCCCACUGGCGCGGGCGUACACUGCUCAAACCGCGGCACCGCCGCCGUUUUAUUUCUCGCACCUGCUGCCGGUGAAGCUCGCGCCGGACAACUACCUGCCAUGGCGUGCUCAGGUCUUACCUCUACUCCGCAACCGCUACUUGGAGGGCUACGUCGACGGAUCCAUCCCGUGUCCACCCUCUCACCAUCCGGCAUAUCACACGUGGGUGGCGCAGGAUCAGGCUAUUCUCUCCGCUAACCAGUCUUCGCUCACGCCGAGUGUUUCGUCGAUGGUCAUCUUCGCCGCUACGUCCAGGGAGGCGUGGGCGGCCCUCCACACUAGUUUCGCCUCUCAGUCUCAGGCGCAUGCGCACUCUAUACGCACCGAGCUGGGUGAGACCAACUUGGCGAUCUCAGCAUCACGGAGUACUUCAACAAGAUGACGAGCCUCGCCGACACCUUGGCCUCUGUUGGUCAGCCGCUUCAGGACGAGGACUUCACCACUUUUGUGCUUAACGGGCUUGAUGAUGAUUAUGACAAUCUCAUUGAGAACGUCCAUGGUCGAGAGGAUACGCUCUCACGUCGUGAGCUCUAUGCGCGCCUCCUUGGGCGUGAGCAGCGCAUCAAGGCGCGCCAUGUUUCCCCCAGCUUCGCCUCCGCCAACGCCGCCACACACGGCAAACCUUAGAAGCCGGCCGCAUCAGGUGGUAAACCACCGGCUUCCUCAUCGCAGGCCUCGCGGGGCAACGCGCCAACCAUCACUGGAGGGAGUCGCCCAGUUGCUUGUUGUUCUAGUUGCGGUGCUCCUCAGGCUUGUCAGCUUUGUGGCAUCGAUCAUCACCUCGCCUCUCGCUGCCACAUACGCUACAAGCAAGACUUCCUUGGCCUUGGUAACAAUGGAAAAGGGAAUGAUAAGCAGGCUGCAGCUGCUGUGACGGGGCACGAGCACGGGCGCACCUAGUCCUACUCUCUUGAUCCGACGUGGUAUAUGGAUACAGGAGCGACGAGUCAUCUCACCAGCGAGAUGGGCAGGCUCUCCACUCAGUAACCAUAUCGUGGACAUGAUCAGGUGCACACCGCCAAUGGAGCAGGUAUGCGCAUCUCCCAUGUUGGUCAGGCAUCACUUAUUGCACACAAUUUUCGCAAACUGCAUCUUUCCAAUGUCCUUCGAGUUCCCUCUGCUACGCGUAGUUUGUUGUCUAUUCCUCAACUUACUCGUGAUAACAAUGUCCUUGCUGAGUUUCACCCUUUUCGUUUCUUUAUCAAGGAUCAAGACACGAGGGCCGUUCUGCUUAGUGGUCGUCUUCACCAUGGCUUAUAUGCACUUGACGCACCACCUGCAUCUCCUAAGCCGUCUUCUCCUCAGGUGUUCAGUGGUGUUCGUGUGUCGCCUACGCACUGGCAUGCACGCCUUGGUCACCCUGCUGCUCCUAUAGUUAGUCAUGUGCUGCAUCGCCAUGAACUACCAGUUGUAUCCAAUAAAAGUGCUGAAACUAUCUGUGAUGCCUGUCAGCAGGGCAAGAGUCACUAACUACCUUUUUAAGAGUCUAGUCGUGUUGUGAAACAUCCUCUUGAGCUUGUGUUUUCUGAUGUAUGGGGUCAUGCCCAAACGUCUGUUAGUGGUCACAACUAUUAUGUCGGUUUCAUUGAUGCUUACAGUCGGUUUACUUGGCUAUAUCUUAUCAAGCGUAAAUCUGAUGUGUUUGAUGUUUUUAUUCAGUUCCAAGCACAUGUUGAGCGUCUCCUUAAGCACAAAAUUAUUCAUGUUCAAUCCGACUGGGGGGUGAAUAUCACAACCUCAACUCGUUUUUCAACAAGCUUGGGAUCUCGCAUCGCGUAUCUUGUCCUCAUACACAUCAGCAAAAUGGCACCGCUGAACGUAAGCAUCGUCAUCUUGUAGAGACUGGACUUACUUUACUAGCUCAUGCCUCCAUCCCGUUUCGGUUCUGGAGUGAUGCUUUUUCCACCGCCUGUUUCUUGAUAAAUAGGCUUCCCUCACGACUACUGAAAAUGAAAACCCCUCUUGAACUCUUGCUCAAUGAUAUUCCAGACUACACAUUCCUCAAAGUGUUUGGGUGCGCGUGUUGGCCGCACUUGCGGCCGUACAACAAGCAUAAGUUAGAGUUUCGGUCUAAGAAGUGUGUCUUUCUUGGGUACAGUUCUCUCCAUAAAGGGUACAAGUGCCUUCGCCAAUCGUGUCUACAUUUCUCGUGACGUUGUGUUUGAUGAGAAUGUGUUCCCGUUUCAUGCUCUUCCGAACCACUCUACCAUUAGUUUACCACCUGUGCACUCUGCUACACCUUUGCCUGAUCAAUUUGUGGAUGUUGCAAAUGCUCUUGUGUUGCUUCCUAACCAUGUUGCAGGUAUUGGACGUGGUGCCCGUCUUGAACUCCUGGAUGAUGAGGCUAUGAACAACACUCAUGAUGGUCAUGAUGAUCCGGUGCAUCCGCCUCGCCCGCGCCGCCGCCAGGCUCGCCCGCCUCGUCGCCCGGCUCACCUGGCUUGCCCGCCACGUCGCAGGCGUCGCCCUUGCAUUGCCCAGCGGCAGGUGGCCCAACAACCGCUGGCCUAGCGGCCACGACAGCUACACCGGCCAGCCCCGCCUCGGCCACCUCGGAUCCUCGCGAGCCGGCCUUGUCGUCGGCUAGGCUCGGUAGCCCCGUCUCAGCCACGUCAUCCGGUGCUGAGUCUGAUGACUCUAGCUCCUCCAGCCCCGAAUCGGUCUCACCUUCGUCUCCUGUGGCAAGCCCCGUGUUGCCGGCGCCGCCUGCUGUGGUCUCUCAUCGACCACACACACGCAGUCGGUCUGGUGUUUUUUGCCCCAAGGAACGCACAGACAGGACUGUGGCGUGGCUUGCCGCAUGUGUUGCUCAUGCUGCUGCGGAUCCGACGGCUGAGCCGCGUCAUUUUCAGGCCGCAUUGGGUAUCCCUCACUGGCGUGCUGCCAUGGAGCAGGAAUUUCAGGCUUUGCUGAAAAAUGGCACUUGGCAACUUGUUCCUCCGGUUUCUGGUCUCAACAUCAUUGACUCCAAGUGGGUGUUUAAAGUAAAACGACAUGCAGAUGGUUCGAUUGAGCGCUAUAAGGCACGAAUGGUUGCCAAGGGUUUCAAGCAGAGGUAUGGUCUUGAUUAUGAAGACACGUUCAGUCCAGUUAUCAAGCCUACUACUAUUCGUAUACUGUUGUCUCUUGCUGUUACUCAUGGUUGGUCUCUUUGUCAGCUUGACGUACAAAAUGCCUUCCUCCAUGGAGUUCUUGAGGAAGAGGUUUAUAUGCGUCAACCACCAGGCUUUGUUGAUCCUACACGUUCGCAUCAUCUCUGUCGUCUGGUCAAGGCAUUGUAUGGACUUAAACAGGCGCCUCGUGCGUGGCAUGCACGCCUUGGUUCUGUUCUCCGGGCUCUUGGGUUUAUUCCCUCCACUGCUGACACAUCACUGUUCCUCCUUCAGCAUCCUGAGGUGACGAUGUAUCUAUUGGUUUAUGUUGAUGAUAUCAUCCUUGUCAGUUCUUCUGAUGCUGCUGCUGAUCGCCUUGUGUCCGCAUUCAGUGAGGAGUUUGCUGUCAAGGACUUGGGUGCUCUUCAUUAAUUCCUUGGUUUGGAGGUAUCACGGUCCUCUACUGGGUUGACUCUGACUCAGGAAAAGUAUUCUAUGGAUUUGUUGCGCCAUGCUGGGAUGCUCAAAUGCACACAUGCUAUCACUCCGAUGUCUGUGACUGAUCGGUUGUCUGCCCUUGAUGGAGAUCUUCUUUCUGCUGAUGACGCCACUGAGUAUCGUAGUCUUGUUGGUGGUCUGCAAUAUCUCACUAUCACCAGGCCUGAUGUCUCUUAUGCAGUCAACCGUGUGUGCCAGUACCUUCAUGCACCUCGUACCACUCAUCUCUCGGCAGUUAAGCGCAUCUUGCGAUAUGUCUCUUCCACUGCUUCGGAUGGUCUGCUUCUUCAGUCUGCACCGUCUUGUGAACUUUCGGCUUUCUCUGAUAUGGAUUGUGCUGGAAGUCCUGAUGAUCGGCAAUCCACGGGGGGAUAUGCAGUGUUCUUUGGUCCUAACUUGAUUGCCUAGAAUGCUCGCAAGCAAGCCACCGUGUCUCAUAGCAGUACUGAAGCUGAGUAUAAAACAGUUGCUGAUGCUACCGCUGAGAUCAUAUGGGUACAGUCCUUAUUGCGGGAGUUGAGAAUCUCUCCAGGUCAUCCUCCAGUUCUGUGGUGUGAUAACAUUGGUGCUACAUAUCUUUCAUCUAAUCUGGCGUUUCAUGCUAGGACGAAACACAUUGAGGUUGACUAUCAUUUUGUUCGGGAACGUGUUGCACAGAGACUACUUUGUAUCAAGUUCAUCUCCUCAAAGGAUCAACUUGCUGACAUCUUCACGAAGCCUCUUCCACAACCACAGUUUGUAGGCUGUAGGCGCAAUCUUAACUUACUUUGUACUUCAGGCUAUAGUUAAGAUUGAGGGAGGGUGUUAGAUUGUAUAUACGUAGUCUUGUAUAGGCCUUGUAUUGUACCUCUUGGUACAUCUAUAUAAUUAGAUAGCUACACCCUGUUUUAGGGUGUCGAGCCAGUUUCCCAAACCCUAUGUUUUACAGCGGUGCGGCGUCGGCAGCCUCUUCGGCUACUUGGGAGGCUUGCGGAGGCGGCGUGGAGGGCUGUUGGGCGAAGUGGGGGCUGGCGUGCUCUACGGGCGCUGCUUCUAUGGAGGUGAUGUGGGGGCGGAUCUGAGCUCCCAUCGGGGUGGCUGCGGGCUGCGGCCCGGUGGGGUCGUGGCUAUCGCCAUGGACCUCGGUGGCACGUCGCAGCUACAGCAGGAAGCGGUGUUGCCAGCCAGAUCAGCUCGGAUCUGGCCCAUGGCCACCGGCGGGUGGCACGAAGCUGUUCAUCGGGGUCCCGACAUGGAUGUGUGCUGCCACGGCGUGGUGGUGGCUCAUGGCGAUGGUCUGGGUCGUUUCACGGCGGCGGCUAGACAUCUCCGAUGCCGGCCUAUCGUUGAGCAGCCUGUAUCGGCCUUUGAUCCCCCUCCUCGUCAUCCAGGCGCUUGUUGGGGAACGUAGUAAUUUCAAAAAAAAAUCCUAUGCACAUGCAAGAUCAUGGUGAUUCAUAGCAACGAGAGGGGAGAGUGUUGUCUACAUACCCUCGUAGACCGUUCGCGGAAGCAUUAUAUCAACGCGGUUGAUGUAGUCGUACGUCUUCACGUCCGACCGAUCCAAGUACCGAAAGCACGGCACCUCCGAGUUCUACACACGUUCGGCUCGGUGACGUCCUCGCCUUCUCGAUCCAGCAAGAGGGGCGAAGUAGUAGAUGAGUUUCGGCAGCACGACGGCGUGGUGACGGUAUUGGUGAAGAACAAUCUCCGCAGGGCUUCGCCUAAGCACUACGAAAACUAUGUCGGAGGAUAGACUAGAGGGGACGGGGUUGCCGGCACACAGCUUGGUGUUUCUUGAUGUUUCUUUGGUGCUAGCCCUACCCCUCUAUUUAAAUGUUGAGCCCUGGGGUCGAAACUUAGAGUAAAAGCCUCCUCAAAGUUGGUUUCACCCGAAAGGCAAGAGUCCUUCUCGAACUCCAGGGCUAGACACCAGGGUUCCCGGCGUCUACCCCCUAGACGCCAGGGUUCUUGGCGUCUAGCCUCUAGUCUCCGCAAAACUUCCUUUUGCACUUUCCAAAAGCCACGUGGGCUUUCCCCUUUGGCCCAGAUAAAGUGUUCUCGUGCCCAAACAUUUCGGGAAACAUCUGGAACCCCUUCCGGUGAAUUCCGGAACCCUUCCGAAGAUCAAACACUACUAUCCACAUAUCAACCUUUACUUCCGGACCAUUCCGGAGUUCCUUGUCAUAUCUGUGAAUUCAUCCAAAACUCCGAACAACAUUCGGUCACCAACAUACAUAACUCAUAGUACUAUAUCGUCAAUCGAACGUUAAGCGUGCGGACCCUACGGGUUCGAGAACUAUGUAGACAUGACCGAGACACCUCUCUUGUCAAUAACCAAUAGCGGGACCUGGAUGCCCAUAUUGGCUCCUACAUAUUCUACGAAGAUCUUUAUCAGUCAGACCGCAUAACAACAUACGCUGUUCCCUUUGUCAUCGGUAUGUUACUUGCCCGAGAUUCGAUCGUCGGUAUCUCAAUACCUAGUUCAAUCUCGUUACCGGCAAGUCUCUUUACUCAUUCCGUAAUACAUCAUCCCGCAACUAACUCAUUAGUUGCAAUGAUUGCAAGGCUUAUAGUGAUGUGCAUUAGCGAGUGGGCCCAGACAUACCCACUAGUAGAAAAAGAGUCAAAUGUGAAGCACAUUAGUGCCGGUUUGAAUUUGAGCCGGCACUAAUGUGUACAUUAGUGUCGGUUCCAACAGCUAGCCGGGCCGCUCUCGUUAGUACCGGUUCGUGGCGAACCUUUAGCACCGGUUCGUGCCACGAACCGGUACUAAAGUGAGUGGUGGCAGGGUGUUGUCAGUCCGGGGCCCCUCCAGCACCUUUAGUAUCGGGUCGUAUCACGAACCGGUACUAAAGGUCGUCCUACAUAGACCCUUCGUCCACCCGAGCUCGCUCUGUUCUUCCCCUUUCCCCUCUCCUCUCUGUUCUUUUCCCUCUUCCUCUCAAGCUCAUCACACAUUUUUCCCAAAAUUUGUCAAGAUUUGAAGGCCCCCAUCCAUUCAAAUGAUCACAAAGGUUAGCAACUUUGUCCUUUCAUCUCUCAUUGCUAGAUUAGCUCGUGCAAUGCUUUAUAUAGUGAUUGAUUUUUGAGUUUACUAAUUUGGGAGGAAUUAUAUAUAUGUGCUAGUAUUUGAUUUAUAUGCAAUCUGAGGUCAAAAAUAACACUUAGUUUGCAUAUGUAGGUGUGGUUUACUUAGUGCCUUCUAAAUCUCCGUCGUAACCACCGUCGAUCGCCCGCAAUGUCCCGUCACCGGCACCACCUUGUGGUGAGCCUCUUGUUCAUGAAUGUUUUAUAUAAAAAAAUUGAUAUUUGUGUGAUUUGGAUAUAUAGUUACUCGUAUAAUUAUCUUACCCAUACGUUGUUUGUUAUACAUAGUGCCAUGGUUUUGAUAUCCGUCCCCGUCAGCCCUCGUCCAGGUUAUGAUUCGGAUGUGGUAUAUUCUCUUUUAAAACUAUUCAUUGCAUUUCGUGUUUAUGACAAAUUAUGCCCAUCAAGUUGACAUAGAUAUUUGUAUGUAGGAGGUAGUUGAACCGGAAAUUCCAACCGACCCUAUUGUCGAGAGGUUAAAUUUAGUUGAAAGAGAAAAUGAGGAUUUGAAGGAAAAAUUGAAAAGAAUUGAGGGGGAGAAGAUGGAAUUGGAGUUGCAUGUUGCCGAUGUCGUCGAUGAUCACAAGAUUAAGAUGGAGAAAAUGUGCUUGAAGAUUAGAAAGAUUAGAAAAUAUGCCAUUCAUAGUGAGGCUUGGUAUCAUUAUGCUGUUGGAUCAAUUGUUACCUUAGUUGCGAUCUUGAUCGCAUUUGUUGUUGCAUUUAAAUUCUUUAGCUAGAGAGUUAUUUGUUUGUUGCAUUUAAGUGUUGUAUGAUUUUUAUGUAUUGUAUUAAUUUGAUGUUUUCGGUGCUGUGUAUUGAAGAUGAGCCGGCAAUGGAUGUACGAUGACCGAUGCUCUCCUGAGUUCAUUAAUGGCGUGCGCACUUUUCUGCUUGCGGCUGAGGCAAACAAGCGAGCGGAUGGUUUUAUGCCUUGUCCAUGUGCUAGCUGUAAGAAUGGUCACAAUUACUCUACAUCAAGAACCAUUCACGUCCACCUGUUUGAGUCCGGUUUCAUGCCCCACUAUAAUGUUUGGACCAAGCAUGGAGAAAGAGGGGUUAUGAUGGAAGACAAUGAAGAAGAAGAGGACGGCGACAACUAUCCUGGCCAUGGGUUCCCUGAAUACGAUGAUACAACAAUGAGGGAAGAAGCUGAGUCGGUAAUGCGGGAAGAAGCUGAGCCAGCAAUGCGGGAAGAAGCUGAAGAAGAGGCAUCGGAUGAGCCCGUUGAUGAUCUAGGUCGGGCCAUUGCCGAUGCAAAGAGAAACUGCGCAAGUGAUUUGGAGAAGAAGAAGUUGCAGCGCAUGUUAGAGGAUCACAAAAAAUUGUUGUACCCGAAUUGCGUAGGUGACAAGAAAAAGCUGGGCACCACACUGGAAUUGCUGCAAUGGAAGGCAGAGAAUGGUGUAUCUGACAAGGGAUUUGGAAAGUUGCUGGUAAUGAUAAAGGAUAUGCUUCCAAAGGACAACGAAUUGCCCGAGAGUACGUACGAAGCAAAGAAGGUUGACUGCCCUCUAGGGUUAGAGGUGCAGAAGAUACAUGCAUGCCCUAAUGAUUGCAUCCUCUACCGCGGUGAGUACGAGGAUUUGAACGCUUGCCCGGUAUGCGGUGCAUUGCGCUAUAAGAUCAGCCGUGAUGACCCUGGUGAUGUCGAGGGCGAGCGCCCCAGAAAGAAGAUUCCUGCCAAGGUGAUGUGGUAUGCUCCUAUAAUACCAAGGUUGAAAUGUUUGUUCCAAAACAAAGAGCAUGCCAAGGCGAUGCGAUGGCACAGAGAAGACCGUAAGAAAGACGGAAAGUUGAGAGUACCCACUGACGGGUCGCAGUGGAGAAAAAUCGAAAGAAAGUACGGGAAGGAGUUUGCAGAUGACGCAAGGAACGUAUGGUUUGGUCUAAGCGCAGAUGGCAUUAAUCCUUUUGGGGAGCAGAGCAGCAAACAUAGCACCUGGCCUGUGACUCUAUGUUUGUAUAACCUUUCUCCUUGGUUGUGCAUGAAGCGGAAGUUCAUUAUGAUGCCAGUGCUCAUCCAAGGCCCUAAGCAACCCGGCAACGACAUUGAUGUGUACCUAAGGCCAUUAGUUGAAGAACUCUUAAAACUGUGGAAUGGAACAGGUGUACGUGCGUGGGAUGAGCACAUGGGGGAAGAAUUUGACCUAAAGGUGUUGUUGUUCAUGACCAUCAAUGAUUCGCCUGCUCUCAGUAACCUUUCAGGACAGACAAACAAGGGAUACCACGCAUGCACGCACUGUUUGGACGAUACCGACAGUAUAUAUUUGGCUAAUUGUAAGAAGAAUGUGUACCUGGGACAUCAUCGAUUUCUUCCGAGCAAGCAUCCCGUAAGAAAGAAAGGCAAGCAUUUCAAAGGUGAGGUGGAUCACCGGACGAAGCCUCGCCACCGUACUGGUGCUGAUGUACAUGAUAUGGUCAACGAUUUGAAGGUGGUCUUUGGAAAGGGUCCUGGUGGACAACCUGUUCCGAAUGACGCUGACGGACGCGCACCCAUGUGGAAGAAGAAAUCUAUAUUUUGGGACCUACCCUAUUGGAAAGACCUAGAGGUCCGCUCCGCAAUCGACGUGAUGCACGUGAUGAAGAAUCUUUGUGUGACCCUGCUUGGCUUCUUGGGCGUGUAUGGGAAGACAAAAGAUACACCUGAGGCACGGGAGGACCAGCAACGUAUGCACGGAAAAGACGGCAUACAUCAGGGUCAUGCAAGCUACGCUCUUACCAAAGAAGAGAAGGAAAUCUUCUUUGAAUGCCUACUCAGUAUUAAGGUACCGUCUGGCUUCUCGUCGAAUAUAAAGGGAAUAAUAUAACAUGGCAGAGAAAAAGUUCCAGAACCUAAAGUCUCAUGACUGCCACGUGAUUAUGACGCAACUGCUUCCGGUUGCAUUGAGGGGGCUUCUACUGGAAAACGUUCGAUUAGCCAUUGUGAAGCUAUGUGCAUUUCUCAAUGCAAUCUCUAAGAAGGUAAUCGAUCCAGAAAUCAUACCAAGGUUAGAGAAUGAUUUGGUGCAAUGUCUUGUCAGUUUCGAGUUGGUGUUCCCACCAUCCUUCUUCAACAUCAUGACGCACGUCCUAGUUCACCUAUGCGAAGAGAUUAACAUUUUGGGUCCUGUAUUUCUACACAAUAUGUUCCCCUUUGAGAGGUUCAUGGGAGUCUUAAAGAAAUAUGUUCAUAACCGUGCUAGGCCAGAAGGAAGCAUCUCCAAGGGCCAUGAAAAUGAGGAGGUCAUUGAGUUUUGUAUUGACUUUAUUCCUGACCUUAAGCCGGUUGGUGUUCCUGAAUUGCGGCAUAAGGGCAGACUGGAUGGAAAAGGUACGCUAGGAGGGGAACAAAUAAUAUGUAUGGACGGACAUUCUCUCACUGAAGCACACUACACAGUUCUACAGAAUUCCGCCUUGGUGGCUCCGUAUAUGGAUGAACACAAGAAUUUGCUACGCUCCAAACACCCGGAGCGGUCUGAUGACUGGAUUACACACGAACAAACCAGGAGUUUCGCCAGCUGGUUGCAGACACGUACCAUGCAUGACACCUCUAUUGAAGAUGACCUAUACUUGCUGUCCCAGUUACCAUCUUUGAAUAUAAUAACUUUCAAAGGGUACGAGAUAAAUGGUAAUACAUUUUACACAAUCGCCCAAGAUAAGAAGAGCACCAACCAAAACAGUGUUGUCCGCUUUGAUGCAGAAACCAAGACGGGAAAGGAAACAUAUUAUGGUUAUAUAUAGGACAUAUGGGAACUUGACUAUCGACGUGGUUUGAAGGUCCCUUUGUUUCGGUGCAAAUGGGUAAAUAUGACACGAGGCGGGGUAACGGAAGACUCACAGUAUGGAAUGACAACAGUGGAUCUCAACAAUCUUGCGUAUGCAGACGAACCAUUCGUCCUAGCCAAUGAUGUGGCACAGGUUUUCUAUGUGAAGGACAUGUCUACCAAGCCAAGAAAAAGAAAAGAUAAGGAAGCGAAUGCAUCGUACGAUGAGCCAAAGCGGCACAUAGUUCUUUCUGGGAAGACAAACAUCGUGGGAGUGGAUGACAAGACAGACAUGUCAGAAGAUUAUGAAAAGUUUGAUGAAAUUGCUCCAUUCACAGUGAAUAUUGACCCGAGCAUCCCGUUAAAUGAUGAAGAUUUUCCAUGGUUACGGCGCAAAGGGACACAUGCAAAGAAAAAGUUUCACACCCAAAGAUCUGGGAUGUGAUCGGCUUCACUAUCAUCACUUUCUUCUGUGUUUCCCACCCAGGAGGGAAUCUCUGUAAUAGUUAGGGUAGUUAUGUGUUUUGGCAUUUGAAACGCGAAGAAAUUUUAUGUCCAAACAAAUUCUUUCAUGCCUUUACUGAUUUUUAAAGUUAAGUUAUUCACAAACUAGUGAUUCACACUAAUUUCAAAUAAUUCAAAAUUUAAACUAUUCAAAUUUGAAAACUACGGGCACUAACAGAAAGUUUGUAAUUUUUUGUACCUAAAGCAAAAAUAUUCACAAAGAAACUCUAAAUACAUAAAAAACAACUCAAAAAUAAAUAAAGCAAAAAAAUAAAAAAAGCCCGCCUACUGGGCCAGAGCGGCCUGCAUACGACUAGAAACCCAACCUGUUGUUUGGCCAGGAUGCAGGCCCGCAAAGGCCCAGUAGGCCCACAGGGCAGCACAGAACAUGUAGGCCCAGUAGGCCAGCUUUGGAGAGGAGCUCGAGAGAGCUACCGCACGGGGGGUUAUAAACCAGUGCGGACGCUCCUCGGCUAGCGAGGUGGAACUAAACUUGCCGCACCGCACCUGCGCCAGCGCACCCCCUUUAGUACCGGGUGGUGGCACCAACCGGUACUAAAGGGGGGGCCUUUAGUACCAGUUGGAGCCACCACCCGGUACUAAAGGGGGUGCGCUUCCCGCCGCUUGGCCUGGCCAAAACAGGCCUUUAGUACCGGUUGAUGGCUCCAAACGGUACUAAAGGUCCAUCCUAUAUAACUAAACACUUCAAAAAUUUCAGUUUCUCAUCUGCUUCUUCUCCUCUGCCUCGUCGCCCGCCGCCCCCGUCUCCAUAUCCCUCGUCGCCGCCCCUGUCGCCGCCCCGUCCCCGUUGUCGUCGCCCCGUCGUCCCCAUCCCCGUCAUCCUCGUCAUCACCGCCGCCCCGUCCCGGCCUGUCUUGUGUCGUCCCCGUCCCCAUCAUCGCCGCCCCGGCCCGUACGUCCCCGUCCCCGUCGUCGCCGCCCCGUCCCUGUCCCCGUCGUCGCCAUCCCCGUCGUCGCCGCGCCCGUCGCUGUCCCCGUCACCGCCCCCCAUCGCCUNNNNNNNNNNNNNNNNNNNNNNNNNNNNNNNNNNNNNNNNNNNNNNNNNNNNNNNNNNNNNNNNNNNNNNNNNNNNNNNNNNNNNNNNNNNNNNNNNNNNNNNNNNNNNNNNNNNNNNNNNNNNNNNNNNNNNNNNNNNNNNNNNNNNNNNNNNNNNNNNNNNNNNNNNNNNNNNNNNNNNNNNNNNNNNNNNNNNNNNNNNNNNNNNNNNNNNNNNNNNNNNNNNNNNNNNNNNNNNNNNNNNNNNNNNNNNNNNNNNNNNNNNNNNNNNNNNNNNNNNNNNNNNNNNNNNNNNNNNNNNNNNNNNNNNNNNNNNNNNNNNGAAUUGUUAGAAAUUUUUUUGUUUUUUAGUUAUAGAAAUAGUUAUUAAAAAGUUAGAAUUGUUACAAAUUUUUCUGUUUUUUAGUUAUAGAAAUAGUUAUAAAAAAGUUAGAAAUUUUUCUUUUUUUUAGUUAUAGAAAUAUUAGAAAUGUUAUACAAAUGUUAGUUAUAUAUAUAGAAAUGUUAUAAUUUUUUUCUUUUUUUAGUUAUAGAAAUAUUAGAAAUGUUAGUUAUAUAGCAUUGUUAGAAAUGUUAUAGGAAUGUUAGUUAUAAAGAAAUGUUAGAAAUUUUAGUUAUCAAAAUCCAAUCAUUAAAAAAAUGUUACUUUUGCGGGCAUAUAGCUAGUAUUUGUUCUCGAUGAUGCCCGGCCCGCAUCCUCGCCGUCGACCCGUCCGCGACGACGUCUGGCUGACCCAUGUCUGGGACUGGGCUCCGCCGGGCUGGCACUGGGAGGUGCUGCCUGGAGGGGGGCGCCGCUUGAUGAGGAACCCGGCCUUGGGUCCCGUCGUCGACCCUGAUCUCGUUUGGUGGCGUUCGCGUGGGCCAGUUUCGGUGCGGAGGGAGCCGGCCCCGCCGAAGGUGGUACGUCGUCGUGUCAGGGAGGAGGACGAGCACGUCCAUCGGUACAUGGUUGCGUUAGAGGGUGGCAGGUUCUCCAAUACCUGGCAGUUUCUUCAGGGAUCUCACUUCAGCUAUGAUCCUGUGAGGGUUCCUUCUCGUUGGGUGUCCACCACCCGCGCCGCAUGAACCGCGAGUGUCCUAGAUUCUUCUGUAGUAUUCGAUCUUUAUUAGUUACCUAGCCAGUGAUGUAUUCGAUAUAUAAUAUUCGAGACGAUGUAUUCGAGCUUAUAUAUUAUUCGAGACGAUAUAUUCGAGAUUAUAUCUAUUAUUCGAGACGAUGUAUUCGAGAUUAUAUCUAUUAUUCGAGACGAUGUAUUCGAGAUUAUAUCUAUUAUUCGAGACGAUGUAUUCGAGAUUAUAUCUAUUAUUCGAGACGACGUAUUUGAGAUUAUAUUCGAUGAUGCUUAUUAUGUACUAUGAUUGAUUCAGUUUUUCCUUAUUAAUUGAUUGCAUCCAUGCAUUGUAAUUUGAAUAUAUUUCUUUUGGAUUAGUUAAACAAAACCUAUGGCGGACAAUACCGGCAGAGAGGGAGAAGAGGCCCUAUUCAAUAUCAUACGCAAUCCUCGCAGGCCAGAUGAUGAUUUGAAUGAAGAAUAUUAUGACGGCUCCGAAUAUCUAAACAACACCGGGGAGGGUGAUAUGAUAUUCGAUCGCGACAACCGAAUUGAUGAAGUCAUGAACUAUGAACAUGACGAAGAAAAUGUUGAUCUUGAAACAACAAAGACCGACGAGGUAUAUAUAUUUAUAUAAGCAGGCAUCUGGUGAUCAUCACAUGUUUUAAAUGACUUGAAGAUAUAUUAACGAAUCGAUCUUUCUUCUUUCAGCCAUCCGAAUCGAGCAAAUCUUCAGGCAACAGGCCGAAACGAGGCCCGAACAAAAAGUUGAAGGAGGGCGUAAAGUACAAUAUCGAGGCAAUCAGACCUAAUGGCGAACCAUUAGCGCCUAAGAAGAUUGCGGACAAGUUCGUUCGUCAGUGCGGAGUUCUUGUGAAGGACCAACUCCCGGUCUCCCUUCAAGAAUGGAGAGAGCCAGCAAAGCCACGUCCAGGAGUUACUUUUGUCGACGACAGACAAAAACAUUUGCUUUGGGAAACGCUCAUGGAACAUUUCACCCUACCAAAUCAUUUCACAGAUGCAGAUGUGGAGAAAGUCAAGGACGCUGCUCUUAGGAAGAUGGCGGUUGCAUUCCAGAACCACAAGAUUCGUGAAUGGUCCAAGUACGUCAACGGAGGAAGGAAGACUCCAAUAUUCGAGGGAACACUAGAGAACCAAAGUGCUCAUUGGGACGAUUUCGUGAAAUUCAAGGAUUCGGAAUUAUCUAAGGAACGGUCGAGAAUAAACAAGGCCAAUGCCGCAAAAAAGGAUAAGUUCCAUAAGCUGGGGCCAGGUGGCUAUGCGGUGGGAAUGCCUUAGUGGGAUAAGUCUGAGAAAGAGAUGCUGGAUGCAAGUGUCACUCCAGAAACAUUGAGCUGGCCCCCCAGGUGCAGGACUUGGUUCUAUGCGCAUGGAGGGGGAGUUGGACCCGAAGACAGGCAAAGUUUCGAAGAAGGCAUGUCUGGACGGAGCCGAAGAUAAGCUACUUGUUGCAAUAGAAGAGGCUUGAUCGGGGUUGUUCGAGCCCAACAGAGAGAACGACGAGCUUACGCGUGCCCUGGGAAAUCCUGAACACCCAGGAAGAACACGGGGCAUGGGUGCUAUUCCAUGGUAUGAGGGGUUUUCGGACUGGAACGCCGACUACAGAACCCGUGCGAGAAAGAAGAUUAUGGAGGAGAAGAAGAGGAAUAGGAGGAGGAGCAUAGGAAGCUAGACUAUGAAUGCCUUCAAGGCCUAGAAUCAGCGCACGCGGACUUGGCAGUCAAAUUCCAGCGGCAGCAGGAGCAGAUCGACUCACUUAGCCAGCAAAGGGGGUCUCAGCAGCUAGCGGAUGAUCCACCAUUGGAUAGCACCGUCCCAUCCAUGCCGAGAAGCAGUGUGGGUUCCACCCCGGGCGACGCAUUGCUGGAUAGCUACCUAGUGGAUGACAUCAUGGAGAACACUAACUGCGAGCUACACUUCAAAAUGAAGAACAUAUCCAUGAAGGUGGCGGACACCCUUGCUUUUACAAAUCCCCCCGAUGCAACCUUCCAUUGCAACCCGAUUCCAGCGGGCUAUGCUCGUGUCUUGGUUGAUGAGGUGGUGGACCAAUAUUCGGGGCUAGAGCUUGACAUUCCUGGAGGUGAUGAUGAGCACACACUAGGAGAGGCCAACCAUCGUAUCAUCCUAUGGAGAAAGGAUUGCAUCAUCUUUCGAAGGCCACCAACACCGUGUCAUCCAACUCCUCGUCGCAGUCCGCCACCGAGUCAGCAGACUUCUGCUCCUCCAAGUCCACCAACGCGUCAGACCACUCCUCCUCCAUGUCUGGCACAGCUUCAGGCCACUACUCCUCCUCCAAGUCCGGCAAAGCGUCAGGCCACUCCUCCUCCAAAUCCCGCACAGCUUCAGGCCACUCCUCCUCCAAGUACGGCACAGCUUCAGGCCACUCCUCCUCCUCCAACUCAGCCACGUCAGCCGUCUUCGCCGCCUCAGCAAUCACGGAAGAGAGCCGCCUCAGCUAUGGUGCAUAGUGGUACAAGUCGAGGUAGUACUGGAGGUACAGGCGGAGGCAAGCGAUUUCAAUAUGGUCCAAGCCUCGUGCCUCUUCCGCAGAGGCCUUACAACAAGUCCGAGGAGGAAAAUGUAGCCGUAUCGAAGGCCGAGGUGGAAGCCCAUUUUGCACAGAAACCGCCACCGCCGCCAAGGGAGAAAGUGCCUGUGGAAAAGAUUGACCACUUCAUUCGUAUGGCUAGAGCACCAGCUCCCAAGCCUGUUGACACAGACUAUGAGCGCCACAUCAAGAAGUUAAAUCGAGCACGUCUACAAAAAGAGGCGAGCUCGAGCUUGAGCAAAUCAGCUGGCAAAAGGAGCGGUAAAACUGUUCCCCAGCUGGGAGAACAGGCGGCGCAAUCAAUCCCCCCGCUUGUUGUGCCAACAACACAUGAGAGUAGGCGCGCCCAAUAUUAUUGUGGGCAAACCGUUAACGUUCCCGGGGUGGGCGAUGUGGUAAUAACCAAGGAGCAUAUUGCGCAGGCUGAAUCGAUCGGGAUCACUGUUGGACAACUCCUCGAUAUCGAGCACAUGUCUCCGACUAGAGAGGAGGAAAUAAAACGGAAAUAUGCCCGGGGCCAACCUUUGGUCGAGCCAGAGGAGGUCAAUAAGCUCCCAACGAGAAUGUAUGAAUUGCAUCAAUGGUACAUGGACAUUACCAAGAUUUCCAAUCGAGAGUCCCUCAUGGUGAAUGUCAACAAGGAGCAUUACUACCAUGAGAAAGCUGUGACCGUUGAGUAUUCAGAACUAUUUCAGCUAUACAAUAAAGACACACUCGACAAAUCUAUCGUCAGUUGCUAUUGUCUGUAAGUGAUUUCUUUCUGUAAUUUAAGUCUCAAGCUAGCUGUAGUGAUCAUUUUGAUCAAUCAUUACCUGUAAUUAUCCUCACUAUAUUCUUUUUUGUGGUAUUAUGAAGGAUGAAGAUUUAUGAAAUGAAAAAAGGUGGACGCUAUGGCAUUGGGUUCGUUGACCCAAAUACCAUUAAUGAAUACACAUGGAAAAUAGAUCCAUAUCACGCAAAAAUUGUAGAGGAAAGCAUGCUACAGUUUGUCAAGGAACUCAAAUACAUUGAAGAUAUACUACUCCCUUACAACUUCCAGUGAGUCACACUGUCUUGUACUACAAAUUCUGUUUUUCCCUACUAACUAGCUACAUGUUUUUGCUUACAUAUGCCCGCUUAAUUAAGAAAUGCAAACGUGUGUGCAUGCAGAUUUCUCUGGAUCUUGUUAAUCAUUAAAGUUGAUGAAGGAACAGUUGAAGUACUAGACUCACUACUUAAGAAAGCAAGUGACUACACCAUCGUGAAGGGGAUAGUCAACAGGUAAUUUCAAUCAUUAUUAACUAUAUCUCGGCCUAUUUAAUUAGUUCGUCAUUUCCUGAUAACAACUAUUUAAUAACACAUUUAUUGAUUUUCUUUGUCAGCGGACAGGGCUUGGGCAAAGUUCAUUAGGGCCACUACAGGCCCAUGGAAACAAAAUCUGAAAUGGUAUCGACCCAAGGUAAGUAAUUAAGUAGUACUAGCUAGCUGCCAUCUCUUUAAUUAUCAUGCUUGAUUAAUUAUUAUCUGAUCAAAUUCCAUUCUCGUAAAGGCCCUGAAGCAGGCGCCGGGGAAUGAUCUAUGUGCAUACUACGUUUGCGAGAACAUUCGCAUGAUGGCGUCCGAAAGGAGCAAAUCUCAAAGACAGGAGUGGGUACGAUAUUGAUUGUGAGAACACUAUUCACAAUUUUUACACCAUUAUCGAUAUCUAGUCACACAACUAAUACAAAUGCAUAUUGAUCUCCUUCUUAAUAGUUCAAAGAGGUGCGUGACAAGCUCCUAGCACAAGACCGCAUAGAAGCAAUUCAAGAGGAAAUAGCGGGAUUUUUGCUCGACCAGGUCAUAGAUCCCAAAGGAGAAUACUAUUACCCGCUACCGCCCCCAUGAACCACUUCCAAUUGUUAUCGUGCUCCGAAGGCACCAAUUAGCUAGGCUAAUGCCACUGGCUCCGAAGGCACCAAUUAGGACAAAUUGUAUAUAUAUAUAUAUAUGUGUGUGUGUGUGUGUGUGUGUGUGUGUGAAUUAAUUAAUGGUGGUUGUGAGACAUUCGAUGAUAUAUAUAUAUAUACAUAACGUGUACAAUAUGUAGUAUCGUAAAAUACCAGCAAACGAAAAAUAAUUAAAUGGAAAACACAAAAUUAAAUGAAAAAGAAAUCAUAAACCCAAAACCCCUCCAACCUUUUAAUACCGGUUGGUGACACCAACCGGUACUAAAGGGCUCCCUGCCCCCGAAGCUGGCUCGUGCCACGUGGUUGCCCUUUAGCACUGGUUCGUGCUGAACCGGUACUAAAGGGGGGGCCUUUAGUGCCUACACAUUAGCACCGGUUACCAAACCGGCACUAAAGGGCCUUAUGAAUCGGUGCUAUUGCCCGGUUCUGCACUAGUGACCUCUCCGACAAUCGGAGUGACAAAUCCUAAUCUCGAAAUACGCCAAACCAACAAGUACCUUUGGAGACACCUGUAGAGCACCUUUAUAAUCACCCAGUUACGUUGUGACGUUUGGUGGCACACAAAGUGUUCCUCCGGUAAACAGGAGUUGCAUAAUCUCAUAGUCAUAGGAACACGUAUAAGUCAUGAAGAAAGCAAUAGCAACAAACUAAACGAUCAAGUGCUAUGCUAACGGAAUGGGUCAAGUCAAUCACAUCAUUCUCCUAAUGAUGUGAUCCCGUUAAUCAAAUGACAACUCAUGUCUAUGGUUAGGAAACAUAAUCAUCUUUGAUCAACGAGCUAGUCAAAUAGAGGCAUACUAGUGACACUUUGUUUGUCUAUGUAUUCACACAUGUAUUAUGUUUCCGGUUAAUACAAUUCUAGCAUGAAUAAUAAACAUUUAUCAUGAUAUAAGGAAAUAAAUAAUAACUUUAUUAUUGCCUCUAGGGCAUAUUUCCUUCAGUCUCCCACUUGCACUAGAGUCAAUAAUCUAGUUCACAUCGCCAUGUGAUUUAACAUCAAUAGUUCACAUCACCAUGUGAUUAAGACCCAUAGUUCACAUCGACAUGUGACCAAUACCCAAAGGGUUUACUAGAGUCAAUAAUCUAGUUCACAUCGCUUAUGUGAUUAACACCCAAAGAGUACUGAGGUGUGAUCAUGUUUUGCUUGUGAGAGAAGUUUAGUCAAUGGGUCUGCCACAUUCAGAUCCGUAAGUAUUUUACAAAUUUCUAUGUCAACAAUGCUCUGCAUGGAGCUACUCUAGCUUAUUGCUCCCACUUUCAAUAUGUAUCCAGAUUGAGACUUUGAGUCAUGUGGAUCAGUGUCAAAACUUGCAUCAAUGUAACUCUUUAUGACGAACCUUUUGUCACCUCCAUAAUCGAGAAACAUAUCCUUAUUCCACUAAGGAUAAUUUUGACCAAUGUCCAGUGAUCUACUCCUAGAUCACUAUUGUACUCCCUUGUCGAACUCAUGGCAGGGUAUGCAAUAGGUCUGGUACACAGCAUGGCAUACUUUAUAGAACCUAUGGCUGAGGCAUAGGGAAUGACUUUCAUUCUCUCUCUAUCUUCUGCCGUGGUCGGGUUUUCUGAGCCUUACUCAACUUCACACCUUGUAACACAAGCAAGAACUCCUUCUUUGACUGUUCCAUUUUGAACUACUUCAAAAUCGUGUCAAGGUAUGUACUCAUUGAAAAACUUAUCAAGCGUCUUGAUCUAUCUCUAUAGAUCUUGAUGCUCAAUAUGUAAGCAGCUUCACCGAGGUCUUUCUUUGAAAAACUCCUUUCAAACAUUCCUUUAUGCUUUGCAGAAUAAUUUUACAUUAUCUCCGAUCAACAAUAUGUCAUUCACAUAUAUUUAUCAGAAAUGUUGUAGUGCUCCCACUCACUUUCUUGUAAAUACAGGCUUCACCGCAAGUUUGUAUAAAACUAUAUGCUUUGAUCAACUUAUCAAAGCAUAUAUUCCAACUCCGAGAUGCUUGCACCAGUCCAUAGAUGGAUCGCUGGAGCUUGCAUAUUUUGUUAGCACCUUUAGGAUUGACAAAACCUUCUGGUUGCAUCAUAUACAACUCUUCUUUAAUAAAUCCAUUAAGGAAUGCAGUUUUGUUUAUCCAUUUGCCAGAUUUCAUAAAAUGCGGCAAUUGCUAACAUGAUUCAGACAGAUUUAAGCAUAGAUACGAGUGAGAAACUCUCGUCGUAGUCAACACCUUGAACUUGUCGAAAACCUUUUGUGACAAUUCUAGUUGUGUAUAUAGUAACACUACUAUCACCGUCCGUCUUCCUCUUGAAGAUCCAUUUAUUUUUAUGGCUUGCUGAUCAUCGGGCAAGUCAACCAAAGUCCACACUUUGUUCUCAUACAUGGAUCCCAUCUCAGAUUUUAUGGCCUCAAGCCAUUUCGUGAAAUCUGGGCUCAUUAUCGCUUCCUCAUAGUUCAUAGGCUCGUCAUGGUCAAGUAACAUGACCUCCAGAACAGUAUUACCGUACCACUCUGGUGCUGAUCUCACUCUAGUUUACCUACAAGGUUCGGUAGUAACUUGAUCUGAAGUUUACAUGAUCAUCAUCAUUAGCUUCCUCACUAAUUGGUGUAGUAGUCACAGGAACAGAUUUCUGUGAUGAACUACUUUCCAAUAAGGGAGCAGGUACAGUUACCUCAUCAAGUUCUACUUUCCUCCCACUCACUUCUUUCGAGAGAAACUCCUUUUCUAGAAAGGAUCCAUUCAAAGCAACGAAUAUAUUGCCUUCGGAUCUGUGAUAGAAGGUGUACCAAACAUUUUCUUUUGUGUAUCCUAUGAAGACGCACUUCUCCGAUUUGGGUUAGAGCUUAUCAGGUUGAAACUCUUUCACAUAACUAUUGCAACCUCAAACUUUAAGAAACGACAGCUUAGGUUUCUUGCCAAACCAUACUUCAUACGGUGUCAUCUCAACGGAUUUAGAUGGUGCCCUAUUUAACGUGAAUGCAGCUGUCUAUAAUGCAUAACCCAAAAACGAUAGUGGUAGAUCGGUAAGAGACAUCAUAGAUCGCACCAUAUCUAAUAAAGUACGGUUAUGAUGUUCGGACACACCAUUACACUAUGGUGUUCCAGGUGGCGUGAGUAGUGAAACUAUUUCACAUUGUUUUAACUGGAGAACGGAGUCUUAGUCAUCUUGCCCAUGAGGCAUGGUUCGCAAGCAUCAACUGAUUCAUAAUCAAGUGAUUCCAAAAGCCCAUCAGCAUGGAUUUUCUUCAUGCGCUUUACACCAAUAUGACCUAAACAGCAGUGCCACAAAUAAAUUGCGCCAUCAUUAUUAACUUUGCAUCUUUUGGUUUCAAUAUUAUGAAUAUGUGUAUCACUACGAUCGAGAUCCAACGAAUCAUUUUCAUUGGGUGUGUAACCAUAUAAGGUUUUAUUCAUGUAAACAGAACAACAAUUUAUUCUCUUACUUAAAUGAAUAACUGUAUUGCAAUAAACAUGAUCAAAUCAUAUUCAUGCUCAACGCAAACACCAAAUAACACUUAUUUAGGUUCAACACUAAUCCCAAAUGUAUAGGAAGUGUGUGAUGAUGAUCAUAUCAAUCUUGGAACCACUUCCAACACACAUCGUCACUUCACCCUUAACUAGUCUAUGUUCAUUCUGCAACUCCCGUUUCGAGCUACUACUCUUAGCAACUGAACCAGUAUCAAAUACCGAGGGGUUGCUACGAACACUAGUAAAAUACACAUCAAUAAUCUGUAUAUCAAAUAUAUCUUUGUUCACUUUUCCAUCCUUCUUAUCCGCCAAAUACUUGGGGCGGUUCCGCUUCCAGUGACCAGUCCCUUUGCAGUAGAUGCACUUAGUCUCAGGCUUAGGACCAGACUUGGGCUUCUUCACUUGAGCAGCAACUUGCUUGCCAUUCUUCUUGAAGUUCCCCUUCUUCCCUAUGCCCUUUUCUUGAAACUAGUGGUCUUGUCUACCAUCAACACUUGAUAUUUUUCUUGAUUUCUACCUUCGUCGAUUUCAGCAUUACGAAGAGCUUGGGAAUCGUUUCCAUUAUCCCUUGCAUAUCAUAGUUCAUCACAAAGUUCUACUAACUUGGUGAUGGUGACUAGAGAAUUCUGUCAAUCACUAUUUUUAUCUGGAAGAUUAACUCCCACUUGAUUCAAGCGACUGUAGUACCCAGACAAUCUGAGCACAUGCUCACUGCUUGAGCUAUUCUCCUCCAUCUUUUAGCUAUGGAACUUGUUGGAGACUUCAUAUCUCUCAACUCGGGUAUUUUCUUGAAAUAUUAACUUCAACUCCUGGAACAUCUCAUAUGGUCCAUGACGUUCAAAACGUCUUUGAAGUCCCGAUUCUAAGCCGUUUAAGCAUGGUGCACUAAACUAUCAAGUAGUCAUCAGAUUGAGCUAGCCAAAUGUUCAUAACAUCUGCAUCUGCUCCUGCAAUAGGCUUGUCACCUAACGGUGCAUCAAAGACAUAUUUCUUCUGUGCAGCAAUGAGGAUAAACCUCAGAUCACGAAUCCAAUCCGCAUCAUUGCUACUAACAUCUUUCAACUUAGUUUUCUCUAGGAACAUAUCAAAAAUUAAAAAAGGGGAGCUAAACGCGAGCUAUUGAUCUACAACAUAGAUAUGCUAAUACUACCAGGACUAAGUUCAUGAUAAAUUAAAGUUCAAUUAAUCAUAUUACUUAAGAACUGCCACUUAGAAAGACAUCCCUCUAAUCUUCUAAGUGAUCACGUGAUCCAAAUCAACUAAACCAUAUAACCGAUCAUCACGUGAAAUGGAGUAGCUUUCAAUGGUGAACAUCAAUAUGUUGAUCAUAUCUACUAUAUGAUUCAUGCUCGACCUUUCGGUCUCAGUGUUCCGAGGCCAUAUCUGCAUAUGCUAGGCUCGUCAAGUUUAACCUGAGUAUUCUGCGUGUGCAAAAACUGGCUUGCACCCGUUGUAGAUGGAUGUAGAGCUUAUCACACCCGAUCAUCAUGUGGUGUCUGGGCACGACGAACUUUGGCAACGGUGCAUACUCAGGGAGAACACUUUUAUCUUGAAAUUUAGUGAGAGAUCAUCUUAUAAUGCUACCGUCAAUCAAAGCAAGAUAAGAUGCAUAAAAGAUAAACAUCACAUGCAAUCAAUAUAAGUGUUAUGAUAUGGCCAUCAUCAUUUUGUGCUUGUGAUCUCCAUCUCCGAAGCACCGUCAUGAUCACCAUCUUCACCGGCGCGACACAUUGAUCUCCAUCGUAGCAUCGUUGUUGUCUCGCCAAUCUUAUGCUUCCACGACUAUCGCUACCUCUUAGUGAUAAAGUAAACCAUUACAGCGCAAUUGCAUUGCAUACAAUCAAGCGACAACCAUAUGGCUCCUGCCAGUUGCCGAUAACUCGGUUACAAAACAUGAUCAUCUCAUAUAAUAAAAUUUAGCGUCAUGUCUUGACCAUAUCACAUCACAACAUGCCCUGCAAAAACAAGUUAGACGUCCUCUACUUUGUUGUUGCAAGUUUUACGUGGCUGCUACGGGCUUAAGCAAGAACCGUUCUUACCUACGCAUCAAAACCACAAUGAUAGUUUGUCAAGUUGGUGUUGUUUUAAACUUCGCAAGGACCGGGCGUAGCCACACUUGGUUCAACUAAAGUUGGAGAAACUGACAUCCGCCAGCCAUCUAUGUGCAAAGCACGUCGGUAGAACCAGUCUCGCGUAAGCGUACACGUAAUGUCGGUCUGGGCCGCUUCAUCCAACAAUACCGCUGAACCAAAGUAUGACAUGCUAGUAAGCAGUAUGACUUAUAUCGCCCAUGACUCACUUGUGUUCUACUCGUGCACAACAUCAACGCAUAAAACCUAGGCUCUGAUACCACUGUUGGGGAACAUAGUAAUUUCAAAAAAAAUCCUAUGCACAUGCAAGAUCAUGGUGAUGCAUAGCCAUGAGAAGGGAGAGUGUUGUCUAUGUAUCCUCGUAGACCGUUUGCGGAAGCGUUAUAUCAACGCGGUUGAUGUAGUCGUACGUCUUCACGUCCGACUGAUCCAAGUAUCGAAAGCACAGCACCUCCGAGUUCUGCACACGUUCGGCUCGGUGACGUCCUCGCCUUCUCGAUCCAGCAAGAGGGGCGAAGUAGUAGAUGAGUUCCAGCAGCACGACGGCGUGGUGACGGUGUUGGUGAAGAACAAUCUCCGCAGGGCUUCGCCUAAGCACUACAAAAACUAUGUCGGAGGAUAAACUAGAGGGGUUGCCGGCACACGGCUUGGUGUUUCUUGAUGUGUCUUUGGUGCUAGCCCUACCCCUCUAUUUAUAUGUUGAGCCCUGGGGUCGAAACUUGGAGUAAAAGCCUCCUCAAAGUCGGUUUCACCCGAAAGGCAAGAGUCCUUCUCGAACUCCAGGGCUAGACGCCAGGGUUCCUGGCGUCUAGCCUCUAGUCUCCGCAAAACUUCCUUUUGCACUUUCCAAAAGCCACAUGGGCUUUCCCCUUUGGCCCAGAUAAAGUGUUCUCGUGCCCAAACAUUUCGGGAAACAUCCGGAACCCCUUCCGGUGAAUUCCGGAACCCUUCCAAAGAUCAAACACUACUAUCCACAUAUCAAUCUUUACUUCCGGACCAUUCCGGAGUUCCUUGUAAUAUCGGUGAUCUCAUCCAAAACUCCGAACAACAUUCGGUCACUAACAUACAUAACUCAUAGUACUAUAUCGUCAAUCGAACAUUAAGCGUGCGGACCCUACGGGUUCGAGAACUAUGUAGACAUGACCGAGACACCUCUCUUGUCAAUAACCAAUAGCGGGACCUGGAUGCCCAUAUUGGCUCCUACAUAUUCUACGAAGAUCUUUAUCGGUCAGACCGCAUAACAACAUACGUUGUUCCCUUUGUCAUCGGUAUGUUACUUGCCCGAGAUUCGAUUGUCGGUAUCUCAAUACCUAGUUUAAUCUCGUUACCGGCAAGUCUCUUUACUCGUUCCGUAAUACAUCAUCCCGCAACUAACUCAUUAGUUGCAAUGCUUGCAAGGCUUAUAGUGAUGUGCAUUACCGAGUGGGCCCAAAGAUACCUCUCCGACAAUCGGAGUGACAAAUCCUAAUCUCGAAAUACGCCAACCCAACAAGUACCUUUGGAGACAUCUGUAGAGCACCUUUAUAAUCACCCAGUUACGUUGUGACAUUUGGUGGCACACAAAGUGUUCCUCCGGUAAACGGAGUUGCAUAAUCUCAUAGUCAUAGGAACAUGUAUAAGUCAUGAAGAAAGCAAUAGCAACAAACUAAACGAUCAAGUGCUAUGCUAACGGAAUGGGUCAAGUCAAUCACAUCAUUCUCCUAAUGAUGUGAUCCCAUUCAUCAAAUGACAACUCAUGUCUAUGGUUAGGAAACAUAACCAUCUUUGAUCAACGAGCUAGUCAAAUAGAGGCAUACUAGUGACACUCUGUUUGUCUAUGUAUUCACACAUGUAUUAUGUUUCCGGUUAAUACAAUUCUAGCAUGAAUAAUAAACAUUUAUCAUGAUAUAAGGAAAUAAAUAAUAACUUUAUUAUUGCCUCUAGGGCAUAUUUCCUUCAGCGCUACCUUAGUUGAAGGGCUAGCCCUCUCCCAGAUGUGGUCCAUCACUGGUCUCUAGCCCAGUGUUGUGGGACCGAACUCACCUCGCGCCCGGCAGCAGGACCAAGCUUGUCUCGCGCCUGGCAAUAGGACUGGACUUCUCUCACGCCUGGUGCAGUAGGAUGGGACGAUGGAGGCCGGUUGUGACCGGCCUAUUGGUCUCGGCGCUGGGGGCCGCCUAGGGGUGCGAAAGGCGGGACCUUUUCACUCGUCUCUUUGGUUGGAGUAGCCGCGGGUCUCGAAUGAGGUGGUGUCAAGGCCUUUGAUGCCGGGGCGGCGGCCUUGGUGGAGGUAGCGCGGUGCUCAUCGGCCUAGCCCGUGGCUUGGUGCUGCCUGGUGACCAUGGCCAUGUAGGCGGUAUGGUAGCCGGGGUGUGACGUUCGGUGGCGGUGAGUGUUGGUCAGGGUGAAAACCCGCUCUAUCUUUGAACAAACCAUCGGCGGUGAAGCUCAUUCCCUUUUUGAAGGCGUCAUCGGACCUUCAUUGCCCGUCGUGUUCCUCCAGGGAAACUCUGACCCUCGGGUCAGACGGUGGCGGCACUCCAGCGUCGUUCCCUUCCAGAAGGCACCGCCUUGGUGUCCAUGGUUCAUCGUAUGCGGCUUCAUCUCUUUUCGGUGGCGUGUUCACGGGUGAGGACUCCGGUAGCUCUUGUAGUGCUUGGGGUGAUGUUGCCGCGCUCAGUGCCUUUCUAUAUCUUGCCUUGGGUGUGUGUGUUGUGUUGGCGUGCGUUUGUACUGGGUAGUUGAUGAUCAUUGCUUUAUAUAUAAAGCGGGGUGAAAGCCUUUUUCGGUAAGUAACAAAGAUUACAUCCAAAUCCAUUGAUCACCUAGCGACAACUACAAGCAUUGGAGUGAGCGAAAGGCGCGCCUCUAUCAUAGCCCCUCGCUAAUUGGAGCCCGGCAAAACUUCUUCAGGUAGUCAGUCGGGAAGUCAUCGUGUUAAAAUCCCACAGCCCACAGGACCAUCGUCACAUUCGUGCUACCAGGGAGCGCAUAAAUGGUUUGGGGGAGAGGCAAGAAGCAUUGCGGGUCGAGCAGCAAGUGCUCUUCAUUCGUCUAGCAUCUCUCUAUAAUAUAAGAGUCCGUAGACUCUUUUUAGUUUUCUAAGGUUGGCUUAAAUUCAAUAAAUGUCUGGAGAAAUUAGUUUUCAUAUCAGAUGUUCUUUUGUCUUAGUUUGAUUCCGAUCUACUCCUAGUCGAUGGUCUUACACCAUUGGGAUACUUCACAUAAACUGGAGUACAUAUAUGAGAGACCGGUGCUAAGACCUUUUAUCGAGAUAUCUUCCAGAUUCUUAGGGUCAUUGCUCCGGAUCUCCCCUUCCCCCUGCGGGUGCGAAAGCAGUUGGUUCAGUAGUUUCAGAGCAAAGCAAUUCCAACAUAAACUGACACUUUUGGAUCCUCCAAGCCUUUCAAUAGACCCAUAAACUAAAAACUAGAACUACUAACACAGGUUGAAGAGGAUGCAUAUGAACAGCAACUGCUGCCGAUGAAGAGAAUCGUAGAUUGGAAGGAUCCAACCCGAGGCACACAAAUGAAGACAAGAUCCAAGCUGUUUCACAGAAGACCGGCACCGACUGAAUCCUACGAGAUCCGCUAGAGACACACCGCCACAUGCCCUUCAACUAUGAUAACCGGGUCGUCAAAUGCGGAGUAGGCAAGGAGAACCUUAUUCCAUCUCUGGGGAGUUAUCGUCACCUCAUCUUACUGAGCAGUACACAAACCCUAACUGAAUGGAAAAUGCACAAAAAUGAGAAAGAUCCUUCCCGCCGCCAAGGGCAACAGUCCAUCAUGCUUCCUUGGCCCGGAGACCACAGGAGGCUGCUGGACAGGUGGCAACACAAACAGGAGGCAGAGGAACCAUAAUUGCAUGUGCGCCUGAAGUCGGAAAACAAAAAGGUAUGAGCACAAGUCUAUCGAUCACGCCGCCCGCGAUGAUGCUCUUUCCACCGCUCCAGGCCAGCCCGGGGUGCGGCAUCAUCAGUGCACCAACGUCAGGCAGUUCCCUUUCUAGCUACAUGCGCAAGAUGUCAUCACAGGCCAAAGGCUUCGAGGUACGUACGUCGCUCCAAACUCAUUCAUGACCACUUUGCUAACCAACACACAUACGCACGUACAUGUGGCUAGAGAUAGAUAGAUAGAUAGAUAAAGAGUGUGACUUAUGUUUGAGCAUGAGAGACUGUAUACCGGUGAACAUGACAUUUUGGUGACGUUAUAAAAACCUUCAAUUCGCAACGCAAAAUAUUAAGUAUUGCAUUCUUUCUCAUACUUAACUAUUGGAUGUAAUAAUGUCUUAUAUUAUGAGAUGGAGGGAGUAUGUCAUAAUUAUGCAAGUCGGAAACCCUUUGGGGGGAAAAGCAGUUUUUCAUCGGAUCAUCAAUUACGUGUAGCCAAAGUAAGGGAAAUGAAAUUAAGUGACAAUAUCUUCAACAGCAAAGAGUAAAUGAAUUACAAGACAACAAGCCCACAUUAGGUAAGCAGUACGCACACACAAACCAUGGCCGGGUCGACACGGCAAAUUUUUACAGCACACACAACACAUAAACUAACGCGCGCUGCCCACGCGGCUAGCCAGAUUGGAUGGGCUUGUCCUGUGAUUCUUCUGCUGCUGGCUUUGGCUCCGGCUCCCCCGUGCCUACAUUCGGCACCGGCACGCCGUUGGACGAGCUCUCCUCAUCGGCACAAGGUCCUUCGUUGCUGCUACCAGUGCCGACACUCCUUCCCCGUAGCCGUACCUGUAGUAUUGCUGGCCACGGCACACGUUGAUUCAUUUUUCUCCAGCGUAUGCAUGUGUGGUUUGCUGAAAGGGAAGUUGGUGCAAGUCUAUCGAUCAUGUGGCGCGACGAUGUCCUUUUCACCGCUCCACGCCAGCCCGCGGCACGCGCCCCAUCAAUACAACAAGGUCAGACACUUUCCUUUCCAGCUAUGCUGGCAAGAUGUCAUCACCGGCCAAAGGCUUCAAAGUACGUAUGUCGCUCCAAACUCAUUCAUGACCAUUUUGCUAACCGACGCACAUAUGUAUGCACAUGUAGCGACAGAGCCAGAGAUAUAGAUAGAUAGAUAGAUAGAUAGAUAGAUAUAUAUAUAUAGAGAGAGAAAUAGAGUAUGACUUCCAUUUAAGCGUGAGAGAUCGUAUGACCCGUUAAUAUGACAUGUUCGUGACAUCAUACGAAGGUCUAAUUUGCAACGCAAAAUAUUAUGUACUACAGUGUGCAUCACAAUAAUACAGAAGUCGGAAACCUUUUUGAGAAUAAAUGCGGUUUUUUCACCUGAUCAUCAAUGAUGAGUAGCCAAAUUAAGCAAAACCAAAUUAAGCGACAAUAACUUCAACAGCAAAGAGUACAUGAAUUAUUAGAGGACAAGCCCACAUUAGGUAAGCAGUACAUGAAUUACUAGAGGACAAGCCCACAUUAGAUAAGCAGUACGCACACACAAACCAUGGCCGGAUCGACACGGCAAAUUAUUACAGUACGCAGGAUGCAGAAGCUAACGCGCGCCGCCCACGC